Molecule: long non-coding RNA, 180360 nt
Filed under: Gossypium raimondii (Peruvian cotton)
Lineage: Eukaryota; Viridiplantae; Streptophyta; Magnoliopsida; Malvales; Malvaceae
Description: long non-coding RNA (GRAI_LNC000649)
Source: RNAcentral
UUUUUUUUUUUGGUUUUGUUGUAAAUGGUCAAAAGAGAAGUUUAAAAUUUUGCAUGUUUAAUAUUAGACCUAGCUAUUUAUAUGUAACAGUUAAAAUUAUUGAACUAUACUGAAUGUCUGUUCUAAGUUCUGUUUUGAUUAGUAAUGCCUCUUAACCCUAAUUCAGUGAUGGAUAUGGGUUAGAGGUGUUACAAUAACACUAACUACACUAAGAAUUAUAACUCUAAUGGUUUCAAUUGGUAAAAUUACUAAUGAAAUCAAGUAGUGGUCGGUUCUCUCUCUCGCUAAUGAUGGAUUUAUACCUAAAUAAUCUAAACACACGAUUAUUAGCCUAGUAACAUUCACCUCUCGGUCUCAAAUAACUUCUAGAAGCAUAAUGAAAUCUCCUCUUAGUCUCAUUCAAUUAAGCCUAACUAAAUCAUAUCUACUCGAUAGGGUGUCCUCUUGUCCUAUCUUAUCUCAAUUUUCACUCAAAGAUGUCAAUUUUGAGUUAUUGACAUAGUCAAUUUAACCCAAAGCAUACAUUCAAAUUAACAAAAGGCAUAAAAUCACAUCACAAGCGAUAAAUAUAACCAAUCGCAUAAAGAAAUUAGUUAAUUUCCAUGGAAAAUACAAAUACACAAUAAAAUUCCAUUCAAUUCAAUAUAAUGAAAUCAAAGGAAAAUUAAGAGUUUAAGAAAUACUCAUUAAAAUGAGAAAUCCUUAAAUUUGAGAAGUUCAAUGUAUUUCAUCCACAAAUAAUCUUGAUGGCCAACAAUAAAAAUAGCAAUUUAAAGUAGAAAAAUGAAAAACUCUGAAAUUUUGUCUAAAAAUUCUAACCUAGAAAUGUCUAUCAACAAAAACUAAUAAUAAAAUAUGUUGUCUAAAACUAAUCUCUCUUUUACGUCCUUAUUUGCUAAUUAUAAAGUGGUAUUUAUACUAAAAACCUAAAUAGCCAGCCAUUUACAUCAUUGCCCAUCAUAAAAUUAUCAUACUAAGGCAUUUUUUACUCAAUCUUCCACUAUUUACCCUAAUAAAGAUUGCAGAUUUUGACAGUUACGAAAGUUAUUGUUGCAAUGUGAGCUUUUUCUUUCCCAAUUCAGCUUAAGUCACCUGGUGGUUAUCACGACAAUGAGUUUUCCAGUUCAAUUCUUUGGCAAGUCAGAGGCUUCAUGGUUCUAACAAGGACAAGAUAUGGUCACGACCAUGGCUUAGUUGAGGGAACUCCUUAGUUAGCAAGGUCAUGGUCACAACAAGGAAUCCACACCUUACUUUUUUUCUAUUUGCAUCCCUCCAUUGAGUCUUACAAUGUUCUUUUCACAUCUUUAGGUCCAUGUAUGAAGGUAAUUAGUUUAUUUAUUCAAAAUACAAUAAAAAAACAUGUAAACUAAAUCCUAAUGCUAAUGCAAAAAGUAAUAAAAUGACUCUACAUGCUACUUGAAAACAAGCUCCUUAAGUGUGAAAAUGGUCUAAUUUACCACAUCAAAUUAUAAUGUAUCAAACUCAUCCGCACUUAAGUCUUUGCUUAUCCUCAAGCAAACAAUACACACACACAAAUGAUCCUCAAGUUUCGUUGAACAUUGAAAAUGUAAAAGACAUGUCUCACACCCAAAUUAAGAUUGUUGUCUUACUAAUUCAAAUACUUCAGACCAAGUUCACACAGUUCAAUAAGUUAAAAAGCCAACAAACAUAAAGGUAAUUCAAGUGAAUAUUUGCUCAAUUGUGUCAGUCCAUCAAGAUGAAUUAAAUAGUGUCAUUAUAGAUACUCAAGUAUAAAUCACAAACAUUCAUCAAUUCUAACAUGAAUAAUUCAGGAAAUUCAUACGAAAGGGAAUGUUUGUCACAUUACUCUUCUAGGCUUGUAACGUUUCGAGGCAUAGGAUGAUUUGAAUUAAAAAUAAAAGUUAGUUUAAAAUGAUUUCAAGCCCUAGAAAUAGAGAAGCUCGUGACAUUGUUCCGUUUUGUCCCUCGAUUUAUCAAUAAACUCACCUUCUUAUCAUUCUCUCUCCUUUUUUUUUCUUAAGUGAUUAAGACAUGGUUCAAUAUUGUCAAAUCUAAAAGCUAGAAAGUUUAUAUGCAUUAAGAAAGCUAAAGAAUUUCUUUAAGAUCAAGAAUAUUUUAUCAAUUUAUCAUAUUCUAACAUUUAUCUUCUUUCAUUCACAAUGAUUUCAAACCCUCGUCGUGCUUUUAUUCACUAAUGAAUUUUCAUUUAUGCACUUACAAGCAAAGUAUCUAUACCUACCAUAUUGAGUCAUUUCUUCAUUUUUCCACUCAUAUAAUUAUUUUGAAACCUACAAAAUGUAUCUACCUAAACCUUAAGGUCCAUGGCUCGAUGUCCAUUUUAUAGUACAAAAACAAAGAUAAUGACAAUGAAGGUUUUAGUUAUACACUCACUUUAGGCUUAAGGCUUCAAACAAUAAAGCUUCACCAAGAAAGAGGUAUAAAAGCUCAAACAUGGGACCUUGGGAUAACAUAGUGACAAGGUUGGCUCGAUUAGAUUCUAGCUAUACAAGUAAUGCCUUUGAUCAUCUCUAAACAUUUCACAAUUAUAUAAUUUUCAUCAUAUUCAACAUUUAAACAAAUAAAUAACAUGUGAUUCAAGCACUUAUUAUCUAAAAAUAUCAAUCCAAUACAUCUAUCAUAUGACACAAUUUCACACAAAUUCACAUCAAAAUAAUCACUUAUAGUCUAUUAGGCAAUUUUACACUAUUGAACUAAGCAACAUACUCCAAAGAACGCAAUUAACUACCAUCAAUCACAAUUCACAUCUCAAUUAUCAAUACAAGUUCAACAAUGAUCACCAAUAGACUAAGUCUCAUGUAACUCAAGCACCAUACAAAACACUAAAAAAAUUAAAAAAAAUUAAAAAUUUUUGCUAAAAACACAGAAAUAGCAAAAAUAAAAACACCCAACAAAUAAAAUAAAAACUUAUGCAAUCCCCCCCCCACACACUUAAGUUACACAUUGCCCCCAAUAACUAAAGAUAAAGUUUAAGGAAACUGCCUUUUUCCAAUUUUCGUACCAUAUUUAAAUAUGAAAAACUAUGCUCUUUAAGCACCUAAAGAGCUUGUUUUGAGGAAAUUAGUAGAGUACUUUAAUGUUUCCUGUACUUCGGAUAGAUUCCAUUUUUGUAUGCAAUUUGUGGUAUGUUUUAUGUUUUUUUUUCUAAGUGAAAUAGCCAUCAUAAUCAAUUAUGGACUUAUUUUUGGGACAAGGCUUUUGUAGGGACUUAGUUGAGGAGAGUGAAAAGAAAAUUGAACUAAUUGGAGUGGAAGUGGAAACAUCACUUAUGAAUGUUACGACAUUGUGCACCUUUCAUCAACCAAAGAGCCAACCUUCAACAAUUGAACCUCGAGUAGCCUAAUUUCAAGGUCGCGACAUUGGUUCUUAAUGUCAUAACACUGUAUAUUUUCCAAUGCAACAACCUCAUCAUACUCCAAGUUGUAAAUGGAGGCCACUGAAGUCAAGGCCGCAGCAUAGGCAUACAAAUGUCAAGACUAUUGGAACGCCGGCACCCCUACAGCGCAGCGAAAAAUAAAACACUCGGUGAUCCUAACCAUGAAUCCAAGUGUGAGGAAUGAAUCGAGGUAAAAAAGGGUUUCGAAAUUAUCGAAUGGUGAUUCUGAGUUGACAGCGACUCCUCGGCAACGAGUAAUCUGAUCUACUGUCGAACCAAGCCGUAAUCUUUGAUGACUCCGACCUCUACGUAAUCCACCCAAUUGACUAUGAACGGAAGGAAUCCCCAAACAGUUUUGGAGAAGACUUAGCUUUGACGGCUGCUAGACUCACUAAGCAAAGAAAACUGGGAUUUUAUAUCUUAUUAUUAUUUUUAGGGUUUCUCAAAAUUAAAUAAAUAAAUAUAAUAAUGUUUAAAAACUGAAAAUUAUAAUUACAUUAAUUAUAAUCAAUGUUUCGGUAAACUAUAUUUAUUUAUAUACGAACCAAAAUCAUAUUCUCAUUAUGUGUACAACAACCUUGUACAUAUAAUGUGUCCGAUAUUUGAUUAACCAAUUAAAUUAAUUCUAUAAUUAAUUUAAUUCAUGCGACAACCAAACACAAUACCAAUUAUGUUUUAUUCCGUUCAUUUCAACUAUAGGGUAUGAUCCUGUAGGUUCUUGUAACGUUAGCACUAAUGUUAGAACAAUUCCAAUGUUACAAACAAUGAGUGGCACCUAGCAAUGCAUCAUUGCUACCUAAGUCACAAGAAAUCAUUAUUCGACAUAACCUUUUUAAGAUUAAUCUUUUCAUAAUCCUUAAGUCCUUUAUCUCUGGAUUGAACAAAAGUCAUGGAAUAGUCACACUUGUAUAGUUCAUUCCAUGUUCAUUGAUAUCUUAAGUAGACUAUGAGAUAUAAAUAAGUAUGACAUCUCAUAUCAGCUUAUUUGAGCAUGACCAUGCAUUUCUAGUCUCACUCAAUCAAGUUGCCUAAGAUAUUACUCCCAUUAUAUAGGAGGGACUUAUCCUAAAUCGACCAGCCAUAUCCCUCUACAUAGAUUGUGCUAUAUCCAACAUCAACCUUUAUAGAACAACCAGUUACGGUGUACGUUUAACUGUAUAAAAAUAUACAACUCACGAUGUUGGGAUUAUGAUGAUUCAAGUCUGAGGAUCAUAUACAUAUUAAUCACUAUGAUUAAUGUCGUGACAAUUACAUAAUAAUCCAAGAAACAUACUUAUAACGGGUCAGUCCAAUAUGUUGUUCUCUAACACACAUAUUCAUGAAUCGAUUCUGACAUUCCAUAUCAAUGACAACUCUUUAUCAUCAAUCAACUACAUGUUAGUCUUAAUACAUUAUCGUUGCCCUAUCUAACAAUAAUACUUGACUAAGAAACUUUUAAGAAUAAUCAUAUUAUUCUCAGGACAUUAUUAUAAAAUAGUUUAUUUAUACACACAGAAAAGAAACUGAAAUAAUAAUGGUAACGUCUAAUAUUAAUAAACAUGAUAAAUCAAGUAUGUUAUUACAACCAUCUCAUGAUUGAUCUUUGGGCAUACUCUAACAAAGACAUCAACACCAACUUGAAGUAGUCACGACAUAGGGUGAUUUGGAGCAAUAUAGGGACUUGCUCGAUGAAGAGGUUGUGGCAUCAAGCAUGGAUGUUGCGACAUUGAAGCCUAACGAGGUUAUUACUAAAACAAAAACUUGAAGGCAAAAUGGGGUCAAAAAAUUUACAAAUCAUUUUUUUAAGUGGGGUUAUUUUUGUAAAUGUUAGGUAAAGCCCUUAAAACCUAUAAAAACUAAUUUUAUUAGACUUUUUGAAAGAGAAAAAUUAGGUUAGUUAUUUUAUGGAUAAAAAUAUUCUUUUCUAACUUUUAAUUGUUUUUCAAUAAAAUAGUACAAGGACCAAUUUGUAGGUUACUUAUUCUACAUAAUUUCUUUUUCAAUUUUAUGUUUUUGGUAUUAAAUUGAAGGGUUCUAUUAUGAAAUGCAAUUUGUUUUUCAUUAAAAUUAAGGAUUUCAACAAAAAUACUAAGCAUUUCUAAACUUUUCAACUUCAUCCUUUUAAUUGAUUGAUUGUAUAAAUGAAUUGUUAUUUUAAUUGCAUAAUGGGCAUGAAAUGAAUCCUUGAGUGAUUGGUUGAUUGAAUUGUUAGUUUAUGAAUUUUAGUUCUAGGGACUAAAUUGAAAAAAAUAGUAAACUUAGAAUUAACGCCUCUAAGUGAAAAUCUAGAUAGAUAAGACUAAAAGAAGACCUUAUCGAGUAAUGAUUCAUUUAGUUCAUUUUAAUCAAAUGAGACCGAGAGGGUAAUUUGGUUAGAUUUCUCAUUUGGAUUAAAUUGGGACCAGGAGGUGAGAUUUAGUUAAACGAGAAAAUUGGUAAUUUAAGUUUCUUAUGUCUAAGUUCAUAGCUAAGAUGGAAAUCAUCCAAUCACUAUUGUUUCUCAAUUCUUAAUUUCAUAAAUUGAAUAUUUUUCACGUUUAUUCCUUUUAUUUAAGAAUUUUUAGACACUUAUCAUUUUCUUGAUUUCUGUACUAAUUAGUCACUUUAGCAGCCUAGUAGACUUUCCCAUGCAUGUAUUCUUAUUCGUAGCAUUUUAAUUAUGCAUUCUCCUUUGGGCUUGAUCCUUGAAAUAUUGUGUUCCAUAGUAAGAUCUUUAUUACAACUCAAUAUGUGACACUUGUAAACACCACACUUUACUUUUAUACAUCUAUUUUGCAUUGCUCAAUGUACACAUGCUAAAGUGCAAUCAAGUUGUUGAUCAACUUACAUUUUUCUACAUCUAUUUGAGAUUUAUAGGUUACUAGGAAUGAUUGUCUAAGAGAAUAGGAAUGUCUACUUCUUCUUUGAAAUUCAACACAAUAAAGCCAACGAGAAGAAUAAAAUGCCUAACCCGAACUAAGAUAUCCUUAAGGAUACCUUUAAGAUGACUAAAGAACUAUAUACUAAUUGGAGUGUGACGAUGUAGGACAUAACUCACAUAAUUCUAAUCAUUGAUAAAUGGACAAGGGCAUCAAAUUUAUGCUAGCCCUUAAGUUACAUAAAGCUUUAAUUUACCCCUCAUAUUUCUAUUAGAAUUGUAAAGCUCCCAGGUUUUUAACUUAAGAAAAUGAUAGCACUACAAUUAGCACUCACUGGUAUUUUCUCCUUUUUACCAAUCUUCUUAUGCUUAGACACAAUGUCAUGAAGAAACUUGGCAUACUUCGACAUUUUCUCAAAUAGCUCAAGAAGACCUAAAUUAAAACUAGGUUCACUUAACCAAACCAUACUUAUACAACAUACCAGGUGAUCAGUAAUUGGCAUGUCCCAAUCUCUUGUGCCACAAGUUAGUACCAUCAGUUAAACUAGAAUAGGCUUUAAAGGUAACUGAGUUUCAAUUUAGAACAAAGCUCGUACCAUUCAUAUUUACUAACAUAAGCUUGUGACCAAUUGAAUCAGAUACAACACAUUUAUUCUAUUCAAAAACAACAAAAUAAUUCUUCUCAAUAAGUUGACCAACACCGAGCAAGUAUUGACCUAAUCAUCAGUAAUAACUUUUGUACCUACAGAAGUGUUAACCUGAACAUCUCCCAUUCCCUUGGCUUCAAUGAUCUGGCCAUUUCAAACUCUGAUUCUCGAACUGAAUAAUCUAUCAAUCUCCUUGAACAUGCUUUCAUCUGAAACCAUAUGGUUUGUACAACCACUAUCAAUCAACUAGUUUUUCUUGUCUUGGUUGUUGACUGUGAAGCAUGAAGCAGUGAAUGUGAGCUCCUCCUAAGCUUGAUUUUCUUCAGCACUUGAGCCUGAUUAGACUACUAUUGUUGUUACUGUACUUUGUUUUUAUAAAUUCUAAAAUCGUGGCCAAAUUGCUUACAGUUUUUACACUGUGCACCAAUUUUUAUCCAACAAAACUUUUAUGAAUGACCCAUCUUUUUGCAAUUCGAUCAUGGUGGAUACUUUUUCUUUCCACCAUCUCUUUUUUGCCUUUCUCUUGCUUGAUUCCUUUUCUUCUUGCCUUUGUUUCUUGAAGAGCAUGGAGUUUCCUUGUUUCUCGCUUGGUAAGCACCUUCUACGUGAAAGACAUCAGUAAUAACUUUUGUACCUAUAGAAGUGCUAACCUAAACGUCCCCAUUUCCCUUGGCUUCAAUGAUCUGGCCAUUUCCAAGUCUGAUUCUCAAACUGAAGGAUAUGUCAAUCUCCUUGAACAUGCUUUCAUCUGAAACCAUAUGGUUUGUACAACCUCUGUCAAUCAACCAUUUUUUCUUAUCUUGGUUGUUGAUUUUGAAGCAUGAAGUAGUGAAUUCGAGCUCCUCCUGAGAUUGAUUUUCUUCAGCACUUGAGCCUGAUUAGACUGCUAUUGUUGCUGCUGCACUUUGUUUUUACAAAUUCUAAAAUUGUGGCCAAAUUGCUUACAAUUUUUACGCUACACACCAGGUCUUGUCCAGUAAAACUUUUCUAAAUGACCCAUCUUUUUGCAAUCCAAGCAUGGUGGAUACUUUUUCUUUUCACCAUCUCUUUUUAGCCUUUCUCUUGCUUGAUGCCAUUUCUUCUUGCCUUUGUUGCUUGAAAAGCAUAGAGUUUCCUUGUUUCUCACUUGGUAAGCACCUUUUGUGUGCCCUUCUUCUCUGCUAGCUCUUCUUUGCUCCGCGCAUAUAGAGCAUUUAUGAGCUCUGAUAGAGAGAUAGUUGUUAAAUCUCUCGUGUCCUCCAAGGAUAAGAUCUUGGACUUAUACUUCUUUAGCAGUGUUGUGAUGACUUUUUCAACAACCCUUCGAUCACUAAACUGAUCACCAAGAAACGUUAUGUUGUUGACAAUGGACAUGAUCCUAUCUGCAUACUGCUUGAUCAUUUCAGUUUCCUUUAUCUUCAAGUUCUCAAAGUCUCUCCUCAAAUUCAACAAUUGUUGUUGUCUUGUCUUCUCAAUCCCCUAGAACUCCUCCUUCAACUUAUCCUAGGCUUGUUUGGGAGUUUCACAAGCCAUAAUUCUCGUGAAAAUAACAUCAGACACACCAUUCUGAAGGCAAGACAAAGCCUUAUACUUCUUAGCAGCGUUAUCGCUAUACUGUCUAAUUUGAGCUAUCGUUGGAUUAACUUACAAAGGUGGUGGUUCUCUGUUUGAAACAACAACUUCCCACAAGUCAUAUGCCUAAAGAUACAUCUUCAUCUUCACUACCCAAAUAUGGUAGUUUUCUCUAGAAAAGAUAGGAGGUGGAGGUGGUGUAAAGCUUCUAGAUGACAUUGCAAUACAAACAAGAUACAAACAACACUUUGUGUUCAACAAGAAAAACACUUAGAAGUUCCUCUAAGGCUAAGGCUUUCUAUACCAAUUGUUAGAGUUUAGAGAAGUUGAGAGAACAAAAUAUUGAGAAAACAAAGAAAAAUACAUAGCAUAAUUUUUUUACUGCUAUCAAAUUUUCUCAUCUUUUUUUCAUUCAACAAGAAAUACAAUAUAUAUACGGGUGUAGUGAUUACACGUAAGUCAACUACCCCACUAAUACACCUUAAAAAUACAAAAAUAUAACUUGUACAUAAAUUGAUUAGGUAAAAGUCAGAACUUAAAAGGUUAAAUCAAUACUAACUCUGCUUAUCUAACAAGUGAUCUUAGCAAGUAGACUAAUAAAAAAAAAUCAUCAUCAGCAUAUGCGAACCCUUCUUAAAAUACGUCAGGUGGUUCGCCAACAACAUAUAAUAGCUCACACUUUGAUGAGCUCGCAACAUUAGUUGAGCUCGCAACCAUAGAGCUAGCAGACUUGCUUGAGCUCGCAGCUACAUAGGAAGAGUUCACCACUACAUGAAUGGCCACUUCGGAAUAGAGGAAAAGAAAUUAAGAAAAAGAACAUGUAAGCAUAGGCGGAGCAGGCAGGGACAGAAAUGAAAUUUUGCAAUUUUAGCUCCUUUAUAAUUUAUAAAUUUUAAAUUAGUAUAUGAUAAAAUUGUACAUCGACACUAAAAAAUAUAACAUUUUUAUUUGUUCCUUUAAAAUUUAUAAAGAUAUAGACUAUUAAAAAGGUAAAAUUAUAUUUUUGUUAUCAUAAAAAUAUAUUACUUAAUUCCAACUCUCAAAAAAAAUUACUUUACCUAUGUAUAUAAGUGUAAUUAAUUACAAGCUAACUGAAACAUUAAGUAAUAUUAAAAUAUAAAUUAACAAAGAUAAUCUAUUAUAUUGUAUAUAAGUUUAAAGGCUUAUUCGGGUAGCAAGUAAAUUUAAUUGGCUUAUUUGAAUGUAAUUAAAGUAUAAAGACUUUAUUUAAAUAAGAUAACAACAUUCAAGGGCUUAUUUAAUAUAUUAGCCAUUAUUGGAUUUAUAUUUCAAAUAUUGAUACCUAUAAAUUUAGAGUGAGUAUUUAUUACAUUAGUAAUAUACUUUUUUUUAUUUUACAAUUAACCUUAAAAAUUGACAUGUAUUUUUUUAAAAUAUAUAUUUUUUAAUAAUUUAUUAUACUCUAUAGGACACUUAUCAAUCUCUUAACCCUACUUAUGGAGUUUAAAAACUCCAAUAACAAUGUACCAAAUAUUUUCUUAUAAAUUUAUGUUUUAUUAGUGAAAUAAACGAUUACAGGUAUUGUAUUUUUUUUUAAAUUAAUAAUUUUGAUGCACUGGUGGUGGAAACUUUUAACUCUACAACUGGAUUAAGAUUUUGUCAUGUUUCCUUAAGUUGUAUUUAAAAUUUUUUAAAAUAAAUAAAUAUGACAUGUGGCAAAAUCUUAACCGCACUUAUGGAGUUAAAAAUUUACAUCACAUGUGCGCCAAAUAAUUACUCAUAAUAUAUUAUCAUGUAAUUUAUGGGUUAAUAUUUGGUAAACUCAAAGUGUUAUGUUUUUUUUAAUAUUUUAUUAAACAUUUCUAUAUGACACUUGUCAACCCAUUGGCCUUACUUGUGGAGUGUAAAAACUUAACUAUUAGUGUACCAAAUAUUUUCCCGUAAUUUAUUGAUAGUGUAUAAAAUUAUACAAUAUUAUUAUAUUAAGGGAUAGUAUUUAAUACAAUUUAUUGAUAGUGUACUUUUUUUUAUUCCUCAAGUAGCUUUAAAAAAUUGACAUAUGUCCCUUUUUUAAUAUUUUACUAUAACCAUGAAGGACAUUUGUCAACUCUCUGACUUUACUCAUGGGGUCUAAAAACUUUAUUAAUUGUGUACCAAAUUAUUUUCAUUAUAUUAAAUAUAACCCUUACCUAAAUAAUAUAAACAAUGGGUGAAUAUGAUAUCCAUUCAAAUUGCAUUAAUAGCUCGCAACAUAUUCGAAAUUUAAAUAUGAGUAUUGUGUUGUUUUAUUUCCCAAAAAAACAGGCGAAUAUUGGGACGUACACGUAUGAUACUAAAAAUAUUGGGUGAAUGAUAGUAUUUCUUUUUCUUUUUCUUUUUUUUUUUUGAGAAAAAAUGGCAAUAUUUAAAAGAGAGACAAAUUGUAUAAAUUAGAUUUUAUUAAGUGCUUAUUUGGUCCUCUAAUUUUAUAUAAAAAAUUAUUUUAACUCUUCAUUUGUUUUUUUUACUUUUUGUAGUCCUUAAAGUUUUUUUUGUCGUCCUUAAACCAAGUUGGUUUGUUUACUUUUGUUUUUUCGUUAAAAAUAUCGCUUUACCUUAAAAAAAUAUUAUGAUUAAACUAAAUACUAAUUAAAAAAGGUAAGGCAUACUGGCAACUUUAGCCCAUAGAUCUUUCAUUUAUUUGUCAAUUUAGUCCUUUUUUUAAUUAAAUUUGACCCUCAAUUUUUUAAAAAGAAUCAAAUUUAAUCAUUAAUCUUUUAAAAAGAAUUGAAUUGAUUUUUUAAUAGAAAUACUAACUAACAUGUUAAAUUUUUAAACAUUGCAGCCCACAUUGCAAUCUAAAUGUACAUCAUGCUAUUUUUUGAAUUUUUAUGAAGCUUUUAUCCUCUCUUUUUUUCUUGAAUAUUUUUGUAACUUUUAAAAUAUUUGUUGACAUGUAUAUAUGACAAACAGUUUCAUGUCAAAAAAGGUGCACGUAGACUACCACACAAGUUGACACAUCAAAAUCAUUAAAGAAUAUUUUAAUCAACAUUUUUAUUAAAAAACAACAUUUAAUUCUUUUUUGAAAGAUUAACAGCUAAAUUUAACUUAAAAUAAUAAUAAUAAUAAUAAUAAUAAUAAUAAUAAUUAAAGUGGAAAAAAACUGUAAAACUAAAUUUAUCACUAUCCCGAAAGUUAAUGCUACAAACUAUCAUACACUCAUCCUUAUUAUUUUUGGAUUUAAAUAGAAGUGCAUCAAUAAACCGAGAUAUUAUUUUGUAGAUUAUUCCUACCACGUCAAUCAUGAUUGAUAUUCAAUAGUCAUGUAAAAAUAUUUUUCCACAUCAACUUCCUCCUUGGCCUAUUACUUUCUUCUUCUUCUUUUUUCUCUUCCUACCUGCAACCUUUGUUCCCCACAUUCUUUUCUUGCGAAGCCAAAACAACUACGAAACAAGUGACGAAGAAGAGUUUGAAGAAGAAGAAAAUGGGUAGGAUGGAGACCCCAUGGCUACCACGCCACUUAUAAGACCCAAGUCGAGAUCUGGUAAUUGGACGUCGAACGACAAUAAUCACUUAACCAGCUCCUUUUUUCACAUUGCUCAUUUGGGGUUUUUUAGUUUUAAAAUUUGUUAAGUAACUAAAUCUUUUGAAUCUGUUGAUUUUGGGAUUUUCUAUUUCUUUUAUGAACAGAUUUAGAGAAUCAAAUGGAGGGAAAUGUUUAUUCCAACAUUAAAAAAUUACUAUUUUUUAAAUAAGAAAAUAUUGCUACUAUUCUUGAAAUUGUAUUUGAAUGUUUGAUUAUUAUGUUCUCUUGUUUGUCCAAAAGGGGAUUUUUAUUUUAUGAAUGCCGUUGAUUAAAACUGUAGGAGAAAGUAACGAUCCGAUUACUUUAGCCAUGUUAGAUGAAGAAAAUAUAUGCUUAAAUGCUUUUUUCAUCAUUUAAAAUCUGGGUAGGCAAGAAGGAAGGUGAGUAAGCCGGCAAUAUAUUUUAGUGAUGUGUAAAAAUAUUCUUACACGGUAAUUCAUUAUUAAUGGUCUAUAUAAUAAUUAUUAAGGAGUUGGAAUGGAUUUUUUUUUAUACCUACAAACGUAAAUAAACCAAGAAAAAAAGUGCGCAUUGCAUGCUUGUAUAUUUCAACAAAAAAAUUAUAUUAUAUCUCCAACAUUAAGCAAGUUCUUCUUCACCUCACAUUUGUUCACCCAUAAUGGGAACAUCGGUGUAUCUUUUAUUGAUAACUGUGAUCCAACCAAAAGAAAAAGUAGGAGAUUGAUAUAUUAGUAGAAUAAGACGUAGCGACAUAUAUGCAUCAUAGUUGAAAGGGAUACAGGGAAACCAUACGUAUAACAAAAAGCAAAGAAACAGAUAAGAGUCCACAAAAGUAGCAACCUUUACGAUUCGAAUAAUGAAUAGGGCGUUUAUUGUCAUAGAUAGGUUGAUAAACAUCAACCUAUCUACAGUAAGGGCUAUUACCCUUACAAUUUUUGUUAUGAUUAUCUGGGUUUGGUGGUGGAAGACAAUUCGAAUAACUAGGACCGCAGUCCUUUUGCUUUACCGCUGGCUUAUCCUUUGUAAGCGUGCUGUAUAUUUUACCGACAGUUUUAUCGACCCCGAGGAUUCUGAUAACGGUAGAAUCUAUCAUCAACAAAUCCAGCUCCGACUCCAAUUCUUCCCGGAUCCCGCAGCCGCCGAGAAAGCCAUUGCACUGGUAAGUGGCGUUGCUCCUCAGUACUAGGACGGCGUCUCUGCCGCUAAUUGGUUUUAGGAGAAUCAUCAUCAUCACUAACCCCACCAACUCACGAAACCCCAUUUUCUUUUUCCUUUGUUUCCCCUCGCCCUGGAAUGGGAAAGCGCGGCCUGCUCACUUUAUAGAGGGUAGAGGAAAGAUUAAUUAAUUAUUGGAGGCUAAUAUAUUUAACAAGUCCUUGAACUUUAUUACUUUAUUUUAAUAAGCCCUCAUACUUUUGUUCCAUCCAAAUAAACCUUUAGAUUUCAAUUAGUACCUAAAUUUAGUCACUUUAUUUAAAUAGGCUUUUAUACUUUCCAUACAUACAAAUAAACCCUUAAUCAUUGACAUAUGUCUAAGUUAUUAUUAUGUAAAAGUAGGCUAUUGUAAAUUAUAUUGUAUUUUUUAAAAGUUUUUAACACUUAUGUUAAGGGUUACGUCUAGUAGGAGUAUUAUAUUUUAUGUGUGUUUUAGUAUACGAGUUAGAAAUGAUCUAAUUCAAUUGAUCAUAUUUAAUCAUACUCAUAACUUAUUUUUAGCAAAGAUAUUGAAAAUUUGGCAUAUGUUUUUUUUUAAUAGUUUACUAUAACCAUGUAGGACACUUAUCAACUCCCUUACUCUACUUGUGGAGUCUAAAUUUUUUUUUCAAUUUUGUACCAAAUUAUUUUCAUUAUAUUAAAUUAUUUUCAUUAAAUUUCUUUAACAUUGGGUGAAUAUGGUGUCCAAUCAAAUUGCAUUGAUAGCACUCAACAUAUUCGAAAUUUAGAUAUGAGUAUUGUGUUGUUUUAUUUCCAAAAAUAGACAGGUGAAUAUUGGAACGUACACGUAUGAUACUAAAAAUAUAUAGUAUUUUGAGGAACAGAAAUGAUAGUAUUUCUUUUUCUUUUCUUUCCGUUUUUUGAGAAAAAAAAUGAUAGUAUUUAAAAGAGAGAAAAUUUGUAUAAAUUAGAUUUUACAUAAGGACUUAUUUGGUACUCCAAUUUUAUUUAUAAAAAAAUGUCAUUUUAACCCUUCAUUUAUUAUUUUUAUUUUUUUAUAGUCCUUAAACUUUUAUUUGUUGUCAAAUCACUCCAAAAUGGGUAGAAAAGUUGUUAACUUUAGUAACGUGGCAUACACGUGGAUUACCAUGCCGAUGAUACAUGAAGAUUUAAUUAAUUUUUAAAAUUUUGAAAAAAAAUUAUAUAUAUAAAUUAUUUUUAAAAAUCAUUAAAAAGUAUUAACAUUAUAAAAAAUAUUUUUAAAUUUAAAAUAAUUAAUUAAAUGCUUACAUGCUACAUAAGUGGGAAUUCACAUGUAUUCCACGACAAGAAAAUUAACAAAUGUUAACAUUUUCAUUCAUUUUGAGUUAAUUUCACAAAAAAAUACAAAUUUGAUGGUUAAAAAAAGGGAAAAAUAAAUGGAGGGCUCAAUUGACUUUUUUUGGGGAAUUUUUUUUUUUGUAAAAUUGGAUGGCCGAAAAAACCGUACACCAAUCGAUUUGGGCACACUCAUGUUGUGGGAGAAAAAUAUAUUCAUGUAACAAAUACCUAUAUAUAAAAACUUAAUAUAAGUAGCAUAUGAGGUUUUGGUUGAAUGGUUAAAUAUAAAUGUGUGAAAGUAAAAAGGUACGAGUUCAAAUUCUAUUAUGUGUGCAUGUUUUUCUAUUUUUCUAUAUACAAUAUAUAAAAUGAUAAAAAUAGCCUUAAAAUAAUAUAAUUUAUUUUGUAAAAUAAGAGUAAUUUCAUCUUUAUCAAAUGAGUUGAUAUUUGGUUAACCUAUGACACUAAUUUGACCAAGGGCUUUAUAAUAAAUAUAUAUACAUACAUGAAUUUUAAUUUGGUGUAAUUUACACAUGGAACUUAAAUUGUGGCUUAUAUGUAUAUAUGAAAUUUUAAUUUUAAUUCAAUUGUACACAUUUAAUGAAACGGAUCCAUAUAUUUGUUUUCAUGUUGAACUAACAUAAUUCUCUGUGUAUAUAAUAUAUAAACAUAAAAUGACACUAAUUUGAUAAUUUGAUAAUGAUUUGAGAAAAUUGAAUGAAACAAAAUUUUUUUAUAUAAAAUCACUCAAAAUUAAAGCUUGCGUAUAACAUUACACAUUAGAUUAAAAUAUCAAAAAUAAUAUUUCCUAUAUUAUUUCCCUUUUAACUUUCCUCACUUUAACCUUUUUCUUUUCUCUCUUCUUCCUUUCUUUUUAUCCAAACAAGGUAUUGCUUCAAAAAAGGGAUAAAACUAAACUAAUUAAACAUAUUAUUAAGAAAUUUGGUAAAAUAUAUAAUGAGGACAAAUUACAAACCCAUGCCAACAAAUAGUUGAUGAAAUUACAACUUUCAAUUCACAAAAUUUAAAAAAUCAAAAAUUCAUAAUAUCGAAAAACACCCAAAACUGUAACAAUGACCCAUUAAUUGUAGUUUAAUUCCAGAAAAGUAAAGAAGGGAAUAAGCUUUAGCUUUAUACCUUUUUUCUUUUGUCCUAAUCACGCAUUACCAAUAAAUAAGUAAAAAGUAAAUCAACAAAAAAUAUAAACUAGAAUUUAUAUUCUUAUCCUAUCAAAUAUAUAUAUAUAUAUAUAUAUAAAGAAUUUAGACAUAUUUACUUUAUAAACUUAAUUUAUUGUGAGUAAAAAUAAAAAUUAAAUAUAAACAUAUUAGUCAUAAAUGUUGCAGGUAAAUUUAAAAAAUAAUUGUUUAAGCAUCCUAAUUUCCUUCAAGAUCUUUAUUAUAUUCUCACAAAGAAAUGGUGUCUCAAACAUAACAGAAUUGUUCCCAGACGGUUUUCUUAUUAAUAAUAAUGUUUAUAUAUAUAUAUAUAUAUAUUAGAUACUUGGUUUUAAAUGGCAAUAAUUUAUUUAAAUUUUGACGUUUACAAAUGGAAUUUCAAAAAAAAUCUAUAAUGUGAAUAUGAACAUUUGCAUACAACCUUAUUAUAUAUAUAAUAACAAGAUACAAAACCAUAAUAUUGACACAAAUGCUACAUCUCUAUUUCUUUUCUAUUUAUGUUUUAUAAUUAUUAAUUAUCUAUUUUUUAUAAUAAAAUUAGAUUAAAGAUACAUAUUAAAUUUUAGAAAAAUAUACAAAGUAAUUUAUCCCUUAAAAAAACUAUCUAAAAUUUUAAACUAUUGCUAUUAUCACUUAUAAAUGAAAAAAAAGAAGCUAAAUAGAUAAUUUUUUUAAAGAUAAAUAAUUUUAGAAGUAUAUAUGGAUAAAAAUAAAUUUUAGAAUUAAUAAAUAAUAAUUUUAAGAAAUGUAAUUCUUUUUCACGAGACCUUUUUUUUAACAACUAUAUUAUUUUUUAUAUUUAAUUUCUAUAGUUUUUCUCUCUCUUUUUUUAAGAUAAUUUUUAUAACUUUUCAUUUACAUUUGAAAAUGUCAUUUAUAUUUAAAGAAAAACAAUCUAUUAAAAUCUAAGAAAAACAAUCCAUUUAUAUGUAAAAUUCUUUCAAUCAAAGAAAAGGAAUUGUCACGUCUCGAAAUAUGGAUUAAAUAUUCAGGUUAAAUAUGUAACUGUUAAUUUAUUUUAAUUUUCUAUUUGAGCAUGCAAUUGGGCUUCUGAUUGGGCAAGAUCUAUCAGAAUGUCAAAAAUUGUAUCGGAACCUCUGGAUUUUCUAGUGUAGAAAACCCUAGUGUGUCAAAACCCUAGGUAUUUAAACACAUUUUCUCAUUGGUCGGCCCCUUCUUUUUGCCACCCUUAACACUAGCAUUCUCUUUUCCUCUCUUUUCUUCCUCUAUUUUUCUUGGCUGUCGUACCCUAGUUAUCAUCGCAUCCCCCACCAAUUUCACUCCUCUUGUCGAAUCACCUUUUGUUCGUUCAAACCCCAUUAGUGUUUAGAACUGUCAAUAAUUAUUUCUAGUUCCCAAUUGUAGUAGGUUGGUAAGUGAAACUCCCUAUAUUAAUUGGACUCCAUUUUCGGUUACACAAUCAAGUUGUGGUUAACCCUCUUUAAUUUUUUGCAAUCGGUUUCUACUAGAUCUUCUUGAAACCUUUAAUGUCGAUUCCUAAUGUGUGAUGUUUUUUGUGUAUGUCAAAUAAAAGAUCUGAUCUAGAUGAGAAUGGAUCGGAUCUGAACAGUAUAAGUACACCGGAUGAGUGAGGGUCUUGGGCGAACGUAUAGGUGAAGGUGUUUGUCUUUAUUGUUUGUUCCGUGUAUGUGUCUUAAUAGUGUAUAGCCGUGUAUGUAUGGGUUAGGCCAAAUAUAUAAGGGUCUGUUUGUGCAUAUUGGUUCUUGAUUUUGUCUAUUAGUGUUAUUACAAUAUCCUAAUGGUUUCGAUUGUGACAAGUAAACAUCCUCUGUUAAUUCGCUGAAAAACUGUGAGUACUAUUUGGUUAAAAACUCAACCGUGUGUCGUAAGUAUGAUAAUUGAUAAAUGCCAAAAUUAACAUGUUUUAGCUUCAUUCUUAAUACGUUUUUAGAGUAUUAUUCGAUUUAAAAUGGUGAAUUUUAUGCUCCUAAUCCUUUAAAUUCACGUUUCUAUACUUAUGAGAGCAUUUGAGGGCAAAAAGAGUAAAAAUGAAAUAAAAUCGAAGCAAGUUUUAGGAGCCACAUGGGCUAAACCAUUUUACACGGCCUAAACACACAGUCAUGUGCCAGAUCGUGUGGAUUUCAUGAAUUCCACUCCAAACAUGCAGGAAAACACAAUUUUUAGGUUUUUCGGGCAUUUUAAGAUCUAUAUAUGACAAAGAUAAGAAGAGGGAAGUAAGUCGUCAUAGAAUACUCAAGAAAAUAACUUGGAAAACACCAUUGAAGCCGACUUCAGAGCAGAUUUCCAUCAAGAUUGAAGAUCUCCUUUUGAUUUCUUUGAAGUUUAUUAUGAGUUUCUUUAUUUCUUGUGGUUAUAUUGUCUUUGAUAUGUUUUUAUUUGUGAUUAUAAACUAAUUUUCUAAAACCUAGAGAGAUGAACCCUAUGAUGGAUUGUGUUAUUUGAUUUCUAUUUUUACGUAAUAAAUACUUGGAUCUUGUUCUCAAUUAUGUGUGCUUAAUUAUUGGUUUGAUAUUUCUAGAUUAUUAAUCCAUAUUUGAUGUGCUUGAAUCAUAGGAGGAAUAAACCAUAUUUAAGAGUAAAUCUAGCAUAAUUGAGUGGAGUUCCAUGCAAUCCUAGAAAUAGAAUGGCAUAAAUCUGCCAAAUUAGAGUCAAAUCUAAUAGAGGGAUCUAUAGAUCGUGUUAAUGCGACAAUAGGGGUUUUAGUUAGAAAGAAAUUUCAAUUAAUCAACCUAGAGUCAGUUGCUCUUACUCUCGAAAGAGAUAUUAGCAUAAUUUAGGAAUUUCUACGGAUCAAGAUACUAAGUGAAGAAAUUGUUUAAUUUAGAUUGAUAAUGCAAGAUGAAAUCUAGGUGGAUUCUUUCCUGUGUAUUGUUUCGCUUCUUGGUUGUUAAUCAUUUUCUUUUCUGAUUUGUUCUGUGUUGUGUUCGUAGUUAAUUUAAUUAGUUAAUUUUAGUUUUAAAUCAAUCACUCCAAUUUAUCAAUUAAAUAAUAGAAAGACAGUGAUUAUUAGUAUUUUUAGUCCUCGCGGGAAUGAUAUCUUUGCUCACCGUAGCUAUACUAUUAAUAGAUAGGUGCACUUGCCUUUGUCAAAUUUUUUGUUGGUUUACAACUGCAAUCAAUAAUACUAUGCUAUCAAUUUUUGAAAUUAUAUUGUUGGGUAUGUGUGGCGUUGUUUCAUUGAUGUUCUACACAUACUAUAAAGUCAUGCCCCAUUGUUAUUGCAUACAAGUUAAAUUAUCACUAUUUUCAUGUUGAUAACAUGUUGAUACUAUCAUUGUAUGCUAUAUUUUCACUGAUCAUUAAUGGCAUGAUAUAGUUGCAUAGUGUUGGGUUAUUAAAGAAGGAAGUUCAAGCAUAUAAUGUCGGAUCAGUUCAUCGAUCAAUCUACUGGUGGUUCAUCCACAAAUAUUGUUUUGGUGUGUAAGGAUGGACGAGUUCUGAAGAGCUCUUAUUAUGGUGUGUAGGGUUAGAUUGGGUAGUGGAUUGCACUGUCAUGCAUGAACUUGUAAUUAGAUACUGAGAAUUUGUGAUCAGCGUGAUUUUGACUUGUAUUAUGUGCUGCUUUUUGUAUGCUAUUUUUUAUUUUUUAUUAUGAAUGCUACUCACAUGUUAAGACCACACUGAGCUUCAUAGCUCACCCCUUUAGUUUUCCCUCUUUUUCAGAUAACUCGUGAGGUUAGGACUCAGACUUGAAACUCGGAGCACUGUCAAUGAUUUUGAAUAAACAUAUUCUAAAACUAUUUUACAAACAUUGUUUGGUUUUUGUUUUGUUAAACGAAUGGUGGCAUGGACUCGGUUACUCAUAAGAAUUUUGGGAUUUUGCAUUAUUCAUUUUUGGACAUUAAACCUGAACUUGGCUAAGAACUUCAAGAUUGUCAAAUUAGUUUAAAAUAUUUGCAAAUGAGAUUUUUAUAACAACAUUAGACUUAAAAUUGAAUAAAAGAAUAACUAAAACAAACUAAUGUUUUCAUAAACAGGAUUAAAUAGAUAUGGGUUUUUGAAACUGAACAAACUAAUGGGAUUUGACGUUAUGUUUGAGCAUGAAAUAAAAGCUUUUAAAAAAAUGACUUUUACCUACUCUGGCGAAAAAUAUCUAUACCUUGGCAUUAGGUAUCGAUACUUGAUCAAAUAAACGGUUUCCAAAAUAAACAAAAUGCCAAAUUGGUAUCAAUACUUAUAAAAGUAUCGAUAUCAAUUGAUUAUAUUUUAUAAAUUUCAAAAUUGGAAAAAUGCCUAAAUUGUAUUGAUACUUAAAUAAGUAUUAAUUCUUUUCUAAUUGGUAUCGAUACCCUUUACAAAACUCAAAUUCUUUUAUAAAAGGGGUUUCUAACUUUUUUCAAAACUUGAAUGUUUCACUGGGUCAUUUUAGUGGCUAGUGUGACCUCUAUAAUUCGGUCAUAACGUCUGGGUCAGGUUGAGGAGGUUACACGAGCACAACACUCAAGUAUAUUGGAAAUAAAAACCAAAGAAUUACACAUCAAGAAAGCGGUAUGGACAUGUGAUCGGAAACUAGAUCAUACCGAGAAAAAAAUGCUUAAGAUUGAACACGAAAUUGAUGAAGGUCUAAUCAUAAAUACUCUGUUGCUCUACUUAUGAUUAAAUUAUCGAAUAAAUCUUUUAUAAAUAUAUUUUAAGGUAAACUAUACAAUUAGUCACUUAAUUUUCAUAAAAAUUCAUUUUGGUUAUUAAAAGUGAAAAUUUUCAAAUACAACAUUAUUGUUAGAUAGUUUUAUUUGUUUUAGUCACUCAUCGUUAGUUUGUUUUCAUGUUUUAGUCACUCGUCAUUAAUUUGGCCAACAACAAUGUUAUUUGUGCACUCAUUUUAGUCACCCAACUUUAAUAAGUUUUCCUUUUGGUCUCUCAUUUUAUCUUUUUAAUUUAUUUUUUUAUUUUUCUUUUUUCUAAGAAUUAAUCUUAGUUUGAUUACCAGUAAAAGGGGAAAAUCUAGGGUUUUAUAAGGAAUUAUAGUUUUUAUAGGGAAAACCUAGGUGUAGAAUGUGCCUCACAUUUUAGACGAAAUAGAGUUGACGUCAUGACGAGAAAGAGUCGUCGUCUUGACAACACAACUAUGACGUACCAAUGAGAAGUAACGCCACGUCCUGACGAUGCAAUGAUGGAUGUCCCAACGAGCCGAAUGAGAUGUUAGGACGUGGCAACGUGUUUCCUACUCAACCGAAUUUCUUCUUUUAGUUAAACUCGGUUAUAUUUUCAUAAUCUAACUCUGAUUAUUCAAUGGAUGUUUUAAUAAUAUUUGUACACAAAAUUCAGCCUAUAAAUGAGCCUCUUAGCAACCCUAGAUAGUUCAGACUAACAACAACAAAAUUAAGAGAGAGUUUGUGGAAAUUUCGGGGAACCUUUGUAUUCUGAGUUCAAGGUUUAUUUGUUUCUCCAUCUUGUACUCCUCUUUUCAGUUUUUGUAGUUUUAGUGAAUUUUUUUUUGCCUGUGAUUUUCUAUCCUCUUUGAAUAGGUUUUUCCACAUAAAUAUUUAUGUCUAAUUUUCUCAAUUUUCGUUUGUGUUCGUUGUAUAUUUCAACUUCGACCCAACAAACUAGUAUCAAGUUUUGGUUCGUUUCUUGCAUUCAACUCAUUCAGAUAUUGCAAUGAGGUACAAUAUCGAGAAGUUCGAUGGGGUUACAAAUAUAAGCUAGUGGUAAGUUCGAAUGAUAACAAUUCUAGUUCAAAACAGUCUGAAAAAGGUCAUUACAGGGGAAAAAUCUGCGGAUGCAAAUCAGAUAGAGUGAGAGGAACUUGAUGAGAAGGCAUUAUCAACUAUUCAAUUGUGCCUCACUAGAAAUGUAUUGCAAGAGGUACUUUUAAAGAGGACGAUGACAACCCUAUGGAGAAAAUUAGAAGCUCUUUAUGUGACAAAGUCUCUCGCAAAUAUCUUAGUGUUAAAACAAUGAAUAUACACAUUUUGAAUGAUAGAAGGUGAGUCUAUUAGGGCUCACAUCAGUGAAUUUGUCACUCUCCUUAAUGACCUGAAGAAUAUUGAGCCCAACAUGGAAGACGAAUAUUAGACCAUGCUAUUACUUUGUUCUUUGCCCUUGAGCACUCGUGGUGGACUAAGAGUAAACUAGGCAUAGUUCAUGUUACCCUUAAAUGGAAACAAGGAAGUCAGUAAGUGUAAACCAAUUUUAUACAGGUCUUGUGUUAAGGCGUAAGCUUCAUAUGUGAAUAGGGUUUUAAAGGUACUAAAGAGAAGAAAAUAGUUCAGAGCAAGGAAUGGUAACUGAUGCGUGUAAGGGAACAAGAAAUGGAAGAAUUAAACACUCAAAAACCAAGUGAAGGACAAGAUAGUUAAAUGAAUCCCAUGGAUUUAAUGAGCUAAUAAAAUCUAGGUAAAUGUUACUUAACUCACUAAGUUCUCGUGAAUUUACCUCUUUGUUUUAUGUCUUAGGUAAGCCGAUUUGAGACUAUGUCAGGGCUACGCUGAAGUAGUGGCGAGUUGGGCUACUAUGCAUACAGAGCAAGCAUGGUUAGCAUGAUCAAGCCUGAUAUACAUAAGGUGAAUAGACUAUAAGAUUGGUUUACGGGCAUUAUAUCUAAAAUCUCUUGUACAUUAUCCGUAGCUAUCACUUGUAUAUAUAAUGACAUUUUGGUGGGAAAAACAUGAUAGUAACUACCAACAAUAUAAUUAUUUGUAUUGAAAUAUAUUGUAAGAAAUUGAUACAGUUAAAAAUUUGUAUAAGAAAUUUUUAGCUUAAGUUUGUAAUUGUUUUGUAACACUCAAGAUCCAGAUUUGCGAAUAAGAUCAGGUUGAGGGCGUUACAUGGCCUGAAGUAGUUUUCUUGGUACUGGUAUAAGAAGUUCGAUUCCUUCAUGUUAAAUAAUGGUUUCGUUCGAAAUAGAAAUGACAUUUGUGUUUAUUUACAGCACUUAGAUGAUAGAUCAUUUAUUUAUUUGCUGGUUUAUGUUGAUGAUAUGUUAAUUACAGUUAGGUAUCCAUCUAAAAUUGAACGACUUAAAACCAUACUUAACUCAAAGUUUGAGAUAAAGGAUAUUGGCGCAACUAAGAAAAUUUUGAAGGAAGAAAAUUUCGAGAGAUUGACACUCUAGAAAGUUAUUUCUAUCACAACAAAAAUACAUUGAAAGGAUUCUCGAGCGGUUUGGAAUGCAAGACUCUAAACCAGUUAGUACUCCCUUAGCUGCUCACUUCAGACUUUCAACUUCAGAUUCAACACAAACUGAAGAUGAAGAAAGGUACAUGUCCUCGGUUCCCUUUUCUAGUGCAGUUGAAAACCUAAUGUAUGCAAUAAUUUGUACUCAUCCUAAUAUUUCACAUGUUGUUAGUGCAGUAAGUAAAUAUAUGGUCAUACUUGGUAAAUUACACUAGCAAGCUGUGAAGUGGAUUCUAAGAUAUUUAAGAGAGACUUUCAGUACUUGUUUGAAAAUCAGAAGAUGUUCAGAAGGUCUAGUCGGCUAUGUAGAUUCAGAUUAUGUCGAGUACCUAGACAAAAGAUCUCUCACAGGUUAUAUGUUCACCUUAAAAAAUAACACUAUUAGUUGGAAAGCCACCAUUCAUAAAUGUUGAAUAUAUGGCUAUCAUAAAAGCUUUGAAAGAGGCCAUUUGGUUAAUAGGUCUAUUCAAGAAGCUGGUUGAUAAAAACGAUAAAAUUUUCUUAUAUUGUGAUAGUCAAAGUGCCAUACAUCUCACGAAAGAUCAAAUGCAUCAUGAAAUAACAAAGCAUAUAGAUAUUCGACACCUCUUUUUUCAAGAGGUGAUCCCUCAAGAAGAUAUUCAUAUUUACAAAAUCACCACAGAGAACAAUCCAGUAGACUUGAUGACAAAGAGUCUUCCAAUUUCCAAGUUCAAACAUUGUUUGGACUUGAUAAGCAUUCGACAUAGGUCGAGUAAGGCCCUUAGCGGGGCUCGACAAAUAAGAUGUUUCAGAAAUACGAGUCAAGGUAGAGAUUUUUAGAGUGUGCCUCAUAUUUCAAACAAAACAAAGCUGACGCCGUGACAAGAAGGAGUCGUCAUCCCGAUAAUGGGAUGAUGGACAUCCUGAGGAGCCGAACGCAACGUUAAGAUGUGGCGACGUGUUCCUCACCCAACCGGGUUUCUUCUUUAGUUAAACUCUGUAAUAUUUACCCAGUCUCUAAUUAUUCAAUAGAUGUUUUAGUAAUGUUUGUACACGAAAUUCAGCCUAUAAAUAGGCCUGUUAGCAGCCCUAGAUAGUUUAGAAUAACAACAAAAAAAUUAAGAGAGAGUUUAUAGGAAUUUCGGGGAAUCUUUGUAUUUUGGGUUCAGGGUUUAUUGUUUCUCCAUCUUAUACUCCCCUUUUUGAUUUUUUUCGUUCCAGUGAAGUUUUUUUUGUUUGUGGUUUUUAUCCUCUUUGGAGGGGUUUUUCCAUGAAAAUAUUUGUGUCUAAUUUUCUUGAUUUUUGUUCGUGUUCGUUACAGAAUUUAGAUUCAACCCAACGCUAGGUUUUAAUAGAAAUUUUUUUUAUCUUUUUAAUUUCCUUUAUUUUCUCUUUUUAGAAUUAAUUUUGAGCUUUUUUCCACUUAAAAAAAAAGGAAAAUUUGAAUUUUUACAAUGAAUUACCUAGGUUUUUACUGUAAUUACCUAAGAUUUUUAUAGGGAAUUACUUGGGUUUUUAUAGGUAAUUGAGUUACUUAGAAAACUUGGAUUUCAUCUCAUUAUGUGAACAACUCAAUUCCCUAUAAAAACCUAGGAAUUCCCCUACUUUUGGAAAAAAGAAUAAAAUUAAUUAGAAAAGAAAUGAGUGACCAAAAUGAAAAUAUACUAAAAUUGGAUGACUACAAUGAAUAUAAAAUAACAUUGUCGCUAGCCAAAUUAAAUUAAUGAUGAGCAACUAAAAUAAUAAAAAAAAGCUAUCAAACAACAGUGCUAUAUUUGAAAUUUGUUCAUUUUCAAUUACCAAAACAAAAACUUUAGAAAAACGAUUGACUAAGUACUUUAUACAUAUUUUUAAUAUUAAUUUUCUUGGACAGAUAUUGCGGAUUUGAUUCAUUUAAAUAAAUCCAAAUAUCGUUCAAUUAUUAAGGCAAAAUGGGUUUUGAUUGGAAAAGCAAAAGGCAAAACAUGAAACAUUUGGUACAUAAAAUACAUUAAAGUGAAAGAGAAAGUGGUAAAGUAGGAAGGCAAUUAUAGAGGAAGAUGAUGUAAACGUCUUCACUUAUGGUCUUUGGUCUUUCUUUAUUACUAAUAUUCAGUUAAAGCUGAUAUUUUAUCCUAAAAAGAAUGAUAGUACGUAAGAUAGACUUAUUAAUCGUUCAAAGCAAAUUAAUUUCUUGACUUCAUAAGUGAUGAGAUUCAUGACAUGAUUUUGAGAGGUUAAAAUAGUGAGUUGUUUGUUUUAUUAAGAAUAACUUUCGAAAAAUGAUUUUUAAAAAAUGAAUUAAUUUUACGAAAAAUUGAUUUUUCUAAUAUUUGAAUGAUUUUGGGUAAAAUAAUUUUUGUUGUUUGACAAAAUUUUUUAAAAGUUGUUUUUAGUGAAACAAAAUAUUAUAAAUACAUUUUCUUUUGACAACCGAAAUUAAUUUUAUGAUAAAAUAAAAUUUUAUAAUAACUAAUAUCUGAUAUAGACUUAAGAAUAAUCAAAGCCUAUUAAAAAUUAAUUUGAAGCUACAUAUAUUACAUAUAUGAGAGCAGAUAGUACUGACACAUUAUAGUUAUAAGACAUAUACGAAGCUAAACAAGAUAAACAAAUACUAAUAUUUAUAUUAUUAAAAUGUUCAUAUUUUAUACUAUAAAAUAUUUCUUACUAAAUAUUUAUAAAUUGUAAAAUAUAUUUUUUAUAAAAUAUUUUUCAAUAAAAUUUUAAGAAUACCAUUUGAAUUAAAUAUUAAUAUUAUUAUUAAAAUUAAAUUGUAUAUUAAAUGAUUUUAUUAAAAUAAUAAAUAAGAUUAGUUACAUUAUUAAUCUUAUUAAAUAUAAAUAUAUUUGUUUAAUAAUAUUGAAAAUUAUAAUAUUUGAUAUCAAUAUUUUAUUAUUUAAAAAUUAAAAUUAAAAAAUAAUAUUGAAAACACCUUGCGUUUUUAAAAGGAGAUAUCAAUUUCAAGUAUAAAGAGCUUAUUCUCUGUUAAUCAAUAAAUCAUUUUUUGGUGGUGAAAUUAUUUUUCACAAAGCAAACAUUAAAUCAUUUUCUACUAAACAAAAUUAAUAAUUAAAAAAAAAAAAAAAGAUGGGAGAGGAAAUCUGAAUUAACUUGGAGCAUUGUGGAUACAAGAAAAUGAAAAUUUGGAAGCCUAACAAUACAACUUGGGCUACUUAAUAUCAAAGCCAUAUGGCAAGAAACUGCAGCUCUUCAAUCCUACAAUGACUUGGGCUUAUCUCCAUAUCCUAAUCCAAAUUAUGGAAGGGGUUUACUUUACAUCACAUAAUCUUCCAUAUGAUCAAACAACAUAAAUUAAAAUAUAUUUUUAACUAAGUUACAUGAAAGGAGAGAUGGGUGAUUUGAAUAACUUUGGGAAGGUAGGGAUUACUUUUAUUAGGGUAGAUGACGUGAUGUGUUGACAGUGGUGAGCUACCAAUUACAUUUACCAUGUAAAUCACUUUUGGAAGAAGUUAUGGACUAAAAAAAAAUAUGGUAGGUGAUCAGUAAUAAUAAUACAUUUUCCUCUUUGCCUCCUCUAAGAUAUCCAUAUAUAUAUAUAUAUUUCUCCACUAUAUCCCAUAUGUUAGUCUACAAAAUUGAUAAGAAUAUCAAUGAAAAUUGUUUAAAUACCAAUAUCAACUUUUUGAAAUAAAAAGAAUACUUGUUAGAUUGGGUGGUAAACAGAUCAAUUUUCCUUAUAUAAGAUUUGAGCUAAAUUGUUGGAACUUUCGUUGUCCCAUUGAUGACAUUUGUUCAGGUAACUUGUUAAAUUGCUUAUAUUCAUUCUCAUAUUUAAACAAGGUGUCCAAACAAGCCUUUAACAACAAACUCUUGGACAACUCAACUCAAGUCAAGUUGAAUGUUGACUUUUUGACUUGGUCCUCUAUGAUUAUUUUCUUUAUAAGUAAAGAAUGUUAAUUGUUAUGAUUUUUGAAGCUACAAUUUGUCCUAGUCUUUAGGCAAAUAUCAUCCUUUAUUUUUAGGCAAAUAAAAUAGUCAAAAACAGUUUAGAUUUUGAUUCAGUAGUAAAUUUUUUUGCAUUUUAAAUUCAUCAACUUGUUGUAUAAAUAAAUAUCUUGACAAUUCAAUAAAUCACAAUGAUUUCAAAAAGUUCUUUACUAUACUUUCAGUUCUAGUUUACUUACAAAUUGACAUCAAGAGCUAUUUCUUAAAGGACCUGUGAAAUCAAACAACCAAAAAAAAAAACCCAUAAACACUCUUCAUCCACCUACAUAAAUACAAAACCAUAACCAUUAGAAAUAUGAAUACAGAAGCUUCGUUCAUUGCAAUUGCUCCUCUAAUUUUUUUACAACACAAAUUAUUAAGGAUGGGUUGUUUGAAUGGAAGCUUAUCUUGAAGCUAUUGAUGUGUGGAAAGCUAUAGAAUAGGAAUAUGAAAUUCCUCUCUCACCAAAUAAUCCAACGGUGGCUGAGAUGAAAAAUCACAAGGAUCAGAAGUAGCAAAGAUCAAAAGCCAAACCUAGCUUGUUUGCAGUAGUCUCAAAUUCUAUUUUUUAUAGAAUAAUGACCUUGAAAACUACCUAAAAGAUUUGAGAUUUCUUAAAGAAAGAGUAUGAAGGAGACGAAAGGGUUAGAGGUAUGAAAGCAUUGAAUUUGUGCAAAGAAUUUGAGUUGGAAAGGAUGAAAGAAAUAGAGACGAUCAAGGAAUACUUUGACAAACUUCUUGGUAUUGUCAACAACGUAAGACUCCUUGGCACUGGUUUCUUUGAUUCUAGGAUUGUUCAAAAACUCCUCAUCACAAAUCCUGAAAGGUUUGAGACCACAAUUUUGCAUUUGGAAAACAUAAAAGACCCAUCAACCAUCAUCUUGGCAAAAUUGUUGAAUGUUUUGCAGGCGUAGGAACAAAGGAGAUGUAUGAGACAAUGAGGAACAGUAGAGGGUGCUUUUCAAGCUAAAUCACAGAAUUACAAUGGUGGAAAAAGUAAGAAAAAUAUGCAAAGUAAAAAAAGCAAAUUGGAGGUUCUAUAGAUGACAGAAAAAAGGCAACAAAACUCAAGUUUUUCCAUGUUUUCCUUACUGUAAAAAGAACAAUAACCCACAAAAAAGGUGUUGGUGGAAGCUAGACGUGAAAUGCAGUAAUUGCGGAUAGUUAGGACAUGUGGAGAAAACAUGCAGGUCUCCACAACAACAAGGAAAAGCUAAUACUACUCAAAAUCCACAAUAUGGGGAUCAAAUAUUUGUGGCAUCCUACUUCACCGCUAGCAGCUUAACUGAGAGCUAGCUUAUAGGUAGCGGUUGUACAAACCAUAUGUCUUAUGAUCGUGAACACUUCAAAGAGUUUCAUCAGACUACUGUCUCCAGAGUUAGAAUUGGAAAUGGGGAAUAUAUCGUUGUGGAAGGCAAAUGAAUAGUGGCGAUUAAAGGUCACACUGGUUUGAAAUUUAUUUUUGAUGUCUUAUAUGUGCUUGAAAUUAAUUAGAACCUUUUGAAUGUUACUCAACUACUGAAACAAAGAUACAAGGUGUUGUUUGAAAACAAAAAUUACAUAAUAAAAUAUGCAGAAAACAGAGAUGUUUUCAAAUUCCAUAUGAAAGACAAAAGCUUUGCCUUAGACUUGAUGUAAGAAAAGGAAGUUACUAUACACAAAGAAGAUAGCAAUACUUUGCUUUAGCACAAAAGGUUGGGGCAUUUUCACCAUACAGCUAUACUUUUUAUGAAGAAAAACAAUCUUGUAAAAGGCUUGCCUCAUUUGGAGAAUGAGUAACUUGCAUGUGAAAUUUGUCGAUAUGGGAAACAAACAAGGCUCCAUUUUCCAUAAAAUAAGGUUUGGAGGGCUAUUCAGAAAUUAUAGUUAGUACACACAGACGUAGGAGGGCCCAUCAGAACACCGUCAUUUAAUGGUUGUAAGUACUAUAUUGCUUUCAUUGAUGAUCACACAAGAUUUUGUUGGAUUUAUUUCAUGAAGUUGAAAUUUGAAGUUACUAACAUUUUUUGGAAGUUUAAAGCUUUCGUGGAAACUCAAAGUGGUUGCAAGAUGCAGGUGAUCAGAUCUGAUAAAGAAACUGAAUAUACUUCCAAAAAAAUUAAUAAUUUUUGUCAAGAUGCAAGCAUCGAGCAUCAAUUGACUACACCCUACACUCCACAACAAAAUGGUGUGGUGGAGAGAAAAAAAUAGAACAAUUAUGGAGAUGCAAGGUGCUUACUUAAUGACAAAGGGUUGCCAAAGAGAUUUUGGGAUGAGGCAGCAAACGCAAUAGACUUCCAACCAAAAGUUUGCAUAAAAGAACCCCAUUUGAAGCAUGUUAUGGAUACAAACCUGAAUUUGUUAAUCUGAAAGUCUUUAGUUGCUUGUGUUUCUCUUACAUUUAUCAGGUUAAGAGAGAUAAAUUGUACAAGAAAGCAUAUGGUGGAAUUUUUGCAGGCUACAACUCAUCUUCAAAGGCCUACAUAAUUUACUUGUCAGACAAAACAAAGUCAUAAUCAGUAGAGUUGUCCAUUCCAUGAGUCAGAUAACUGGAGUUGGGAUGCUGACAAAAAGAUUGAGUUUCAUUAGGAAGAUUAUGGCAUAGAUGAUGAACCUAUUAGAGGAACCCGAUCACUUUCUAACAUCUAUCAAAUAUGUAAUAUUGCUGUGAUAGAGCCUGCAGGGUAUGAAGAAGCUGCAUCUGAUAAAAAAUGGUUGGUUGUAAUGAAGGAAGAGCUUAGCAUGAUUGAAAAGAACCAAACAUGGGAACUAGUGGACAAACCAAAUCACAAGAAUGCUAUAGGAGUGAAAUGGGUUUAUAGAACCAACUCAAUCCUAAUGGUUCUGCAAACAAGUACAAGGCGAGACUGGUUGUCAAAGGGUAUGCUCAACUAUUUGAGGUAGAUUUUUUAGAAACUUUUGCUCUAGUUGUCAGGAUGGAUACUAUACAGAUGUUAUUGGCCCUUGUUGCACAAAAUGGUUGGUUGUACACCAAAUGGAUGUCAAAUCAGCUUUUUUUAAAUGGGUACUUGGAGGAAGAAAUAUUCAUUGAACAACCACAAGGCUUUGUUGUUCAAGGAAAAGAAGAAAAGGCAUAUCGAUUGAAAAGGGCACUAUAUGGCUUAAAGCGGGUGCCAAGAUCUUGGUACAGUAGAAUUGAUGCAUAUUUGCUUGACUUAGGUUUUGAAAAAUGCCUAAGUAAAUUUACUUUGUAUAUCAAGAAAAAUGGUAAUGAAUUACUUGUGGUGUCUCUUUAUGUUGAUGACCUACUUGUAACAGGAUGUAGACUAGAAUGAUAAACAAGUUCAAAAAGGAGAUGAAAGUGGUCUUUGAAAUGACAGAUCUUGGAGAAAUGACAUUUUUUCUUGGUAUGCAGGCAUGACAAAAAUAAAAUGAAAUUUUUGUAUGCUAGCAAAUAUGCAAAAGAAGUCCUAAACAAAUUUAACAUGGAAGUUUGGAAGCCGACUGCAACUCCAAUGAAUCAAAAAGAGAAGUUUUCGAAAGAAGAUGGAGCUAAAAAAAUUGAUGACAAACUAUAUAGAAGUUUAAUUGGUUGUUUGGUGUAUUUGACAACAACUAGGCUAGGCAUCAUGCAUGUUGUGAGUUUUUUUUAUCAAGAUACAUGAAUUGUGCUAGUGAAAUUCAUUUUCAAGCAGCAAAAAGAAUUCUGAGAUAUGUAAAAGGCAUGGUUGAUUAUGGCAUAAAUUUUAGUCAAGUUGACAAUUUCAGUCUCCAUGAUUAUUCAGAUAACGAUUGGGCUAGAUGUGCUGAUGAUAUGCGUAGCACCUCAGGUUACUAUUUUAGUCUUGAUUUUGGAAUUUUUUCUUGGUGUUCGUAGAAACAAGAAAUUGUUGCACAAUCCACAACAAAAGAAAAAUAUGUGGCAGCUACUGCUGCUGCAAAUCAAGCACUCUGGAUCAGAAAACAUUUGACAGAUUUAUAUAUGGAGCAAGAGAAAAGCAAACAAAUAUUUGUGGAAAACCAAGCUGCAAUACCAAUAGCUAAUAACUCAAUAUUCCAUGGCAGAACUAAACACUUCAAAAUAAAAUUCUACUUUUUUCGUGAUGUUCAAAGGAAAGGAGAAGUGCAACUGGUUUAUUGCAGUACAGAAAAUCAAUAUACUAACAUUUUCACAAAAGCAUUGCCUAAAGCUAGAUUCGAGUUCUUAAGACAAAAGCUUGGAGUUCGCAACUCCAACAUCAAGAAGGAGUGUUAACUGUUAUGAUUUUUUGAAGCUGCAAUUUGUCUUAGUCUUUAGGCAAAUAUCAUCCCUUAUUUUUAGGCAAAUAAAAUAGUAAAAAAAAUUAGAUUAUGGUCCAAUAGCAUAUUUUUCUACAUUUUAAAUUCAUAAGCUUGAUGUAUAAAUAGAUAGCUUGGCAAUUCAAGAAAUCACAAUGAUUUCAGCAGGUUCUUUAAUAUACUUUCAGUUCUAGUUUACCUACAAACAAGUAUCAAUACAUUUUAUCUCAUCCUAAAAAUUGCUGAUCAAAUUUGGAGAGCAAGUGAAGGAAUGAUUGAUAGCUUUGAGCUUUUUGCUAUUGAGUGUUGAUUUUGAAACAACCUAUUUAAAUAGUCUAUUUAAAUAAUUGUCUAGACAGACUUCCUUAGAAUAGCCUAAGUGUUCUUGGAUGCUGUCAUUUUUUUACUUGGAUCUCCAUAAUUGUUUUCUCCAUAAGCAAAUGUAUCCAUGACGUGUUUUAUUUCAUCUCAAACCAUGGUGAUCAAAUUUGGUUGUUAAAGAGAAGUAGAGAUCGACAUGCCUUAUCCCAUAAGUCUUAUCCUUAUCCUUCAAGUUAUUUAUUUGGUGAUUAAGCUGUUAAUUUAUCUUGAUUGAUAAUUAUUGGAGAUAAUUCAAGAAGAUAAAUUCAACUAUAAUUGAGAGUUUUACGUUAUCAAGACUAUUUGGAGAAGCUGUCAAAUUUUAGCCUAUAAAUAGGUUGAUGUGAGGCACACAUGAAGUGUGCCUUUGGAGUGUUUUUGGCUAGUUAUUUAUGUAUCUUUUACUUGGUGUUUUUGCACUAUUGUGUUAGGCUUUUUUUAUCGAAGACUUUUAUUGGUUCUAUUGUAAGAUUAUUGGGUGAGUGAUUUGUAACAAGUUAGGGUUAUCUAUUGGGGAUGCAAUUACUUCUUUGUAUAAUGGAAGAUUGGGCUUUAUCCAAUAAGUUACUGGAUCAAUUAUUGCAUAAAAUCAUUCAUUGAGCGAUACUCUACAGAGUAUGAUUGGUGAAUCUAAACUGCGUUAACAAGUCUAUUAUGUUUAUUUCUUUCCCUUAUUUGCUUACUGUAUUCUGUUUGAACUUAUGUUCAAACAUUUAUCUAAACAAUAAAUUGAACAGAAAGAAAACUGAGAUUCUAAUAUGAAUCAACUUCAAGUUUAACUAAAACCCAAAAAUACCUUCAAAUAAUAAAAAUCUUCAACAAAAAUCAAAAAAUAAAAUAAAACAACAAAUAAAUUUGUUUACAACAUAUAUUUCAAUUCGCAUAUUUCAUUAGAUGUUAAAAGUUGACAUCAAUAUAUAAAAUAUUUUACAUUAACAUUAUAAAUCAAGUUUACUUCUUUAUAUGUGUAGCAAAGGUAUCUUAAGUUUAUAUUACAUGAAAAAAAGGCUUUGUUUGGUUUUAGGAAACAAAAUUUAUUUUCAUUUUCAUUUUUUUGAAAAUAGAAAACAUUAAGAAAAGCAAUUUUGUUAAAAGUUUUGAAAAUUAUUUUUGGAAAAUGAAAAUAUUUGAACAUUUUCACUAAAAAUGUUUUAUAAAAUUGAAAAAGUUGAAAACAACGAAUUUUAACUUUAAAUUUAAUUAAUGAAUUGAUCCUGGUUUCAAUCCAUUUAAACUUAAAAAUAUUUUUUUCGACAAUUUUUAAAUAUCAAAAUCUCUUACUCUAAUUCGAAUCCAUAUAAAAGUAAUAUUUAUAUUUUAUUUCUCAAGUUUCUAUUAUAAAAAAAUAAAAAAUAGAAAAUAUUUUCGAAAAUAAAAUAGAGAUUAAAUUGCUGUAAAAAAUUGAGGAGCCAAAUUGAUAGAAUGGUAAUUUUAUAGGGAGCAAGAAUUGUUUAAGAUCAAAUUUGAGGAUGGUGUUAACAAAGUAUUUUAUCACUUGAUGUAUGAUUCAACCGUACAAUAAAUACUAAAUAUAAUUAAUGGAUAAAAUCAGCCUUUAAAAGAGUGUUCCAAACCUAUCAAAAUACUGAUUGUUAAUCACGUUGAAGAGCCUAUAAAUAGGCUGUUGAUCGACAUUCAUCUUUAGUCGUGUAGAGUGUCUUUGACACGCCCUAGUGUAGGGAUUUGUUAUGGAGAGAAAUUAGAAAUUAUGUAAAAUGUGGUAUUUGAGGGAGAGUGAUUUGUACAAUUAAGGACGAUAUUGUGGCUGCAAAUUCUUAAGUCCGAACAAUUGGUGAAUAAAAUCAUUGUCUGAGUGAAACUCCGCAGAUUAGGAUUGAAAAAUCCAAACUAUAUUAACAAAUAUCGUGUGUCGAUUCUCUCUUUACUUCCCCUUUGACUCACUUACAUUUUAAAUUUAUUUUGCAAACUCUCUUAAUUCUAUUCCGUUUCUUUUCCAUCAAAAAUUAAAACGAUUUUUUUUUUUUGUAAUUUGCAGUCAAAUUAAUUUACCUCCUUAUCUUGCCUACCAUGAAUGAUUGUUUUAUUUAUUCUUAUAUUCUCCUCAUUUAGCACCUAUCAUAGCAUUUGCUACAUAACAUUAAAUCUAGGUAAAUAUGAUUUUAAGUAUCAAUCUCAUAAGAUGAGGUAUGUAACUAUUUGAGCAUGCAUACAAAGAUACCUUAAAUUAUUAUACUUUAUUUAAAUAAGUCUUUUAGGUUAUUUUUGUAGACAUAUAGUUUUACCUUUGAUUUUAAUAUUAAAAUAAAAAUAUUUUAAAUUUUAAAUUUAAAUAAAAAUAAAAUAAUAUAUUUGAAAGAAUGUCUUUAAUAGCGAUUAUGGUAAGGGUGUCAGCAGGGGUCUCAAUUCAAGGUUGAAGAGGAGAAUCCCAGAGGAUUCAAAUGGUUUUUGUCCAAGAAACUAAACUCGAGUCGUGUCAAGAUUGGCUUAUAUCUAGAUUAUGGCCCUUAGAUAACUUUCAAUGGAUUGCCUGUGACUCCUCUGGGAUGAGUUGCUAUAUGGGAUUCUGCCCUGUUUAAGAAGGAAUGGGUUGUUACUAGGGAGAGAUUUAUUGCAAUCAAAGGAAUGUAGGAGGGCCUUGACACUGUGAUGGUAAAUGUUUAUGCACCUUGUGGUUGUGAGGAGAAGAAACCCUUAUGGGCUGAGCUGCUUGAAGUCUCAGGGGGCUGGAAGAGAGAUUCGAAUGUACUUCAAUGGGGGUUGGCGUCUAAGAUUUCAAUGAUUUUAUUUCUAAAGCCGAAAUGGUUGAUCUAUCAUUGUCUAAUAAAAAAUUCACAUGGCAUGGUUGCUAUAAUAAUAAUAAUAAUAAUAAUAAUAAUAAUAAUAAAAGAGUCGUAUUGACAGGUUUUUGGUUUCAGCAGAUUGGAUUAGGAAAUUUGAAGGCUUAUGUCAGAAAGAGAAGUAUAUCAGACCAUUGCCCUCUUGUUCUAUUGUCUGAAAUGGCUGACUGGGGACCUCGACCUUUCAAGUUUUAUGAGUGCUGGAUGAACCAUAGGGAUUUCAAGCCUAUGAUUGCAGAAAAAUGGAAGGGUUUUCUCGUGGAAGGAAGAGUGGGAUUUCGCUUGAAAACCAAACUGAAAUUAAUGUCCAUGUUUAUCGGUAAUCUGAAGAGCUUAUUUUACGGCCCUAUGGGCAGCAUGGCUUCCAUCAUGGCUGAACUAUAUGCAAUUAUUUGUUGACUCCCCUUGGUGUGGCAGCUUCGAUCUUCUGGUGGAAUCGGAUUCAAUGUAUGCUAUUUCACUGGUUAACAAGAAAGAUGACAGACCAUGGAAACUCUGGAGAUUUUUCAAUGAAUUGGAUCUCUUAGUUAACCACAUCGAACGAGUUGAAUUUGUCCAUAUCUUCAGGGAAGCUAAUUCGACUGCAGAUUUCUUUGAUAAAAAAGGUGUCGCAGCUGCUCAUGUCUUUGUGGCUUGGAUUUAGCUCAUUUUACUUUAUUUCUGUCUGGUUUACUGUAUCUCUGGAGCUGCCUUUUUGUGUCUUUUUGUUAUCUUUCUCAAUCAACUAUAAAAAAUAAAAAAUUAUAUUUUUUUUGUUUCUCUUAACCUAUAAAUGAAAGGGUAAUUUAUUUCAAUGUAUUCAAAAUUACAUCUUUUUACAUUAACAAUAAUACCCAUACCAAUUAUGUUAAGACUCAAUCAACAAAACAAAAUAAUAUUUUAAAAUUUCUUCAAAGUGUUUACAUAUAUACCACACCUAAUCACUUUUAAAAAAAAUUUUGAUUACCGUUUUAAUUUUUAAUAUUUAUGUUAAAAGUGUAUAGAAUUUCUAUUGCGUCAUCAAAACAUUAAGAGCCUACAAUUAAAAAUAAUUUUACUUUUAGUAUAAAAUCAACUGCUUUUAUGGAUAAAAAAAACUAGUUUAAGGGCUUUUUUUUAUUAUAUUAGCCUAUUCCCAAAUAAAAAUGAGUGUUUUUAUAAAGGCUAAUAUGGUAAAAUAGACCUUAAACUAUUAUACCAUAUUUAAAUAAGCCCUUAUGUUGUUUUUGUAGUUAAAUAAGCUCCUAACAUAUAAUUUUUAACCUAUGAAACCCCUUGAUUUUAAUAUUAAAAUAAAAAUAUUUUGAACUUUUAAACUAAUUAGCAUUUAUGCUGAUGUGAACUUGAUAAGAAUAGUAUAUUAAAUAAAAAUUAAAUAAUAUUUUUUUAAAGUAAAGUAAAAUAUUAUUUUAAAAUUUUUUGAAAGUGCUUAUAUAUAUAACCUACUUAAUCACUCUUUUGAAAAUUUUGAUUAUUCUUUUUAAAUUUUAAGUGAUGUUAAAAUUGUAUAUAAUUUCUAUUUCAUCAACAUGAAAUUAAGAUAAAAGCUUGAAAUUCAAAAUAAUAUUAUUUUAAUGUUUAAAUAAAUGGAUUUGAUGGAUAAAAAUAGUACGAUAAGAGCUCAUUUAACUACAAAAAUAGUUUAAGGGCUUGUUUAAAAAAGUGUAGUAGUUUAAGAGCUUUUUUAAUAUAUUAUCUUUUAUAAAAAAAUUAUAAAAAAAAGAACUAAAUAGGCUUUUGUAUCUAAAAAUAGUGAGCUUUUUUUUUUUCAAAAUAUGUAUCACAAAAAAUUAUUUACCAAAACACGUCUUUUCUAGUUUGGAGGAAGGGCCUCGGCAUCCAUAAAUGUUAAGGUAAAUAUGAAAUUUGAUAAAUGACCUUUUGGGAUCAAGAAGGGGAGAAGGAAAGAGAAAUUUGACUGACAAGUAUAACUUAGGACUUUAAUUCCCAUGUAUGUCAAGAUUAGUUUAGUAUUUUGACUAUUUUUCAUACUUUUUAAUUAUCCUCUUUCUUUCUUAAUGAAUAUUUUUAUAUAUAACACAUUUGACUAUAAGUUCUCUCUCAUAAUGUUUCUUCAAUGGAAGAAACUCCUUAAAGCUUGAGAAAAUUAUUAAAAGUGUGGCUCUAUUUAUAAAUGAAAGUAUUGGUGUCAAUUACAUGGGCAAUACACAAACUUUAAUUGUAACUUAACUUACAUCUAGUAGGCCAAUGUAACUUGCCAUAUUUAGUUUGCCUCUUUCGACUAAAUUUGUUGAACUCUUUAAAAGGAGAUCCUUGAGGAAUUUUAGCAACAUAUUAUUAAAGAUAAGAUAUGAAGAAAAUCAAGUUAAGCAAAGAUAUUUUGAAUUUUUUCAAUGUGACCAAGAUUAGGCAUUUAAAGAGAUUUGGUUUCCAUAUUAAAAACUUUAACAAGCUAAAUUUAAAAAGUGAGAGCACAUUGAUUGUAAUUUUGCAUACCAUUAUAAGUUUAUUUAAGAGAAGGUUUAUUAUUGUUUUAUAUAUGUGAUUGAGAGAGCACUUAUCUAUUCUAGUAAGGAACUUGUUUUUAGUGCAAAAUUGUUGUGAGCAAAUUGUGUGUUGUUUAGAUUGCAACUAAGCUUUUAAAGGAAAAAGUCAUAGUAGGAGAGAGUGAUCUAUAUUGUAUAGGAAUGAUGCUGCAACUUGCUGAGUGAGUUGAACUUAAAUCAUGUCUUGUACAAGGAAAUUUAUAGUGGAUUUAUUUUUUGGGCAAGGCCCUAUAGAUGUAGGAAGUUUUCAAAUUACGUAACAAAACUUGUGCGCCAAUCUUUACUUUUAUAUUGCUAGUUAAUAAGUAAAGUUGCAAUUGAAUAUGCAUUUAGAAAGCAAAAUCAAUUAAUUCUCAAUUAGCGUUAGAGUGGGACACUUGACACACUAAGUGAAGAUCCCAUCAUUGUUUUGCUAUAGAGAUGGAAGGUACAUCAUAUCCAAGUCUCCCUAUGCUAUAUGGCACGAUUUAUGCCCAUUAGAAAGCGAGGAAAAGAACUGUAACAGCCCGAUUUUGAUCCUAAUUGGAAUAGUGGUUUCGGGACCACAAAUUUGAGUCUGAAAAAUAUUUUAAUAUAUAUUUUUGUGUUAAUUAUGUGUGAAUUUACGUGUGUGAAAGUUUCGUUAAUUUAUUUUAUUGUUUGUGUGCUUAAUUUGAGAAAAUGGCUUAAUCGCGUAAAAUGAAAAUUUGAUGUUUAAAUAAGAAAGUGCCUAAUUGUUGUUGUCUUUAUAAUUUGGAGGCUUUAUGUUGUAACAUAGCCAAUAAUAAUAGGUAGUGGAUGGCAUAUUGAUAAUAUAUGGUUUUUAUAUCGGCUGUUUCUUACGAUAUUUUACUAAGUUGAAUUUGGGCUUAUGGCAUGUAUAGCAUAGAUGAAAUAUUUGAUUUUGGGACUUGUAUAUAUAUAGCCAUGCAAAAAUGGCUUGGCUUUGAUCAUUAGGAUUAGGCUCGGAUUUUUUUUGAGUUCUUGAUCAAGUACUUUAUGUGUUUAGUUUUAGUAAUUUGGCCUUGGCUUAUUAUAUGUGAAACAUGGUUGCUAUGUUUAUGUCUGUGUGUGUGAUCUCGGUCAAGGUGAACUUAUGUGUAAUUUGGUUGAUAUACAUUGUUAAUGAGUGCUUGAAUUAAGUUAUGGUUUAUGGUAGGUAUAAGUCUUGAUGUGCGGAUUUGAAAAUAUAAGUGAGAUGCUAAGUCAUUAGUUAGGUUAUAUGAUAUGUAAUAAUUUGUGCAUGUUUGGCCUUAUGGGUUGCUACAAAAUUGGUUAUAAUGUGCUUGUGUAUUCAGAUAUGUGAUGAAUUAAAAUGGCUAAAUAUAUGGUUUGGUUGUGUUGUAUGUUCGGAUAUGCUAUUUGAUUAAUUAGGGUCAGUUUAUAAAGGCAUGAAUGUAUAUGUUUUGAAUGUUAUAAAACUAAAAUGAAAUAAAUAAGUUUGGUAUAAGGUUCAAAUUGUAUAUGUGGUUAGUUUAGUAAUUGGUUUAUAAUGGCAUAUAGAUGAAAUGAAGUUGAUGUGGUUUAUUAACGUUUGAGGGUUAGUUUCUUUUAUAAUGUAAGUGUAUUUGUAUAUAUGAAUAAGGCAUUGGAACUAUAAAGAUAAGCAUGAUAUUUAGUUUAUAUUAUAUUUAUCUAAAUAUAUAUUAUGUAUUGAAUGUUAUAUAGAAUGACCGAAUAAGAAACAACUCAGCUUGAUUAUGUGAAUAAAAUUUUGGCACAUAUUAAAGCAUAAAAAAAUUAGGCAAUGUGAACUAUGAAUAUUUGUAGUUGUUAUUUGUGCUUAAAGUGACUUAAGAUAUCAAGGUCAUAUGCGCNNNNNNNNNNNNNNNNNNNNNNNNNNNNNNNNNNNNNNNNNNNNNNNNNNNNNNNNNNNNNNNNNNNNNNNNNNNNNNNNNNNNNNNNNNNNNNNNNNNNNNNNNNNNNNNNNNNNNNNNNNNNNNNNNNNNNNNNNNNNNNNNNNNNNNNNNNNNNNNNNNNNNNNNNNNNNNNNNNNNNNNNNNNNNNNNNNNNNNNNNNNNNNNNNNNNNNNNNNNNNNNNNNNNNNNNNNNNNNNNNNNNNNNNNNNNNNNNNNNNNNNNNNNNNNNNNNNNNNNNNNNNNNNNNNNNNNNNNNNNNNNNNNNNNNNNNNNNNNNNNNNNNNNNNNNNNNNNNNNNNNNNNNNNNNNNNNNNNNNNNNNNNNNNNNNNNNNNNNNNNNGUUAUGAAAAAUUGUUAUUAUAUGUUUGGUAUAUGAUGUGUAAUGAUAUAUAUAUCUGAAUAAAUCUUUUAAAAUAUGACAAUGAAAGUAAUAUAGUAGAUUUUAGUUCAAAAGUGAUUAAGAUAAGUGUUCUGAUGAGUUUUAAAUUACUAAACUGGAUUUGUAAUAAAUGUCUGUUCUAAACUGUGCUAUAUUCAGUAAUGUCUCGUAACCCUAAUUCGACGAUGGAUACGGGUUAGAGGUGUUACAUUUGAUUGGUAUCAGAGCUAAAGUUUAGUAGAUUCUUGGACUAAUGUAGCGCAUGUGAGUCUAGCUAUACAUGCCAUAUUUUAUAUGGCAAUAGUGUGAUGGCUUCUGACAUUUGAAAAUGUGUUUUCGUAUAGUAAUGAAUUCUGAUCGAGCUGUAGCUGAUGAUGUCGAGAGUAUAGCGCCUGCUCUUACGCAAAGAACAACGCCGGUAGAUUCUAGACCAACUUUGAGUAACCAGGAGAGAACGACUAAACAAGCCUUUUACCAAAUGAUGAACGACUGGUUUAUUCAAUAUAUCCGGAGUAAUCCAGUUGCACAACAACCUCUACCCCUGACUAAUCCAUAUUUGAUACCUAUUAUACCUCAAGUAAGUGAUCCGUUGAGAUUACUUAAGCCUCUUGUUGAUAAAAUCUGAAAACACGGGGCUGAAGAAUUCAGAGCCAUUGAUGAUGAUGAUGUUGAGCGAUCUGAAUUUUGGCUCGAUAAUACUAUUCGAAUGUUUGAUGAGUUAUCUUGCACCCCUGAUAAGUGCUUAAAAUGUGUCAUAUGUUUGCUAUGGGACAUUGCAUAUCACUGGUGGAAUGCACUAGUAUCGGUGGUUUCAAAAGAGCGAGUGACUUGGGAAUUCUUUCAGACUGAGUUCCAUAAGAAAAACGUCAGCUAGAGAUUUAUUGAUCAGAAAUGUAAGGAAUUUCUUGAAUUGAAACAGGGUCGGAUGACAAUGACAGAGUAUGAACAGAGAUUUGUGAGACUCAGUCGGUAUGCCCGAGAGUGUGUUUCGACCGAAACUAUAAUGUGUAAAAGAUUUGAAGAUGGAUUGAACGAAGACAUUAAAAUCGUUAGUUGGCAUACUUGAGAUAAAAGAGUUCGUGGUACUUGUUGAGCGAGCUUGCAAAGUCGAAGAGCUUAGGAAAGAAAAAAGAAAAGCUGACUCUGAAGCAAGAGAUUCACGUAAGAAACCAUUUACUAAGUCAUUCCAGUUGGCAUCAAAGAAGUUUUGAGAUGAUACUAGCCGUUCAAAGGCUACUGUGGGGUAUUCUAGACGAAAUUGGGAUAAACCACCUGUGAGUUCGAAAGCUACCUCAGUAGCUAGUAUGGGUAAUGUUAGAUCAAAUCAACCCAAGUGUAAACAUUAUGGUAAACGACAUCCCAAUAGUUGCAAAUUGUAUGAUCAGGCUUGCUUUAAAUGUGGAUCGAUGGAUCAUUAUAUUGUGAGUGCCCGGAGUUGGCGGAGCAAAAUCUGGUACAGAAUACGAGAUCAGGUAACACUGCAGCUCGAGGUAGACCACCCAGAAAUAUGGGUAAUGUGAGUGGCAGUCAGAGAGGGACCAAAGAUACAACUAUUAGAUUCGAGGUUCGUGCACCUGUCAGAGCCUCUACUAUUCACGCACGUGAGGGGGCCUCAUCCCCAGAUGUUAUUACUGAUAUUUUCACUCUCUAUGAUACUAGUGUUGUUGCAUUGAUUGAUCCUAGUUCGACUCAUUCUUAUCUGUGUGAGAUUUUAGUAUCCAGUAACACUUUGCCUGUAGAGUCUACUGAGUUUGUGAUUAAAGUAUCGAACCCCUUUGGCCGGUGUGUUUUGGUUGAUAAAGUGGGCAAGAAUUGUACGUUGAUGAUUCGAGGUUCAUGUUUUCUGACAAAUUUGAUGUUGUUGCCAUUCGACGAGUUUGAUAUAACUUUGGGUAUAGAUUGGUUAACUCUGCAUGAUGCUAUUGUGAACUACAAAUGGAAGACUAUUGAUUUACGGUGUCAAAAUGAUAAGAUUAUUUGGAUUGAGCCAAAUGAUUUGAAUGGGUUACCAACAGUAAUAUCUUCUAUGUUAGCUCAGAAAUAUAUGAGAAAGGGUUGUCAAGUUUACUUUGCUUAUGUGCUCGAUUCUAAAGUGACUGAAAAGAAGAUUGAAUCUGUACUUAUUGUGUGUGAGCAUCCGGAUGUGUUUCCUGAAGAAUUACUGGGUUUGCCACCUAUUCGAUAAGUUGAAUUUGGUAUUGAAUUAGUGCCGGGGACAACUCCGAUAUCGAUAGCUCCGUACAGAAUGACACCUACAGAAUUAAAAGAAUUGAAAGCUCAGUUGCAAGAGUUGAUAGAUACAGGUUUUGUGUGAUCGAGUUUCUCUCUCUGGGGUGCACCAAUUUUGUUUGUAAAAAAGAAAGACAGAACUAUAAGAAUGUGUAUCGACUAUAGAUAGCUAAAUAAAGUGACUAUAAAGAAUAAGUAUCCUUUACCAUGGAUUGAUGAUUUAUUCGAUUAGUUGAAAGGGGCUACGGUGUUUUCAAAAAUAGAUUUGAGAUCAGGCUACUAUCAGUUGUGAGUUAAAGACUCUGAUGUGCCAAAAACUACUUUGUGAGCGAGGUACGGACACUAUGAGUUUCUGCUUAUGCCUUUCAGACUUAUUAAUGCACCUACUGUAUUCAUGGAUUUGAUGAAUCGGAUCUUCAGAUAGUACCUGGAUCAGUUUGUGGUAGUAUUCAUAGAUGACAUUUUAUCUAUUCCCGUGAUGAAACCGAGCAUGCCGAACAUGUGAGACUUGUGUUACAGAUUUUGUGAGAUAAACAGUUGUAUGCAUAGUUCAGUAAAUGUGAGUUCUGGUUACGUGAAGUCAGUUUUCUGGGCCAUGUUGUAUUAGCAUCAGGUAUUCGAGUUGAUCCGAGUAAAAUUUCAGCUAUACUUGAUUGGAAACCUCUGAGAAAUGUUUUUGAAGUUCAGAGUUUUUUGGGACUUGCUGGUUACUAUAGACGGUUUGUAAAAGGUUUCUCUAUGAUCGUAACACUGAUGACGAAGUUGUUACAGAAAGAUGUUAUGUUCGAGUGGUCAGAAAAGUGUCAAAAAAGUUUUGAUCAGUUGAAAGCUCUUUUGACCGAAGCUCCAGUGUUAGUUCAGCCAGAAUCGGGUAAAGAAUUUGUCAUUUAUAGUGAUGCAUCCUUGAGUGGUGUGGGUUGUGUUUUGAUGCAGAAAGGUAAAGUCACACGAAAAGAACUACUUAACACACGAUUUAGAAUUAGCAGCUAUUGUGUUUGCAUUGAAGAUUUGGUGUCAUUAUCUGUUUGGUGAAAAAUGUCAUGUUUAUUCUGAUCACAAAAGCCUGAAGUAUUUGAUGACUCAGAAAUAUCUGAAUUUGAGACAACAUCGAUGGUUAGAGUUGUUAAAAGACUACGAGCUUGUGAUUGACUAUCAUCGGGGAAAAGCUAAUGUUGUUGCUGAUGCUUUAAGUCAAAAAUCAUUAUUUUCUUUGCGAGCAAUGAAUGCGCAUAUGACUAUGUCUAAUGAUGGUUCGGUAAUAGCUGAAUUAAAAGCAAGACUGUUAAUUGCUCAACAAAUUUGUGAUGCUCAGAAAGUUGAUAAUGAUUUGUUAGCAAAGCGAGCUCAAUGUGAAUCGAGUGUUGAAACAGAGUUUUGAGUUAAUACCAAUGAUUGUUUGAGGUUCAAAAACUGAAUAUGUGUUCCAAGGAAUUCAGAGUUGAUUCAGAUGAUUUUGAAUGAAUUCAUAGCAGUCAGUUAUCUGUUCACUCGGGUAGUACAAAAAUGUAUAAUGAUCUGAAACAGCUUUACUGGUAGCAUGGUAUGAAACGAGAUAUUUCUGACUUUGUUUCAAAACGUUAUAUAAAAGCCGAGCAUCAGGUACCUUCUGGGCUACUUCAGUCACAGAGUCACGAUAGAUUUUGUAUCUGGUUUAUCGUUGACACCGAGUAAGAAAGAUGCAAUCUGGGUUAUUGUGGAUAGAUUGACUAAAUCGACUCAUUUUAUUCCAAUUCAUACAGAUUAUUCGUUUGAUACACUGGCUAAAUUAUAUAUAUCUCAGAUUUUGAGAUUACACGGAGUGCCUAUUUCUAUAGUUUUGGACAGAGAUCCAAGGUUCACAUCGCGAUUUUGGAAGAAAUUGCAAGAUGAUUUAGGUACGAAACUACACUUUAGCACAACUUUCCAUUCGUAAAUAGAUGGUCAAUCUGAACAAAUCAUUCAGAUACUUGAGGAUAUGUUGAGGUGUUGCAUUCUCGAGUUUAAAGGUUCGUGGGAACGAUACUUACCUUUGAUUGAAUUUGCAUAUAAUAAUAGCUUUCAAUAUAGUAUCAAAAUGGCCCCUUACGAGGCCUUGUGCGGUCGUAAAUGUAGUACACCAUUGUAUUGGACUGAGCUCAGUGAAAAUAAGAUACAUGGGGUCGAUUUGAUUAAAAAGACUAAAUAGAAAGUGAAAGUGAUUCGCGACAGUCUGAAAACAGCAUCGGAUCGUCAGAAAUCGUAUGUGGACUUGAAAAGAAAAGAUAUAGAGUUUCAGCUUGGAGAUAAAGUCUUUUUGAAGGUAUCACCAUGGAAGAAAAUACUCAGAUUCGGUUGUAAAGGCAAAUUGAGUUCGAGAUUUAUUAGGCCGUAUGAGAUUAUAGAGCGUAUCGGGCCAGUUGCUUAUAGACUACUGUUGCCACUUUAGUUAGAAAAGAUUCACAAUGUAUUCCAUGUUUCGAUGCUCCAUAGAUACUGAUUCGAUCCCUCACAUGUGAUUAGUUCGACAGGGAUUGAGAUUAAGUCAGAUAUGACAUAUGAAGAAGAACCGAUUCGCAUUCUGGCUCGUGAGGUUAAAGAAUUACGAAAUAAGAAAUUUCGUUAGUUAAAGUAUUGUGGCAUAAACACGGAGUUGAGGAAGUAACUUGGGAGCCAGAGAAUGCAACGAGAGAGCGUUAUCAAAACCUAUUCAUCGGUAAGAUUUACGAGGACGAAAAUCCUUAAGGGGGAGAGUUGUAACAGCCCAAUUUUGACCCUAAUCGGAACAGUGGUUUUGGGACCAAAAAUUGGAGUCUAAAAAAUAUUUUAAUAUUAUUUUUUGUGUUAAUUAUGUGUGAAUUUACAUGUGUGAAAGUUUCAUGAAUUUAUUUUAUUGUUUGUGUGCUUAAUUUGAGAAAAGGGCAUAAUCGCGUAAAAUGAAAAUUUGAUGGUUAAAUAAGAAAGUGUCUAAUUGUUGUUGUCUUUAUAAUUUGGAGGCUUUAUGUUGUAAUUUAGCCAAUAAUAAUAGGUAGUGGAGACAUAUUGACAAUAUAUGGUUUUUAUAUAUUAAAAAAAUAAAAAGUUAAAAUAAUAAUAUAUUAUAAAGUUAUUAUAAUAAAACAAACAUAAAAUUUAAAAGUCAGGUUCAUCUUGUUCACCGAAAAGAGAAAAUAAAAAGAAAGUAGAAAAGCUUUGAACAUUUUGGCACCUAUCUAGCUUGAUUCAAGGUUAGUUUUUGUUCGGUUUUUUGAUAAUUUUUACAGUUUUUAGAUCAUUGCUUCGUGUUCUUCAAAGCCUAUGCUUCAAUUUUGUGAAUUGAUGACGAUUUUGAAAUAUUCCAUUGAUGAAUUCAUGAGUUUUGUAAUGUUGGAAGAUGAAAUAUGAAAUAUAUGUGUUAGAUUAACAUAGUUUGUUUUUGAAUUUUUGAUGAAUUUCAGUAAUUAGGGUUAAAUUGUAAAAAUAAAAUUUUGAGGGACUAAAAUGUAAAAUAAAUGAAAUGUGUGGACUUAGAUGGACUAUAGGAAUAUUUGGCCCUAGCAUGAUAUAUGCAAAUUUUAAGUAUUUUGUGUUUUAUGUAAUAGGGACUAAAUUGCAAAAAGUGUGAAAUGAUAGGGGUAAAUUGGUAAUUUACCCGUUUAUGUGUUUUGGAUUAAAUUGAAUGAAUGUGUGUUUAAAUAAGUUAAAUUUGAACUUAUUUAGAUCAAGAACAGAAGAAAACGAAAUUAGAUCGGGGGAAGUCGAAAGUAGUCGAGUAGUCAAUUUCGUACGUCGAUAUUUGAGGUAACUCUAUAAGCAUAUUAAUGUUGUUAAAUUUGACUAUAUAUAUAGGUUACAUGAUAAAUGAAAUUUUAUGAAUUUUAAUUUGGUGUUGGCCGAAUGUGAUUUGAGCGAGGGAGAUGUAUUUUGAGUUCGAUUUGAUCAGGUUUCAGUAUCCAAAAUCCCCGUACGAGCCCUAGGAAUAGAUAAGAUACAUAUGUCAUGACAUAGGAUCUCCGAUAUGUGUUUACGUGUAAGACCAUGUCUGGGACAUCGGCAUCGUAUUUGAUUCGUGUAAGACCCUGUCUGGGACAAUGGCAUCGAUAUGUGAUUACAUGUAAGACCAGGUAUGGGACGUUGGCAUUGUACGGGAUUUUCGAUUAUCCAAGUAUCCUUUUUAAUUUCGAACGGUUUAACAGGCAAUGUGAGGUAAAGACCGAAUGAAAAAUUGAAUUACGGGUUCAGGUUUGUGUUAGUUAAAUGUUUAUAUGGAAACGAGGUAAGUUGAUUACUUGAAAUGAUAUAAGGUAUGUGAAUAUGAAUUUUGGAUUAAUAUAUUUGAACAUAUAUAUGAUUCGGCCUAUUGAGGUCAUUAUGAAAUUAAAUGUGAAAAUUAUAUAUGUAUUUAUGAUAGUUUAUAUUCGGCCAUAUAAUAUGUAUGUGAGAUCAAAGUAUGUCCUUUGUAGUAAAUGAUAUCUUUGUAUUAUAAAUUAUGUGAAUUCGGCCUUACUAGUUAAAUGUUGAUAUGCCAUUAUAUAUAUAUGUUUAUGCUUAUGACUUACUAAGCUUUAAUAGCUUACUGUGUGUUUGUACUUGUUUACCUCUGUUUUAUAGAUUUUGGAGUCAAGUUACGAGCUUGGGGAUCGUUAGUAAAUUCUAUCACACUAUCAACUAUUUCUUACGGUAUUUUACUAAGUUGAACUUGGGCUUAUGGAAUGUAUAGCAUAGAUAAAAUAUUUGAUUUUGGGACUUGAAUAUAUAUAGCCAUGCGAAAAUGGCUUGUCUUUGAUCAUUAGGAUUAGGCUCGACUUUUUUUUUUUGAGUUCUUGAUCAAGUACUUUAUGUGUUUAGUUUUAGUAAUUUGGCCUUGGCUUAUUAUCUGUGAAACAUGGUUGCUAUGUUUAUGCUUGUGUGUAUGAUCUCGGUCAAGGUGAGUUUAUGUGUAAUUUGGUUCAUAUGCUUUGUUAAUGAGUGCUUGAAUUAAGUCAUGGUUUAUGGUAGGUAUAAGUCUUGAUGUGCGGAUAUGAAAAUAUAAGUGAGAUGCUAAGUCAUUAGUUAGGUUAUAUGAUAUGUAAUAAUUUGUGCAUGUUUGGCCAUAUGGGUUGCUACAAAAUUGGUUAUAAUGUGCUUGUGUAUCCGGAUAUGUGAUGAAUUAAAAUGGCUAAAUAUAUGGUUUGGUUGUGUUGUAUGUUCGGAUAUGUUGUUUGAUUAAUUAGGGCCAGUUUAUAAAGGCAUGAAUGUAUAUGUUUUGAAUGUUAUAAAAUGAAAAUAACAUAUAUAAGUUUGGUAUAAGGUUCAAAUUGUAUAUGUGGUUAGUUUAGUAAUUGGUUUAUAAUGGCAUAUAGAUGAAAUGAAGUUGAUGUUGUUUAUUAACGUUUGAGGUUUAGUUUCUUUGAUAAUGUAAGUGUAUUUGUAUAUAUGAAUAAGGCAUUGGAACUAUAAAGAUAAGCAUGAUAUUUGGUUUAUAGUAUAUUUAUAUAAAAAUUAAUUAUGUAUUGAAUGUUAUAUAGAAUGACCGAAUAAGAAACAAUUCAGCUUGAUUAUGUGAAUAAAAUUUUGGCACAUAUUAAAGCAUAUAAAAAAAUUGGCAUAGGAACUAUGAAUAUUUGUAGUUGUUAUUUGUGCUUAAAGUGACUUAAGAUAUCAAGGUCAUAUGCGCAUGGUUUUGGUGAUUAGGAAAGAAGUAAGUUUAGUUUUAAAUCAUGUUAGUUUAAAUGAAAUCAAUGCCGCAUAAAUGAGUGAUACCUAAAUUGAGUUAUGAUUCAUUUUGUUUGGAUAGAAAUGCGUAUCAUGUUUGUUAAUAACCAUUAAUAUAUUCGGUCAUAUUGUAUGAUAACCAAAAUUUCAUUUUUGUGUGGUUGAUAAUUGAUUUUAAUAUGUGAACAUUCUUAGAUUAUAAAAUGUGAUCUUUGAUAAUUAGCUUAUGAAAAUAGUUAUUAGAUGUUUGGUAUAUGAUGCGUAAUUAUAUAUAUAUUUGAAUAAAUCUUUUAAAAUAUGCCAAUGAAAGUAAUAUAGUAGAUUUAAGUUCAAAAGUGAUUAAGAUAAGUGUUCUGAUAAGUUUUAAAUUACUAAACUGGAUUUGUAAUAAACGUCUGUUCUGAACUAUGCUAUGUUCAGUAAUGCCUCGUAACCCUAAUUCGGCGACAGAUACAGGUUAGAGGUGUUACAAGAACAUUCAUCAAGUUCAUAGAUGAGAAAUUUUGGUGUUUGAUCGUAAUAGGUUGGGAACCUCUAAGAAUUUAUGUUGAUGGUAUAAAAACUCUAAAACCAGAAGUUACUUGGACUAGUGGUGAAGGUAAACUGGCCAAUGAGAACUCCAAUACCAUUAAUGUGAUUUUCAAUGGAGUAGGUCCCUAGGAGUUCAUUCGUAUUUCAAAUUUCACUAUUGGUAAAGAAGCUUAUACCAUUCUUGAGAUUGUUUAUGAAGGAACCAAUAUGGUCAAGCAGCUUGGUAAAGAAGCUCAAGUUUUAUAUGCUAACAAUGAGAUUUAAGACCUUAAGGGUGCAAGAGAAUGAGACCCUACCUAAGUUCUAUGCAAAGUAAAUUUAACAAGUAAAUUAUUAUUUUAUUAUAAUUUUAAUGUUUACAGGAUUACAUUUAGGUCGUACUAAAAUUUCCUUAAGAAAUUUUGAUGUUUAAGUAGUUAAUUAAGUAAAAAGGACUAAAUCAUAAAAAAAGGUAAAAGUUGAGUUCUAAUAGCUAAAAGAGCCAAGUAGCUAUGAAAUCUUAAAUUAAAGGAAUUAGAUGGUAAUUAGACCAUUUAAUGGGUUAGUGGAUGUACGUGGCAUGGUUUUAUUGAAAUUUUAAUGGUUUUAAAAUGUUAAUUUAGUCAUUUGGUAAUUAAAAAGAAAACUAAAUAAUAAAAUAUGAACAAAACAUUGUCAUCUUCAUCUUUUGCUAAAUUGAAAAACCUAAAAACACCAUUAUAGAAAGGGGGAUAUUUGGUCAAGCUAACAUUGAGUGCAUGGUAUGUAAUUUUGUCCCGUUUUUAAUGAUUUUUAUGUUUUUGAGGCCGGUUUAGCUUAAGCUAGCUCGGGGUUUAAUUUGUAAAACUAUUAGAGGUUGAGGGUUAUGCCAUGAAUUAUUCUUGAAUGGUUUUGAUGUUAAAUGAUAGAUUAUGUAUCUUUGUUGAUAACUAAACAAGUUUUGUAAGGUAACUUUUGAUGAAAAUGGCAUUUAGGGUCCAAAUUGUUAAACAUAUAAAUGAUAGGGUUUUAUUGUGAAAAGAUGAUAAAUAUGAGUACUUUCAAAUCCCUUUCAUGUUUGGUUAAUAUGGAAUUUGAUUAAAAUGAUUAUAUUUUAAGUUAUAAGCUUAAUGACUAAAUUGUGAAAAGUUAAAAUGUUAGGGUCAAAAUGAUAAUUAAGCAUAAAUGUGAAUUGAAUUGAAUGUUUAAGUUUAAUUGAAGUACUUAAUUGAAUAUAGUUAUCUAUUUAGAUCAAGAUAGACCAUGUACGGACCUAGAUCACGGAAAAAUAAAAGUUUCAGAUUAGCUCGACUUCGUUUCUACGCUUUAGUCGUCGAGGUAAGUUUGUAUGAACGUUUAUCAUGUUUAUGUUAUUCAAAUUGAAUAUUAUUAUGCUAUUUAUAAUGUAAAUGUAUUGAAUUAUAAAUUUAUCAAUGCCAUGAUGAAUUGACGGAUAUCGAGUCCCUAUUGAACCUUAGGAAUUUAUAAGAUAGAAAUGACAUGUCAUUAGGGAUUUCAUGUUUCGGGUGCUGGCCUUGAAUGUCCUAUCGAUGGCUAAGGUCCUGCAUUUGUUGUGGAUACUCCACAACUCGUGUGAGUAGCAUCGUGUAGCUUACAUUCCAACCUACAGCUCGUGUGAACAGGCUCAUUUCUGAGCUCGUGUGAGCAAUGAUGUAAAUGAAUGGUUAUACAUAAAGGCACACUUCGUGUAAGCUUAUCGGGUAUUCGAUGUAGUUUUAAAUGGUUCGAUGGGCAAGAAAGGGUAACUAAUUGGUAAGUAGGCAAAGGGAUUGAUUCAUGGUUUAUGGAGAGUAAUAUUGAGUUAAAUGGUUUAUCGGGUAUUCGAUGUACUUUAUGGUUGACUUUAUUUGUAUUAUGAGCAAUAACACUAAUUGUGAUAUGGUGAUGUUGUAUAGGCUAUUACUAAGCAUAUGGCAUUAAUGAUGAUUUAUGUUUAACCUUUGAGUUGUUAUAAUGACAUGGUAAUUUUAGUUUUAGUUUAUACGAACUUACUAAGCAAUGUUGUUUACUUAGUUUCUUUCCAUUAUUUUAUAGAUCAUCGGAAGCUCGAUUUGGUUGAAAUCUUGUUGGAGAUCUAUCACACUAUCUAGAAGUCUUUUCUGUAGCUUUUGAGCAUUUUGGUUAAUGGUUUAUAAUAGCAUGUACAGGAUAGAUUAAAAUGAUGUUUUGAUAAACAUGUAAAUGGUAAUUUGGUAUGAUUGUUCCUUGAUGUUUAUGAAUGGUUGUUAGACUUAUCAUGCUUGUUUAAGUAAGUCCUUUUGGUCACUUUCAUGUUCUUGUAUAUAAGGCUCCUUUUAUGGUAUGUAUGAAUGUUUUGAAUUGGUCAUUGAUGGCAUGUUAUAGUAGUCUAUUUGGUUUAGGUUGAUUUGCAUGAAAAGUGGUAUUAUUGGCAUGUUUUGGGUAAGUAAAUGAAUAGGUUGUCAUGUAUGAAUUGGUACAUUAUGGACAUGUUUUAAUGGAUGAUGUCUUGAUAUAUUGUGGUGCCCUUGAAUGACAUAUUGGUUAGUGGAAUUAGGGUCUUGAAAUGGCAUUUUGAAGGUGUGGACACAUGCUAGGACACGGUCGUGUGUCCCUAUUUCAAAGGUUACACAGCCUAAGACACGGGCGUGUCUCUUAGCCGUGUGAGGCACAUGACCAUGUGACCCCUGUUUCCAAAUUUUUAUAACUUUUUCCUAAUCUUACCACAUUGUUUCAGAUUAGCCUUGAAUUGCUUCUAAGUUAUUUUUAAGGCCUUAAAGGCAUGAUUUAGGGACAGUAUGUAUGUAUAUGAUUGGUUUAUAGUGUGAGUACAUUAUUGAAUGAUGUUAAGUUUAAAUGUUUUCAUUUGUAUGGUAAUGUUUUGCAACCCUAAUCCGGCGAUAAGUACGGGCGAAGCCCUAAUCUGGCAAUAGGUACGGGUUGGGGUGUUACAUUAAGGGUAUUGCUGACCAAGUUCUAUGUUCAACGAAUUCUAAGAUUAUUCAAACUAAGAGACCUAACAAGUUUGAACACAAGGAUAUAUAAUGGGUAUUGAAUCCACUAAAAAUAAAUUCCUACACCUGAGUAGAAUAUAAAUUAAGAGUAUAGGGAGUAAGGUUGAUCCCAUAUGGACUGAUCUAUCUAAAUUUGUAAUUCAUUAUAUCUAGGGCGUUUCCUAGGCAGUUUUUGUGGCCAAAAUUUGGUCAAACUUGUAUAAAACAUAAAUGGGCGAUUUAAUAUGAAUAUAACUAAAUAAUUGAAAAUAAAUAAUAAUGCAAUAGAAAUAAGAAAAUCAUGAUUAAAAUUGAAUAAACCAAUAAGAAGGAAACUCUAGCUUCAGGUGUGAUUUUAACUCCAACUUCAAAUUGGUCUCGGACAAUAAAUUUUUUCCCCAAUCAAUAAGUCGGUUAUAGUAAUUGAGGAAUAGCCUCAGACCACCAGCCUUUCCAUAUGUAAAAUUCUUGCAAGAACAAUCCAACAAUAACCCUUACCAAGUGAAUAACCUUGAAAGCAGCUUCCACGAUUUAAUUCCUCCACAACUUUAUGAGUUAGAAGAACCUAGCUCAAAUCAAUGGCCUCAACUAAACGGGUCAUUUAAACUUGAUUGUUAACUCCCUUGAUGAAUCCAACCACUCGCUCAAUUAGUCACGUCAAUUUGAUCUUCUGUGGGACAAAUACAACAAUUACAAAUCAUGUCGAAUCAUUAAUAGUUUGCUAUUCAACAUGAAAUCAAAGGGCACCCUUCUCAAUUUGAUGUUAAAACGACAUUAUGAGAUGACCAAGUCUAUCUCCUAAAUUGGAGAAUUAACAAAUACGUAAAUAAAGAGUGUUGCUACAUUUUCAAGCCUCACAAUUCUAACUUAGAUUAAUUAUCAGAAUAAAACCAAAAUUGAAAUUUAGUUACUCAUAAUAAAAAUCAAUCACAUAAAAUAAAAUAGAAUUUAAUUAAAAAAAUGGAGGAGUUAAGAGAAUAAAAUUGCAGUGGUGAAUUCCACCAGUCCGGUGCAAAAACAAAGAAAAAUAAUAAAAGAAAAUUUAACUAUCUACUCCACCCAAAAUUAAAAGUGUUGUUCCUAUCUUUAGCUUUUUAAAACUAAAUUAAAACCAAGUAUUCUUCUCCUAAUUAACUUCAUGAAGAUAAAAUUCAGUAUUUAUAUAAAAUAAAUAUAAAUAAUGAAUGAUAAAACCUAAUCAUAAUUAAACUCCAAAAUAUAUUAUUUUUACAAAUAAAGUUUAAAUAAAAAAUAAAAAUAUCCUAAAAAUCGUGUUUUCUAAUUUCUUUCCCAUGCCAAAUCUUGCAAGUAAUUUACAUUUCAACUUGUAUUCUAACACUUUGGACAUGUGUUACACCUACCUAGGAACUAUUUGAUAAAGUACCAGAAUUAGUAGCAACAAUAUCCCAAAUUAAUUAGAAUUAACCACAAAAAAUAUGCCAAUUAAGGGCAUUUUCAUCGUGCAUCAUUACUAUGGUGCCUUAAGUCAUAUUAGGCCAAGAUGCUACAAGCUUCAAAAGGAUCUAAGAAGAAACAUCCAUUUACAUCUCACAUUGCAACUCGAGUUUCAUUUGAUAGAAGGCAAAAAUAGAAGCUUGUAUGGAGAAAAAAGGACCAAAAGUGUCUCAUUGUUACACAUUAAUCUUUAAAGGCUACCACUAAUUAUAUUUGGUACUUUGAUAAUGGGUGUCCCAGAUACAUGACCAAAGAUGGUAGCUUCGUUAAAGGAUUCCAAGAGAGCCACGAAGCUAGGGCUGUAAAUUAACCAAGUUUGAACAAAAAAAAUAUUUGUUCAUGAUCGUUUGUUUAUUUUUAAGCUUGUUCGUAUUCGAUCCGUGUUCAUUAAGAAGUUUAAAUUUGUGUUUGAGUUUGUUUAUUUUAAAUUAUGUAUAUUCAUGUUCAUUCGUUUAAGUUAAAUGAAUGUGUUGGUGAACGUUAAAUGAACUGAACAUUCACAAAAAAUUUUCACAAAAAAAAAAUUCUUAUUUUUUAGAUAUAAAAUAAUCAAAUAUAAGUAUUUAUAAUUAUAUUAUAAAUAAAAAAUAAACACACGAACAAUAAUAAUUUUAUUAAUAUAUAAUAAUCAAAUAAUAAACGAGUUUUAAACAAACUUUAAAUGAAUAUAAAUGAGCUUGUUCACCAUAAAUGAACUUAACAAUCUUUAUUCAUGUUCGAUUUGUUUAAUAAAUGAGCCUUAAAAUCUUAUUCAUGUCCAUUUAUUUAGCUUGAUAAAAAAACAUAAAUGAAUAGAAACUAGACUACUCAUUAACUAUUUAUCAAACUCGCUGUUAGUUUACAGCCCUACAUGAAGGUAAGGUGACCUUUGGUGAUAGCAAAAAGGGAAGGAUUCUUGAAAAAGGUGUUCUUAGUGUAGAAGGCAUGACUCACUUGCAGAAUGCGUUUCUUCUUGAAGGAUUAAAAGAAAAUCUAUUAAGUGUCAGUCAACUUUGUGAUCAAGGAUACUUGUACACUUCCCAUAGAUAAGUACAAGGUGAUUAGCAAGUUUGGUGAGUUAGUAAUGGAAGGUUGUAGGACAUAUGAUAAUUGUUACAAACUUUUUGAACCAAUGACUUGCAAUCCAACUAGCUUUUUUAGUUUUGUGCAUUGAUAUGAAUGGCUAGGCUAUGUCCGUUUCAUGGGCCUUCAAAUAUUGGUGAGAUAUGUAAAGGGACUACCAAAGUUAGGGGGAGUCAUUUCAAAAGUUUAUGGAGACUGUAUGAUUGGUGUAAGUCACAUCCUCAAUUGCAGCUAAUCCAAACAUCUGGACCUCUUGAGCUAUUGCAUAUGGAUUUGAUUAAACCUAUACAAAAUUGAAAUCACAUUUUGUCGUUGUUUUGUUGUGUCUCUACAUCAAAUAUUUGCAAAACUUAAGUUAUGUUUGAUAAAUUAAAAAAAAAAUUCACUGUUGAAAGUUAAGGGUUAAAAAAAUAAAUACUAUAAAAUUAAGUGUCGAAUUCAAGUUAUAUAAUAUGUUUAAUGUAUUAGUUAAAAUUAAAUUCCAAAUAUGAUUAUUUGAUAAAGGAUAAUAUAAUUUUAAAUGAGAUAAUUAAAUUAAAAAUAACAAUUCAAUGUAUUCUCUAUUAAGUGAUAAUUAAAUCACCAUCUUCUUAUUAUUAAUCAAAAGUGUUUUAUUGUAAUUUAUCAAAAGUAUUUAAAAAAUUAACAUACCGAAAUUAUUAAUAUUCAAUCAAUUAAUUUUUUUUCUACACUCUAUUAAACUGGCCUAGCAUUUGUUUCUGAUUAGAAGUUUUUUUUUUUUAACGUUAAUUUGAAAGAGUUUGAAACACUUAGAGUUUUUAUUUUUUCAAAGUGUGGAACUUUAAAAAUGGAUGAGAGCUCCAUGCUGUUUGAAGGUUCUAAAAUAAAGUCAACAAAGAUUUCUUUGUCCAAAGAAAUAUAAACUAAAAACUAAAUUAAAAAAAGAGAGUAAGCAAUUGAGCUUUGCUCUAUUUUGGUCUAAAAUAUACGUUGUGUUUUAAUUGGAGGUAACUUAAAAUUGAUUUAAUCCUACAACGUGUUGAAAAAAUUACAUUUUAUGGAAACUUUGAGACAUAUUCUUAAUACGUAAAGGUAGAGAGUUGAAUCAUAAAAUUAUGAUUUCAUAUUUUACUCUAUGAGACCUUUACUAUGCUCAAAAUGGUUGAAUGAUGAUUGAGAAAUUGAUGCUCAAGGUAAGUUACUUAGAAAUAUUUGUUGAGGAAAAGUAAAGACUUAGAUUUUACAUUGGUUAAAUACUUAGUGUGAGAUACAUUGGUUAAAUACCAAGUGUGAGAUUUGCAUAUAUAUGGGAACCCUCUUGAAAGGUAAUUGAAGGGCUAAGUUUGGAACCUUGUCUUACGCAUAGGGAGGGUGCAGGUCCAAACUCAACGGGGUUGGGGCGCACCUACAAGACGUGGGUGACGCGAAAUGUUGAGCUUAAAAUGGGCCUAUCUUGUGAAUAUUUUAGCCCAACACGAAAUUAUUUUUUCUCAACAGACAUAAUAUAUUUAUAUAAGAACAUUAUCUUAUUUUAUUUGAUUCAAAUAAAUUUGAUUUAAUUUUUAAUCAAAUUGAUUUGUUGGCUCCUUUAAUGUCAGAUUUUGUGGAUACUUUCAAAUUUCCACCAUACUAAAUGCCUAUAAAAGGUUAUGUAUUCUGUAGAAUUUCUCCUACACUUGUACCCUCUCACGCUGGAAUUCUUUUGCGCUCAAAACUCUUCUUUUUCCUCUCCAUAUUUUUCAACAUUCUAGUAAUAGAAAAAGGCAACGUUCGUUCAUUGAUCGCUGCUGAGGUGUUACUGCUUUAAUCAUUGUUGUUGUUGUAUAUCGGGAGACAUUUAACCAACGUUUCUCCAAAUACCAUAGGAAAAAAUUCAGAGUUUAUCCUAAAUAGAACUAAAGACAUAGCUUAGUGAAAAUUAAUUUAUUUUUCACGAGAUGGAUGAAAAACAAAAUUAUGUAAUAAAUAUAUUUAUAAAAAAUAAUAUAAAUGAAAAUGGGAUUUUUGUUGAAUAAUAAAAUACAAAUAUUCAAAACAACAAGAAUUCUAAUUUACUAAAGCAAAUUAUACAAAAACACUUUAAUAAUUUACUUAAAAAAAGCAUAUUAUACUAAAAUGUAACUAUUUAUUUAUCGGAGAAAAAAAUGAAAUUAAUUAUUUGGAACUAUUUUUUUUUACUAAAAUUACUUUUAAUCAUUACCAACUUUGAUUCGUUCUAAUCUAAUAAUAAUAAAAAAAUAAAAAAUAUUUUGAACUCAUUAAAAAAUGUUUUGGACCAAGUUAUGUACAUGGAUUUUUAGCUUAAACCAUCAAAAAUAUUUUAGCACUUACUUUUUAAAGCCCAGUCCGAUUCUUUACCAUAUUUUAUUUGCCUCGUUUCUUUCUUUUUGCCAUUGCUCCUACCACUUCUUCUAUAUUCUGUUAUAAGUAAUAUUGCACUACAACAAAACAAUUCUAAGAAGACAUUUUUUUAAAUCUCGAGAUAGACUUGCCAACAUAUGUUUUGACCAACUCUCUCAACUAUUUAAAAGCGUUGUCAUAUGAAAAGCCUAAGACGACUCUUUUUGGACUAUGCCGACCCUUUUUUAGGUUGUUUAAAUUUAUAUCUUUAAGUAAGUUUCGAUUUUUUUAAGUUGAUUCGAAUUUUGCUCACCCUUUAAGCAACUUUUGUGAGUGUUGGCAAGGUAUUAUCAUAUCCCAAAUUUUUAAAAAGAGUUGAGAAAAUAUUAACCUAUCCCAACUUUUAUUUUUCGUUGGCAAAUAUUUUAUUUAACCCAACUUUUUUGUGUUGCCUUUGUAUGUUCAUGAUUUAUCUCAAGCUUUUUUUUUAAGCAAAUAUUUGGCCUAAUCUAACCUUUUUUUAGUUGCCUUUUUGCACUUGAUUUAUACCAUUUUUUUUUGUUGGCAAAUAUUUGGUCUAACCUAACAUUUUUUGUGUUGUCUUUAUCUGCUCAUGAACUAUAAUUAUUAAAUGAAAAUAAUUAAAUAAUUAAAACUUUGCCAACGAAGCAUUGACUAAUUGCAAAUUUGAGUCUCAUGUUAUAUAAAUAUUAUAUUAUUUUCAUAUUAAAAAAUAUUAAAAAAUUAGUUAUAGUAUAAAAGUAUAGGGUUAAAUUAUAUUAAAUUAAAAUAUAAGAUUAAAUUCUAAAUUUGAUCAUGAAAGAUCAAAAAUAAAAUUUGACCAAACUUUAAACCAACUCCAAAAUUUAAAACCCUAACGCCACGUUUGGUUGGAGGGCUAUUCCCUUCCCUCCUUAUUCUUGGAUGAAUAGUAAUGCUUUUGUUUGGUUCACCGUUUCUUCAUUCUGUUGAAUUACUUAAAGCAUUUCUAUUCCCUCAAAUGCGUAAUAGUGAUUCAGUGUUGAAAGCUUUGAAUGACUAUUUCGACCAUCGCCAAAUAGAAAUGAAGAAAAUUCUUCCCAAAAUCUCAUUCACACUUUCUCUGCAAAUGCAUUCAAAGUUGCUUCUUUUAUCACAACAAUUCACUUUCAGGUUAAACAUAUUUUUCUUUUCAAGUUUAAUUUCAUUUGGUUUCUGUUCUUGUAAUAAUCAAUUUUUGUUUUAGAAGGGUUUUCUUUAAAUUUUCUAAAAAAAUAUGCUACAACUCAACUCCCAAAUCUUUGCCUUUUGGGGGAGAUAAUGUUUAGUUUUCUCUUAUGGAAAACAUACGGACUAGAAUUGAAUUGCAGGGAGUCAAUUGUAAUCACCAUAUCGAUCUCUAUCUCAUAAUCCUAGUUUUAUUAUUUCGAUUUUGCUACUGGACUCUGUAAUGGCCCAAUAUUGCCCGGCCCAAUAUAGAUAUUAAAAGUCCAUUUACAAAUAAACAGUCCAAUUAUAUCAGCCCGAAUCAGCCUAGCCCAAAACCUUCCCUAAACCCGAUUCUAAACCCAACAAACCAACUCAGCCCAAUACAACCCAAAAUAGUUUUAAAAAACCCUAGCAGCGUUGGCUCCCAGCGCCGCAGCAGUAGCACCUCUCUGCUCUCCCUCGUAUGCGCGCGACGCCUCCACACGCCACGUCCACCCUCCGUUCGCCGUACUUGCAAGAAGGACAAACAAACAAGCAGCAAAACAGAUAGCAACAGCAAAGAAAGGAGCAACAAUAACAGAUUGACAGCAAAUACUAGCAGUAAAUAGGAAGAAAAUGUAAAAAAUAGAAAAAAAAAUAUUUAUUUUCUUUCUUUAUUUUCCUCGGUUCGGCUAUAAAGAGGGCUGAUUGAAAUCUUUAUAGGGGGUUACAGACACGAAAUCAAUACAAAAAGAAAAAUUGAAAAGAAAGUUUUUUUGUUUCUCUUUUUCAUUCGGUUCUUUUUCCGAUUCAUAUUUCUUUCUUUUUUUGUUAGUUUAUCAGAUAUACAUAUAUAAGAAUAGAUAUAAAAUAAAAAGUGAGAAGUUACCUUUUAAAAGCACCAUUGGAUCUUAGCUCCCUUCGUCACUGUCGGAGUCUGGGCAGAGAUUAAUCGGUGUUCGGACGACCAAGUUUUUGAGUGGAGAGCGGCUUAAUUCAAAAUGGCUGAAACAUUUUCUUUUUUUUAUUAUUUAUAAGGGCCAUGUAAAAUGACACCGUUUGAGGUUUGUUUCAAUACCCUUAAAACGGAGUUGUUCAAUCCUAUAACCCAAUGAUCCGACCCGAAGCGGAUUAGAUCCGUGCGUCUUGGUAUUGGUGGGGUUAUUUGCGCGCCAGGUCCUCCACUUUUGCGCUUUGGUUCAACCUAGUUUCUAUUGUUUCUUUAAAUUAGGCUGUCUAUUUUCCUGCGGAUUUCAUCUUAGUCCACAUGCAAUACUGCAUUUUGAGGGCACGAGAUUAUUUCCCUUUUUGGUCCCUAAUAUUGCACGCAUGUUUUGACACAGCCCUUAGAUAUUUCUAAUUGUGUUUUCUUUCCCUUAAAUUUGGUUUUAAUUUUAGAUUUAGUCCCCUUUAUGCUUUUUAAUUACUUAACUAUUUUUAUUAUUAUUGUUAUUAUUAUUAAUGUUACUAUAACUAUUAUUAUUAUUAUUAUUUAUAUUAGUUUAUACGUUUAUUUACCUACGUACAUAUGUUAUUAUUUUGUUAUUUAUAUUAUUACUUUAAGUUUUGAAUUAUCAUCAUAUAUUACUAAUUAGUUUCAUUACGUAUUUUUUUAUGUAGUAUUAUUUUAUGUUAUAAAUAAAAUUAUAUUACCACUUUGGAUUUAUUAUACAUUUGUUUUAAAAUUUAUUGUGUAUUACUAUUUAAUCAAAUGAUGUAUUGCUUAUUUUAGAUUAACACAUGUAUAUUACCGUAUACAAAAUUCAUCUAAAUAUUAUUAUUCUAUGUAGUGUUUAUUCUUUAAACUCUAUUUUGAAUAUAUUUCAAAUUAUUCUAAAACUUUUGUACGUAUAAUUUAUUCGAUUAUGAUUUCUUCUCUUGCUAUUGUUUUUAGUUUAUCAAAAAAUUUGAUUAGUAAUUCAUUUAAUUUUUUACUGUUGUAUGAUCGAGAUUAUUGUUGCCAUUCUUGUUUGAAUUUAUCCAUUGCUUGUUUAUAUUAUUUGAUGAUUUGUCGUUCACUAGCAUGUAUCAUAAUUUACAAAUUAUCAUUUUGAAUUAUGCACUACCAUUCAAUCACAUUACAUUUGUUUAGAAAAACAUCGAAAUCGUUUUGCACAUAAACCUUCAAAAUACUCGGUAUCCAAGAUUCUCGAGAGGAUUGUGCCCUAACUUACUGGCCUCAAUUCUCCUUGUUGAAUUUAGAUAACCGAAUACCCCUUUUUCAAUUUAAACAUAGAAAUUCCAUAAUUAAAGCUUACCUCGGGAAUUCGAUGCGUCGUGUCCUAACGCAUUGGAUAUGACAUGUUGUUUUCUCGAGAUGAGAAUUUUUCUAAAUAAAAAUAAAGGCAAUAUUCGAUGUUUAAGAAUUUUGUGAAAUCAAACCCUAACUUACUGGGUUUUGAUUUUUUUCAUUUGACCUAAAUAAUCGGAUAUCCUUCUCAAAAUGCAUAGGUUUUAAAAGUCAAGAUUUAAACUUAAUUUUAAAGAUUAAAAAUGUUGCAUCCUAACUCACUGGGUGUGACAUUUUCUUUCUUUGAAAUAAGAGUGUCUCAUUAUUCAAUUCAAUGUAUUCAAGUUAAAAAGAUCGUAUUUUAAAAUCUUUUCAAAUUUUUGACGCUAAGACAUUAAACAAUCGAUUCGGUACCAAUUUUUGGCGUCACGAGGGUGCUAACCCUUCCUCAUGCGUAACCGACUCCCAAACCUAUUUUUUCAAAAUUUACAGACCUAAAAUUAUUUUCAAGGUGAUCUGAUCACACCUCAAUAAAAGAUCGGUGGCGACUCCCAUUUUCAUUUUUAAAGUCGACAACUAAAAUUUUUGUUUUUCAAAAAAAUAGUUUUGACAGUUUGACGACUCCACUAGGGACUAGUUGAGAGUCGAGCCAUAAAAUUGAAUAUUUUUUGUCUUAUUAUUGAAGAUUGAAAAUUUGAUUUGAAAAAUUAUGAUCCUCUCAUUGCAUUUGUUUGCGGUAUGAUUACUGUAAAUUGAGUUUUAUAUAUUGGCAUCAUAUUGCAUAAGGACCAUUUGGUCUUACCUUUUAAGUGGGAGUGAGAAACUAGUCCUUCGUGAGGUUUUCACCUCCGUGCAGGAUAGUGGAUCGCUUUCGGAAUACAUCUGUACAUAUGUCUUCGUGAGAUUUUCAUCUCCGUGCUGUCAUAGGGAAAUGUAUUCCCCUGAACUGAACUCAGUCCGUAUGACCCUAUAAUGGGUGAGGAUCGAGGAAUCUGCUGGUUCGGGUACCUCAACUUUAGAACCAAACUGCACGUAGAAGACAUUAGGAACCCAUCCUAGGUAGAGCCCCUCCAAACCCCUAGUGGUUACCCAACUAGGUACUUUUGUUUUCCUUGUUUGCUUCUAUUUUGUACUAACCCAUUUUGUUUUGUUUGAUUAUGAUUGCAUUGCAUUUGCAUCUUAGAAAAGAGAUGUUGAUUCGAGUCCGAUUACUAACUUAGAAAGCUUGUCAUGGAAUGCGGAUUUCUUGAUAAAGUGGAAAAUAAUAAGACUGCCUGAAUAUAUUCCGAGAAACACAAAAAAGGAUGAUAGAAGAAUUCGUGACUUUACUUCGUGGCUCGAAGAUUCAAGAUGAUUAUCUAAGAGUCUUCGACAUCCCAACUUCCUUAAAGAAGCUGAUGAGCAUUACGAGGAUAGGCAGACAAUGGAUUGCGACCAAGAUCAAGCAAAAAGAGAUUGAGGAGGCACCCCUUUUGAAGAAUUCGCAAGGUUUAUCUUAGCAUAUGAAUGAAGGAAAGUAUCGAUUUUCUCUCUUGGAAUAUGAGGGCGAGGCCGUAUAUAUAUCCGUUUUAUGUAAAGAAAUUUGUCUUAUAGUAAAGUUUUCUAAAUGUAAUUGAAUCAAAAUCAACGUCUCUUUAGGCAUUCAUUUCAUGCACUUGCAUCACAUGGCAUCAUAUGCAUUAAAAUCCAUUGAAAGAGUCUAACUGAAUAAAUUUAUUUCAGCUAAUCUGGAAAACCAAUCAACCAAACACCCUUACGGUAUCCAAGUAAAGACUAGAAAAAUGGACCAAAGGUUGGAGAAAUUAGAGCGAAUGCAAAUAAAGAUGCAGGAGCAAUUGACCAAAUUUCAACAAGAAAUGAGAGAUCAGAGGCUAGAGUUACAGAGAACUAUGAUGAGCCAAUUUAAUCGAUUGGUAGCUGGAGAGUUAGAAGAAGUGAAAGACUCGGUGGUCCACUUUGGGGUUGAUAAUGAGGAUCUUGCCUAUUCCCCAGAUUGUACUCUGAUAAGUGUCCAAGUCCAGCUAGAUGGGAGUCCACAAGGGAACUCUUUACUAUCAGAUUCCAACAAUAUCAGACUGGUACAUCGACACCAGUAAAUUACCUGACAGGCCCAGGAUCCAAGCUGAGGAACAAUUUAGCUAAUCCUGUUACUCUUGAUAAUCUAGCAGAAAUAAAGCAGGCGAAGGUAGAGUACCCAGAUACUAUAAAGGCCCCAAGGAAGAAAUGGAAUAAAGGAGAUAAUGCAGGUAGAUGUAACAAAGGUCACUCAAAACCGAUCACUGUGGGUAGGCCAAAGGCAGAAACCACCAGCCAUCAGAGCCCGUUAAAGCGAGAAUCUUACACGAAGACAAAUAUAAAAAGGCUUUAGUAUACACCUAUACCGAUGUCACAUAACGAGUUAUAUCAAAGCCUAUUUAAUGCACAUGUAGUGUCCCCCUUUUACUUGAAACCCAUGCAACCCCCAUUUCUUAAAAGAUACGAUGCAAACGCCCAGUGCGAAUAUCAUGAAGGAAUCACAGGGCAUUCGAUAGAAAAUUGUACCGCUUUCAAAAAACUAGUUAAGAGACUCAUCAAUAGGGAUAUCGUCAAGUUCGAUGACUCAUCUAACCUGCUACCCAAUCAUGUUGAUAAUGGGGUAAACGUGAGGGCAAGAAAGGGAUUAGUUAUCUCUGAUUUAGGAGGAAACCAUGGAAAGGCAAGGAGCCAUUGUGAGUUCCAUCACGAGAAGGGGUACGAGACCCAAGAGAGCGUGGAACUCAAGGCCUUGGUUCAGGGCAUGAUGGACGACAAAGAGAUGGAGUUCUGUGAGGAAAUUAAAGAAGAGAAAAACAUACACACAAUGUUGGGAAGUGUUCACAUCAACACCAUAUACAAAGACACAAUUGAAAAGUAACCUUGUUAGAUAUCCGCCCCUGUAACCCUUGGAGUGUUCUAAGCAAUUGGACUGCGGAAGAAAUCCCUAUAGUAUUUAGAGCUUACUUAGAGUAAUAUUCAGAACACACUUGUUGCUUUUAGCCUAGAAGCAAUAAGAACUUUUUUGUGAAAUAGACUCAUGUCCGAACGUUAUUAUGCUAAUAAAAUACAUCUUUGCGAUCAUUUUUGAGUCAAUGUUCUUUCAUUCUUUUUGAAUAAUUAUUUUUGAUUACUUCUUUCUUUUGGAUUUUCUUCCACAUCAUUCAUUCAUAAUCAUAUUGUACCAAUAAAUAUUCAUAAAUUUAUACAUUCUUUUAUAUAUUCUUUGGUAUUUAUUAUGGAUCCCUAAAUAUGAAUUACAUGAAUAACGCUGCUACAGACUCAGAUUUUCCUUUGGGCGAGGCAUGUGUUUAGAGGGAUCUCAUGACUUUGAAAAUGACAUAGAUUGUAGCUUAUCUCCAGAUUUGUUGAGAUGGUGGAACAAGAGGAUAGAUAGAUCCUACCUCACAAGAAAUCAUUAGAAAUUAUGAGCUUGGUGAAUAUUAGAAUUGACCUGACCGUAAAGACAAAGCAAGACCUUGUUGAGUUACCUCUAGAGUUCAAAGAUGUCUUUGUAUGAUCAUACUAGGAUAUGCCCGGGUUAAGCGCUGAUAAUAAAAUCUACACAACAGUACGAUAUCAGAAAUUUGCAGUAUGAAUGAUGCAAUGAAAAUUCUUUGCCGGGGCAAUGCCUUUCUCGUUGACUCAUCAUAGCUUUGCCCAUUUGAAGUCGAGUUUUCAUCUCUUCAAGUUUUUGUUGGAUUUUAUCCUAAUUGAAGAGGAAGAUCCAAAGCUUUCUGUCAUAGUUGCACCCCAAAAGGCUCUAUGAAAGAAAUUUGAUACUAAAGAAGAUUUUUCACAUACAAGAUGAAAGUGGAAGAUAUUAUGUGGAAGAAUUUAUCUAUAGAAAACACUGAUUCUGAUCAAAAGGGAUAAUAAGGACUUGCCUAAUCCUCUGAGUUCAAAUUCAAAAAAAUAAAAAAAUCAAAUUAAAAAUAAAAAAUAAAAUCAAAAAUGAGAGAAAAAGAAAGAAGAAAAAAAGAAAAAGAAAAAGAAAAGAAAAUAAGAGGUUAAGGCGAAAACCUGCAAAGGGCGCUUUAUGACCGAAGGUGGUUUUGAGUUGAAAACCCGAAAAGGGCGACUCAAAUUUUUUGCAAAAUGGGGCAUGGACAUCAUCAUCAUCGAAGGCUUCUAAUAGGAAUUUUUUCAUUUUUGAGAUUAUUAAUGACUUUAUCAAAUGGAUGGAGGCUGCUUCAUAUGCCAAUGUCAUCAUAUGCCUAUAUAGAAUUCCAGAGAGGAUUAUAUUGGAUAAUACGUUGAGCUUGAAUAAUUGCACGAUAGCUGAAGUUCGUAAUCAAGUCACAAUCAGACACCACGACUCGUCACUGAAUUGCCUAGAGAUGAAUAUGCAAAAAAUUGAAGGAAAAUGAUUGAGACUUGCGAGGACUGGCAUGAGAAAUCACCAUUUUCCCUCCUUGCUUAUUGAACAUCUUCAAUGGGGCAACACCUUUCUCUUCAGUUUACGGGAUUGAGGUAGCUUUACCUAUUGAAAUCCCCUCUCUCCGGGUAUUAGUUGAGCUAAAGUUAGAUGAAACAGAAUGGAUCCAAUCUGAUCAGAAGGAAAAAGACUAAAAGCUAUUCAGCACAGUCAGAUGAUGCGAGCCUGUAACAAAAAGGUUCGCCUCAGAGAACUCUAUAAGGGGAACCUAAUGUUGGGAAAGAUCCUUCCUACACAAAAGGAUUUUAGAUGAAUAUGGAUGCCAAAGGCCUUUUUCGGAGGAGCUCUGAUCUUAAGUAGGAUAGAUGGUAAAAACUUGCCAAAUCCUGUAAACUCAGAUUCAGUCAAGAAUUACUUCACCUGAAGAAGGAGAAGGGACCAAGGUGAAAACCCGCAAAGGGCGCUUUGAUUCCUAAAAAAUAAAAAGGAAACCAAGGUGAAAACCCACAAAAGGGUGCUUUGAGUCUAAAAAUAAUAAUAAUAAUAAUAAGAGAAGAAAGAAAAUAGAGAGGCCAAGGUGAAAACUCGCAAAGGGCGCCUUGAGACCAAAGGGGAUUAAAGUUGAAAACCCGAAAAGGGCAGCUUAAAUAUUGAUCAGAAUGAGGCAUGAGGUGAUCAGAGCAGUUCAAAUCUUGAUCAGAUUGGGGCAUAUGAUGAUCUUGUUAUACUUGAAUCAACAGGAAAUUGUAGGCGACAUCUUGGGGCAUCGACAAAGCACUAUAGAUAUCUUAAACACAUGUUAAACUCAGAAUGGUCUUCAGAAAGUUUGUACAGAGAAGUCCAAGCUGCGAUAUCUGGGGCACCCAAUUUUUAUACAAUUUACAUUGAAUUUAUUGUUCUUGGAAUACUUCAUUCUGUUCUAAGAUACACAUUCCCAAUCAAUUUCUUUGUUAUCCUUCUUUACUAUUUUUGAUAAUUUAUUCCUUUCGAGCUGUGCUCAGAACCAACUUUAUUCUUAUCCCUUGUUAUGACAUUUUUUUUUUGCAAGCAUGUUGCAUUGGAAUAAUGAUUAAUGGACUUAUAAAACUUUCACAAGGGAAGUUUUACAUAUUACUCUAGAAGUUUCUAAAUAAUACAGGAACCUAAAACAGGACUAUUAUUUAGAACGCACCAAGUUUAAAGGUUGGAAAUAUGAAAAGGAAGAGUCUAAAUUAGGACUUUCUCUUUGGAUUUUGUUGUCAAAAACAUUAAUUGAAUAAAAUGACAAGAUGUCAUGUUGAUGAAAAAGCUUAAAUAAACAAGUAAGCAAUGAUUACUAGGCAAUAGGAAGAGGUUUCCUAGGAGAAGAAAGCCUUCAUUUGUGCAAGAGCUUUGGGUACGACAUUUUGAGAAUGGUGUAAGGGACCAGAUAGAUUUAGAUAUUAUAUCAUUGAAUUGUGAUAGGAGAGGAUUGAGGAAAAGCCAUAUAUUUUUACCCUUGGGUUAUAGUGGGAGAAUGAUGGUACAAAUUAUGAAUCUCAGUGGAUUGAACUUUGAGGUUUACAGUGGGGGCAAUCUGACUAAGUGUUUCUUUGAAAACGCCAGCCGAGCAGGAAGGCGUUGUAGCACGUUAGUGAUAAAGCCUUAAUAAGCUUCGAGCAAUGAUAACCUAAGUGAUAAAGAACGAUCGUUCUAAAAAAAAUAGCAUUCUACAUUCAUGCAAACACGAUUCAUACAUGUCUAGUUAGGAGCAUUUGAUUCAUUAUGAUCAUAACAUCCUAAUCACUAGGCAUAAUUAGGUUCAUAAAAUGAAUUAUACAGGUCAUGGUCCCUAGAUAACAGAUCGGUAAGAUUGUGAAUCCUAUCUCCCUGGACAGCAGUGGAAUAGGUUAAAGAUUGUAAGUCCUAUCUCCUUGGACAGCAGUGGAAUAGGUAGAAGAUUGUAAGUCCUAUCUCCCUGGACAACAGUGGAAUAGGUUGAAGAUUGUAAGUCCUAUCUUCCUGGACAACAGUGGAAUAGGUUAAAGAUUGUAAGUCUUAUCUCCCUGGAUAGCAGUGGAAUAGGUUGAAGAUUGUGAAUCCUAUCUCCCUGAGCAGCAGUGAAGUAGGUUGAAAAUAGCAGAUAUUGUCUUCCUGUACUGGCAGUGAAGUAGAUCGAAGAUCUCAUCUUUAUCUCCCUGAACAGCAGCGGAGUAUGUUAAAAAUAGCAGAUUUUGUCUUCCUGUAUUGGCAGGGAAGUAGAUCGAAGACCCCAACCUUGUUUCCCUGAGCAGCAAUGGAGUAGGUUGAAAAUAGCAGAUCUUGCCUUCUUGUAUUGGCAGCGAAGUAGAUUGAAGACCCCAGCCUUGUCUCCCUGAGCAGCAGUGGAGUAGGUUAAAAAUAGCAGAUCUCGUCUUCCUGUAUUGGUAGUGAAGUAGAUCGAAGACCCCAACCUUAUCUCCCUUAGCAGUAGUGGAGUAGGUUGAAAAUAACAGAUCUUGUCUUCCUAUAUUGGCAGCGAAGUAGAUCGAAGACCCCAGCCUUGUCUCCCUGAACAGCAGUGGAGUAGGUUGAAAAUAGCAGAUCUUGUUUCCUUGUAUUGGCAGCGAAGUAGAUCGAAGACCCCAGCCUUAUCUCCCUGAGCAGCAGUAGAGUAGGUUAAAAAUGACAGAUCUUGUUUUCUAGUAUUGGCAGCGAAGUAGAUCGAAAACUCCAGCCUUGUCUCCUUGAGCAGCAGUGGAGUAGGUUAAAAAUAUCAGAUCUUGUAUUCCGUUAUUGGCAGCGAAGUAGAUCGAAGACCCUAGCCUUGUCUCCCUAAGCAAUAGUGGAGUAGGUUGAAAAUAGUAGAUCUUGUCUUCUUGUAUUGGCAGCGAAGUAGAUCGAAGACCCCAGCCUUGUCUCCCUAAGCAGCAGUGGAGUAGGUUAAAAAUGAAAGAUCUUGUCUUCCAGUAUUGGCAGCGAAGUAGAUUGAAAACCCCAGCCUUGUCUCCUUGAGCAGCAGUGGAGUAGGUUAAAAAUAGCAGAUAUUGUCUUCCUGUAUUGGCAGCGAAGUAGAUCGAAGACUCCAGCCUUGUCUCCCUGAGCAACAGUUGAGUAGGUUGAAAAUAGCAGAUCUUGUCUUCCUGUAUUGGCAGCGAAGUAGAUCGAAGACCCCAGCCUUGUCUCCCUGAGUAGCAGUGGAGUAGGUUGAAAAUAUAGAUCUUAUCUAUCUGUAGUUGCAGUAGAGCAGAUCGUAUCCAGUGCUAUCUCCCUGAAGUUGCAGUGGAGCAAAUAGAAAAAACCAAUCUUAUCUCCCUAAAGUUGCAGUGGAGCAGAUUAAAAUGAUGGAUCUCAUCUCUCUGAAGUAGCAGUAGAGCAGAUUGCAUCAAACUUAUCUUUAAAAUUGCAGCAGAACAAGUUGAAGCUACAAGUUUUACAUCCCUGAAGUUGUAGUGGAGCACAUUAAAUAUAGCAAAUUUUGUUCUUUUAAGAAGCUACAAGUAGGAUGGAAUGAGGCUACUUAAAGAAGAAGAGCACCAAGAUCCAGCAUGAUCGGGCAAAAUUGGCCAUUUUAAAGUCUUUGCUCCGUUUCUGUUACACGACAACGUGCAAAAAGGGGCAGCUGUAAUGGCCCAAUAUUGCCUGGCCCAGUAUAGAUAUUGAAAGUCCAUUUACAAAUAAACAGUCCAAUUACAUCAGCCUGAAUCAAUCUAGCCCAAAACCGUCCCUAAACUUGUUUUUAAGCCCAGCAAACCAACUCAACCCAAUACAACCCAAAACAGUUUUAAAAAACCCUAGCAGCAAUGGCUCCCAGCGUCGUAGCAGUAGAACCUCUUUGCUCUCCCUUACACGCCACGCCCACCCUCCGUACGCCGUACUUGCAAGAAGGACAAAGAAACAAGCAGCAAAACAGAUAGCAACAGCAAAGAAAGGAGCAACAAUAACAGAUUGACAACAAAUACUAGCAGUAAAUAGGAAGAAAAUGUAAAAAAUAUAAAAAAAUAAAUUUAUUUUCUUUCUUUCUUUUUCUCGGUUCGACUAUAAAAAGGGCAGAUUUAAAUCUAUAUAGGGGGUCACAGACAUGAAAUCAAUAUAAAAAGAAAAAUUGAACAGAAUGUUUUUUUCUUUCUCUUUUUCACUCAGUUCUUUUUCCGAUUCAUAUUUCUUUCUUUUUCUGUUUGUUUAUCAGAUAUACAUAUAUAAGAAUAAAUAUAAAAUAAAAAGUGAGAAGUUACCUUUUAAGAGUGCCAUUGGAUUUUCGCUCCCUCCGUCGCCGUCGGAGUCUGGGCGGAGAUUAAUCGGCGUUCGGACAGCCAAGUUUUUAAGUAGAGAGCGGCUAGGGUUUUCUUUGAUUCAAAAUGGCUGAAACAUUUUCUUUUUUAUUUAUAAGGGCCAUGUAAAAUGACAUCGUUUGAGGUUUGUUUCAAUACCCUCAAAACGGAGUUGUUCAAUCCUAUAACCCAAUGAUCCGACCCGAAGCGGAUUAGAUCCGCUCGUCUUGGUAUUAGUGGGGUUAUUUGCGCGCUAGGUCCUCCACUUUUGCGCUUUGGUUCAACCUAGUUUCUGUUGUUUCUUUAAAUUGGACUGUCUAUUUUCUUGCAGAUUUCAUCUUAGUCCACAUGCAAUGCUGUGUUCUGAGGGCACGGGAUUAUUUCCCUUUUUGGUCCCUAAUAUUGCACGCAUGUUUUGACACAGUCCUUAGAUAUUUCUAAUUGUGUUUUCUUUCCCUUAAAUUUGGUUUUAAUUUUAGAUUUAGUCCCCUUUAUGCUUUUUAAUUACUUAACUAUUAUUAUUAUUAUUGUUAUUAUUAUUAAUGUUACUAUAACUAUUAGUAUUAUUAUUUAUAUUAGUUUAUACGUUUAUUUACCUACGUACAUAUGUUAUUAUUUUGUUAUUUAUAUUAUUACUUUAAGUUUUGAAUUAUCAUCAUAUAUUACUAAUUAGUUUCAUUACGUAUUUUUUUAUGUAGUAUUAUUUUAUGUUAUAAAUAAAAUUAUAUUACCACUUUGGAUUUAUUAUACAUUUGUUUUAAAAUUUAUUGUGUAUUACUAUUUAAUCAAAUUAUGUAUUGCUUAUUUUAGAUUAACACAUGUAUAUUACCGUAUACAAAAUUCAUCUAAAUAUUAUUAUUCUAUGUAGUGUUUAUUCUUUAAACUCUAUUUUGAAUAUAUUUCAAAUUAUUCUAAAACUUUUGUACGUAUAAUUUAUUCGAUUAUGAUUUCUUCUCUUGCUAUUGUUUUUAGUUUAUCAAAAAAUUUGAUUAGUAAUUCAUUUAAUUUUUGAAUGUUGUAUGAUCAAGAUUAUUGUUGCCAUUCUUGUUUGAAUUUAUCCAUUGCUUGUUUAUAUUAUUUGAUGAUUUGUCGUUCACUAGCAUGUAUCGUAAUUUACGAAUUAUCAUUUUGAAUUAUGCACUACCAUUCAAUCGCAUUACAUUUGUUUAGAAAAACAUCGAAAUCGUUUUGCACAUAAACCUUCAAAAUACUCAGUAUCCAAGAUUCUUGGGAGGAUUAUGCCCUAACUUACUGGGCUUCAAUUCUCCUUGUUGAAUUUAGAUAACCAAAUACCCCUUUUUCAAUUUAAACAUAGAAAUUCCAAAAUUAAAGCUUAUCUCGGGAAUUCGAUGCGUCGUGUCCUAAUGAAUUGGAUAUGACAUGUUGUUUUCUCGAGAUGAGAAUUUUUCUAAAUAAAAAUAAAGGCAAUAUUCGAUGUUUAAGAAUUUUGUGAAAUCAAACCCUAACUUACUGGGUUUUGAUUUUUUUCAUUUGACCAAAAUAAUCGGAUAUCCUUCUCAAAAUGCAUAGGUUUUAAAAGUCAAGAUUUAAAGUUAAUUUUAAAGAUUAAAAAUGUUGCAUCCUAACUCACUGGGUGUGACAUUUUCUUUCUUUGAAAUAAGAGUGUCUCAUUAUUCAAUUCAAUGUAUUCAAGUUAAAAGGAUCGUAUUUUAAAAUCUUUUUGAAUUUUUGACGCUAAGACAUUAAACAAUCGAUUCGGUACCAAUUUUGGGCGUCACGAGGGUGCUAACUCUUCCUCGUGCGUAUUUUACAGUAUUUUAGAUUUGUUUUAGGUUUGGAGAUAUGGUCCAACAAACAAAAAUUUAUUAAGAAAUAUACAUUAUAGUGCUUUGGAGCAGACACAAAUUGAUGUCCAAAUACUAAAGGGCCAAAUGGAAACAAAAGUUCUGCUAGCGAGCAGUAUAGACGGCUCAUUGAGGUAUAACUGGAGUUGGAAAUAGAUUAUCUGCAUCCUAUUCCAAGUACAAUAUGCGUCCGAUUUCAUAUUUUUGUACUAUAAUUUCCACCACUUUAGGUGGAUCUACAAUUUAUUAACAUGGGGCAUUAGUUGUUGCCAUUUCUUUGCGUUUAUCACAUUUAUUGGUGUCAAAAUACAAUAUGCUGAAGUGUGUCAUCUGUUACUCUGUUUUGAGUAAUGACCUCUAAUUUGGAAUGGCUGUGUUAGUUCUUCCGGUGCUCAUGCAUCAGGCUUGGGUGACCUAAACAUGCCAUACUUCUUGCAUCUUGUUGUCAAGUGCGAUAAAAAUUAGGUCUCCUUUUCAAUUUUGUUGCGACAUUGGAACCUCUGCAUAUCUUGCUCAUCUUUUCAUUCGGCCAAUGAUCUGGUGUUCUUUUCGGCGUUACCAUCUAACAUUACAUAUCCCUUCCUACUGUUGUAUUGGAGCUUUUACAUGUUGUAAUGCAUGGUGUACUCUCCUACUACUGCAACAUACAUGCAGAUGCACUUGUUCUUUCUCACUUCUAUUUUUCCGUUCACUGUCUCUUACAUUGUAUUUCUAAGCAUUUGUCUUGUCGAUUUGUUAUUUUCUAUUGGCUACUAUUGUGGCAUAUGUUUAGCUUCUUUCGAUGGCAUUGCUAAGGAACUUAUAUACCAUCCAUUUUCUUUGAAACGUUCUAUUAGUUUUUGAAGUUUGGUUUUCUUACAGUCUCUUAAAGGUUAGAAGUGAACGCCAUUUUGACAAUGGGAUCACACGCAUUCCAGAUCAUGUUUGGCCUUUCACCGAAGGGGAUGUGGAGUGUGAUGAAGCACCUCCGUUUGUCUCGAGGUCUGCGGCUGCUACACUUCAUAUGCUGUCAAGAAUAUAUUCUAUAAGAUUGUGUGAAAAGCAAUCUUUUUAUACAAACAAUGAUGAUUCCAAGUUCCAAUGCUCACUGUAUCCUUCAGUGAUCACUUAUCUUGACAAGUUCUUAAAUAUAAUGAAGACAUUAAUUCCUGAAAUCUUCAUCUUCUCUAUGAUUUGGAUAACCUAUAGUUCUGUGGUUUAUGAGGCACGGAAUCUCAAUUUUCCUAAUGGAUGUGCUAUGUAAUUCAUGUUUUAUAUGAUUUAAUAUGCUUAAUUCUUCGCUUCUUCCAUAAAUUCCUCAGAUUUUCUUAUUUAUUAUGUUUAUGUGACAAUUUGGCCCGACAAAAUGUGUUUUGACUUGUGUUCCCUAAACAAUAUCCACACCACUUUUGGCAUGUUGGAGGGACUGAAGCAUGGUGACUGAAGCUUUAGAAAUGAGGCAUUUUGUUGUUGUAAUGAUCACCUUUGAGAAAAGUGCCUUGAGUUGGGAUGUCCAAUCUCCUAAGGUUCGGAUGUGGAUACUUAAAUAGUCAUCUCCAAGAGCUGAAGUGAUGGAGAAGGGAUGCCUGAGAAUCAAAAUCACUAAUGUGUCGUUAGUACUGUCAUUAGAUCAUUGAAAUCAGGAAAUUGCAUGAUUAUUGGUUACUGUUUUUUUUUCCAUUUAACUGGGGAGACUUCAGCACAGUUCGCAAAGAUAUAUUGGCCAUUAUUGUACUUAAAUCCUUGAAGCUUAGACAUAUGCAAGGAAAAUGCAUUUCCAGGGUAGACAGCAACCUGAGUUAUAAGUAGAAUUGGAUGCUAUAUGUAUAUGGUACCUCCGUGUCUGUAUGAAUGCGUAUGUGAUUUCUAACUUUUGAUCCCAAGUUGAAAAGGGAUUGUAAAAUUUUGUAAUUGGAUGCUAAUGAGAUCAUGUAACUUUUUGUUAAUAAAUGAGCAUUAUGUUUGGAUCUAAAAUAUAAUUUUCAAGCUACUUUUACUUUUUAGUUUAGAAGAUAAUUAAAUUAUUUGUUUCGCUAAAAUAUAUUUUAGCACAUUAAUAACAAUAUUAAUAAUCAUCUACCUACAAAAAUUUAGCCAAAGGUACUUUGGUCAUUUAAGCCUUUUUUUCUUAUGCUUUUACAAUAUUUAUUUCAUUCAACCAAAUACACUAUUAUAGUUUUAUUUCAUUCCACUCAACUAAAGGACUGAAUUACUGAUUACAAUUUUAUUCCAUUAUAUCAUUAGCCCCAACCAAACCUAGCGUAAUUUUAUUAUAAACACUCAAAUCACUCAAACUACACUUCUUGUAAGCAGCUUAUGCUUCAAGGAAAAUAAUAAUGGAGGUAGCGAGAACUGUAAAGAAUGUUUCUCCCCAUGAGUUCGUGAAGGCCUAUGCAGCCCAUCUCAAACAGUUCGGCAAGGUUUUCUUUUAGAAACUUUUAAAAGAAAUAGAGGCUUGCUUGUAGGUUUAAAUGUUUCUUUAAACUAUUUUUAGGGUUUUAGGCCUAGUAUGAAAGUAGGGUAAGAGGUGAGGGAGAGAGCAAGAGGAACAGCGACUGGUUAGAGAGAUGGCAAGAGUGUUUUGGGGAACAAGAGUGAUGGAGAUAGUGAAGAAGCACGAAUCUGGUGAUCUCGUUUGGAAGAGAAUUAAGCUCACUUCCACCCGCAAAGCCAAAGCCAAGAAGCGUCUCCAUUGCGUUUGGCAGGUCCUUAUACCCUUCUCUCUCUCUUUUUUUUAAUGCUGAAACCUUUCUUCUUUUUGGGUUUUUGCCUUGCUGCUUGUUGCUUUAUGCUUUCAAUUGAUUCAUUUAGUUGUUGGGAAGUAGUUAGAUUUGUGGGGAAAAUAUGAAGUGUGGAAGAAGGUUGUGAACAAGUUUAAGUUAAGAUUUGAUAGUUUAUUACAUUUAGAGCUUAUUUGCAAAUUUCGUAUCCACAAUUAAUUGCACAGUCAAUCAUACGUGCUGAAGAUAACUUAGAGACUUUAACUUCAUUUGGUAUAAUCUCUUGUUAGUUUAGAUUUCGUCAUAGGAUUAUUUACUAUUCAUGAAAAAUGUUUUCCUCUUUGCUUUGUAUGUGUGUGUCCCCCUUCCCUGUAGCUCUUACAAAACAGUUCUUCCAUUUUAUGGCCAGUGGCAUGUGUCUACUUAAUUUCUGUUUGUGUUGUUUUUAAAGGGGUUUUAGUGGUAGGCUUGCAUUAGAUUGUGUCUAAUCAGUGAACUCGAGUUUGGUGGUUUAGAACUGUGCAUUUGUUAGUUGGAUUCGAGGUUGGUGUUAUUGUCACGGGCCGAAGUGCAAAGCCCGUGACCAUCGCACCAAAUGCAUCCAAUGGAGGUCUAUCACUCAGAUAGAGAUCAUUUGGCCCACGAGAACUGGCCCGAUUCCAAGAGCUAUUAGAGAAGCCUGUCAGAUUGAAGCCUGGUUGGCCCGAUAGUGAAGAAAUGUCAACUUAGGCUAAUAUGGUAACUAAUCUUAGAAGAUAGAGGGACUCAUAUCUUGUAAAGAUUAGAUUAGAUUAGAUUUGAUAAGGCAUAUCUUGUAAAUCCCUAAAAUAAAGGGAUAUGUUUAAUCUCAUCCGUCAAUGUAAAUGUAUCUUGACCGUCAGUUUUGGGGGAGCUCAACUAUAAAUAAAGAGCCUCCCCCUCAUAUGCACUCAUUCCAUUGUAUUCUGAAUUCUUAAGAGUAAUAGAGUUCUGAGAGCAUUUACUCAAAUACCUUGUGUGCAUUCUUUUCUGUGGCUUUCUGUUAUUCUUUGGUUUAACUUCUUUUGGCAUAAAUCACUUCCGCUAUUCAAUUGGUGCCUUGGAGGAGUUCUAAAAUAAUCCUCACUUGAGUUAAGGCUAACUUAGGUGAGUUUGGAUGAACGGAUCGCCUAAGGCCACACGGUUCACGAGACGAAACCUCUAGCCCCGUGACAAGUGGUAUCAGAGCAAGGUUUGAACCAAGUAAUAUCUAAGUUGUUGGUUCGAAGGCACUGUUGGGAUGUCGAAAGAAGUUGUUGGUCAGAGUGAGCCAAUGGAGACCCGAGGAAGGGCCAGAAAAGUGAGUCGAUCAAGGGACUUAUUGUCGGCUUUAGACGAUCGACUUGUCACUCUCGAUGAGUCCAUGGGGGAUGUCAAGGAGAGGAUCGACGACGUCGAUGAUAGACACAAUGAUGGGUUGCGAACAUUGCAAGAGAAACUCAAGGAAUUUGUAUGGGAUACUAUCGGUUCCUCGGAGAAUAAGCUGGCUGAAAAGAACAAUGCUCUCGAAGCUAUGGUGACAGCUUUGAAAGAGGAGAUCAAUGAGCUUAAGGGGGAGCUCAAGAUUUUCAAGGCUGCCAUAAGGAAUGGAAUGUUGGAUUCAAAGCCGAAGCCACAAGUGAUGGAUGUGCCCAAGCCAAAGGCGUUUAAAGGGGCAAGGUCCGCAAGUGAAGUGGACAACUUUCUUUGGGCCAUGGAGCAAUACUUUCGUGCGAUGAACAUCGAAAAUGAUGUCACAAAGGUAAACACUGUUGCUAUGUAUUUCACUAAUGUUGCUUUGUUAUGGUGGUGACGUAGGUCCACUGAUGUGAGAUGUGGUAGGACCGAGAUUGGGACUUGGAAAGAGUUCUAAAGUGAAUUUAAAGCACAGUUUUACCCCGAGUAUGCCGAGGACGAAGCUUGAGCAAAGUUGCGAUGGCUAACACAACGAGGCACAAUUAGGGAGUAUGUACGGGAGUUCAGUGAACUCAUGCUCCAGAUCUCUGAUUUGAGCGAGAAGGAAGCAUUUUUCUCCUUUAUAGAUGGGCUGAAACCAUGGGUGAAGCAAGAAUUGCAACGUCGAAGAGUUCAGGAACUUACCAAUGCCAUGAUGGUAGCGGAGUCCAUAGUGGAACUUGCUCCGAGAAGGGACAGGUUUGAAUCUUCCAAGCCCAACAGGAGGAGAAAUGGUAGGUACCAUGAGGAGGAUGAAGAGGGACAAAGCUAUGAUGACAACGGUAGUAGUAGCGAUGGUGAUGAUAGGAAACCAUGAAAUCGGAAGUGGAGACCUAAUAGCCCGAAAUAAAAGAGGGGAAAGUUACGAUGCUACUUUUGCAAGGGACCGCACAUGAAGAGGGACUGCCCAAAGGUAUCUUCAGUUUUGGUUAUCAAGAGAAAUGAUGAGCCGGAAGAGGCGAAGCCUAUUGAGGGAAAGCCAUCGAGGUUCAAUUCAAUGGUGCUCAUUCCUAAAAAAAGGAAUGGUAAAGAAGGGUUGAUGUCUGUAGACAUCAACAUUGUGGGUCAGAAGCAGAGUGCUCUUAUUGAUACGGGAGCAUUGGACUUGUUCAUAUCGGAAAAGGCUGCAAGGAAGCUUGGUUUGCCGAUUAGGAAAUCGAAUAGGAAGAUCAAGACAAUAAAUUCUGAGGAGGCCCCAACUUUGGGAGUAGUUCAGAAUGUGAAACUACAAAUCGGCGAAUGGAAGGGCAAGGAAGACUUUGAGGUAAUCGAAUUAGAUGAUUACGAUUAUGUACUUGGCUUAAACUUCCUUGACAUGAUUAAAACAGUUCUAUAUACAUGCGCCGAUCAAAUUCAUAUUAGCACUGGUCCGUUAACAAGAAUUGUUGUGCCGGUGCAUUGAGAUAUGAAGGUGGGGGCAAAGGUGUUUUCGUCAAUCCAACUAGUCGAGGAUGUUUCGUAUUAGGGGAACAUUGACUCGAUAGAACGGGAAGUUAUGAAAGCUCAUUCGAAAGUGUUAGUGGCACAAGAGUUCGAUAUGAAGCCUGCAGAUUCGACUGUGAAGCCGACACCUUUCGGAAAGGUGGGUUGUGCAUCGGGCAUCAAGAAAAAGGGAGCGAUGGAAAAAUAGUUGGGACAAGUAAAUGCUGCAAGUAAGGUACAUUGCGAACACUUUGAUAGUGUUUUGAAUUCUAAGUUGUUGGCUUGGUAAGGUCGUAGGGGCCCUUUCAAAGUUCAUGAGCAAGGAGGCCAAGGGACUGUGGGCAAUACGAAGCCAAGGUGUGAGAAUCGAGAUGAUUCAAAAGGAAACAAGUCAAAAUUUGGGCAAGUUAGUGCGGAGACUUCUUGCCAACGAGAUGUACCAAAGAGUGCAAUGGUUCAAGUGAAGAUGCGACGGAAGCCGAGGCAAAGGUUCUAAAGGAAGGGACAACGUGAUCGCAAGACAAGUCAGGAAGAAGCCAAGGCAACGAGAGGGUUCAAAGGCGAAUCAAGUCAGUGCCAUUCGGAAGUCACAACGAGGACGUUGCGAGAAUGGGUGGGGGAGAAUGUCACGGGCCAAAGUGCAAGGCCCGUGACCAUCGCACCAAAUGCAUCCAAUGGAGGUCUAUCACUUAGAUGGGGAUCAUUUGGCCCACGAGAACUGGCCCGAUUCCAAGAACUAUUGGAGAAGCCUAUCAGAUUGAAGCCUGGUUGGCCCGAUAGUGAAGAAAUGGCAACUUAGGCUAAUAUGGUAACUAAUCUUAGAAGAUAGAGGGAAUCAUAUCUUGUAAAGAUUAGAUUAGAUUUGAUAAGGCAUAUCUUGUAAAUCCCUAAAAUAAAGGGAUAUGUUUAAUCUCAUCCGUCAAUGUAAAUGUAUCUUGACCGUCGGUUUUGGGGGAACUCAACUAUAAAUAGAGAGCUUCCCCCUCAUUUGUACUCACUCCAUUCCAUUGUAUUCUAAAUUCUUUGUGAAUAAGAGAAUAGAGAGCAUUUACUCAAACACUUUGCGAGCGUUCUUUCUGUUGUUCUUUGUUGUUCUUCUUUUGGCAUAAAUCGCUUCUGCUCUUCAAUUGGUGCCUUGGAGGAGUUCUUAAAAGAAUCCUCACUUUUGGGUGUAAAGGCUGACUUUAGGUGAGUUUGAGACGAACGGAUCGCCUAAGGCCGCACGGAUUGCGAGACGAAAGGUCUAGCCCGUGACAUUAUAGGCAGGUAUGUGCAACUUCAAAUAUUUUUCUAUCUAUUUCAAAGAUAAUACUGUCACAUUUCAAAAAUUGAGUGUAAUAUCAUAAAAAUUAAAAUAGGAUGAAAUGAUUAAUUAAAUAAUAGUAAUAAAAUAUUAAAAUAAUUAUUGAGUCUAAAAUUGGGUGGUGAAAAUUUGGAUUAGAUGGUCUAUUAUUACAUGAAUUAAAACAGAUUUUAAAAAAUAAAACCGAGUUUGAAAAUAAUUGAGAAAAAUGUGUUUUAAUUAAACUAAAUACUAAGUUGAAAAAUAAGAGAAAAUUGAGAGUUUUUAAAAGAAAUUUUCCCUUAAUUUAAAAAAAAAUUACUCAUAUUCUUCCACUUUGAAAACCCCCCAUGUCCCAUUCCCUCCCAUUUAGUUUCACAUUCAAAAAAUUUUCCAAUUUUAAAUAUGAUAUUUUCUCUCAAAUUAGCUCAUCCUUGGUGAUUUUCUAGUUAUCCAAACAAUUCAACACCUUCCAAUUUUAAAGAAACAUCAUUAAGUCCUCAUCAAAUUCAUCAUUAUUCUUCUCAUGUUUAACUUCGAAUUAGAUCAAUAAUAUGUUGUUUUCUUCAAAUUGAGGUAAUGUCUUGACUUAUUAUGAUUAGAUUAAGGCUACUAUUUUCCUAAUUUGGAAUUUAAUCAAGUGUGUUGAGAGUUUUUAAGAUUUAAAACUUCUUAAUUAAAUUUUGGUUCAACAAUGGUGAAAUCCGAAAUAAUGAGUAAACCUACUCUUUUUUGAUUGAAAUCUAAUCUAUUUUUAACUAAACAGAAUGUAUUUGAACUCAAUUUGAUAGAUCGAUAAUGAAUUUUAAUGAAUUUCGAAUUUUCUCCUUUUGUGUGUUCAUAUAAGCUUGAUUGUUCCGGAAACUUUAAAUUCAUGAGAUUAGGUAGAAUGAAAAGUUUAAAAGUGAAAUUAGAUGAUAUUUAGGAAUAUUAGAAUCGAAAUUAAGGUUUAGAGAUAAAGUUUGAGUGAUUAAAUACCUAUUUCGGUAAAACUAGUUAAAUUUUUGGUAUGAGAAAAGUGAGCUUAGAGUGGUGAUUUUGCUAUAUUUUUUGAGUUUAAGCUUGUUAAUAAUGAUUUUAUAUUGUAUUUAAUGUGUAUGCAAAGUUUUGAAUUCAUUGGGAGGUUUCACAAGCAAUGCGAAAGGGAAAGAAUGCUUGUUUGACAUUGUUGUGCAAGAAGUAUUGACUAAGGUGAGUGAUCAGAGUUGUGAUUCUUAGGAACGAUUCCUAAGGUUGAAUACGAGUUUAGGUUGGUCUAGUCACCUAACCUAAGCUUCAAAAGUAAGUAUUCUUUCUUGAUUGAUGUACUAUAAAAUUCGAUGCUUGCUUAUCGUGAUAUGUGAAUCAUGUGAAAUAUUAAGCAUGUGUUGUCUGUAAAUGACAAUGAUUGAUAAGUGCUUGCUGGUUUUAUGUGCACCUAAAUAAUUUAAUAUGAUUAUGGCUCUUUUGAGCAAUUGUGAUAGCAUUUGAGAGUGCAUUAAAAGUGUUGAGAAAGUGGUGUUCAAGUGAAAAUUUGUAUAAAAUAAUGAGUGAAUAUGUGUAUAAGUGGUUAUGUUGGCAUUGUGAUUAUUUGGAACCAUUGGAUAUCAUUGGUAUUCCAUAGGAUUGAGUAUUCACCAUCUUUAUCAUGUGUUAGGGCAUUAUGACCUGAAGAUAGCGUUGGAGGGAUAAGGGAAUAUUGAGCAUAGCUCCAUUCACCGUAGAUAGAGUGGUGUGUUUGGAUUUGUUUAAAAUUGAAAUUUUGUACUUAUUAGUAUAGAUAUUGAUGUACCAAUUAAUACAUUAUGAAUAUAGAUUUGCAUUAUAUUUGUGAAACACAAGAAUAUCAUGGAAUUAGGUAAUUUGUUUUUAGAGUGGUUAUAUUUGAUAUAUAUUUACUUUUAUACAUUCUUGAGAUAAAAAAGUUCCGAAAUUUUAUAGAAAAGUUCAAUCUAUUAUAGUUUGAUCUAAUGUUUGUAGUUAACAAUUCAAAUAAUGUAAGUAGAUCCAACCCUAUAAAAAAUGGCAUUAUUUAAUUUAAAUACUUACUAUUAUGUGAUAUUAUUCGAAAAUGCAUGCAUGGAUUUCUUUUUCUUUUCAAAAGCAAAAGGCAACCAAUGGCUCUUUCUUAUCGUCUAUGGUUAGGUGAUUUGCACUUGAACAAGGUUAAAGAGACAAACAAAAGCAAAUUACAUUUAGUCUUCCUGCAUUGAAACAAACACCAAUCACAUUGCUAAUACAUCGAAACAAACCCUUAAUAGAGAUCCCGAAGACUAAAGCAUGAAGCUAGUUCAACAAACCUAAUUUACUAAUUAGCAAAAAGAAAAGAAAUUAAGGGAUACAGCCUUUUGGCCGCGUGAAGUCUCCAAUUUUGAUUUUCUAAUUUCCUAUGCUUUUUAUGUUGGUGGUGCUGGAGAAGGUGUCCACUGAUGUGCUUGGAUCAAUAGUAGGAUUACUCAGUCCAGUAGUAUCUGAAUCUAAUAACCCUACUCUGCAUACAUUCGAAUCCAACUCCGAAUCCACUUUUGAUUCAUCGUCGAAGUCCACGUCGCGAGCAACUGGGAACACUACAUCGGGGUAUCUACAUUCACUUGCGGGAUCCGUCUUCGACAUCUCGGCAUCAGCAGCCUUUUGCAACUCUAUAGCAAACCCCAACCUUUCCAUCACAUCAUUCAUUGAUGGCCUAUCGGUUCCCACCUCUGCUAUGCAACUUUCUGCAAUUUCGACAAACACCUUAAAACACUCUGGAGCUAUCUUUCCAAUCAAAUAUGGAUCAAUAACCUUGUACAGUGUCCCAUCUGCAAUGCACUGUUUGGCCCAAUGUGCCAGGCUCAUUUGAGUUUCGGGCAAUUUCGUAUUCACAGCUUUUCUUGCACAUAACACUUCAAAUAACACAACACCAAAUGCAUAUACAUCUGAUUUUUCGGUUAAUUUAUGACCCCGAGCAUACUCCGGGUCCAUGUAGCCGCGGGCGCCCUUUAUUCCAGUUAUGAUCACCUUGUCUUUGCGGUCUUCUUUCGACAACCCAAAAUCCGAAACCUUGGCAAUAAACUUAUCAUCUAGGAGAAUGUUGCUUGUCUUGACAUCACGGUGGAUACAGUAUGCCUCACUUCUGUAUGAAGAUAGUUCAAUCCAGUUGCAGCUCCCUUGCAAAUCUCAAGCCUUUGCUUCCAUGUGAGAGGAUCAUAGGCAAAGCUAGUACCGUAAAGAUGAUCCGAGAGAGUCCCAUUACGCAUAAAAUCAUACACCAGAAUCAUCUCUCGUUUCUCAUUGCAGUAUCCGAUUAAGGACACCAAAUGAACAUGGCGGAGCUGAGACAACAUCUCAAUCUCUGUUAAGAACUCUCGAAUACCUUGACUGGAUUCUCGAUUCAGGCGCUUGAUUGCAACUAUCUUUUCACCGUCAUCCAUGAAACCUUUGUAUACUUUCCCAAACCCACCUUUCCCAACAACUAAAUCAUCAUGGAAAUUGUUGGUAGCAGCUUUGAUCUCAUCCAGUGAAAAAUGGCGGCAUAGUUCAUCUGGUAACGGUGAGGUCCUUCUGGAUUUCCCUUCGUUUUGUUUUACCCACCAGCAAAGCCAACUUGUUCCCUUUCUUUGCCGCUGAACAACCAUGCAAACCAGUAAAGAAAUUAUGGCAAUCAAACCAGCCGCACAUCCGACACCAGCAAUUAGCAAGCUUCUCUUCUUGGAUUUUUCACCUGCAGAAUUGGACGAAUCCGAAGGUGGUGGUGGAGCCACCUGUAGUUCUGGGUUUGGUUCGCCCAAAUUGCCAUCGGAGUUGCUUAAUUUGAACACUUCAAUCCCAUUUAAGAUGACAUCAUAGUACUUUGCACUAAUAGGAUGCAAAUCUAUGGUGAUGUACUCCUUUGAUACUAACACGACAUAAUCCUUAAAUAUCGGAACUCUGCCUUGCACAGUCCACAUAAUCACAUCAGCGAUUUGUUCAGCCGUCUGACUGUUUAUAAAGACCUUAAACUUCAGGUCUCCCGGAGAGUUUACUGGAUCUUGUUGUUCACAGAAAUGAAGCCUCACCAUAUAGCUGAAUCUCGAACCCACGGGCAAUCUCCAUGAUAAGUUAUGCUUCUCGUUGUACGCAAGACUAGGCCCCAUUGUCCGUGCAGUCCGAUAAACCAUCUCCGGUGCCGUAUAUCUCGGAAUCAUUGUGUAGUUGAUUGGCACGGAGUUGUUCAUAGUGAAAUAGCUAUUUUCUGUCAUGUACAAAUAGUCAUCGGACCAAAGCAUGAAAAGGCCAGUAUCAUCGUUGGGCGAAAUGGAUUGGCCACCAACAUUCAAUCGAUACGCCAUCUCAAGUGCGGUGUCAUUCUCAACGGGGAAUGGAUAAUUCUGACCAACGAAAGGUACAUACGUUGAGUCAGGCGGUGUGUAGUAAAGAUUGGUAGGCAUCGACACGAUCUCGAUUCCAUUGAUGAAAGCGUAAGUAUCGUUUGAAGCACUACGAGAUGGAGUGAAAACAAGGUCCAACACCUCAUUAUCUUCCACGUUCAAACAGAAUUCUCUGAAAAACCAAUUUCUCCCCCUUGAAUCUGCAACAAGGGAAGCAGUGAAAUUUUUUAGCAAAGUGACAGAACCAGCUUUGACAGAGAAAAAGGCCUUGGAUCUGUCGUUUUCUUCAUAGGACGCCGGAUGGAAGUAGAGACGAACGAAUUUCUGGCCUGAAGUAACAGGGAAAGUGUACUUGAAUUCGGAACGGGAAACUCGGGCCGUCAUAUAAGGCACGGUUUCGGAACCGUCUUGAGUAUCAGCUUCGUAGGCUUGCGAUUUGUUGUGGGAUGAUUCGAAAGGUCCAAAAUUUGAGGUCUUGUCUGCUGCCCAAUAUCUGCCAUCAUUAGCUAAUAAGUCGGUUGGAGCUCCACAAUUCAGGGUGAUAUUAUCUGUUGGAACGUAUGCAGGCUGCUCUGAUGCAACAAAAAUGGUUGCCUGAAGGAUGGUUAUGAGAAAUAUUACCGAGUACUUCUCCAUGGAAACAAGUGAAAACUGACUAUGAGUAUGUUUGUCUAUGUAAAUAUAUGUCGAUGGAAUGGGAACAUGUUUUAUCAGUAUAUUUGCAAAUUCAUACAGCUUUUUCUUUACAGGUUACGAGUCUUUCUUUUAUCUUUUCUUUUUUAAUGUAUCCAUAUAUAUAUUGCUUCAAAUUAAAGCUAGAUGAUUGGAAAGUUAUAUAGAAAAGGUAGUCGCGAAACUGGUUUGAAUUAAAGAUAUUUUCACAAAUAAGAUUGACCGAAGGUCAACCACUUAACUAAUUCAUUUAAAAUAGGAUAAUGUGGUAUAUGGUACCUAUAUUUUUAUAAAAUGUCUAAUGUGAUAUAGGUACUUUGAAAAUGUCUAAUUUGGUAUUGAACUAUUAAUAUGUUUUAUUAUGAUAUUGGUAUUAACAAUCGUAAUGAAUUGUUAAAUUAACCAAUGAAAAUUUGACAUGCAGACUUUUUUUUUCAAUUAUUAAGUCCACAUGAAUAAUAUAACGUUAUGUGAAAAAUCAAAUAAAAAUUUAAAUUAAAUUAAAAAUAAAUAAGCAUAUGAUUAAUAAAAAAAGAAGUGAAUACUAAACAUGAAAGUACUUAUUCUUUUUAUGUAUAAUAAAAAUAUUAUUUAAACAUAAAUUAAAAAUACUAUUUCAAAUGAAAAACUCUUUCAAGAACUUUGUAAGUCAUUUACUUCUUUUUUAUUAAUCAUAUGUUUAGAUUUGUUUUUUUAAUUUAAUUUAUUAUUUUUUAAUUAUUCACAUAAUAUUAUAUUAUUCAUGUGGAUUUAAUGAUUUGAAGGAAUCAGAUUUUUUUUUAUGGUUUAGCAAUUCACUAGCGAUGUUAACAUCAGGUACCAUAAUAAAACACAUAUUGAUAGUUCAUGUACCACAUUGGACAUUUUAUGAAAGUACACAUAUCAUAAUAAAAUACAUAUUAAUAGUUCAAAUACCUCAUUAGAUAUUUUUAAAGUACAUGUACUACAUUGAACAUUUAUAAAAGUACAUGUACUAGAUAUGAUAUUAUUUCGAUCAAAAUUAAAUGCACGGUUCAAAAGUUAAAAUCAACUUAAAUUUAAAAGAAACUAUCAAAAUUUUUUUAAAUUUUUAUCUAAAUUGCAAUGAGACCUUGGUGUGGUUGGUCAAGGUGGAGGUUAUUGGUAUUUCAGAAAUCAAGUCCAAGUCUUAUGUGAAAUUAUGAAGUGUGGGUAUUUAGUCACAUUAUGUGUGUAUGCUAUGUAUGAGUUUUGUCCAAUUCUUUUCAAUUUUUUGCCCAUCGUGUUUUAUACUAUUUUGAUUCUAGUUGCUCAAACUAUUAUUUAUAUUUAUAUUAUUGUUGUGAAUAUAUUAUAUUUGUAAAAAUAAAACUUUCAAAAACUACUACUACUUAAACGAAGCCAGCAACUUGAUCUAUUAAAUGAUGCAUUUGAUCAUUUUAACUAGGUUUAAUUUAAUAACAAGCCUUCAAAUUAUACCAUUUACUUUGGUUAGGUAAUUAAUUUUUUCUUUAUCGAACUAGAUACUUAGAUUACAAUUUUGUUGUAAUGAUUCGAUUUUAGACAGUGUCAAAUAAAUGUAGUUUUAGAAUUUAAUUCCGUAAACCGAGUCAAUAAAAAUAUAAAUAGAAGGAUUUACAAUGUUAGUACAAAAUAUAUUAAAUAAAAGUUCAGAAAUUAACUCAAAAAAAUUGUUAAUUAAAGUUUAAGGACUAAAUUAUAAAAGUCUCAUCGUUAUAAAAUUUUAAUUUUAAAAAUACUUGAAGGCCUAAUUGGCAAUUAAUCAAAGGACCUAAUGAUUAUUUAACCAUUAAAUUUUUAUGAGAAAGUGGAUGAGCACAAUCAUUUCCAUCCAUUUUUAAGCAUGUUAAUUAAUGAUUAUUAUCAAAUGUUAGAUAAUUAAGUAAGCUUAAUUAUCUUUAAUUGCGAGUAAAAAAACAAAACAAGUGGGAAAGAGAAUAAGAUGAACAUAUUAUUCUUUAGAAUUGUGUUGUCCAUGCCCAGAGAAGAAGAAGAAAAACCUUUCAAGCUUUUUUUUUUUAAAUGAUUUAAAUUAGCUAAGGUAAGAGAGGUUUUCCUAGAUGUUUUUUUUAUAGAAUUUUAAUCAUCUAAGCCAAUUAAGUCAUGCCAAAGCAUUUGAUUAUUCAAUCUGCAAGUUUAGUUGCCAUUAGUUAAUAAUGACGAAAUUAGGCUUGAAAUUGAUAGAAAUUUAGUUGUUGAACUAGAUUUUACUAAUACUAUAUUAGAAUAGAGUGGAAUUAGCUUAAAAUUAAAGGUUUAGUUAACUUUGACAUUAGGGACUAAAUUGAAUAAAUUAAAAGCUGUUAAGAAAUUAUGCUAUAGAUUAGAAGUAGAUGGUCUGUGAUGAAAGAAUAUGAAAUUAGAUUAUGAUUCUAUAUUAAAUAUUGAAAAGUAUGAACAUUUCAGACACAAGGGCUAAAAUGAAUAAAAUGUAAAAUAUAUUUGAUUAUAAAUUUUUUUGUGUUUGGGUGGAAACUAGUAUAAUUUUCAUAAUUGAAUUAUCGAAUGUAGCUAAAGAAACCAUCAAUCCAUCUCAAGAUAAAGGAAAGACGAAAUUUGUAAAUGUAACAUCUCUAACCCUUAUCCAUCGUCAGAAUAGGGUUACGGAGUAUUACUAGACUUUAAAUUUCAAAACAAAAAAAAUUAAACAUUUUAAUUCAUAUAAUUAAUCAUAGCAGAACCAAUUAAUAACAUGCAUACCGUCCCUUAUACGAGCCCUCGAGGCCCCUAAAAACACAUUAGAAACAAGUUGGGACUAAAUCGAAAACAUAUAGAAUUUUUCAAAAAAGGAUGAAAAUUUUUCAAAACAGUAGGGGUCACACGGUCGUGUGGGCAUUCGAAAUAGGGACACAUGACUGUGUCCCAACCCGUGUCUAUGCCCGUGUAACUUUCUGACUAGGGUCACAUGGCCAAGCCACACUCCCGUGUGCCAGGCCGUGUAACUGCCUGACUUGCAACCCUUUGUAAGUUACAGGGGACACACGACUAUAUCGCCUGGCCGUGUGUCACACAUGGCUGACACAUACGCCUGUGUCUCUGGUCAUGUGGACAAAAAGUAGGCUAUUUCCAAGCUAGUUUUCUCACCCAAACAUGCACACGCUUACAACCAAUUUCGCAUAUAUAAUCAAGCAUCCCAAAGUGCACAAAUCAUGCAACAUCAAGCUAUCCAAAUAAGAUACAUAUGCAUACAACCAAUAUCCCCAAAAAGGCACCUCAAUCAAACUUGUAUAACCAUAUGCAUAGUUUAGCCAAAAGUUCAACCAACUUAUCACUAAGUUUAUGCCAAAACUUACCACUUUAUUUACCUAUCAAUUCGUACCAAAAGUACCAAAUUUACCAUUUAACAUUUAAAACCUUAAGCCAUAUAUAUCAACUACAUUACCUAUACCAAAUAACCUCAUUUAAGCAUAUCAUAUCUCGAGUCAAAUCAUCAUAUAUCACUUUGGCCAUUCAAACAUGCUUUAACACAUUAUCAAUUUAACACAUAUCAAUAAGGCACCAAAUGUACCAAGGCUACAUCACCCAAAAUGACAUAUACAUGCCAAACUCAUUAACUAACAUUCAACUAUUUAUCAACCAGAACCACAAGCUAGUGCAUUUAAACAUAGCUCUUUUGGAAUUAAUCACAUGAUAAACCAUUUCAUAAGAAAUUGCAUAAUUUAAACCUUACCACUCUUUCAUGAACACAAGCAUAUUUGUAUUUGAGUAAUUACCAUUUCAAUGCAUAACUUAUAAGUUAACAUAAUACCAUUCAACCAAUAGCUUGGCAUAUGCCUAAGCAUCAAAAAACAAUACAUGUUAGCAUACUUGAACAUAUUUCAUAUAAAUUUAACAUUGAUAACUAGUUAUUCUCAACAUUUAACACUUGAAUUUAUUACUCAUCUCAACUUACAUAAUUUCCAUGUAUCAUCAUAUCAAAGAUGUUCAUAUAUGUACAUGUCAUAAUACAUAUCAUUUUAUUACCAUUUCUUAUUUGAAUAAUGUCCGUUGAACCAUUUAGAAUACCAUUGGAUACCCGGGAUAGCUCAUACAUAUUGUGCUAACUCAUAAAAUUGUAAUCUGCUAAUUCCUGUACAUGUAUGCUUACACGAAUUGUGAAAAUGGGCCAACUCACACGAGCUGUGGGUCGGAACGUAGCUACACGAUACUACUCACACGAGCUAUGGAGUAUCCGCAACACAUGCCGGUCCUCAGCCAUCGGUAGGAUGUUAAAGACCAGAAUCCUAAUCGUGUAAACUCUAAUGACAUGUCAUUUUUAUCCUAUGAAUUCCUAAGGUUCAAACGGGGCACGGUAGUCGUCAUAUGUCGUUGAAUUUACAUCGUUUCAUAACACGGUAAAUUGCAUACUAACAUAUAUAUUGAUUUAAUCACAAUAUAAUCACAUAUUAACAUUCACUUUAAUCAAAAUUAUAUAAAAUAUAGUUGAUAUGAACUUACUUGGCUAAAUUGCAAAAAUACCAAAGUUUAGAGGCAUUUUGAUAAUUUUCUAUUUUUCUCGAUUUUCUACCCAAUCUUAAUAUGCAACCUAUGAAGCUUGGUCGAAGCUUGAAGGUACAAUAAUGGCUUUCUCCUUUCUCAAAUUCGGAAAAACAUAAAAAGAAAAAGAUGACAUCUUUUACUUUAAUUAUUUACCUUUUAAUUUGGUUUAUUUUUAAUUAAUAAAACAUACAUAUUUUCAUAAUAAGACAAAGCCGACCUCCCACUCAUAUGUAAUAUGGUAUAUUUACCAUAUUAGUCCAUAUACUUUCAUUCAUUAAGCCAUUUAAUCACUCACAUCAAAUAUCGAUUAAUUUUUCAACUUUUACAAUUUGGUCAUUUUUAAUUAAUUAACUAUCGAAACGUUAAAAUUUUUCAACGAAACUUUAAACCACCUUAAUGACACUCUGUAAAUAUUUAUAAAAAUAUUUACAGCUCGGUUUAUAGAAAUGAGGCCUCGAUACCUCAUUUUAUAGAACCACUUAACCUUAAAGUCUUACCACUUGAACUUAAUAAAUCGCUUAUAAUCAAAUCGAAAACUUUUUUAAAACCAUAUUUGACUCAUAAAUAUUAAAUAAUAAUAUUGACAAACUUACUCGUCAUAUUUGGUGGCCUCGAAACCAUCGUUUCUGACACCACUAAAAAAUAGGCUAUUACAGUAGACGAGUAACUAAUAUGUUUUGUACUUUCAUGAUUUGAAUUUAAUAUAUAUGUCUUGUUACAAACUAGAAUGUUUGAGGUAAGAAUACUAAUUGUCUCAUGAUUUGGUUUGUAUAUGAUCAUAUGAAAUGUUAUGAAUUAAAUUAAGAUUAGCAUGGUAUAAGUGAGUAUUAUAUGAAUCUACUAUUUGUGAUAAUGUAAAUAUAUUUAGUGGUGUUCAAAUUUCAGUUAAAAUCGAAUUAACUGACUGAACCGAUCUAAUUUAAUUAAUCGGUUGGUUAACCAAUCUAAUUCGGUCGGAUGUCGGUUAAUGAGUUUUUAGAAGUUCGAUUAUCGAUUAAUUCGGUUUGAAAUUGGGUAAUUAACCGAAUUAACCGAAUUCAAUGAUUAAUUAUACAAAUUAUAUGUAGUAUACUUGUUUUAAUUCAUAUAAUUCAGUCAACUGAACAUUAUCAAAGUUUUUUUUAAUACUUCUUUUAACCAAAAAAAUAAAAACAUAUAAAUUUCAGUCAAUUCAGUUAACCGACCAAAUUAAUCGAAAUAUUUCGAAUCGGUUAAUUUAUUUUGAAAAAAAUUGAUUUUUAACGGCUAAAGUAUUAAAAUAUUCAGUUGAAUCAGUUAAUACUAGUUGAGUUUGGCUAACCGUUUGAACACUCCUAAAUGUACUUCACCCUAUUAAUGGACUAGUGUCACGAGCUGUAGAUUAAAGCCCGUGACCAUUACAAACAAAACGUCCCAUGGAGGUCAACUAAUUAAAUGAGGCUCUUUUGACCCACUUAAAAUAGCUAGAUUUGUGGAACACAAAGAGAAGCCCAUCUACUUGAAGCGUUAGUGGCCUAGUGAAACUAGUAAAACUAAAGUUACCAUGGUAAUUAAUAUAAAUCCUAAGGGAUAAAUAAGUAUAUUUUAAAACCCAUAGGACUCUCAUAUUAUAGAUAGACAUUAAUGUCAAUCGUUGAUGUAAUUCAAUCUAUAACGUUGUAUACUGUAGAUAGACAUUAAUAUAUUUAGAUUACAAUUAUUUCUUAAAAAUUUGGAAAGUAAUAAAAUGAAAGAUGAAAAAAAAAUUGAAAGAUACCAAUGAAAGAACAAAAAGCAAAGAUGAGAAGUAAGGUUUACCCUUUGAUUUAUCAAAGAGAAAGAUAGCAUAAAAAAAAUUUAUGAUGGAGAGUAAACAAGGAAGCCAAAAGCGGAAAGGUUUCAUAAAAUGUUUUAAAUUUAAUCUAAACCAUUUAGAUCUUUUGAUUUAAAAGUUAUAAACUCCUUCCUAUAAGAAAUUACAAUAUUUAAUUAAAAUAUAUAUUAUCAAGUAAUAUUAUUCAAAAAUGAAUAUUAAGUGAUAAUUUUCUAAAAUGCAUGCAUCUUUUUCUUUUUCUUUUCAAAAUCAAAAGGCAACCAAUGGCUAAGUGAUUUGUACUUGAACAAGGUAAGAGACUAUUCCUGCAUUGAAACAACCACCAAUUUUACACAUUACUAAUACAUCAAAUGCAAACCCUUAAUAGAGAUGACUAAGACUAAAGCAUGAAACUAGUUCAACAAACCUAAUUUACUAAUUAGCAAAAAGAAACAAAAUUAAGAGAUAUAGCCUUUGGCUGCAUGAAGUCUCCAAUUUUUAUUUUCUAAUUUCCUAUGCUUUUUGUAUUGUUGUUGGUGCUGGAGAAGGUGUACAUUGAUGUGCUUGAAUCAAUAGUAGGAUAAGUCAGUCCAGUAGUAUCUGAACCUAAUAACCCCACUCCUCUGCAUACAUUCAAAUCCAACUCCGAAUCCACCACUGAUUCAUCGUUGAAGUCCAUGUCCCGAGUAACUGGGAAUACUAUAUCCGGGUAGCUACAUUCACUUGUCGGGUCCAUCUUCGACAUCUCGGUAUCAGCAGCCUUUUGCAACUCUAUAGCAAACCCCAACCUUUCCAUCACAUCAUUCAUUGAUGGCCUAUCGGUUCCCACCUCUGCUAUACAACUUUCUGCAAUUUUGACAAACACCUUAAAACACUCUGGUGCUAUCUUUCCAAUCAAAUAUGGAUCAAUAACCUUGUACAGUGUCCCAUCUAUAGUGCAUUGUUUGGCCUAAUAUGCCAGGCUCAUUUGAGUUUCGGGCAAUUUCGUAUUCACAGCUUUUCUUACACAUAACACUUCAAAUAACACAACACCAAAUGCAUAUACAUCUGAUUUUUCAGUUAAUUUAUGACCCCGAGCAUACUCCAGGUCCAUGUAGCCGCGGGUGCCCUUUAUCCCGAUUAUGAGCAUCUCGUCUUUAGGGUCUUCUUUCGACAACCCAAAAUCUGAAACCUUGGCAGUAAACUUAUCAUCUAGUAGAAUGUUGCUUGUCUUGACAUCACGGUGGAUAACAGUAUGCUUCACUUCUGUAUGAAGAUAGUUCAAUCCAGUUGCAGCUCCCUUGCAAAUCUCAAGCCUUUGCUUCCAUUUGAGAGGAUCAUAGGUAAAGCUAGAACCGUAAAGAUGAUCCGAAACAGUCCGAUUACGCAUAAAAUCAUACACCAGAAACAUCUCUCGUUUCUCAUUGCAGUAUCCGAUUAAGGACAACAAAUGAACAUGGCAGAGCUAAGACAACAUCUCAAUCUCUGUUAAGAACUCUCAAAUACUGUUGAAACAAUGGCAGUAGCAACUCAGCAACAAAGAGCAUAAGCACAUAAAUUGCAAACUAAAACAAGAAAACAAAAACUGAAAAACUCAGAACAAUGGCAUGUAACUGAAUGGAAUACAUUAACUUUUUCAUUUCAUUUGAAAAUAUAAAGUGUUACAAAGAUAGAAUGUAGGUUACCUAAACUUGCAACUCCUCCCACCAAUUUGGCAAGUUGCCAACUAAAAUAAUACAAGUUAAAAGCUGAAAUAAAUUAGCUAUUACAUGCACCAUAUUCAAAUCCUACUAACUCUAGAAAUGAAGUUACAUAUCAACUUGAUAACUUUACAAAAGUAUCAAAAUAAACAAAAUCAAACAAGCAGCUUCUGGUCCUACUCGAAUGUUGGUCUACUGCUGCUGGUCUGCUUCAUGGUUACCUGUUGCAUUGCAGUCUAUGCUCAACACUCCUCCUUGGACUAUAGGCAACAAACACCAAUCAAAUCUCUUAAGAAUUCAAACCUGGUUAUCCCAAGAGGCUUUGUCAAAAUGUCAGCCAAUUGGUCUUGUGAGCUGCAAUGUAUAAGACAUACUUCUUUGGAUUGUACAGCCUCUCGAACAAAAUAAAACUUAAGUUUAAAAUGUUUGGUUUUUCCAUGAAAAACAAGAUUUUUGGAGACGGAAAUUGUUGACUGGUUGUCCGCCUUAAUUUCAGUAGGCUCAAGUUGCUCUUCAUUUAAAUCACUUAGCAACUUCCUAAGCCAAAUAGCUUGACUCACUACUGUAGUUGCUGCUUUGUAUUCAGCUUCAGCUGUUGACUGAGCAAUAGUUUGUUGCUUCUUUGAGCUGCAAUAGAAAACUCCAAAACCAAGUGUAAAGAAGUAGCCUGAAGUACUGUCAGUUAAUUUUAGCUCAUUUCCUCUCUUUAACAUUACUCCAAACUUCAAAGUACCUUUGACAUACCUGAGUAUCCUCUUAGCCGCCUUCAAAUGAGUAAUAUUGCAACUGUGCAUGAAUCUAGACAGUAGGGUUACUGCAUGCAUAAGGUCAGGUCUGGUUACUGUCAAGUAGAGCAAACAACCAAUCAAGCUUCUAUACUCCCUUUAUCAACCUUUUCCUGAUUUCCAAAGCUGGUCAGUUUCUCUCCUAUAGCUAAUGGUGUGCUCAUUUGUUUGUAGUUUUCCAUGUGAAAUUUAGUGAGAAUUUUCAAGGCAAAUGCAUGCUGCCUGAUAAAUAUGCCUUGAUCAGACUGUUUUACUUCCAUACCAAGGAAGCAAGUCAUGAUUCCCAAGUCUGUCAUAUCAAACAUCUCUUGCAUUUUUUCUUUGAAUUCCUGGAUCAAAUCGACCCUGCUUCCAGUCACUAACAGAUCAUCCACAUAUAUUGAGACAAUCAACAAAGUCUCAUCUUUAGACUUCUUUACAAACAAAGUUGGCUCACUCAAGCUUUUCUCGAAAUUGAGCCUAGAUAGGUAAGCAUCUAUCCUGCCAUACCAGGCUCGAAAAGCUUGUUUCAGUCCAUAGGGUGCCUUCUUCAGCUUAUAAACCUUGUCCUCUUUUCCUUGGACUUUAAAGCUAUCAAGUUGUUCAACAUAAAUUUCUUCCUUGAGAAGACCAUUCAGGAAAGCUGACUUAACAUCAAGUUGAUGGACCCUCCAUUACUUCUGUGUAGCCAAGGCAAACAGAAGCUUUAUAGUGUCCAGCCUUGCCACUAGAGCAAUUGUCUCCUCAAAAUCAAUGCCAAACUAUUGACUGUACCCUUUCACCACAAGCCUUGCCUUGUUCUUGUUCAAAGAGCCAUCAGCAUUGAACUUGGCUCUCAAAACCCACUUGACACCUAUGACCUUCUUUUGAUCAGGCCUGUCUACCAGAUCCCAAGUGUCAUUUUUGUGGAUCAUGUCAAUUUCAACCUCCAUGGCCUUCUUUUAGCUUUUUCUUCUUGCAGCUUCUUCAUAGCUCGAACGCUCAACAAUGGCUACAUUGCAUCUCUGGUAGAUAUCAGCAAUGGUCCUGGUCCCUCUCACAGGAGUAUCAUCUACAUUGGCAUUACUGACUUCAUUUUCUGCCAAUUUUAGAUUGCUGUCAAUCUGCCCUUCUUCAAACUGACUUGUGCCAGAGCCAUUUAGACUCCAAAACCUUCCUUCAUCAAAUUUGACCUCCCUACUUACCAAAAUCUUCUUGGUUGAGGGAUCAAAUACUUUGUAGCCCUUUUUGCAGCUACUGUAACCAAAAAAUAUACCUGGACCUGACCUCUUCUCAAGUUUGGUUCUUCUUUCUGCAGGUACAAGUACAUAACACAUGCAGCCAAAUAUUUUCAAGUGAGAAACAAUUGGUUUAAGACCAUACCAUGCUUCAAAAAGGUCUUAUCCUUUACAGCAUGUGUUGGCAACCUAUUGAGCAAGUACACUGAGGUGUUGACACCUUCAGCCCAAAAAAUGCUUGGAAGCUUGCUUUGAAACAACAAACACCUGGCCAUAUUCAUCACUAUUCUGCUCUUCCUCUCACACACUCCAUUUUGUUGAGGAGUGUACACUGUGGUCAACUGAUGAUGAAUCCCAGCUUGCUAACAUAGCUUCUGAAAUCCUUCAAACAAGUAUUCAGAGCCAUUGUCUAUUCUCAAACCCUUGAUCCUGUAGCCUGGUUGAUUUUCUGCCAAAGCCUUGAAUUUUCCAAAAACUUCAAACAAUUCUGACUUCUGUUUCAUAAAAUAAACCCAACAAAAUCUGGUCAGAUCAUCUAUAAACAAUAUAAAAUACUUACUGUCAUUCAAUGAAGGGGUCUUCAUUAUUCUACAGACAUCUGAGUGCACCAACUCAAGCCUUUCUCGAGCCCUCCAUGCUUGGUUAACUAGAAAAGGCAACCUAGCUUGUUUACCAAGCUGGCACACUUCACAAACAGACUCACUGACUUCAACUUUGGCCAUGUCUUCAGUCAUAUUCAUUUUGUGUAGCAAAUCUAGUGACCUGAAGUUGACAUGGCCAAACCUUUUAUGCCAUAGAUCAGUACUGUCAGUUAAGCUUGUCUAGGCCUUUCUCUUAAGCUUACUUACAUCCAGCAUGAAGUACUUAUCUGCCAUAGGUACUGAGACGAUCUCUCUACCAUGAACAUCACUAAUGAGACAAGAAUCAUUCUUGAAAACUAGAGAAUAGCCUUUCUUAACCAACUGAUCUACACAAAGUAGGUUCUAAUCUAUUUUAGGCACAUAGAGUACAUCUGAAAUAACCUUGUUACCUGAACUAGUGUUGAUCACAACAUCACCUCUGCCCUUAGCUUCAAUCAAGUUCCUCUUGCCAAACCUAACCUUCGAGGCAUAGCUCCUAUCAAGGUCCUUGAACAAGUUUUCAUCUGCUGACAUGUAAUGUGAGUAGCUACUAUCCACAAGCCAGCUACAUUUGUUGUUGACUGCAAAGCAUGAGGCAAUGAAGACAUGCUCCUCCUGAGCCAGAAUAUCCUCAGCAGUCUUGGCUUGUAUUGGUUGUGCUUGUGCCUUUUCUUGAUUUCUGCAAAUCUUCUCAUGAUGGCCAUAAUGCUUGCAACUUUUACAUUGGAUAUCUGGUCUAUUCCAGCAGUAUUUCUGCAAGUGAUUAGUCUUCUUACAGUGAAUGCAAUGUGGAAACAUUCUUUUGCCUGCAUCUUUCUUUGAUCUAUCCCUCUUUUCAAACCAAGGCUUCUUAGCUUUCUGAAUUGAGCUAGAGCCUUCUCUGACCUUUGCUUGAAAUGCACCCUCAGGAUUCUCCUCCUGCCUGCUAGCCCUCCUCUGCUCAAGAGCAUAAAGUGAGUUAACCAACUCAGACAAAGAAAUGGUUGUAAGAUCCCUCGAGUCCUCCAGUGAGGAGAUUUUUAACUCAAACCUCUCAGGAAGAGUGGUAAUCACUUUCUCAACAAACCUGCUGUCACUGAAAUCUGCUCCAAGGAGUCUGAUGUUGUUGACAGUAACCAUGAUCCUAUUAGAAUAUUGCUUGAUAGUUCCUGACUCUUUCAUUUUCAAUUUUCAAAUUCCCUUCAAAGGUAGAUAACUUGUUGCUGCCUAGUCUUAUCUGAUCCCAUGAACUCCUUUUUCAGCCUAUUCCAUGCUUGCUUAGGUGAGUCACAGGCCAUGAUACGAGUGAAGAUCACAUCAGAAACACUAUUCUAUAGGCAGACCAUGGCUUUGUGCUUCUUGGAUCGCUCCUCACUAUGUUGCCUGAUCUGAGCAAUGGUUGGAUUUGCUCUCAAUGGUGGUGGCUCGACAUCAUUCUCAACUACACUCCACAGAUCAAGUGCUUGGAGGUAAGUUUUCAUUUUAACUACCCAAAUGUGGUAGUUUUCUCCAGCAAAAACUAGUUGUGGAGGAGGUGCAAAGCUCAUGCUGCUGAAACAGGCUUGACAAACUCGAUUUUUUUAGUUUGUUUUAAAAACAAAAGACUUAACCAACAGAGGUCCUCAAAGACUAGAGGCUUUGAUUACCAUUUUUUGAAACAAUGGCAACAACAACUAAGCAACAAAGGGCAUAAGCACAUAAACCGCAAAGUAAAACAAGAAAACAAAAACUAAAAAACUCAGAACAAUGGCAUGUAACUGAAUGGAAUACAUUAACUUUUUCAUUUUAUUUGAAAAUAUAAAGUGUUAAAAAGAUAGAAUGUCAGUUACCUAAACUUGUAACUCCUCCCACCAAUUUGGCAAGUUGCCAACUAAAAUAAUACAAGUUAAAAGCUGAAAUAAAUCAACUAUUACAUCCAUCAUAUUCAAAUCCUACUAACUCUAGAAAUCAAGUUACAUAUCAACUUGAUAACUUUACAAAAGGAUCAAAAUAAAAAAAAUCAAACAAGCAGCUUCUGGUUCUGCUCGAAUGCUGGUCUGCUACUGCUGGUCUACUUCAUGGUUACCUGUUGCAUUGCAGUCCAUCCUCAACAAAUACCUUGAUUGGAUUCUGGAUUCAGGCGCUUGAUUGCAACUAUCUUUUCACCUUCAUCCAUGAAACCUUUGUAUACUUUCCCAAAUCCACAUUUCCCAACAACUAAAUCAUCAAGGAAAUUGUUGGUAGCAGCUUUGAUCUCAUCCAGUGAAAAAUGGCAGCAUAGUUCAUCUGGUAACAGUGAUGUCCUUGUGGAUUUCCCUUCGUUUCGAUUUAUCCACCAGGAAAGCAAACUUGUUCCCUUUCUUUACAGCCGAACAGCCAUGCAAACUAGUAAAGAAAUUAUGGCAAUCAAACCAGCCGCACAUCCGACAUCAGCAAUUAGCAAGCUUCUCUUCUUGGAUUUUUCACCUGCAGAAUUGGACGAAUCCGAAGGUGGUCGUGGACCUGUAGUUCUAGGUUUGGUUUGCCCAAAUUGCCAUUAGAGUUGCUUAAUUUGAACACUUCAAUCCCAUUUAAGAUUACAUCAUAGUACUUUGCAUGAAUGGUGAUGUACUCCUUUGAUACUAACACGACAUAAUCCUUAAAUAUCGGAACUUUGCCUUGCACAGUCCACACAAUCACAUCAGCGUUUUGUUUAGCCGUCUGACUGUUUAUAAAGACCUUAAACUUUUGGUCUCCCAGAGAGUUUACCAGAUCUUGUGGUUCACAAAAAUGAAGCCUCACCAUAUACCUAAAUCCCGAACCCAUGGGCAAUCUCCAUGAUAAGUUAUGCUUCUCGUUGUACGCAAGGCUAGGCCCCAUUGUCUGUGUAGUCUGAUAAACCAUCUCUGGUGCCGUGUAUCUCGGAAUCAUUGUGUAGUUGAUUAGCAUGGAGGUGUUGACAGUGACAUAAUUAUUUUUUGUCAUGUAAAAAUAGUCAUUGGAUGAAUUUCGGAAAAGGCCAGUAUCAUCCUUGUGGGAAAUGGGUUUGGCCCCAACAUUCAAUCGAUACGCCAUCUCAAGUAUCGUGUCAUUCUCAACGAGGAAUGGAUAAUUCUGGCCAACGAAAGGUACAUACGUUGAGUCAGGCAGUGUGUAGUAAAGAUUGGUAGGCAUCGACACGUUCUCGAUUCCAUUGUUGAAAGCGUAAGUAUCGUUAGAAGCACUAGAAGAUGGAGUGAAAACAAGAUCCAACACCUCAUUAUCUUUCAUGUUCAAACAGAUUUCUCUGGAAAACCAAUAUCUCCCCCUUUGAAUCUGCAACAAGGGAAGCACUUAAAUUUUUUAGCAAAGUGAAAGAACCAGCUUUGACAGAGAAAAAGGCCUUGGAUCUACCAUAUUAUUCAUAGGACACCGGAUGGAAGUAGAGACGAAUGAAUUUCUGGCCUGAAGUAAUAGGGAAAGUGUAUUUGAAUUUGGAACGGGAAACUCGGGCUGUCAUAUAAGGCACAGUUUCGAAACCAUCUUGAAUAUCAGCUUCGUAGCUUGCGAUUUGUUGUGGGGUGAUUCGAAAGGUCCAAAUUUUGAGUUGUUGUCUACUGCCUAAGAUCUGCCAGCAUUAGCUAAUAAGUCGAUUGGAGCUCCAUAAUUCAGCGUGAUAUUAUCUCUUGGAAUGUAUUCAGGCUGCUCUGAUGCAAUAAAAAUGGAUAACUGAAGGAUGGUUAUGAGAAUUAUUACUGAGUACUUCUCCAUGGAAACAAGUGAAAACUGACUAUGAGUAUAUUUGUCUAUGUAAAUAAAUGUUGAUGGAAUGGGAACAUGUUUUAUCAGUAUAUUUGCAAAUUCAUAUAGCUUUUUCUUUACAGGUUGCGUGUCUUUUUAUUAUCUUCUUUUUUUAAUUUUUAUAUAUGGCUUCAAAUUAAAGCUAGAUGAUUGGAAAGUUAUAUAGAAAAGGUAGUUGUGAAACACGCUUGAAUUAAAGAUAUUUUCACAAAUAAUAAUGACCGAAGGUCAACCACAUAACUAAUUGAUUUACAACGAGAUAAUAUCACAUUUUGUAUCUAUACUCUUAUAAAAGAUCUUAUAUGGUACAUAAACUAUUAAUAUGUACUAUUAUGAUACUUAGAGUUAAUAACCUUAGUCAAUUUUUAAAUUAACCAAUGGAAAUUCGUUAUGUAGAAAUGUUUUCAAAUCAUUAAAUCCACAUGAAUAAUAUAAUGUUAUGUAAAAAAAAACUAAAUAAAACAAAAUAUUAAAUGAAAUUACAAAAAACAAAUAGGUAAACAUAUAAUUAAUAAAAAAAUAAGUUAAUACUAAAUUUACAUCAAAGUACUUGUACUUUUUAUGUAUAAUAAAAAUAUUAUAUAAACAUAAAUUAAAAAUACUAUUUCAAAUGAAAAAUUCUUCGAAGAAAUGAAAGAUGAAGUUUUAGGUUAUGUAAGUUUAGUUAUUUGUUUUUUAAAUUUAAUUUUUUUUAAUUAUUCAAAUAAUGUUGUAUUAUCCAUGUAGACUUAAUGUUUUGAAGGAAAAAUUCUAUGUUUUGAAUUUUGUUGAUGGUUUAGCAAUUCACUAACCAUGUUAACACCAAGUACCAUAAUAAAACACAUAUGGAUAGUUAGGUGCCACAUUAGACAUUUUAUAAAAGCACAUGUAUCAUCAUAAAAUACAUAUUAACAGUUCAAAUACCACAUCGAACAUCUAACAACCCUUACCCGAGGCCCUUGCCGGAGUCGAGCAUGAGGCAUUACUUGACUUAACUUAAAAGUUCGGGGCAUAAAAGCUUAGUUUUAAAAGUUAAUUUACUGUUCAUAAUAAGUCUGUCCACCUGCGUAAUAGUUACUAAAUUAAUUAUAACUCGAGCUAAAAAACUUGAAAUUUAGAUCUGUAAAUUUUUACUGAAGCUAGACUCAUAUAUCUUUUUACCAUAAAUUUUUCAGAAUUUUUGGUUCAGCCAAUUAGUACAGUUUAUUAGUUAAAAUCUCCCCUAUUUCACUGAUGGACUGUCCUGACCUCUCGUUACUAAAAUUCAAUUAUCUCAUUUUACAGACUUCAUAUAGUGUUCUCAUUUAUUUCUAAAGAAAAUAGACUCAAUAAGGAAUCUAUAAAUAUAAAUUACAACUCAUAAAUAUUUUUGUAAAAUUUUUAAUGAUUUUCCAAAUUUAGAAUAGGGGAUUCUGAAAACCACUUUGACCUUGUCUAACUAAAAUGCAAAUAUCUUAGAAUAUAUAAUUUUUUUGUCUACACUGUUAUUUUUCAAUGAAAAUAGACUCAAUAAGCUUCAAUUAUAUAUAUCAUCCACCCUCUAAUUCAUUUUCUACUAUCCUUGGUGAUUUUUCAAAAUCAUGUCACUAUUGCUAUCUCAAAACUGAUUCACAACCAAUUUUUACUCUUUCAUGAUUUCUAUGUAUAAUUCAUCCCCUAGACAUUUAUAACCAUAAACACCUUCUUACUUAGCCAUUUUAAUAAAUAUUCAUCAUCAAGCAUUUACAUAUCAUCUUUUGGUCAUAUCUUGAGAAUAUACAAUCGAAAUGAACAAGUCUUUAUACAUGCCAUAACUCAAAACAUUUAUCGUCUUAAAAUACCGAGUUGUGGUGGUUGAUAGUGUGAACACUCUCUGACGUCUUCAAGAUCCCAACUAUGCUUGAUAAUACUAUAUGAAAGAAAAAGAAAUAAAAGAAGUAAGCAUAAAGCUUAGUAAGUUUACAAAUAAAUAAAUGACAUCAAUUAACAUAAAUAAUGAUAUGCAAAUAUCAUGUUCUUAAGUUUUCUCUUUACUUACUCUCAUUUACUUCUUUACUUACUUACCUACUUAGAUAGCUUAAGAUUACAACUUACUCUUCUCUUGCUGAAAUAUUAGUUCUCACUGAUAACAUAAUAUGCUUUUAACUCUUAUAACUCACCUGAAGUUGCUAAUUAUACUUUUACUUGAACUUUCAUAGAACAUAAUUUGUUUUCUAGCCCGUUGAGUCACAUUGGAAUAAGAAGGAUACUUAGGUCUCUUUUCUGAUAAUAACAUGCCAAAACCAUGUCCCAGACAUGGUCUUACAUGGGAUGUUUCCUGAACUGCCAAUGCCAUAUCCCAGAUAUGGUCUUACAUGGGAGUUCUCAUAUCGGUGCCCAAGCCAUGUCUCAAACAUGGUCUUACAGGGGACCUCUCUCAUCUCGGUGCCAAUGCCAUAUCCCAGACAUGGUCUUACAUGGGACCUCUCAUCUCGGUGCCAACGCCAUGUCCCAGACAUGGUCUUACAUGGGACCUCUCAUCUCGGUGCCAAUGCCGUGUCCCAGAUAUGGUCUUACAUGGGACCUCUUUACCCAAAUGUCAUGACAUUUGUAUCCAUUACAUUCCCAAAGUUUCAACGGGGCUUUUAUCACUGAUUCUCUGUCAUCUCAUACUUGAGUCAACAUUAGAUAUUUUCAUAAAAUAAAUACAUAAUUGCUUAAAAAUAAUAGCAUUAAUAAUAAUUACCAAAAUAUUGCAUUUAUUUACCGUAAACUUACCUCGGUACAAAAAUGUGAUCAAAUCUAACACUUUAGUCCUCAACUUUUUUUCUUUCCCCGAUCUAGCUCCAAAUUUCGUUCUUCUAGAUAAUCAAGCUUGAAAGUGACCAAAACCCUAGCUAUGGAGUCUUAGAGAUAUUCGGCCAAGCAUGGAGAAGAUGGACACUAUUUUGGCCUUAUUUUCCCUUUUUAAUUCAUUUAAUUUCUAAAUGACUAAAAUACCCUUACUUAAAAAAUCCUAUUUCACUUAUCUCAUGUCCAUUUUUUGUCCAUCACUAACUAAUGGUCUAAUUACCAUACAAGGACACCUAGUUUAUAAUUCCAUAGCAAUUAAGUACCUUUAACCAAUAAAACUUAAUUUUGUACUUUUUACAAUUUAGUCCUUUUGACUAAAUUGAGUGCCCAAACGUCAAAAUUUUUGAACAAAAUUUUCAUGAAAUCUUUCCGUGAAAUUGUAGGCCAUAAAAAUAUAGUAAAAAUAAAUUUUUCCUCAUCGAAUUUGUGGUCCCAAAACCACUGUUCCGACUAAGCUCUAAAUCGAGAUGUUACAGAACAUAUUCAAAGUACAACUACAACAUUGAAUAUUUAUGAAAGUACAUUUACUAAAUGUGAAAUUAUCUUGAUUAAAAUUAACUGUAUGGUUCAAAAGUUAAUUUCAAUUUGAAAUUAAAAAAUUAUCAAAACUUUUUAAAAAAUUUAUCUAAAUUGUAAUGAGGCCUUGGUGUGGUUGGUCAAGGUGGAGGUUUUUGGUAUUUGAGAAACCAAAUCCAAGUCUUAUUAUGUGUAAUUACGAUGUGUGGAUAUUUAGUCACAUUAUAUAUACAUAUAAUUAGAAUUAAGGUGUAGUUAUCUUUAACAUUAGAGACUUAACUGAAUAAAUUGAAAGUUGUUAAGAAACUAUGCUAUAGAUUAGAAGUUUAAGGUUCCUAAUGAAUGAAUAUGAAAUUAGAUUAUGAUUCUAUAUUACCAAAAAAUAUGAACAUUUCAGAUAUAAGGGCUAAAAUGAAUAAAAUGCAAAAUAUGUUGUGUUUGGAUGGAAAGUAAUGUCCUUUUUAUUAUUGAAUUGUUGAAUGUAGCUAAGGACAAAAUUUGGUCAUCUCGAGGUAAAGGAAAGAUGAAAGUUGUAGGCGAGUAACUAAUACAGUUUGUACUUUCAUGAUUUGAAUUAAAUAUAUAUAUAUAUAUAUAUCUUGUUUCAGACUAGAUUGUUUGAGGUAAGAAUCCUUAUUGUCUCAUGAUUUGAUUUGUAUAUGAUGAUAUGAAAUAUUAUGAAUUUAAUUGAGAUCAGCAUGGUAUAAAUGAGUAUUAUAUGAAACUAUGAUUUGUGAUAAUGUAAAUAUAUGUGUUUAAACAUUCUUUACCCUAUUAAUGGUCUAGUGUCAUGGAUCGUGUAUCAAAGUGAUCUGUCGUAAUUCAUUGUAGCAAAUUAAACUAGUUCUCACACUUAAUGAGCUUGAAUACAAGUAUUUUCAUUACAUUUUAGUUAAGUUUCAUUUUUUUUAUUUCUAUUCAAUAAGAUGUACGAAUUGAGUCUUUUAUUGACCUUAAGGGCUGAAUGAGGCCUAAGGGAGAGCUAAUGUAAUCUUUAAGUGUGCAGGGGACCAUUAGAAGGCAUUUUAGGCCAGUACUAGACGCUAUGUCGCAACACGGGAGGUCCGAUGUUGUAUCGUAGAGACCAGAAUAGGGAAAGUACGAAACUGCCUUCAAUGUCGCGACAUUGACUGGGUGUCAUGACAUACCCCUGAAGAUAUCCCAAAAAGGAGCAUACUGACUCACCUACUUCAUUGUAAAAACUAUAUUCCAACUCGACUCAUAUACUUACGGGUACCGUCUUUCCAUCCUAUAUUAUUGCAGUAUUCACACUCCAGACAUUAGUACGUCCAGAGGUGGUCAAGUUGUUGGCGCCGUUGUGUAAUACCCCGAAAAUUAUACAGUAAAAAAAAGAUAAUAUCCUUGAUCUAGUAAAAUAAGGAAAUAAAGAGAUAAAAGGGGUAAUUUUUAAGUUAUAUCAACAUUGGGAAGUAUAUUAUGACAUAUUAACUCAAGAAAGGAUUAAAUCGUAAAAGUGAGAAAGGUUUUGUUGCCCAAGAGUAAAUACUCAAAGUUUGAGGGGUUAAAGCGUAAAUACAAAAAAGUUGAAGGACCAAUAGUGUAAAUAUUUUAAGGGUGGAAUAAUCUAGAAACUAAGGGAAAUGGAUGAAUUAGGACCAAAUUGAAAAGGUGAAGAAUUUUGAGGGGCUAAAUUGUAAUUUUACCAAAUUAAUUGAUGACUCAAGGAUGAAAUUUUAAAAGAUCUAAAGGGAAAAAUGGUCACUUAGAAGAAAGAGAAAUCUAGAAAAUAAUGAUGAUGUUGGAGAUAUUUUAGAUUAAAUAAAUAAAUAUUAGUUUAUUAAUAUUUUAAUUUGANNNNNNNNNNNNNNNNNNNNNNNNNNNNNNNNNNNNNNNNNNNNNNNNNNNNNNNNNNNNNNNNNNNNNNNNNNNNNNNNNNNNNNNNNNNNNNNNNNNNCAACGUAUGAAGAGAAAAGAAGGAAAGAAACGUUCUUUUCUUUACAAUUUGGUCCUUUCACCAAAUACUCACCAUUUUCACCUAGAAAUCAAAAGAAUUUCCAUAUCCAUCAAGAGAUAAAGAUAACAAGGAGACUAUAGGGAGCUAGAAUAUCAAGUUAGAUUCAAGAAAGAGAAGCUAGAGGAGAGAGAAAAUCAAGUUAAAUGUUGAAACUAAUAGGUUAAGGUAAGAACAUCAAGAUUUCAAUAUAUUUUUAAGUUUGAUAUUAUUGAAAAAGCAUGUAAAUGAUGUUAUAGUAGAUUUUUCUUAUAUAAGGUCUUAUUUUUUUGAUAUAUUAGAAAGUGAUGGGAAAUAUUAUAGAGAAAGGGAGUUAUAAACUUAGUAAUCAACAUCUUGCACUAAAACAGUUAGGAACAGCAGCAGUAGGCUAACUUUGAAAAAUCAUCAUAAAUUGUGGAAAUCUAAUUAGAGGAUGAAAAAAAUUAAAUUAAAUCUUACCGAGUCUAGUUUCUCAUAGAGGAAACGGUGUAAGUAAUGGAGUUGUAAAUCAUGAGAUAUAAUAAAUUUUGUGAGACAAGAUCAGAAUGAUUUUGGGUUCCUCUAUUCUGAUUUUGGAAAAUCAUCAAAAAGUGAAAAAAAAUAAUUAGGAGUUUAAAUUUAUAGGUUUAAAAUUCUGAAUGAGUCUACUUUCAAGAGAAAUAAACAGAAACAUCAUCCGAAUCCCAUAAGAGGAGAUAAUUAAUUUUUAGUGAAGAAGGGCGAAACUGUCAGAUAGCAGAACAGGGGUGACUUUAAAGAAUAAACUAUACUUAAUGGAUAAACCAAAAAUUCUGAAAAUGUUAUAGUAAAAAUAUAUGUGAGUAUAGUUUCUUAAAAAAUUAACGAAUCUCAAUUCAGAGUUUCGUAGCUCAAGAUAUAAAUAAUUUUAUGACAAUGACUCAAGUGGACAGCUUUGAAUUAACAAAUAAAUAAUAGUGAAAUUAUAGAUAAUAUUACAUAUAGGCAUGUUAUAUACAUUAAGGAUGUGGAAUGGAGAGGAAGGGGAGGAAAAUAUAUGAUUAUUCAACUAGCAUGAGUUUUUAUUAAAAUGGCUAAUUUGCAUGUUUUAGGUUUAGGGACUAAAUUGAAUAAAAGUAAUAUUUUAGGGGUAAAUUUGUAAAAAUGUCAAAAAGUAACCAAAUUGCAUGAAAUAAAUUUUUUUAUUAUUUAAAUUAAUAAAUUGAAUGAAAUAUUAAUUUAUAUCAAGAUUGGAUGAAAUUUAAGGAAAAUAAAAAAUUACCAAAAUAUCCCUAAAUUUUGUUAUUUCUGUAAUUUAGCCUGGUAAGUUUGUGUAACUUGAAUUAUAUCCUGAGAUGCUUGAAAUAUAUUUUUAUUGGUGUGAAAAUGAUUUGGAUGUUUAUUGUAUGAUAAUUGAUGAAGUAUUGAUAUUAUUGAUACAUGAAAAUUAUUGAACUAACUUGAAUGUUGAAUUUGUGCAUGUUAGGAAAUUAUGGAAAUUAUUCAAUGUUAGCUCAUUAAUGUUUUGAUUUUGAUUGGUUAUAAAUAUGAAUGCUUGAUAAAAUGAAAUGUCUGUAAAUUAAUUUGUAAACUCUGGUAAUGCUCUAUAACCCUAAUCUAGAGAUGGAUAUGGGUUAGGGGUGUUACAUUUAUUGGUAUCAGAGCUAUGGUUUAGUCAAUUCUCGGACCGAAUGUAGCAUAUGUGAAGUUUGGAAAUACAUGACAUUAUAUAACCUGUGAUAGCGUGAUAUCUCCCGACCCUAAUGAGAUUUGUUUUACUUAUAGAUAGAGAUGCUUUUCAACUUAGCUAAUUCCUAUAAUAUUGAAAGCAAUACUCAAGUAUAUGAGUAGAAAGUUGAUUAUGAUAAAUUGGAACUCAUAAAGGUAUGAAUAAAUGUUUUAUAAUACAUGUCGAUGAUGUAUAUUAUGUUAUAUGUACUAUUAAAAGUAUAUUAUAGUGCUACACGAAAUAUUUUGCUGAUAACUAAAUUAUAAAUUAUACAAAAAUAAUAUAUGAAGUAUAUGAUAAGGAUUAUUAGGGAAUUAUGGAUGAAUUGCAAAUUUUGAAAUAUAUUACAUGUGUUAAAGAUAGAGAAGAUAUAAAUGCAUGAAUUAUUGGUACAAGAAUUAAAUUGUAAAGCAUGAAAAAGUAAAAGUGAUAUGCAUGCAUAAAAUAAUUUUCCCAAGUAGAACUAUUAGGAUAUUAAGGGAGUUUAGCGUGCUCUCUGAUUAUUAGCAUGUCAGUGCUCUCUGAUUAUGACAUGCUCUCUAAUUAUUAGCACGUUAGUGCUCUCUGAUUAUUAGUCCAUCAGUUCUCUCUGAUUACUAACACGCUCUCUGAUUAUUAGCACAUUAGUGCUCUCUGUUUAGACAAUUUGUGCUUUCUGUUUAAUAGUGCAUAAUAAUGCACCUCUGUAUCAGUCUCGUAUAUCCUAAUUGUUUUGUUUUAUCUACUGGGCCUCCGCUAAAAAGGAAAAUAAUUUUCGUUAUAAGAUAAAAGAUUAUCUCUGAUUCAUGUUUGAAAUAUUGAAUUAAAAAAAGUAUAGGUAGAUUGUAACAAGAGAACGUAUUAUUUGAGAAAUAAGAAGAGAUGAAGUGAUAUUAGUGUUUGAGAAUAAAAAAAAAGUUAUAAGGAAAAGAAAUAGUGAAAAGUUGGAGGAUCUAGAAAAGAUUUUAAGAUUUAAUGGUAAAUGAGUAAAAAAAAAAAAAGAAGUUGUGAAUAGAUAAGCAUGUAUUUGUAAUAAAAUAAAUUAAAGUUGAGAAUGUAAAUGUUAUUUAGUUUUGUAUGGAGGUUUAAAAGAGUAAUCUUUAUAGAUAAGAAUGAAAAGAUACAUUAAGAAUAAAAAGAGUGUUCUUUAGGAAUCUAAAGUUAUGAAAUAAUAAUAAGAUUUAUGAUACGAGCAAGAAGUAAAGAAUUUUGUGGGCUACUAACUAGUUUAAUAUAAAGAUUUGAAAGAUAAAUGGAAUUUUAGAAUCAAAAUUUGAAGGGUAAUUAAUUGAAAAGUUAAAUUGAACGAAAUGAAUUAAUUGAGCCAUUAAAAAGAAACGUGAUUGUGGAAUAUAAUUUGAAAAUGUGAAUUGAAUAUGAAAAUGUGAAUAGAAAGUAUGAACUAAAUGUUCAUGAGACAUAUAAUGGCUCAAUGUGAUAGGAUAUAAUAUUAACUAAUGAAUGAAUUGUUAUUGGAAAUAUAUUAUUGAAUUUAAUACUCAGUUUGGAUUAAACGCGAGAUUGAGUACAAUCAUUCUGUGGCAAAGGAUGAAUUGAUGGAUAAGACCAUAACUGGGUUAUGGCACCUUGAACAUAAGACCAUGGUUGGACCAUGGCAGUAUAGAUACAUGUGUAAGACCAUAGUUGGAAUAUGACACAAAAAGAACGAUGUACUCAUAUCCGUAAAUCGUUCUUCGAUUCAGUAAGAAAUGGUAAGAGCCUUAUGUGAUUGAAAUGAAAUAUUUAUAAAUUAAUAUUGAUAUGGUAUUUGACAAGGAAAUUAUGUAUGUUGAGACGUAAUAAACUCAAGUGUGACAUAUCGAGAAAAUAAGUUUAUCAAAGUUGAAUUUAUAUGAAAUAUGUGCAAGUACACUAACCAGUGAUGUUGCUUGAUGCUUAGGCAAGUGCCAAGCCAUUGGUUGAAUGAUAUGUUUAUGACUUGUGUGUCAUGCAUAUGGAAUAAGCGUGGAAAGUUAAUAAAUGCAAAUGAAAAUAAAGAAAUUCAGAAGAAUAUAAAGUUGUUUAAAAUCCUAUAUAGCUAGGGAUAAAAUGAACAAGUAAUGAUGUGGAUUUAUUUACCUUGUUAGUUGAUGAAUAUAGCCACAUGAGCAUUUGUGGUAUCAACAUUAAAUUAUUCUUGAUAUUUAUAAAUUUCAUAUUUGAAAUGAAUGGACAUGAUUAAAGUUUAUAUGAGCUUACUAAGCAUUUAUUGCUUACGUACUUGUUAAUAGAGGUAAACAAGUGAAAUUAUAAAACGAAUGAAAUUGAUCGAUUGAUUUAUUAAAAAAAAGACGAGAAAUUGAAAUUGAUAAAUAAAAAGAAAAGUGAGAAAAAGUGAAAAAUUCCCGAAUGAACCUUCAGAAUAAAAAGGGAUACAAAUGAAGAGAUAGAAAUGAUCACAUGCGUGGCACGGACUGUGUGUAGGCCACUAUGUAAAAGUGAAAGUGAUGGUCAUGUGUGUAGUACUAUGUACAGGCUACUAAGUGUACCAGAAUGAUGGGUCGCAUGUGUAGUACUAUGUGCAGGCUACUACAUGUACCGGAUGGUAAUGAUCACAUGUGUAGUACUAUGUGUAGGCUACUAUGUGAACCGAACAUCAUUGAUUAGUAAGGUGGUUGCUAUGUGCCGAUUCCACCGGACAUCAUUGAUUAUUAAGGUGGUUGCUAUGUGCUGAAUCCACCGAGUAUCUGUUAUUAUUUCGAAGUGUUCAUCGGGAAAUUGACUAAGUGUAAUUGAAUAAUGAAUAUAGGUGUGGAAUUGAAUUGAAUAUCGACUUAGAAAUGGAAAAGUGAAUUUUGAAGUUGAAGUAUGAAUUAAUAUAUGUAUACCAAUAAAUCAUUAUAUGUUUGAUAUUUAUAGGAAAUUGAGAAUGGUAUAUUAAUUAUGAAUUUCCUUGUAAAUUCAGCAAAAACAAAAUAUAGGAUUAAAUGAAUAACUCCAAAAGUAAUCUACUAAAAGUCUUCUAUUCUUAUGGAAAGUAAAAUGAAGUUUAUGAUCAAAAGGAAACAAGGAAAUUUCGAGGACGAAAUUUAUUUUAAGGGGCAGAGAAAUAUAAUACCCCGAAAAUUACUACAGUAAAAAAAGUAAGAUAAUAUCCCUGAUAUAGUAAAAUAAGGAAAUAAAGUGAUAAAAAGGGUAAUUUUUAAGUUAUAUCAACAUUGGGAAGUAUAUUAUGACAUAUUAACUCAAGAAAGGACUAAAUCGCAAUAGUGAGAAAAGUUUUGUUACCGAAGAGUAAAUACUCAAAAUUUAAGGGGUUAAAGCGUAAAUACAAAAAAGUUGAAGGACCAAUAGUGUAAAUAUUUUAAGGGUGGAAUAAUCUAGAAACUAAGGGAAAUGGAUGAGUUAGGACCAAAUUGAAAAGGUGAAGAAUUUUGAGGGGCUAAAUUGUAAUUUUACCAAAUUAAUUGAUGACUCAAUGAUGAAAUUUUAAAAGAUCUAAAGGGAAAAAUGGUCACUUAGAAGAAAGAGAAAUCUAGAAAGUAAUGAUGAUGUUGGAGAUAUUUUAGAUUAAAUAAAUAAAUAUUAGUUUAUUAAUAUUUUAAUUUGAUUUUUGAAUUGCAUUUUAUUAUUUUAUUAUUAUUUUAUUUACUAUAUAUAUAUAUGGAAGGAAAGAUGAAGAAUCAUCAUCUUCUCCCAUGCAUUCCAACGUAUGAAGAGAAAAGAAAGAAAGAAACGUUCUUUUCUUUACAAUUUGGUCCUUUCACCAAAUACUCACCAUUUUCACCUAGAAAUCAAAAGAAUUUUCAUAUCCAUCAAGAGAUAAAGAUAACAAGGAGACUAUAGGGAGCUAGAAUAUCAAGUUAGAUUCAAGAAAGAGAAGCUGGAGGAGAGAGAAAAUCAAGUUAAAUGUUGAAACUAAUAGGUUAAGGUAAGAACAUCAAGAUUUCAAUAUAUUUUUAAGUUUGAUAUUAUUGAAAAAGCAUGUAAAUGAUGUUAUAGUAGAUUUUUCUUAUAUAAGGUCUUAUUUUUUUGAUAUAUUAGAAAGUGAUGGGAAAUAUUAUAGAGAAAGGGAGUUAUAAACUUAGUAAUCAACAUCUUGCACUAAAACAGUUAUGGACAGCAGCAGUAGACUAACUUUGAAAAAUCACCAUAAAUAGUGGAAAUUGAAUUAGAGGAUUAAAAAAAAUUAAAUUAAAGCUUAUUGAGUCUAGUUUCCCAUAGAGGAAACGGUUUAAGCAAUGGAGUUGUAAAUCAUGAGAUAUAAUAAAAUUUGUGAGACAAGAUCAGAAUGAUUUCGGGUUCUCUAUUUUGACUUUGGAAAAUCAUAACAAAUUGAAGAAAAAUAAUUAGGGGUUUAAAUUUAUAGUUUUAAAAUUAUGAAUGAGUUUAUUUUCAAGAGAAAUAAACGGGAACAUCAUCUAAAUCCCGUACAAUGAGAUAAUUAAUUUUUAGUGAAGAAGGGUCGAAACUGUCAGGCAGCAGAAUAGGGGUGAUUUUAAAGAACAAAAUGUACUUAAUAGCUAAACCAAAAAUUCUGAAAAUUUUAUAGUAAAAAGAUAUUCAGGGAAAAUUAACGGAUCUCAAUUCAGAGUUUCGUAGCUCAAGAUAUAAAUAAUUUUAUGACAACGACUCAAGUGGACAGCUUUGAAUGAACAAAUAAAUAAAUAGUGAAAUUAUAGAUAAUAUUACAUAUAGGCAUGUUAUAUACAUUAAUGAUGUGGAAUGGAGAGGAGGAGGAGGAAAAUAUAUGAUUAUUCAACUAGCAUGAGUUUUCAUUAAAAAUGGCUAAUUUGCAUGUUUUAGGUUCAGGGACUAAAUUGAAUAAAAGUAAUAUUUUAGGGGUAAAUUUGUAAAAAUGUCAAAAAGUAACCAAAUUGCAUGCAAUGAAUUUUUUUAUUAUUUAAAUUAAUAAAUUGAAUGAAAUAUUAAUUUAUAUCAAGAUUGGGUGAAAAUUUGAGGAAAAUAGAAAAUUACCAAAAUGUCCCUAAAUUUUGGUAUUUCUGCAAUUUAGCCUGGUAAGUUCGUGUAACUUGAAUUAUAUCCUUAGAUGCUUGAAAUAUAUUUUUAUUGGUGUGAAUAUGAUUUGGAUGUUUAUUGUAUGAUAAUUUAUGAAGUAUUGAUAUUAUUGAUACAUGGAAAUUAUUGAACUAACUUGAAUGUUGAGUUUGUGCAUGUUAGGGGAAUAAUGCAUUGAAUGACAUGUAUAAGUUAAACUGGUCAACGUUAGCUCAUUAAUGUUUUGAUUUUGAUUGAUUAUAAAUAUGAAUGCUUGAUAAAAUGAAAUGUCUGUAAAUUAAUUUGUAAACUCUGGUAAUGCUCUAUAACCCUAAUCUAGAGAUGGAUACGGGUUAGGGGUGUUACACGUUGUUGGGGAAGCAACGUCACGAGAUUGAUUUUAAUUUUUGCAUUUUAAAAGAAUAAUUAGGAAAUUUUUAGGUUAUAGAUAUGAAUUUCAAUUUGUUUUGUUAAAACUUCAAACAUUUGUUUGAUUUUUUAAGGAACCUUAGCCAUCAUCAAACAAAUAAUCAUUCAGCACAAGCCAUGGAUAACCUUGACUAAAUGUGGUGUGAUGAAAACUUUGAUUAUGAUAAAGAUAUUUAUGAGGAAGGAGUCUAUGAGGAUUGGGAGAUAAAGGAAAACCAACGGUUAUUGAUGCUCGAAUUAAGUCAACUUUGAAGAGAACCUCCUAUCCCUUCCCUAGAUAAUAAUGACCACAAUCGUAUUAGUACAUUCUCAGAAAGGUGCCAAGAGGUGCUAAGUCUGGAGUUGCGCAAAGAGGUGAAUGUUGCUAUAUAUUUUUGUGAAGAAGAAGAAUGCCCAAAUUAUUACCCAUUUCAGCAGACGAAAGAAUAUCCAAACGAUUUAAAUGCAACUAUAAAAGGGGAAGAUAUAGAGCAAGUGGGGAAACUGGCCAGUAAAAUGAAGAAUCAGAUAGCAUGGAACUCAUUGUCCCAGAAACCAUGGAUUCUACCAAUAGGGCCGAAAUACAAUAGCAAUAUAACACAGACCAGUCAAUGUAAUUAUGGCCAAUCUAGUGUGAGAGUGUCUGUCUAUUCAAGAAUCUCUAGAGCAAAAUACAAAGAUAUCAAUAGACCUAGCUGAUGAAUCUGAAUCUACUACCCUUUGCGUAACAUUAGUCAUAAACUAGGCACCUUAGCGAUUUGAUGGCAUAGAAAUUUUUUGAAUGCUGAACAAGAUUGGAAAAAUAUAUAUAGACAGAAUCUAUGAUCAUAUAGCCAGACUCGGUCAAGCUGGACAACUAAUAAGUAUAAAUCUUGAGAUGCAAGCAUCGCGGAACGUGUUGACAUUACAAGAGCUAUGUAAGAAAGCCAAUUGUAAUCAAAUGGAGGAAUCUAAGAAACCAAAAAUGGACAAACUUAAAAAUCUAUAGAGCUAGAAUUUAGGAGAUUUAGAACAAAAUCCUUUGUUGAAUCUUUUGGAAAAAAUUGGGCCAACCACUGCUUCUAGUACACAUGAAAAACUAUUCUGGAACGAUAAGAUUAACAGAGAAAUAAUAAGCAGCAAGUUUGAACAAUACCGUUCAAUAUUCUCACGAAGCAAGAACGCUAAGUGCAGGCUAAAGUGGUUGUAUAAUUACGUGACUUUGCAAAUCAUUAAUAGUUAUGACCUGUGGAAAGAGUUGUCGGUCGUUAGAGCAGGCCGAAAAGGUAAAUUUAGAGAAAGAGACAACUGCAAAUGAAUAGAAUGGCAUGACGAGUGUUAGACUAAUACAAAUAGAAGUAAAUUACAAGGAGCCCAACAGUACAUAUUGAUUGAGCUGGCGGAUGAGUCCAGUAGCAAGAGCUAACAUUUUCCUAUAAUGUGAUUAUUACUAACUAUACUAACAGUAUAUUCUGCUAACAUAGUUGUUAAUGUAGGUUAAAGAUAGGUUUAACAAAUUCUUGAAGCACUUUGAAGAUUGAAAAUCUAGGGCAACAGGGUCAAUGUUGCGACACGAGUACUUCGUGCCGUGACACCAUGGUCAAUAGCAAAGAGUUGCAAAAAUCACAUCGAAGUUGCGAUAUCACUAGCCUACAUCACGACAUAGCGAACAAUCUUCGAGAUUUUUGAAACUGUAGGAUGUGUCGCAACAUCAAACCCCAAUGUUGCAACAUAAGUAGACUGCUAGGGAUGUCGCAACACGGAGCCCUUCUGUCGCAACAUCGCCUCCAAAUUUUUGCAGGGUCAACCCAACCUAGUUGUGCAACAUGGUGGAACAACCUUUAUUAUACUCGAUUUUUAACCCUAAAAACACUUUUUAAACAUAAGAAAACCUCAUUAAUAUAAUUUAGCCGUAUGCUAACUCUCAACCCUUCUAAAACCCCUCCAAAACCUCUCAACUCUAAAGCCCCUCCUCUACCCACAACCCUAAAGCCCUAAAUCCUUCAUCCUCAAUUCAAGAAGCUACAUUGAAAGGAGUUCUCAUCGAAGAGGAAGUGCAAACAAGUUUAAAAGUUAAGGUUUAAGUAUUCUAAAAAAUGUUCUACUGUUUUAUUGAUUACUACUCAUAUUCUUAGGAACAUUGUAUAUAAUAUGCGUCCCAAAAAAACAAGAGGGCUCAUGUUUUGAAAACCCCACAUGUUUUCGACCCCUUAGAAUUUUAUAAUACCAAUAUGGUGAAAUAUUUUCUCAAAUCAUAAGGAAGACCACUAAUCCAGGAACGAAGGUUCAAACCCUCAAUGAUCCACUGUAAAGAAAUAUUGACUUUGGUCUAUUAUCAUCAAUGGGAGCAGUUUUGUGUUACUCCCAUGAAUAAUGCAAACAUACUUGUGGUUCGGGAAUUUUAUGUGUCCCUUAAGGACCAAAUGAUUAAGAGGGGUUUUAAUGCAGUAAUAACUGAUGUUAAAGUACGAGGGGAAGAUGUCCCAAUCUCCACUAACGAUAUCUGUGAAUUUUAUAACAUCCUAUUUUAUGAGAAAGAUUUUAUUAAUAAUAAGAAUUUAGAAAAAUUUCAAAACAUAGACAUGGAAAAUGUUAUAAAAUUUUUAACACAAGGAAAGGGUAGUUGGAACUAUAGGCCAGACACUAAGCUUCCCACGAAUUUUAAUCAAGCUAUUAUUUUCUUAUUGCUAAAAUGUGGAUGCAAUUGAUUGGCACUAGAAUUGUAGCCGCAUUGAAUGUUUCUAAUGUUAAUGUAUUUUGAGUAGUUUCGUUAUAUGGUAUUCUACAGCAUAAACAAGGCUUAAAUUAAUUAAAAAGGACUAAAUCCUAAAAGAUGUAAAAUUUGAUCAUUAUUUGAUUUGAGUGAUUAAAUGGUUAAUUGAAUAAAUGAAAAGGGACUUAAAUGGUAAUUAGACCAUUCAAGGAGUUAGUGGGCAAUUAUGGUCAUGGAUUUAGUGUUUUAUUUAAUUAUUAACCAAGGUUGAAAUGGUAAUUUGGUAUAUUAAAUUAAAAUAUAAUAAAAAAGGCUAAAUUAUUAUCAUCUUUUUGUUUUCAUCUUCAACAACCCAAAUUUCCAUGGAAACCUUAAGCUAGGUUCGGACAUGAUGCUUUUCUCAUGCAUGGUAAGCAAUUCUUUCCCAUUUUUAAUAAUGUUUAUGUUUCUGAGAUAGUUGCAACUAGGUCCAGCUAGCUCGUACCUUCGAUUUUGAAACUAUUAAAAAUUUUGAAUGUUGUCAUUGAUUAUCCUUGUGAUUUUAGAUGUUAAAUGAUGAAUUUGAGAUAUUAGUUGUUAUUUAAAAGUAUUUUAUUAAGUGAUUUUUGAUAAAUUUAUCUAUUAGGGACUAAAUUGUUAAAAUAAUAAAAAUACAAGUAUUUAAUGUGAAAUUAUUGCAUGAAUGGGCUUUCUUAGAUACCAUGAGUAUUUUUCUAGGCUCAAUUUUGGGUAAAAAUGAUUAAUUUGCAUGUUUUGAGCUCAGGGACAAAAUUGAAUAAAAGUAAAACUUUAAGCGUAAUUUUGUAAAAAUUUCAAUAUGACUAAAUUGCAUAAAAUAAAUUAUUUUACUAUCUAAAUUAAUAUAUUGAAUGAAAUUAUUAACUUAGAUCAAGAUCCGGUGGAAAAUCGAGGAGAAUGAAAAAUUACCAAAAUGCCUUAGUACUUUGACAUUUCUGCAAUUUAACCAAGUAAGUUCGUACGGUAUUGAGUAGAUCAUCAUUGAAAAACUUAUAUAUUUAUUUUUAAUAGUGGGUAUUGAAUAAUAAAUUGAGAUAUAUUAUUGAUUUUGAUACUCGGUUUGGAUUGAACGCGGGAUUAGAGUACAUUCAUGCUUUGGUGUAUUACGGGGGUUUGGAGUGGAGAUGGUAUUGGAGGGAGAUAUUAGUAUAUUACCCAAGUAAACUAAGGUUCAACAUUUGUUGCGAACUUUUGUUUUAUACUUUCUGUUUGGCGUGAUUCAAGUGGAUUAGCUCUUUUGAGUUUCUUUUAAGCUCUUAUGAGCUUUUGUUCAGCUCUUAUGAGCUUCUGUUGACGAUGUACUUUUAUCGGUAAGUGGUUCUUCGAAUGGAAAAUCUCGGUAAGUUAAAUUAUUUAAUGAAUUUAAAAUAUUUUUUAUUUAUUGUAUAUUCAUCUGAGCAUAAAUAAAUUCAUCAGUUGAGAUUGUGGUUGAUGUUUAAGUUUGUGCUAAGCUUAUGGUUGCAUUACGUCAUGUUUAAUAUUAAUGAUAUACAUUGAAAUGGUAAGUGGUCAAAUGGAAAUAUGUUUAUGUUCAUGAAAAGGUGGUAAGAUUCAAAGGGAUAUUUUCUUAUAAAAUGGUUUAUCAUGUGAUUGACCCCCAAAUGAGUUAUAUACAUAAAAGCACUAACUUGUGUAUUAAUGAUGGUGAUUAGGCUUAUAUCAAGCUUGAGAUUAUGGUUGAUGUUUAUGCUUAUGUCUGGUAUUAUACAAAUGAAACGGAUAAGAAAAUAGAUGAAAUGGUAAGUACUUAAAUGGGAUGUAUUAUAAUGUUAUAAAAGGUUUAAUAUGAUAAAUGAUGUAAUUAUAUGUGAGAAAAUUACUUAUGCUAUGUAUGAAUCUACCUAUGUCAUGAUAAAUACACUAAAUUUGGAAUUAAUAAUGUUGUUUAGACUUAUGAUAAGCAUUGCGGAUGGAAUUGAAAGUAAGUAAAUAGAAAGGUAUAUAAUCUUAUAAAAAGGUUGGUGAUUAUAUAUUAUGUCUCAUGAAAUCCUAUCAUGUUAUGAAUGGUCAGUAAAUAUGCGACAUUAAUGAACUUAUUCAUUUGAGAGUUGAUAACUAUGGUUUGAUAAAUCCUAAGACAUUGGUAUAGGUUUAUAUUUAACCUAUAAAUUUCAUUAUUGAAAUGGAAUUUUUAUGCUUAAAGUUUAUACGAGCUUACUAAGCAUUCAUUGCUUACGUAGUUAUUUUCCUUUACUUUACAGAUUACUGGAAGCUUGACCGUGUUGGAAGCUAGUUAGAGGUCCAUCACACUAUCCAUCGGUUAUAUCAGUAGAUUUUGAUGAGUUUGAGUCAUGGUUAUAAUGGCAUGUAUAGGUGUCUUUUUUUGAUGAAAUUAGUCACAAUGCUUGGCUUGUAUAUAUGCUAGUCACAAGUCAGGCUAUUACACGGCCCAGCACACAGCCUAGCACACGGGCGUGUGGCUUGGCUGUGUAACCCAAGUCAGAAAAUUAAACGGACAUGGGCACGAGCUGGGACAUGACCAUAUGUCCCUACUUUGAAUGUCCACAUGGCCUAAGACAUGGGCAUAUGUCACUACCGUGUGACCCCUAUUGUUUGAAAAUUUUCAUCCUUUCCCAGAAAAUUCUAUAUGUUCUCGAUUUAGUCUCGAUUUGUUUCUAAUGUGUUUUCAGAGCCUUGAGGGCUCAUAUACGGGACACUAUGUAUGUUAUCAAAGGAUUUUGCUAUGAUUGAUGUUGUGAAAUAUAUGAUUUAAAUUUUUUGAUUGUUUUGGAAUGAAAUCUCAGGUAAUGUUCUGUAACACUAUUUUGGCAAUGGAUACAGUUACGGGUGUUAACAUAUGAGAAGUAUCAUCGGAGAUACAUUAUAUACCUAGUAUGUUGAGCUUCAAAGGAAGCAAAUAACGAAAUGGAAUCAAAGAAGGAAGAAGAAAAUGGAUGUACCAACAUCACUCAAACAGAAAGAUCAAUCGAAGGGAGCACGCGAAGACAUAGACACAAAACUUGCUAGAAUGAUUUGAUGGAUGUAGGAAAUACGACCAAUACUUCAAGAAUUUGUAAGGAUGAAUGGGUUACAUGCUCUGAAUUAUCCCCCAUAUAUGUUCAGGUUGACUCUGACUUAUCAGAAUGGGGGGCUAUUCUAGAGGAGGAAGGUGUUGCUUAGGAGUACCUUGGAAUAGAGGAUGAAUAUGAAGCGGCAUUCUAGCCAUGAUUUUCUACACCAAAAGGGCCUAUCAUACGAAGCCCAACUCGUCCUGCGCCUUCAAUAGGUGAGAUCUUUCACCAAACAUAUGUCAAAUGAAAAGGCAAAGCUCUGAUGGAAAUGAGGUGACCACCACAGUGGGAUGAGGAGGAGGAGGAUUGAGCAUUUUUUAUUUUUUCUUUCGUUUAGGAACUUGUAUUAAUUUUUGGAUGAUUUUAAUUUCGUAGGAUUAGGAGUAAUAAUAGAUAUUAAUUGAAUUGCCUUUUGUUUAAGUUUUCUAUGUAGGAAAUCAACAAGAAAGAGACAAAUAAUUGGAACUUUCUUCGAGCAAAGGAGGAUGUACCUACCAAUAGGAGUUGAAGCAACCACGAUCGAUCGGAUAACUUCUUUCCUUAUCUUUUAAGAGCUACGUAUUGGGGAAAAUGUGUCGACUAAAGUGUGGGGGGUAACAUAGGAAAUUAGGAAUUUUUUAUUUUAUUUUUCUUGUCCUUUGUGUGCUUGAUCUUAUAGAAAUAAAAGUGAUUGGUUAAGAGAAUGUACAUAGGCUGCUUGUGUUUAUAAACAAAUUUGGCAUGAUGAUAGGUGAUUUUAAAAUUUUUAUUAUUAGACUACUAAGUUCUAUAUGUUACACUAUAAAUAGGUAUUAAGCAAUCAACUAUACCAAAUGAUAUAGAAAAUACAAGGAAAUGAGCUUGUUAGUAUGAAUGAUAAAUGGUUAAACUUGAGUUUGUUUGGUUAAUUAAAUUUGUGUAUGUUAAGAUAUUUAGGGAUGACUUAAGGCAUUGUUUGGAACACAUCCAGAGCAAAAAAAAAAGACCUAUUAAUAUUCACCUUUAGUACUGAUUUUUGAGCCUAUUGACAGUUAUUGAUGGACCCUAUUACAAACCUUAAGCCUAAAAAUGUUAAAUUUGUAUUUGCGCUUUUUCUUUGGUCCUACACUACACGACUACAGACGUCUAGCUAUACGUAUUAAGGUUUAAGUAGAUAUAUCACGACAGGUUUUGUAAAACUAGAGUAAAAUAGAAAAGAUUAGAGUUGACCCCGUUACACCAUUUUUUUAUGAAAACGGGGUCAACUAUUAGUACGAUAUGUGAACUAUAGGUUAGCCUGCAAGUCCAAAACAAAGAUCCAAAAAGUAAAAGUAUUACGAGUAGAAAAAGUUCUUGAAAAGUAAAAAGCAUUCAUAAGUGAGAUAAGAUGAAAGAUAAGAUGAAAAAGAAAGUGAAAAGUCACAAGAUUAAGAAAAACUCGUUCAUUAGUACACAAAAACUCGUAGGCUAGCUGUAGUUACUAUUCCUGUUAUGAUUUCCUAUACAUGGAGAGACAAGAAAGGUGAAAGAAGGAGAAAUAAGGUGGUAAGUAGGUAAAGGUCACUAAGGGGGAAGAAUAGGGACCAAUAUGAUGUGUCAAACUAUUUUUGUGUUUAUAACCCUCUUAAUGCUUACUAUUUUUGAAUUUCAUACCUAUCCUAAGCCUUAAAAUGUUACAAGCUGAAAAGUCCUAUGUUACCUAAAUAUCCUUAUACAUGAAUGGACAUCAUACGAGCAUAUGCAUAAACGACUAUUUGUAUUCUGCUCGAAUAAUCAAAGUACUUGUAUAGUUUAUUGAUGGAUACCUACAGAUGAAACCCUUAAUACUUGUAUACUUUGUAACAUAAUAAACUUAGACAUUUGUGGUCAAAAGUGGUAAGUCGACUACUCAUCAUGUUGAAAUUGUUAAUAAGCAUAAAAUGCCUAAGUCAUAUGCUCUAAAGUCAAUACUUGUACCAUACUUGCUCAAGGGUUGUCAUUUUUAUUGUCUUUCUUUAUGUUGCUUGAGGACAAGCAAUGACUUAAGUGUGGGGGACUUUGAUCUACUGUAAUUCGGUGUAGCAAAUUAAACUAGUUCUUGCACUUAAGGAGCUUGAAUACAAGCAUUUUCAUUUAAUUUUAGUUAAGUUUCUUUAGUUUUACUUAUAUUUAAUAAAAUGCGUGAAUUAAGUCUUUUUUUGACCUUGAAGGCCAAAUGAGGCCCAAGAUAGAGCUAACGUACUCUAUGAGUGUGUAAGAGACCAUUAGAAAGCAUUUUAGGCUGGUAUUGGAUGCUAUGUCGUAACAUGAGAGGUCCAAUGUUGCAACAUAGAGAGUAGAAUAGGGAAAGUAUGAAAAUGCCUUCAAUGUCGUGACAUUGACUGAGGGUAUCACGACAUACCAUUGAAAACAUCCUAAGGAGUAGCAUACUGACUUCUAUGUCACGUACAGGUCUUGUUGUGUUGCGACAUUGACUCUAGGAUGGAAAAUAAAUAUGAAGCAGAGGCGUUUUGGUCUAUACAAUCAAACUUAAAGCUCGAUAACGUCAACUAACCUAUGGUUAAGGACAAGGACCACCUGAAGGCUAUAGAUAGGCUCCUUUGGCACAAGUUAUAGAUAUCAUUCCUUUAGCCUAAAUUCCCUUUGUAAAAAUUUAGUUUAAUUUUCUUUCAUUCUUAGGUUUUAGAUUUCUUUCAAUUGUUUUUGUUGAUUGCAAGAGAUUUGAAUUGUGGAAGCAUUCAAACUUUGGGAUUCACAAUUACUAUCAAUACAAUCAGGCUCUUUCAUUUACUAUAUCUUGUCGAUUUAAUUAGCAUGCUCUCUCUUUAUAUCAAUUUCAUAUUGUCUAUGAAAGCCAUGAAGAACUAAUCCCUCUAUGGCGGAUUAGUGAGUGGAAGUAUGAUCUGUUAACUAUUUUAUAAGCUUACUCAACGGAUCAACUACUUGGGAAAGAAAGAACAUGAAACAAACCCUAGGCCUGACAACCCCAUGAAGUCAUCAAGGUGGAAUUAACCCAAAAUUGGUAUUGUCCAUUCAUGAAAAUCUUUACCCCCAAGCCAGUCUAGAAUGUGAGGUAAUAAAAUAAGUAGUUCUUGGUGACUCUUUAUAUUAGUGGAAGAUCGGAAGAUCCUAUUAGGGUAGCAACUAGUUGAUUGACGAGGAACCCGAAACGAUAGCUAAUGAGGAUUACUGAAGCGAGCUAAUCACCCAUAAUUAAGAAUUGAUUUACUUUACUCUUCUAUAUCCUGAAUUUUAGUACUUUUAUGUUAUUUUAUUAUUAAAAAACCUUUAAAAAUAUAUUUUUUAUGUUUUCGUACUAUAAUUUAUUUAAAGUACUAAUUAGAUUUUUUAGUGUUUGUGUUAAAAUUAAUCUAACACUCGUCUCCCUUAGGUACGAUCCUCAAAGUACUCACCUAUUUCAUUGUAAAAACUAUAUUACAACUUAACCCAAAUACUUGCAAAUAUCGUAUCGUAAUUCUAUAUUAUUGUAGUAUUCACACUUUAAAUGUCUAAUGGAGGUCAAAUAAUUAAAUUGGACUCUUUUGACCUACUUAAACUGACCUGAUUCACGGAACACAUGGAGAAUUCCAUCUACUUGAAGCCUUAAUGUCCUAGUGAAACUAGUAAAACUAGAGUUGCCAAGGUAAUUAAUGUAAAUCCUAAGGGAUAAAUAUGUAUAAAGUUUAAAACCCUUAGGAAUCUCAUAUUAUAGAUAGGCAUUAAUGUCAAUUGUUGAUGUUAUUCAAUCUGUAAUGUUGGACCUAGGGGAGUUCAGCUACAAAUAGAGGCCUUCCCCCUUAUUUGUAAUGAUCCCUGUGUAUUUUAUUAUUGACAUAAAAAAUAUAUUGAGAGCAUUUACUCAAACACUUGGUGUGCAUUGCUUUAUUGUGGCUUUUUCAAUUUUUUGGUUGCUCUUUCACUUUUGAGUUUGCUUCCAUUUUAUUUUUGAUACCUUAGCGAAUCUGGAAGAAUUCUCACUUUUCAAGUGUAAUACUAACUUAGGUAGAUUUAAAGCAAAGAAAUUGCCUAAGGCCACACAGUUUUCUAGACUUAAGUUGUAGCCACAUGACACUAGAGCAUAGUAAAGUAUUGUUGGCAUGUCAUAGGAUUAGUAUAUGAGUGUAACAACCCAAUUUUCAGUGGUGUUAAAAAAUGCAAUUUUGGAACCCCAUUUCUGUAAGUCAAUUUUGUAAGGAAGAAAUACAAAGAUUAAUAAAGUUAUUAUGAAAAUAUAUUUAAAUCCGGUUAAGUAAUUUAACUGAGAAAAUGGUUAAUUAAAGCUCAAGGACUACAUUGUAAAAUUCUAAUCACUAUUGAGUUUUAAUUAAUAAAAAGCUUGAGGACCUAGAUAUAAUUAACAUGGUUUAAUAGACAAUGAUUAAUUCCAUUAAGUUAAUAUUAUAAUUAAAAUAUAUAGAUUAAUGUUUUAAUUGACUAAUUAAUUAAGGUUAAUUCAAGUAUAUAUACCUUUGAUAGUGGAGAGAAGAUGAGAAUUCAUCAUCUUCUUCACUUUCCACUUGAACAUCUAUUGUUGAAGCUUAAAACAUUCAGCUUUCAAAUAUUCAAGGUAAUCAAACCAUUUUCUUGUAAUUUUUAUAGAUUUUUUAACAUGAGAAUUUGAUUUAGCUGGCCCAUGUAUCACUUUGUUCAAUUGUUAAGUUUUUAGUAAGUACUAUUAUAGAAAAAAUUGACAAAUUAAGCUUGAAUUUGAUAGUUAAUAAGCUUAGAUCAUGAUAAGGACUAAAUUGUAAAGCUAAUUAAGCUUGUUAGAUAACUUUGUAACAUUAGAGACUAAAUUAAAUAAAUGGAAAAUCUAUCAUGAAAUUAUACUAUGAAUAGAAAGUAUAGGUCUCCUAAUGAAAGAAUGUGAAAUCGAAUUUUGAUCUGAUGUGAGAUAUCGAAAAAUAUGCCUAUCCCAACUAUAGGGACUAAAUUGAAUAAAAUAAAAAAUAGGAUUUUCUAUGUGUUUGAAUGUGAAUUGGAUGAAAUCUUUUAUUUAUUUAUUUAUUUAACGUAGCUAAAGAUGACGUUAGGCCAUCGAGAGGGAAGGUAAAUGCUAUAACAUCCUAGUUCUAACGAGUACAAGGUUUAGCUUGUAGCCCUAAAAUAGUUUGAUUGGUGAGGUAGUAUUCACCCAAGUAAAUCUGUUGGCGUAUAGAUUGGGAGUAUUCCAUUAUGUGUGUAAGUUAAUGGUGGUUUGAUAUCAGAUUUUCAUGUUUGUUGGGGUAUGAUGUUAGGCAAGUGAAAAGGUAUUGUAGAAUAAGUUCACACUUGAGGGAUAGUGUGCCUUUUUAUCUGUAGCAUUGUACAAGUUAAGUUGCAAGGUAAGCUAGUUAGAAACCAACUAGAUGUAAAUUAGGGUAAUGAAAAUACGGGGGUACUCACUUAGGCUUCUCGAAAGUUGUAGACCUUUGGAAAAGAUAAUUCAGUAAGGAUAUGACUCAUGUCAAGUUUCGCUAUGAGAACGUAGGUCAUAAAUAUAUAUUAUGAUAUGGACUUGAGAAAAAGGGGAGUUUCUCUUCUUUCUUCCAUUUAAAAAUAUUGUUGUGAUUUCCUUGGAGAUUAGUAUAGUUCUCUCUUGUUAAAGUGAAACUAAGGAUCUGAGUUCAUUCAGAAGGUUGUUUCAUAUCUUGGGUAAGCAUUAUAGUCUUGCAUGUUAACUUCUAAAAGAGUAUGUCUAUUUUAAGUAAUUGGAUACUCAAAUGAAGAAAUAAGGCUUUGCAUGGGGCGCUAUAUGUGCUUGAAAUGAUAAUAUAUAGUAUUUUAUUGAGUUUUAAUGACGUUCUUAUGUUUUAUAAGUAGUGGUAGCUGCAAUUACUUGUUGGAGAUUGAAUAUGGAGUUCAGGUUGUGGUCCGUGGUGGUCAGGUGAGUUCUAUACUGACUCUUACAUUUGUCCUAUUCAUAUUGUAAGUCAUCUAUGGAAAAUUGAUUGAACUAUGAAUCCAAAGUCAUGAAAAGUAUAGUAUGUGAAGAUUGGUGUACGAGUAUUGAAAUAUUGAAGUAUGGCUGAGUAUGUAUAUGUAUGCAAUGUAUGCUAUGAGAUGUGUGUUCUAUUUGGGUGAAUGUUAGUGAAGUAAAUGGUUGAAUUUAGAUUGUGUCAGUGCAUGAAGAGUCUGUCAAUUGAGUCACUGUCUGUUUUCCAUGAAAUAUUCAAAAAGGGGUCCGUCAGGACUUAAACACAAACUCUAAAAUGAAAGUCUGAAGGAAAAGUCGAUGGUCAUGACACCCUCUGAAAGGAACUAAAGGAUGGUGAUUACCCAAUGGGGUUUUCUGCAUGUCCUAGGACAAUGAUUGGCAGAUUUCACGUACUAUGAGUUUAGGCAAAUCCAUGUCAUAAACACGUCAGGAAAUAAUAAACCUUUCUGGUGAACUAUGAAAGAAUAAGCCUUUUUGGUGAAGUAUAAAUCAGUAGCCUUUAUUGCAAACUACGAAAGAAUAAGCCUUUGUGGUGAACUAUGAAAGAUUAGCCUUUGUGGCGGACUUUGUAUAAAGCAAUAUGGUGUAUCCUGCAUGACCCUUAAUCAUGACCAGAAAACUAGAAUAAGCUAGAGUGCUUGAUGAUUUCAAGGCAAAGACCAAGUAAAUUUAACAAACGGUUGAAGAUUAUAGUUUGAAAAGACAAUGAAAUGGAUGAGCUUCAAUGAAAGAACAAAUCUGAAUAAAGGUUACGUCUGAUAUUUCGAAAAAGGGCAUCUAUCUAUAAACAGUAAUAGAAAAGACUAGUAAAAGUUAAGGUUAGGUAUGAAAAGCAAUUUUAAACAAUGAUUUGCAAAGAAUACAAGUAAGGAUCCAUGACCGAAUGUUAAAAGAGAUUUCUUGACAGAAUGAAUGUUAUGAUAUAUGAUGGUAAUUGACUCUGACUAUGAUAUAGAUAUAGUAGAUAGAAGGAGUGAAAAUGUUUUGCAAUUUGUGUGACACUCAUUGUGAUAGAUAGUGGAUGAAAAAAUAAGAGAAGUUGGCGGUGAUGAACUACCUAGCACUUUAUGGAAACGACGACUAAGCUAAAAAAGAUCAUUUCUCACUGAGUUCUUAUGAACUUACAUGAGUUAUACUUUAAGUUUCAGGUUGAAUGUGAGUAUGCACCAAAAAGGACGAUGCCAAGACUAUGCUGAACAAAGUGGUGUUUCGAGUUAUUAUACAUACAGAGCAAGUUUGGUGGCAUGUUCAAAGUCUGAAAUGUUACCUAGGAAACCAUAUUUUAGGGUAACUGUAAUAAAUUAAGAUUUCAAUCUAGAUAUCCUUGUAAUUAAAUUAUCAUGUUUUGCAGUUGUAUCUACCAUUGUAUAUAUAUUUAUGUAAUUUACGUUAAAUAUGUAUGAAGUUAAUGUGUAAAUAAAUUUUUAACUUGUAUAAGUAGAUUAAGCUUUGUUUGUAUUCGUGUGGUAAUACCCAAGAUCCAGAUCCGACAAAUUGAAUCGGGUUGAGGGUGUUACAAAAGCGAGAGUCGUUGAUGAGUAGUUGUCUAACACCUUUAACUUGUAUUUAUCAUCGGAACAGGGUUACAAAGCGCUACAACAAGUUAACAUAAAUAAACAAGUAAAAUCAUGGUUCAUUUCAAUAUAAUUUCUCAAAUACCAUAAAGUAAUUGAAUUACAAUAAUAACUUACAUUUACGAGGCUUAAAUCGAGUUUUAGGGACUAAAGAUUUAAUCUUAAAACCCUCAGGGGCUAAUUUGAAACAAAUCAGAAUAUUUCAGGAAAAUAUAAAAAAAAUUCAAAAAUAAGGGAUACACAGCCGUGUGGUUAGGCCAUACGAAAUGCCUUAGGCCAUGAAACUUUUGAAAUUGGGACAAACGGCCAUGUCCUAGCCUGUGUAACUCACUAAGUUGGGUGUCACGACCGUGUCGCAGGUCGUAUGAGGCACAUGGCCAAGUGGAAAGGGUGUGCCCUAGGUCGUGUACACCUAAAUAAAACUUAAAUGUCAAGUCUCCCAUUUUAAGAUUUCUUGGACAUUAAGUAGCCCAUUUACCAACCAUUAGACCUAUUGAAAAUGACAUUAAACAAACUCAAAUCAUGCUAUUUCAAUCAUCUUAAGUGCGUAACCAAUAUACCUUCAUUGGUACAACAGGUAUACAAUCAUACAAUAUUAUAAAUCAUCACCAAAACAUGCCAAUUCACACAACUUAAUUUCUAACCAAUAUGCCUAUCAUUGACACCCUAAUUCACAACAAUGCAAGAUAAUAUAUUAACCAAACAUAUGCUAUUAAUUUGUACCAAAGGCAUCUUCCUCCAUUCACAUUUAUCACACUAAGUUGUCUACUUGCACUUAGGCUCAUUCUUUAUAUAUAUACAUACCAAAAAAAAAGUAAUAACAAAACAAGUCUAUUACAUGCCAUAUAAUCCAAAACAAACGUUCAAAAGCUACUGGGAUCAGAUGAAAAGUGUGACUUGAGUGUUGACCCGAUCGUACAACCUUCAAAAGUAUCUACAAAACAAAUUAACACAAAUAAGCUUAUUGAAUCUUAGUAAGUUCGUCAUACAGAAAUAGUAAAUCUUACCAAAGUAAAUAUAACAAUUCAAUCAAAAACAAUUCAACAACAAGUGUUUCCUAUCAUCCACAAUACCAAAUCGGUGAAUUGCAUAAUUCAAUUCAAAGCUCAAAUAAUAAUCUCCAGGAAAACAUAUAUGUCCACAAUGGGUUAAUUCAAGAUAUCAAAUACAUGUCAUGCCUUUCAAAAUCAUUAAAUAAGUUAUAAUAAAAUGAUUUACAACCUGAUGGAUGACUUAUAGAUACGAUUACACAAGUAAUCCAACUGAAACACGCCAAUCGCUCAUAAGAGCUAAUCCACCUGAUAAUACGCCAAAUGCUCAUAAGAGCUAAUCCACCCGAUAACAUGUCAAAUGCUCAUAAGAGGUAAUCUACCCUAUAACAGGCCAAAUGCUCAUAUGAGCUAAUCCACCCUAUGGCACGCCAAACACUCAUAAGAGCUAAUCAUCCACCCUCAUAACACACUAGAUCAGGGUAGUAUAACAAGAGGGUUCACAACAAAUGUUAAACCUCGGUAUACAUGGGAAUAUAUAUAUAACACACCACAUCUAUCUCCACUCCAACCCCAUGUGACACGCCGUCAUUCAGUUGUACUCUAUCUCACGUUCAUCCGGCCCAAGUACUAAAAUUCAAUAUCAUUUUUCCCAAACAACAUUAUAACAACAAUUAAAAUCAAUUAUUUCACAUUAUAUCAUUAUAACAACCUGAUUUAAGUGAUAUCAGAACAGUGAUUUCAAGACCACAAUUCCAAUGAGCAAGUCAUUAUUUUAUUAUUAUUUCAAUGUUUACAGGAUUAUAUUAAGGUCGUAUUAAAAUUUCAGUAAGAAAUUUUAAUGUUUGAUUAGUUAAUUAGGUAAAAAAAAGACUAAAUCGUAAAAGGUGUAAAAAUUUAGUUCUAUUAGUUAAAAGGGUCAAAUGGCUAUGAAACCAAAAACUAACGGACUUGAAUGGUAAAUAAACCAUUGAAUGAGUUAGUGGAUAUGCAUAGAUAGGUUUUAAUGAAAUUUUAAUGAAUUUAAAAGGUUAGUUUGGUAAAUGGAUAAUUAAGUUAAAAUGUUAAGUAAAUUAAAGAUAAAAGAUAUCAUUUUCUUGCUUUCUUCAUGCCAAAAUCGAAAAUCACAAUUGAAGGAUAGGGUUAGGUUUGGCCAAGCUCCUUUUGGUGCAUAUAAGUGAUUUUAACCUAAUUUUAAUGAUUUUUAUGUUUUUUAGUCCAUUUUAGUUUAAUCUAGCUAACCUAGGGGUUAAUUUGUAAAACUGUUAAAGGUUGAGGGUUAUGCCAUGGAUCUUUUUGAGUAGGUGUUGAUGUUAAAUGAUAGAUUAUGAAUCUUUUUUUAAAACUAAACAAGUUUUCUUAAGUGAUUUUUAAAGAAUUUUUUUAGUUAGGGAUUAAAUUGUUAAAGGUGUAAAUUCUAGCUUUUUAUUGCGAAAUGAUGGUUGAUAUGAGUUGUUUCAAAGUCCCUUGCACCUAUGGAUUAAAUUGUUAAAUGUGUAAAUUCUAGCAUUUUAUUGUGAAAUGAUGGUUGAUAUGAGUUGUUUCAAAGUCCCUUGCACCUAUGGUUAAUAUGGAUUUAGAUUCAAAUGGUUAGAUUUUAAGUUAUAAGUUUAAGGACUUAAUUGUGAAAAGUUAAAAUGUUAGGCACACUUCGUGUGAGCUUUCCCGAGUAUCCAAGGAAAUUCUAGAUUGUUCAACGGGUAUGAAAAGGAACGAAAUAGUAAGUGUUCAAAUGAAAUGUAUCAAGAACUUAUGAAAAGGAAUUAUGAACUAAAUGAUGAGAUUAUAUGUACAAAUCUACUUGUUUAUGGAUGAAUUCAUUUGAACCAUGUACAAGAGUACUAACUUGUGAUUUUGAGGAUGUUGUAUAGGUUUAUGCCAAUCUUAUAGUUUUGGUUGAUUUUAUACUUAUGCUUUAUAUUAUUCAAAUGAAAUGGUAAGUUAUGUUUUGGUUUCUACGAGCUUACUAAGCAUUCAUUGCUUACAUAGUUGUUAUCCUUUGUUUUAUAGAUUACCGGAUGCUUGUUGGAGUCUAACACACUAUCCAGUAGUUAAUUCAAUAGUUUUUUUAAAAUUUUGGCCAAGGUUUAUAAUGGCAUUUAUAGGGUGUUUGUAAUGGUAUUUUGAUGAAUGAAUUAAUGGUUUGACAUGUAUAAGUUUUGAAAGUUAUGUUGGUUUGGUACCAUUUGAUGCUUUGUCAAAAUAUGUCAUUUUGGUUACCUUAUUAUGCAUGUUUAUAAAGCUCUUUAUGGUAGGUUUGGAAAGGUUUGAUGAUGGACACUUUGUGGUAUGUUUUGGUAAGCAAUUGAACUAGGUUAUGAUGCUUGAAAUAAGGAAUUGUUGAUUAGUUUUGGCAUGUUAUAUUUGGAUGUUAAUUGUGGUGCCUUUGAAUGACAUUGGUUAAUUGAAUUAGGAUCUAGAAAUGGCAUUUUGAUGUGUGUUUGAGCGAUGUUUAGGCCUCUUUAAAGUGUGCUUAAAUGGGUUAAAACGUUAUGCAUGAAAUGGUUUGAAAUGGCUUGAUUUUAGGUAAAUUUUGGGUUCACACAACUUGACGACAUGGCCGUGUGUCAUCUGAGUAAUUCAAAGGGUACAAGCCAGUGAGUUACAUAGCCUAGCACACGGCCUGACCACGGGCGUGUGAGACGGCCGUGUGCCCCUAAUCAGUGAGUGACAUGGGUACAGACACGAGCUGGGACACGCCGUGUUUCUCUAUUUCAAAAGUUACACGGCCUAGGGCCAUAUCACAUGGCCUUGUGACCCCUGUUUUGUAAUUUUUUUCAUAUUUUUCUUAAACUUUCCAAAUUAUUUUAAAUUUUUCCCGAACUGCUUCUAAGAUAUUUUUAGGGCAUCGAAGGCUUGAUUGAGGGACAAUAUGCAUGUGAAUGAAUUGUUUAUGAUUUAUUUAAAUUAUUGAAUGAUAUGAUGUUUAAAUGUUUUUGAUUAUACAAUAAUACUUUAUAACCCUAAUUCAAUGAUAGAUACGUAUUAGGGGGUGUUACAUUUAGUGGUAUCAAAGUUACGGUUUAGUCGAUUUCGGACUGAACGUAACAUGUAUGGAGUCUAGAAAUACAUGCCAUUAUAAAACCUGUGAUAGUGUGACAACUCUGGACUCAAAUUGAACUAUGUUUUCAUAUAGAUAAGAUGUAGUCCAACCGAGCUAAUUUUGAUGAGCUAGAAAGUAAUGCGUAAGCCCUCGUUGAUAAGGCAACUUCUAAUAGUAGUGGGCUUGUAGUUGAGGGCGGGGGAGGUGAGACUAAAGAAGCUUUUUUCCAGAUGAUGUUUGAAGGUUUACAGUGUUAGUGAAAAUGAACCCGUUGGCUCAACAACCUCCUGCCCCAUCCGUACCCCAACCUGUUCCCAUUAUUCCUCAGGGUUUGGAACCAAUACAUACAAGCAAGCCUCCAGUUGAUAAAUUCCAAAAAUAUGGGGAUUAAGAGUUUCAUGGUACAACUGAGGAUGAUCCAAAGAAAGUUAAGUUUUGGUUAGAAAACAUAGUGAGAGUUUUCGAUGAAUUAUCUUGUACAUCGGUUGAAUGCUUAAAAUGUGUUGUAUCAUAACUGAAAGACUCAAGAUAUCAGUGGUGGAAUACAUUGAGUACGGUAGUACCGAAAGACCAUGUGAAUUGGGAAUUCUUUCAAACAUAGUUUAGAAGGAUAUAUGUUAGGCAAUGAUUUCUUGACAAGAAGCACAAAGAAUUUCUAGAUUUGAAACAGGAUCGUAUGACAGUAGCUGAGUAUGAGAGAGAAAUUGUGUGACUCAGAAAAUAUCCUUGAGAAUGCAUACCAUCCAAGGUUGUUAUGUGUACCUGAUUUAAAUACAAUUUAAACGAAGAUAUGAGGUUGAUAGUUGGGAUUCUUGAGUUGGAGGAAUUUGUAGUCUUGGUUGAUAGAGCACAUAAGGCUAAAGAACUCAGUAAAGCAAAAAGAAAAAAAGAUUCUGAGGCUCGUGAUAUGGGAAAAUGACCUACGGUAAAAUCAUUCUCAUCUCCAUCGAAGAAAUUAAAAGAAUUUCACAGUCGUUCAUCAGCUUCAGUAGGUUUCUCAAGAAGAGACAAAGGAAAGCAGCAUUCAACUUUGAGACUUCAGGCCACAUCUGUAGCGAGUGUGGGUAAAGUCAAGAACAACAAACCCGAAUGUCAACAAUGCAAUAGGAGACACUUUGGUGAAUGUAGAUUGAAAGAUGGGUCGUGUUUUGAAUGCGGUUCUUAUGAUCAUUUUCUCAUAGAUUGCCCUGAAAGAUCAGAUAAAGAGAAGGCUCAGAAUACUCGUUCGAGUAAUACGGUUGGGAGAGGGAGACCGCCCAGAAAAAAUGGUAAUGUGGGUAACAAUAAGAGUGGAACGAAAGAUUCUACUGUUGGAUUUGAGGCACGGGCACUAGCUAGGGCUUAUGCGAUUUGUGCUCAAGAAGAAGCUUCAGUGCAUGAUGUGAUCAUUGGUACAUUUUCUAUCUUUGAUACUAAUGUUAAUGCUUUGAUUGACCCGGGGUCAAUGCACUCAUAUGUAUACAGAACUUUAGUGUUGGAUGAGAAAAUACCUUUUAAGUCUACUGAAUUUUUGCUUAAAGUAACGAAUCCUUUAGGUCAGUAUGUAUUAGUUGAUAAAGUCUGUAAAAACUUCCCUUUAAUGAUUCAGGAUUGCCAAUUUCUGACUGAUUUGAUGUUGUUGUCAUUUGAUGAGUUUGAUGUGAUUCUGGGUAUAGACUGGUUAACUUUACAUGAUGCUGUUGUAAACUGUAGACGAAAGCAUAUUGUAUUGAAAUGUCAAAAUGGUGAAAGGAUUCGAAUUGAAUAAGACAUAUUGGAUGGUACAUCUAAUGUUAUCCCAGCUAUGAUGACACAAUAAUAUAUUCGAAAGGGUUAUGAAGCGUAUCUAGCUUACAUAUUUAUAGACUGGUUAACUUUGCAUGAUGCUGUUGUAAACUGUAGACGAAAGCAUAUUGUAUUGAAAUGUCAAAAUGGUGAAAGGAUUCGAAUUGAAUAAGACAUAUUGGAUGGUACAUCUAAUGUUAUCUCAGCUAUGAUGACACAACAAUAUAUUCGAAAGGGUUAUGAAGCGUAUCUAGCUUACAUAUUUGAUUCCAGAGUUCCAAAAUUGAAAUUAAAGUCGGUUCCAAAUAUUUGUGAAUUCACAGAUGUGUUUCUAGAAGAGUUACCAGGUUUACCGCCAAUCAGAGAGGUUGAGUUUGCUAUUGAGUUAGUACCGGGAACAUCUCUGAUAGGGAUAGGUUCAUAUAGAAUGCCAUCUACAGAGUUGGAAGAAUUAAAAGCACAGUUGCAAGAGUUGGUGGAUAGGGGCUUUUUUUGGCCCUGUUUUUCUCCUUGGGGUGGUCCGAUAUUAUUUGUUAAGAAAAAGGAUGGGUCUAUUUGAUUGUGUAUCAACUAUCGAUAGCUCAACAAAGUCACCACCAAGAACAAAUAUCUUUUGUUGCGUAUAGAUGAUUUGCUUGAUUAGUACAGUGUUGUCAAAGAUUGAUCUUCAUUCUGGAUAUUAUUAGCCAUAGGUUAAAGACUUGGAUGUGCCUAAUAUUUCUUUCAGAACUAGGUACGGAUAUUAUGAAUUUCUGGUUAUGCCAUUUGGUUUGACCAAUAUUGUAACACCUCAAACCCGUAUUCGUCCCCGGAACAGAGUUACAGAGCAUUACCAAACAAACGAAAUAGUAAACCAUUUAAUUCAUACAUCAAUGCAAUACAUAUUCUAAAUUCAUUCAAAUACUUUCAUAAUGUCCCUUAAUUGAGCCCUUGAGGCCCCAAGAAUAUAAUAGAAUCAAUCCGUGACUUCAUCGAAAACAUUGAAGUUUAGGAAAAAGUUAAAAAAAUUGGACUACAGGGGUCACAUGGUUGAGACACACGCCCGUGCCUCAGGCCAUGUUGACCCAAAAUGAACCUUAAAACACAAGUUUACGAUUUCAAGUUUGCUUGGACCUUAAGAAACUCAAAUACCAAAUCAAAAAGACUUUAAUCGAGCCAAAAACACACCAAAACGAACCUAUUAAGUGUCUAACCAAUGUACCCUCAUUGGUACCACAAGUAUAUAUAAUUAUACAUCAACAUAAUCAUCAAUUCAACUCAUCAAUUCAUUCAAGAAACACCUCUCCAAAAUACCUAUCAAAGGUAUCUUAAUCACAACAUUUCUUUAAUACAUAUCAUUGACAUUAGCAUAGAAACUAUACCUCAUUCUCAUAUAUUAUAUAACAUUUAAAAAAAAAGAUCAUCCAUAAUUUUUAUAUAAACCAAAACAAUAACAAUAAACGCAAGAGCCUAUCCAUGCCAUAUAAUAUGAAAUAAGCGUUCCAAAAAACUAUCGAAUUGAGCUGGAUAGUGUGACUUGACUGCCGAUCCGAUCAUCCAACCUUCCGAGAAUCUACAAUGAUAUUAAAAAACAUAAGUAAGAUUAAUGGAGCUCAUUAAGUUCGACACAUUAAAUUAUAAAUCUUACUGAUGUAAAUACAACAAUUAAAACAAUAAUAAUCAACCAUGAGAAUUCCAUGUCAUCCACAAUUUCAACCGAUGAAUUCAUCUAUGUUCAUAUCAAUAUUCAAUAAAUAACAAACCUUUUAAAUUCAUUAAACAAAUUACGUUACCAAGAUUUUUCAUUCAAAGAAUGACUUACGAAUAAGGGUACAUCAUCGGAUCAACUGAACACGCCAAACAGAAGCUCACAAGAGCUAAUCCAACCGAAACACGCCAAACAAAAGCUUAUAAGAGGUAAUCCAACCGAAACACACCAGACAGAGAGUAUAACAAGAGAGUUUGCAACAAAUGCUGAACCUCUGUUUACUCGGGUAAUAUACAAAUAUCUCCCUUCAAUACCAUCUCCACUACAAGCCCCCUAAACACGCCAAAUAACGAUUGUACUUUAUCACGCGUUCAAUCCAAACCGAACAUCAAUUUCAAUAUUAUAUCUAAAAUUACCAUUAAUUAUCAACAAUUAAAAAUAAAUAUAUAAUUUGUACCAUGUUAAUCUACUAACAAUUCAUAUUUAUGUUAAAUUCUAACCGUACGAACUUACUAACUGAAUUGCAGAAAUGUCAAAGUAUAGGGGCAUUUUGGUAAUUUUCUAUUCUCCUCGAUUUUCCACUCGAUCUUGAUCUAAAUUAAUAAUUUCAUUCAAUUUAUUAAUUUAGAUAGUAAAAAAAUUAUUUUCUGCAAUUGAUUCAUUUUUUACAUUUUUACAAAAUUACCCCUAAUAUUUUACUUUUAUUCAAUUUAGUCCCUAAGCCUAAAACAUGCAAAUUAACAAUUUUCACCCAAAUUUGACCUCAACUGAAUGUUCAUAACCCCUAAUGCAAUCUAUAUGUAUGAAAAAUUUACAUCAAAUCCUUGUACUAUUAUUAUUUUAACAAUUUAGUCCCUAAUCGAUAAAUUCAUCAAAAAUCACUUAACAAAAUACUUUUAAAUAAGAAUGAAUAUUUCAAAUUCAUCAUUUAACAUAAAAGAUUCACUAUGUUUAUCAAUUACAACAUUCCACAUCUUUAACAAUUUCAAAAUCAAAGGUACGGGAUAGUUGGACCUAGUUGCAACGAUCUCAAAAAUAUAAAAAUUAUUAGAAACGGGUGAAAAAGAGCUUACCUUGCAAGGAUUUAAGUAUAGCCAAACCUUGAAUAAACUUCCAUGGAGGUUCGAUGAAGAACAAAGUAAAAUGAAGAAAAACAUUAUGUUUUCCUAUUUUAAUCUUUACUUUUCUUUAUUUUAAUAAUAAAAAUAACAUAUAAACAUAUAAAACUUAAAGAUUUUGAAGCUUUAAUCGAAAAAAAUUUUAAAAAUGGAUAAUUUAUCCAAUAAGGCCAUCCAAUUAUGUUUCUUUAAUAAGUUAACAUUUUUAAACGAAUAGCGAUCGACUUUUUUAACUUUUAUGAUUUAGUCCUUUUUAAUUAAUUAACUAUCAAAACGUUAAAAUUUUUCAACGAAACUUGAAUACGACAUUUACAGCACUCUAUAAAUAUUUAUAAAAAUAUUUACAGCUCAGUUUAUAGAAACGAGAUCCUGAUACCUCAUUUUCUAAAACCACUUGACCUCAGGGUCUUACCACUUGAGCUUAAUUAAUCACUCAAAUAAUAUUUACGAACUUACUCGUUGAAUUUUUGGCCUCGAAACCAUUGUUUCCAAUACCACUAAAAAAUAGGUUGUUACAAAUGCACCUGUUGUGUUUAUGGAUUUGAUGAAUAGAAUAUUUAGGCCAUAUUUAGACAGAUUUUUAGUUAUGUUCAUUGAUGAUAUAUUGAUUUUUUCUUAAGAUAAAUCAGAGUAUGCCCAAAUUUUAAGAAUUAUUUUACAAACUUUGUGCCGAAGCCAAAAAUCACAAUUGAAGGAUAUGGUUAGGUUCGGUCAAGCUCUUUUUGGUGCAUAUAAGUGAUUUUAACCCCGUUUUUAAUUACUUUUAUGUUUUUAGUCUGUUUUAGCUUAAUCUAGCUCGCUUGGGGGUUAAUUUGUAAAAUUGUUAAAGGUUGAGGGUUAUGUCAUGGAUGCUUUUGUGUAGGUUUAGAUGUUAAAUGAUAUAUUAUGAAUCUUUUUUUGAAAAAUAAACAAGUUUUCUUAAGUGAUUUUUGAUGAAUUUUUUAGUUAGGGAUUAAAUUGUUAAAGGUGUAAAUUAUAGGGUUUUAUUGUGAAAUGAUGGCUAAUAUGAGUUGUUUCAAAGUCCCUUGCACCUAUGGUUAAUAUGGAUUUAGAUUGAAAUGGUUAGAUUUUAAGUUAUAAGACUAAAUUGUAAAUAGUUAAAUUAUUAGGGGCAAAUUGGUAAUUUUGUAUAAAUAUGAAAUGUCGAUUAAAUCGAAUACUAGAAGUAUUUAAUUGAUUAAAAUUACCUAUUUAGAUAAAGGUAAAUCACAAUCAGAUGCAGAUUGAGGAAAAUCAAAAGCUUCAGAUUAGCUCGAUUAAACUAUAACACCUUCAAUUGUCGAGGUAAGAUCGUAUGACCGGUAAUUGUGUUAAUGUUAUUUUAAUUGAAUGUUUAUUAUGCUAUUUUUAAUGUAAAUGGAUUGAAAGAUAAAUGUAUCAAUGCUAUAACGAACUGACAGAUAUCGAGUCUCGGUUGUACCUUAGGAAUUCUUAGGAUACAAAUGAGAUGUCAUUAGAGAUUUCAUGUUUCAGGUGCUGGCCUUAAAUUCGGUAGUUUUUGAACAUUUUGGCCAAGGUUUAUAAUGGCAUGUAUAGGGUGUUUCUAAUGGUAUUUUGAUGAAUGAGUUAAUGGUUUCGCAUGUAUAAGUUUUGAAAGUUAUGUUGGUUUGGUACCAUUUGAUGCUUUUUAAAAAUAUGUCAUUUUGGUUGCCUUAUUAUGCAUGUUUAUAAAGCUCUUUAUGGUAUGUUUGGAAAGUUUUGAUAAUGGACACUUUGUGGUAUGUUUUGGUAAGCAAUUAAACUAGGUUAUGAUGCUUGAAAUAAGGAAUUGUUGAUUAGUUUUGGCAUGUUAUUUUUGGAUGUUAAUUGUGGUGUCUUUGAAUGACAUAUUGGUUAAUUGAAUUAGGAUAUUGAAAUGGCAUUUUGACAUGUGUUUCAGUGAUGGUUAGGUCCCUUUAAAGUGUGCUUAAAUGGGUUCAAAUUUUAUGCAUGAAAUGGUUUGAAAUGGCUUGAUUUUAGGUAAAUUUUAGGUUCACACGACCUCAGACACGGGCAUGUGACUCAGCCGUGAGAGGCACAUGGCUUGGCGACACGACCAUGUGUCAUUUGAGUAUUUCAAAGGGUACAAGUCAGUAAUUAGUUACACGGCCUAGCACAUGGCCUAGAACACGGGCGGGUGACACAGCCGUGUGACCCUACUCAGUGAGUUGCAUGGGUGAGGACACGGUCGUGUGUCCCUAUUUUGGUAAUUACAUGGCCUAGGGCCAUAUCACACGGAUGUGUGGCCCUUGUUUUGCAAUUUGUGCAUCUUUUUCUUAAACGUUCCAAAAGUGUUUUGAAUUAGUUCCAAACUGCUUCUAAGCUAUUUCUAGGGCUUUGAAGGCUCAAUUGAUGGACAAUAUGCAUAUGAAUGAAUGGUUUGUGAUUUAUUUAAAUUAUUGAAUGAUAUGAUGUUUAAAUGUUUACGGUUAUACGGUAAUUCUUCGUAACCCUAACCGGUGACGGAGAUGGGUUAGGGAUGCUACAAUCAUUAUACAAUUCAUAUAAAUAACAAAUUAUAAACCGAAUGAACUUACCUGAACUAAAUUAAUGUAAUAGUUGCAAAAUGUUAAUGACUAUUUAGUAAUUUUUCUAUUUCCACGUAAAUCAAUAGGGUCCUGAUCUAAAAUGUAAAAUUUCCCAAUAUUAACUUACAUUUGAUAUUCCAAUUAAUUUUUCAUUUAUACCCUUUUAUUUUUUGAAAUUACAUAAUUACCCUUAACUUUUACAACGUUUGCAAUUCAGUCCCUUAACCUAAAAAUUAUCAAAUUGACCAUUUUCUAGAAAUUAGAUUACAGCAAAAUAUUCUAGGCCCUUAAACAGUCCUUAUUAUACCUCAAAGUCAACAUCAAACCUUGAAAUUUUGACAUUUUAACAAUUUAAUCCUUAAAUCAGCAACUAAUAAAAAUUAAUUCAUAAAACAUUCAAAUACCACAAUCAAAACUUCAAACAUAUAGUUAUCAUAAAAAAAACCAAUAUUCAUCAAUGGGAACUUCCAAAAUUUUUAACAGAUUCAAAAACGAAGGUACAAGCUAGCUGUACCUAGUUGCAAUAAUCUCAAAAAUAUAAAAAUCACAAGAAAUGGGUAUCAAUUUCACUUACAUUAAGUUUUUAAACUUGGAUGAUUCUCCAAACUAUACUUUCAUGGUGUUUCAACAAAAGAUGAAACCUUUCAAUUUGUUUUCUUAAAUUUUGAUUUAUUUAUAAUUUCGCCAUUAAACAUAUUUUAUUUUAUCAUUUUCAUUCAUAAUGCCGUCCAAAAAUAAUAAAUAGGGGCUAAUUACUACUUAUGUCCUUCCUCAUUUAGUAAUUAAGCUAAUUGAUCACUUAAAUGCAAUAAUUACUAAGUUUUGCACCUUUUUCAAUUUAGUCCUUUUCUUCAAUUAACUAUCUAAACAUUAAAAUUUCUUAACCAAAUUUUAAUACAAAUCUAAUGGCUCCAUAAAUAUUCUGUAAAUAAUAUUCAUGACUCGACACAACCAAAAUUUGUGGUCCUGAAACCAUUAUUCCAUCACUACUAAAAAAAGAGUUGUUACAAGCUGAUCUAUUGGUUUGUACUUUUAUGAGGCAAGAUUUAUAUAUAUAUUCAUAUUGAUUGCAUGAUUUACUAUCAAGGUAAGCUUAUGUUGACUUAUGAAAUUAUUUUCAUUGAAUUAUUGUUCUACCGUAAUUCGACUUAGCAAAUUAAACUAGUUUUAACAUUUUGAGAUCUUGAAAUUAAGCAUUAUUGUUAGGAUUUAAUAGCUUUUCAUUAAGUUAAUAAAAUGUGAAAAAAGUGAAAAAAAAGAGUUUUUUAUUGACUUUAAGGCCGAUUGAGGCCUAAAUGUUAGCCAAUCUACUCAGUGAGUGUGCAGAAGAGCAUUAGAAGGCAAUUUACAUCAAGAUUGAUCAUUGCGUCACGAUACGGGAUAACAGAUGACGCAAAAUAGAGACCAAAACCAAAUAAUCAUGAAGCUGUCUUCUUGGUCGCAACAUGGCUUAAUGAUGUCUCAACCAACCCCUCAGAAUGAACCUAAAGGAGUACACUGCCUACUAUGUCACGACACAAGACCUGAGUGUCGCGACAUCGACUCUUGGACGUGGAAUUACACCGAGUGAUGCCCAUUUUGGUCUUCACAAUGCAUCAUUAAACCCUAGAAUGACAACUGACCUAAGGUUGAGGAUGACAACCAUCAAAAGGCUAUAAAUAAGCCCCUUUAGCACUCAAUUUACAUACGCCAUUUUCUUAGACAAUUCUUCCUUUGAUAGAUUUAGGUUUUAUUUAUUUUGUUUUGUUCUUUUGUUCUUCGAAGACAUCAUUUUUAGAUGUGCAUAGACACUUGGAAAUUAUUUCCAGAUCUUAAUACAAAUCUGGGAAUUUAUUGUUCUUUAUAAUUUUGAUUCGUUCAUUAUGUUUAUUCUUUACAUUAAAAUUAUAUUGUUAAAGAAAACCAUGAGGAACUAAUCUCUUUAUGGGGGAUCAGCAAGUGGAGGUAUGAUGAUUUAAUUAUUGUGUAGGGUUUUUUAAUAGAUUGAUUGUUCAGAAAAGGAAGAACAUGAACCAAACCCUAGGCCUAACAACCCUAGGAAGUCAUCAAGUUGGGAAUUAACCCAAAAUAGGUAUGACCCAUUAGUGAACACCUUACCCCUGAGCCGACUUGGACUAUGAGGUCGAAAGAUAAGUAGUUUAUUUCGGCUUAUUACCUUAGUGAGAGAUUGAAAAAUCCUACUACUGUAAUGACUAGUUGAUUAAGGAGAAACCCGAAGGAACAAGUUGAUGAAGCAUGCUGAAGCAAGCUGAUCUCCCAGAUUCAGAUCUAACAACUAAUCAAACUUUGUUUUUAAAUUACAUUAUUUAUUUAUUUUUAUUUUUUAUUUUAUUUGUUUUCAUUAAAACCCCUAAAACUUUUAUUCAUAUCUUGUACUAUAGCCUCCUUAAAGUAUUAAUUAGAUCUCGUUAGUGCAAGAGUUAAAGUUAUUUAGUGCUACGCCUCCCUAUGGUACAGUCCUCGGAGUACUCACAUACCCUGUUAUAACUAUAUUACAACUUGACUCGUGCAGUUGCAAAAGCCAUAAUUACGUUCUGGAUGUUAGUAUGCCUGGAGAUGGUCAAUUAUAUUGAAUGUUAAGAAAUUGGACUAAAUUGACUAUAGUAUAAAAGAGUGAUAUAAUUGGCAUGUGAAAUUUGAUAUGGAUAUAGUAUGAACCAUGUUAUGUGAAUUUUGACAUACAUGAAUUGAUGAUAAAAGGAAAUGAGAUUAUGAUUAAUGAUUUUUUAUAUAAUGUGAUUAGAUUAUUGGUAUCCUAUUAACUGUCCAGGCAAAGUUGGAUAUAGAUGUCAUUCCAUAGGAUUAGGUUGUGUAUGGGUUACUCCGGUUAUACUACUAAGCACUGGAUGCAUUUUACUUCAGACGUCCCGAUGAGUGCUGGGCAUACUUUUACUUCGGUUAUAUGAAUUAGCAUUGGGUGCAAUUUAUAUGUUUUGGAUGUUCCAAUGCGGCACUGGGUGCCAGAUCGGUAUGUUAGUUGGAUGAUCUAUGUAUUUGCCCCAAGCCCGAGUUAAAUUUAUUGGGAUUAUAAAAUGUGAAUCGAUUAAAUGAUAUUUGAAAUGAUUUGAUAACACGAAAUGGUAUUACAAGUGAAUAUAUGUGAAAUGUGAUUUUUGAUAACAUGUGGAAGACUGUGCGAAUCAGUUAUAAGAGCCUGGAAGGUCGAUAUGAAAUAUGGUGAAUCAAUAGAUUCGAUUUGGAAACAAGAUUUUGAAACAAUCAAAUUGUAUGAAUAGGAAUGGUAACAUAUACACCCUUAAUGGUAGAAAGUUGUCAUAUUAUGUUUACAUUGAAUUGCUAAUAGAGAUAGUCAAUGAAAUUGCCAUUCGAAUCAUGAAUAGAUGAAUUGAAUUAGUUAUAAUUGAAUUAUGCAUUGGUAUUAUUCUUAUUAUGUUAAUGCUUUUGCUUAUAUGGCCUGAAUCAUGAAAGUACCACCAAGCUUUAUUCUAUGCCCAUGUAUAGGUGGGUCUCAUUAUCACCCCCAUUACCUCGCAAAACUUCAACGAACUCAUACUCAAAUACUUUACACCUUAAAUAAGUUAUCCCUCCUAUUUCCUCUGCAUUGUUAAGAAUUUUAUACACCAAUUUCUUCUUUUUUUUGUAACAAUUUAACAAAUUUCUUCAUCAAUAGGCUUACCCGUAUUCUCAAGUAUUUCUGCCAGCUUUUCUUAUAUUUGUAGUCAGGUGGAUUCAUUGACUAUCUCAUUUACCGUGUUCUCAGAUACGUCAUAUUUAGCCGAUCAUGCUGCAUUUUGUGUGAGACAUACAAUGAUUUUCCUUUUCUUGUUCUGUUCACUUCUUAUUUCAACAUUCUGGCAGACUUUAUUUGACACCGUAGCCUAGCUAUGGUCUUACACAAUAUAAACUCAUGCUUACUUUUCUGGCUGACUCUAUAUGUUUUCAAAGCCUAGCUAUAUGGCAGACUCUACAUAUAAUAUAAUUAUGUAUUACACACACAAGUAAGGCACUUAUUUCAGUAUACACAGUAUUCCAAUCAUUUGAUCACAAUAUAUCAUUGAGCAAUCAUCUUAUACGAUGUUUUGCAUCCACAGCAUACUCACUCACCAUUUCCACUAAUAAUAACAGAUUCAAAUAACUCGGAAUAGUCAUAACACAUUUUCAUCAACCACCCAAAGAUAGAAUACAAAAACUCACAUGAAUUCCCUUAUCCUUGUCAGCUUAACUUGUCCAAACACUAGAGCCUCAUUCGUCCUAGUAGCUAACCAAGAUAACCAUUUAUCAGUUAAAUUGAAGGUAUUCAAACCUUAAAAGCCCAUAAUCCUUACUUAUAUAAAAACUUUUCAAGAAUUCUCACUUCUCUUUUCUCUAAUCCAUGAGUACAGGGAAGCUUAGGGGCUUACCAGCUUAUCAAAUUAUCUUUUGCUCAGACAUGAAUCUCAUAUUUACUAACUCAUGCAAAGAUUUUUUGAACUUCUUCUUCCUUUCAAAGUAACCGAAGUAGACGUUGUAGACUAAAGAGAGAUCACCAGUUGAUUCAGAAGAAUUCCUUCCUCUCCACACAUAUAUAUAUCCAAAUUUUGGAAGAUCUUCUUUGUCCAUUUUAGCCAUUCAUUGCUAAUAAUUUUUUUCUCCCAUUAAGGAUAUAGUCAAUUCCAAUCUAACUAAACCAGAAUUGACAUCCAACUAUCUACAAUUCAAACAUUAAAAUUUCUAAAUUUUUGAGUAAAGUCUGCAAUUUUUGAAUCCACUCAAUUUAAUCUUAACAUUCUUUUAAUUUCAAGACAUAAGAAAAAAUUGGUUGUGAUAGACCUUUUGAAAACAAACAGUAAUGUCGUGAUGCUAGGCCCUUAACAUUACAAAGAUGAUAAUUUAGUAAGUUACGUUGUGACUUGAAACCCUUUAAGUCGCAAUGUCAACCCGAUAUUUUGAAAUUUUUAAAAUGUUUGAAAGGUCAAGAGUUUGACAUUCGAAGUCACAACUUUAGGAGUUUGAAAGGUUUCGAUCCCUCUUUAGUUGAAAUCUGGCUAUAAUCUAUAGAAUAGAUCCUACAACAUUUAGAAUGUUCACCGUCUGAGUGUGUUACGUACAUGGUAUCUCUUUUAAAAGGAGAGGCUUACCAAUAGUGGUUGACAGUCACCCGACAUGUGUUAGCUGAUCAGGUUACUUAGGCAUUCUUCCAAUCUGAAUUUCAAAAUAAAUACAUUGAUGAAUUGUAUCUUAAAGACAAAAGGCAAGAAUUCAUGAUGUUAUAUCACAGUGAUAAAUUACUGUUGAUUAUGAGCGAGAAUUCUUACGAAUUAACAAGUAUUCCUUUGACUUAGUGCCGACCGAGGAGAAGAGUUGCAAGCAAUUCCUUUAGGGAUUGCGAGAUGAGCUUCGAUUUUAGUUAGCUUCAAAUAAGCUUAAAGAUUUUUUUGGUCAAACCGAACAAGCAAAGAUGGUUGAACAAACCAUGGACCUAGAUAAAAAAUCAAGCCUUCAAAAAUAAAUCUGGGUUUUCUAGUUCAUAACGUUUUCCAAAGUGAGCGGAGAGUCUCGAGGACUUAGAAAUCAAAUCCAAUGGGUAGUACUAGGGGUCUCGUAAGAGACUCGUACAUUCUAAAUUUUGAGCAUUGCAAAAAGAAGCGUAAAAGUGAAUGUUGGAAAUUGACGAGAGCUUGUUUUUUAUGUGGGCCCCUGGAAAAUUUUGCCCGAGAAUGUCUGAAAAAUGAUAAUAAUACUCUUGUUGUUAGUCAGAGAUCUACUCCUAUAGUUAUAAGUUAAAAAAAUAGCCAUAGUUGAUCAAUAGCAAGGGGUAGUACGAAAAGAAAGCUAGUACAACAAUCUAAAGCUAGAGCUCCUGCACGAGCCUUUAUGGUUCAAACUAGAGAAGAGGGUGAUGCUACCAAUGUUGUAACAGGUAUUUUUCUUUCAUAAUUUGUAUCCAUUCAUGCUUUAAUUGACCCUGGCUUUAGGCAUUCAUAUGUUAAUUUUAGCUUCUCAGAGUUGAGGAAAUUGAAAUCAAACUUGUCAAGUAUAACAAUAUUUGUUUCAAGUCCUUUAGGACAAAUUGUGCUUGUUAUUCAAGCGUGCAAACAUUUCUUAUUAGAAAUCUAGAAUAAAUCAUUCCCAUUUGAUCUGCUGAUCAAGCCGUUUGGUGAUUUUGAUGUAGUUCUGAGAAAGUAUUGGUUGAUUGAGCAUACUAUGAUUUUGGACAACGUAAAAAUAAAUUCUUUAUCUACAGUCCUGAAGGUGAUAUCAUUGAAGUUAAGGGCAUAAGGUUAAGUGAUUCUACUCAUAUCAUUUCAUCAAUUUGAGCUAAUAUGCUUUUAAAUCAAGAUUGUGAGACAUAUUUGGCCUAUAUUAUUAACUCAAACUCAAAUGAAAGUAAAAUGGGAAAGAUCCAAACAAUAUGUAAGUUUUUGGAUAUGAUUUUAGAAGAAUUGGCAGGAUUUCCUCUUAACCGUGAGGUUGAAUUUGAAGUUGAGGUUUUACCCUGGUAUAACUCUUAUGUCUAUUACUUUGUACUGCAUAGUACGAAUGAAGUUAAGGAGCUAAAAAUUCAAUUCCAAGAUCUUCUGGACUGUGGCUUUAUACAUCCCAAUAUAUCAUCUUAGGGAGCUUUAGUAUUGUUAAUUAAAAAGAAAGAUAGUUCGAUGCAGCCCUAUAUAGAUUAUCGGUAGUUUAAUAAGUUGACAAUCAAGAACUAAUAUUUAUUAUCGCUUAUUAACGAUCUGUUUGGUCAUUUGAAAGGUGUUACAAUAUUCUCCAAGAUCAGUCUGAGAUCUGGAUAUUAUUAGUUAAAGGUGAAAGAUAGUGGCGUGCCAAAAAUAGUAUUACGUACGCAAUAUGGUCACUAUGAAUUUCUAGUGAUGUCAUUUGAGUUGAUGAAUGCUCCUAAAGCAUUCAUGGAUCUCAUGAAUCACAUCUUUUUCAAUCAUAUUUGGAUGAAAUUUUGGUAGUCUUUAUCGAUGAUAUCCUAAUAUAUUUGUAGUCAGAGGAAGAACAUGAUAACCACUUGAGAAUUGUGUUGUAAGUGUUGCGUGAAAACCAACAAUACGGGAAGCUUAGCAAAUGUGAAUUAUGGUUAUCAAAACUUGUAUUUCUAAGACAUGUUAUAUCGGUCGAGGGAAUCCAUGUGGAUCCUAAUAAGAUUGAAGUCAUUCUGCAAUGGAAAUCACUAAAAAAGGUGUUAAAAAUCAAAAGCUUCUUAGGUCUGGCUGGUUAUUACAAAAGAUUCAUAAAUGGAUUCUCCAAAAUAGUUUUGUAACAAAUGUGCCAUUUGUGUAGAAUAGCUAGUACCAAAAGAGUUUUCAGAAGUUGAAGGCCAUGUUGACAAAGUGUCGAUAUUGACUUUGCUCGAUUAAGGGAAGGAGUAUGUGGUGUUCAGUGAUGCUUUAAUAAAUGCUUUGGGCUAUGUUUUGAAGUAGGAUGGUAAGGUAAUUGCUAUGCGUCCCAGCAGCUGAAGUCACAUGAACAUAAUUAUCCAAAGCUUGAUUUAGAGCUAGCUAUUGUGGCCUUUUCUCUAAAGAUCUAGAGGCACUAUAUGUAUGGUGAAAAGUGUUAUAUCUAUAAAGAUCAUAAGAGCCUCAGAUAUCUCCUCUCCCAGAAGGAGUUAAAUUUGAGACAGUGUCAUUUGACUGAGUUACUGAAAGGCAAUAAUUGUAUAAUAGAUUACUAUCUUGGGAAAGGGAAUAUAAUGGUUAAUACCUUAAAUCAAAACUCAACAUUUGAAUUGAGAGCAAUGUUUGCUCAGUUGAGUAUUUGUGAUGAUAGUAGCUUGUUAGCUAAAUUAAAAAUAAAGCCUAUGUUGAUUGAUCACAUAAAAGAGACACAAUCUGUAAUAACUAAGCUAGCAAAGAAAAUAAAGCUUGAUCAACGAGAUAAUAAGAAUUUCAGCAUUGAUGUGAAUAAUUUUCUUCGAUUUCACAAUCAAAUUUGUGUACUUGGCAAUACUAAAUUAAAGAAAUUGAUUUUGCAUGAAGCUCAUGAUGGUUUUGUCGCUAUGUAUCCUAGUGGUAAAAAAAAUGUAUGGUAACUUGCAAGAAUCAUAUGGGUGGCUAGGGAUGAAAAGAGAAUCAUCAAGUAUGUUGUUAAAUGCUUAACUUUCCAAUUAAAAAAGUAGAACAUCAAGUUCCCACUAGGUUGCUUCAACCUAUUUCGAUUCCUUAGCGAAAAUGGGAACAAAUUACGAUGGAUUUUAUUGUUUGCCUAGAAAUUUCAUUGAAAAAAAGAAAUGUUAUUUGUGUAAUAUUUAACCGAUUAACAAAGUCUAGUCAUUUUAUGGUAGUUAGAACCAAUUAGUUGUUUUCGAAGCUUACUGAAGUGUAUAUCCGCAAGAUAAUAAGACUUCAUGAUGUAACUAUGUCUAUUAUCUUGGACCGAGAUCCUCGUUUCACUUUGAGAUUCUGAAAUGAUUACAUGAAUCUUUAGGUACGAGGUUGAUUUUUAACACUGCAUUCCAUCCCUAGUCUGACGGCAAAUCAGUGCAUGUUAUCUAGUUGCUAGAAGAUAUGCUUCGAGUCUGUACCAAUGAACUUGAUGCUAGUUGCUAGCAUUAUUUGUCUCUAGCCAAAUUUGUUUACAAUAAUAGUUUUCAAUCGAGAAUUCAAAUGGCUCAUUAUGAAGCUUUAUAUGGGCGACAGUGUAGAACACCUUUAUGUUGGUCAAAAUUGAGUUAGAAAAAUAUGACUGGGCUAGAAUUGAUUUAAGAAAUGAAUUAUAGAGUGAAGUUGAUAAAAGGUAGACUGAAGGCAGCCUCAGAUAGGCAAAAGUCAUAUGUUGAUAUGGAUCGAAAGGAAAUUGAAUAUGCUGUGGCCAAUAAAGUAUUUUUGAAAUUCUCUUCGUGGAAGAAAAUCUUGCGCUUUGGCCACAAAGGGAAGCUAAGUCCUAGAUUUAUUGGCUCGUACGAAAUCAUUAAAAGAGUUGGACUUGUUGCCUACUAUUUAGCUUUGCCAUCGGAGUUAUAAAAGAUCCGUAAUACAUUUCAUAUAUCUAUGCUUCAAUGGUACUGAUCUAAUCCUUUACAUGUGAUUCUCGUGGAAGAUAUUAGGGUGCAACUGGAUUUUUUGUAUGAAGAAAGGUCACUAAAGAUGUUAGCCUGAGAAGUAAAGAAGUUGAGAAACAAGCAAGUACCAUUAGUGAAAGUCCUUGGCACAGUCAUAGCAUAGAAGAACAAGUACUUAGUAAGUGCAUAUGAAAUUUAAUUUAACUUACCUAAGUAUUAUAUCAUUUAAUCAAUAGGAAUUCAAAGAUGCACAAUGUGAUAAUACUUUGACAUCCUUAAACCUUUUUGUACAAUUUCACAAAACCAUCACCAAAUUAAUAUAUUAGUACUAUGAUUUCAAAGUGUUCAAAUCAAACACAUAUACUAUAUAGAACUGUACCAUUACAAAUUACACGAUAUUAUAACCAUGCCAACUAAGUUUCUUAUUAGUCUUUCCAGCUAUUCCUUUAUCAAAUUGUCCAUAUCUUUGCCAGAGAACUAUGGUAAUUUAGUUCCGGGUAUUCAAGACUAGAUUACUCGCACAAGUUGUAACAUAUACAUUUGCUCACAGAAGUUGUAUAACUCGGGCCUACUCACACAAGAUGUAAUUCAAGAUUGUUUAUAUAAGUGUUAUUUAAUGAUGCUCGUACAAGCUGUAGAGAAUCUGCAACAUAUGUUGGAUCUCAGCCAUCGAUAACUAAGUCCCUAACCAACACUCGAUUUGUAUCAUUUGGGUUUACUUCCACAAGCUGUAGCUCAGGAUUGUUCUUCUAACUCUAUUCAAUGCUGCUCACACAAGCUGUAGUGAAUCUGUAACAAAUGUCGAAUCUCAUCCAUUGAUAACGUAGUCCCUGACAUGCACCCAAUUCUUUUAAAACGAUAACAGUUUGUUCUUCAUGCCGUAAUAUUUACUGAAUUGUCAUGAGCAUUGUCUUGUAUUCAUACAUCUUAGUCUCUCUAAGAUUAUCAUUUAUACAUAUUAUUUUACCAUAUAAACAUUUCAUAACUAUCUAUUGACACGUAUUUUUUUAGAAACCUUAUAUUUUACAUAUUUUACAUAUUUUACAAUUUAAUCCAUUCGGUAUAAAAGCCUAACAUUUCCAUAGAAACUCAAAUAAUAGACAAGAUAUUAUAACCUUAAAUGAAAAAAAAAUUAAAUUAAUAAGUUCCAUUUGAACUUACUUGGUAAAAAAAACAACCAACAAGGUGUCAGAGACUAUUCCACAAUUUUCUUUUUUUCCGCGAAUAUCCUCCAAUUGAUCUAAAUCCCAAUCUAAAUCAUAAUUUAAUUCAAUUAUCAAUUUCAAACAUUAUUUAACAACAUAUUAUAAUUAGAUAUCAGUUCAAUUUCAUUUAUCAAAUAUUACCUCAUGUUUUGUAUUUUAUUCAAUUUAGUCCCUAAAACCAAAUUUUUCAUAGCUUUCAAAUUUAAGCUUCGAUUUCAAAACUUAUCUCAAUUUCAUCCUUCUACAACCCUAUAAUAUAAAAAUAAUAGAAAUAUAACCUUAAUUUUGAAAUAUUUGCACUUUAGUCCCUAUGUUCAAAACUGACAACUUUCACUUACAACUUACUCAUUUUUUUUCAUAUAAAAGCUCAAAAUCUAUCAAUUUAACACCAAAAGCUUUUAUGAGUUAACAAUUGGGAACCUUUAUAAACAUUAACAAUUUUGCAAAAUAGUCCUCGGGCUAGCUAAAUCAAGCUCCCGAGAUCUCAAAAACAUAAAAAUUACAAUAAAUAGACAAAAUUGAAUUCACCAUUGAGAUUUUAAAGCUUGGUCGAACCUUCCUCCUUCAAAAAUGGUGAAACAGUGUGAAGAUGAAGAAAAAGGUAAAGGUUUCUCUUUCUUUCCAUGUUUUCAUUUUAUUAACUUUUAGUAUUAUUAUUUUAUCAUUUUCAACAUAAAAAUUAACAUUAUAAUUAAUAUUUCUGAGCUUUUAAUUGUCCGCCUUAUUCUAAUUUGCCUUAAUUUUCAUUUUCAGCCUAGUUCAAUUACUAAACAAGCCCUUUAGAAAUUAAAAAUAUAUAACGAUUAACUUUACUACUUUUAUUAUUUAGUCCUUGGGCCUUAAUUAACAAUCUAACUAACAAAAUUUAAGGAUAAAACCCUAAUUAAACUUUAUACUAACCUCGUAAACAUUAAAUAAUAACAUUUAUGGCCUCACUUGUCAGAAAUAGGGUUCCAAAAUCAUCGUUUCUAACACCACUGACUUUAAGGUCGAAACACUUAUACCUUAAUUAACUAUUCCAUUAAAAAAAAUUCUUCAGACCAAAAUUCAAUAUAAUUCUAAAAUAGACUCGUAAAUAUCAAUAAUAGGGUUUCAAAACAAAUAAGACAUCAAUAUCCCCACCUCUUUUUUAGGUAAUUUUUUAGGACGAAAAUUCAUAAGGGGGAGAAUUAUAAUGACCCGAUUUUCAGUAACGUCAAAAAUUGUAGUUUCAGAACCCCUUUUUUAUAAACUGAAUCUAUAAGGAUGAAAUACAAAGACUAAUGAAGUUAUUAUGAAAAUAUAUUGAAACUCGAUUAAGUAAUUUAACUAAGAAAAUGGUUAAUUAAAGUUGUGGGACUAAAUUGUAAAAGCCUAAUUGUUGUUGAGUUUUACUUAAAAAAAGGCUUGAAGAACUAGAUAGAAAUUUUCUAAAGGGAUAAAAUGGUUAUUUAACCAAUAUUUAACAUGAUUUAGUGGAUGAUGAUGAAUAAUUCCAUUAAGGAAAGAUUAUAAUUAAAAUAUAUAAAUUAAUGUUUUAAUUAACUAAUUAAUUAAGGUUGAUUAAAGUUUAAUCGAAGUGUAUAUAUAUAUACCAUAGAAAGUGGAAAAAAAUAUGAAAAUUCAUCUUCUUCUUCACCGUCCACAUGAAGAAAAACAAAGAAACCUUCAUUGUUGAAGCUUAAAACAUUUGACUAUAAAAUCUUCAAGGUAACCAUGUAACACCCCAAACUCGACCUAGACGUUAUGGUCGAAUCUGAUGUGUCACAUUAAAGUGUCUUUUGGAAAUUGAACUCGUUGGUAAAAUAUUCUUGCACAAGUUUAAGAUAAACCCCUUUUAAUAUUAAUUAACAAAUCAAUUAGUUGAAAUGUUUGUCUUGUUAUCUGAUAAUGUUUAAAUAAAUUGGUCUAAAAUCGGGAAGUUUUUUUUAAAUCCUACUGUUUAAAACUCGUAUCUUUGAAAACGGUAAUUAUUUUAAAAUUUUGUCUUCCCCUAAACUAGCAAUUUAACGUAUUUAAGCAAAAGCCCAAAUAAAAAUUUAAACCAACUUAAAGGCCUUAUUACAAAAAAAAAAACAAAACCCAACUUAUUAUUUAAAUUAAACAUAAAAGCAAAUAUGAUAAUAAGAGAUUGUAUGGCCAUCUCCAAGUCCCUCGCAGCAACGAAUCGCCUAUGGCUGAGGAUUACUUGCACAGUUAAAGAAGAGGGUAAGUUUACGAAACUCAAUGUGUAAUCCCCUUCUAGGAAAUCAUUAUGCAACAUGCAGAAUCAGUCUGGGCCUGAGCCCUAAAUAGUAUCAGUCCAGUAUGGCCUUAGCCCGGUACAGUAUUAGUGUGUAGGCCUUAGCCCAAUACAGUAAUCAGUGCAAUGCAGUAAUGCAACCUAUCUCAAUCCAGCCAACACACCACUCCGUACCACCAACACACUAUGUAGGGAUAAAAUCGACCCACCCAGCCAACACACCAAUAUCGCAGCAAAGCUGCCAAUAAUAGUAACGCAGCAAGGCUGCCAGUAACAGUAACGUAGCAAAACCGCCAGUAACAGUGUAUGUGGCAAAGCCACCAGUACAAUAUACUUCCCUAUAUUAGAAUCCCAACCCAAUGUAGUAUGUCAUGUCAUAAAUCAUACUUGUAUGCAAUAUGUCAUACUCAGUAACAGUCAUAUAUAUAUCAUAGAGCAAAUCGGCCAUACACACAUUUCAACUCCUAGGGGUAUAAUAGUCAUUUUACCUUUCAGGGGUAUUUUGGUUAUUUUACCCAUCGGGGGUAUUUCGAUCAUUUUACCCUUCGAGGGUAUUUUGAUCAUUUUACCCUUCGGGGGUAUUUCGAUCAUUUUACCAUUCAGGGUAUUUCGAUCAUUUUACCCUUCGAGGCUAUUUCAAUCAUUUUACCAUUCAGGGUAUUUCGAUCAUUUUACCCUUCGAGGCUAUUUCAAUCAUUUUACCCUUCAGGGGUAUUUCUAUCAUUUUACCCUUCUGGGGUAUUUUGAUCAUUUUACCCUUCGAGGGUAUUUCGAUCAUUUUACCAUUCGUGGGUAUUUCGAUUAUUUUACCCUUCGGGGGUAUUUCGGUCAUUUUACCCUUCGAGGGUAUUUCAGUCAUUUGCGAACGAAUCACAAGUUGGACUUACCACUAGAGCGAUUGCACGCCCAUGUGGUCUCAAAGGCCGUGUUUACGACUUUUCGGCUAUUCCCCGAUCUACAGUUGCAGUAGGGUGAUUACACACCUGUUUGUGAAAACGCACUAAGAUCCACGAACACCCAAAAUCUAUAUUCAUACAAGAUUUCCAUUAGUUGCUAACAAUGGGGUUAAUCUCAUUCUUUUACAUCCUUAACCAAAAUUAAACUAAUACUUGCCUAGACUGACGAAAGUGGCUUAGCCCACUUUUACAACCGAUGAAGAUUGACUUCAGUCUUUUUGACGGAUAUAUGCAAUACAACGAACUUCAUUAAACAGUAUUGUUUAAUCAUGUGGUUGAAAUCCACAUAUGAUCAUUUACAGAACCAAAGGAACAUUCGGCCAACACUUAAAAGAAAAACUGCCCUACUUACCCUGAUCGAGGGAUGAGAGAGUGGUUUCGACGACCUUAACAACGCUUACAUUGCACCACUCUUCGAGGAAAACUCUAAAACCGCAACAAGCAUCACAUCGUGAGAAAAACAUCAGUUGCCGGCAAUCAAAGAUUACGAAGGAAGGUAUUUAGUUUUUAGGAAAAGAGAAAGAAGAGAACAGAGUGAAGAGCAUAGCACUUACCAGUAGUCGACAACUCUUGUAGCACUAGAAUGAAAAAGAGAAAAAGAGAAAAGAAGAAAAGGAAGAGAAAAAAAAGAGGAUUCGACAACAAGAGAAGGAAAAAGGAAAAUGCAAUCGGCAGAAGGAAAAACCACCAAUAUUCGGCCAACACCCAAAUGGAAAAAGAGAUGAGCAAAAAUGAAAAGGCAAAAAAGCCAAAACUGACCGAAACCAAAUUGACAGAAGAAAAACAACUUCAGAAACCAAUUCUCUCUGUGCCUACUGACCAAAUUCGGCACAAGCACCCUCUAGCCGAAACCUCUAGCUAGAGUUUUCCCCAAACGGCACAACUCUCCUCAUAAAACAAGUCAUUGAUUUUUCCAAAAAGCUCUCCCCUUAUCCCUCAUUGAUUCACUCCACCCAAUCACAAUCCCACUAUUCUCUCCAUGAUUCACUCCUCCAUUUAAAUUCCAUAUCAUUUCAGUCAAACUCUACCACCUCACAGCACAGGUGAUAAAAAUAAACACUCCACAGUGCAGCAUAGGACUCGAACCUCAGACCUUAAUAGUACUUCACACGCCACUUACCACUGGACCAAUAGGUUUUUUUAUCAUAAAACAAGCACUAAUAUAAAUAAGGCCUAUGUGCCAAUGUCUAGAUUCAAUUAAGAGCAAAACUAAAAAUUUUACAAAAGCCAAGACUUGAACUCAGGCUUCUCAAACACUCUCAUACACACCCAAAUCACUUAGCCAUUAAAGAAAACAAGAAAUUUAUGACUAAUCAAGCAAAAAUUAAAGACUUGAAUUUUAGGGCGAUACAACUCCACCCCCUUAAUGAAAUUUUGGCCUCGAAAUUUACCUGGUCAAAAUAGGUGAGGGUAUUGUUGUCGCAUCGCCUCUUCGGGUUCCUACGUGGCUUCUUCUGAAUUGUGGUUACGCCAAAGUGCCUUGACUAACGGAAUAGAUUUCUGCCUCAGUACUUUAACGUCACGGUCUAAAAUCUGCACUAGCUCAUCCUCGAAGGUCAGAUCUGGCCUAACCUCGAUCUCCUCAACUGGUACUAUGUGUGUGGGAUCAGAGUGAUAAUGCCUUAACAUGGAGACGUGGAACACACCAUGAAUCCGGUCUAAUUCUGGAGGCAACUCAAGUUGAUAAGUGACCGGUCCCAUACGCUUCAGUAUACGAUAAGGACCAAUGAACCUAGGGCUAAGCUUACCCUUUCGUCCAAACCUCAGUAUCUUUUUUCCAUGGGGAAACCUUGAGAAAUACAUAGUCCCCCACAGAAUACUCAAUCUCUCGGCGUUUAAGAUCUGCGUAGGACUUUUGCCUAUCAAAUACUUCCUUGAAUCGGUCUGGAAUCAGUUUCACCUUCUCUUUGUAUCAGAGACUAACUCUGGCCCCAGAACUUGCCGCUCGCCUAACUCAGUCCAACAAGUAGGAGUACGACACCUAUGACCAUAUAAAACCUCAUACGGUGCCAUUUGAAUACUGGACUGGUAGCUAUUAUUAUAUGCAAACUCUACUAGCAACAAAUAAUCUUCCCAAUUACCUCAGAAAUCCACUACACAACACCUUAACAUAUUCUCCAGUAUUUGAAUCACCCUCUCUGACUGACCAUCUGUCUGGGGAUGAAACGCAGUACUAAAGUGCAGUCUUGUACCCAAAGCCUCGUGUAACUUCUUAAAAAAAGUGGAUUGUCAGCUUCCUAAAUGUAUUUGACCGAAUAAAGGAGAAAAUCACCAUUGAAGGUUAAAGGUUCGACCAUCACAUUUUCUUUGCAUGUGAGUGAAAUUUUCACCUAUUUCUUAUAAUUUUUAUAUUUUUGUGAUCGUUGCACCUAGGUCCAGCUAACUCGUACCUUCAUUUUUGAAACUAUUAAGGAUUUUAGAUUUUUUUUAUUGAUGAUUUUUAAUUAUUUUGAUGUUAGUUGGUGAAAUUGAAAUAUUGAUAGGUGGUUAAAAUUAGUUUAUUAAGGGAUUUUUUUAUAGUUUUUAGCUAAUAGGUUUAAUUGAUAAAAUAUUUAAAACUUUCUGGAAUUUUUGUAAAUUGUGAAGAAUUGUGGACUGCCCUAACAUAGGAAGAAAUUCGAUUGACUUGGGAAAUUGUAAAAUUUUGUUAAAUUCAGAAUUUUGGGUUUAGGGACUAAAUUGUAAAAAAUGUAAAAGUUUAGAGAAAUGUGUGAAUAACAAAAAUUUAAGGGUGUUAUGCAUUGAAUUGAGUGUGAAAUGUAUGUGAAUUUAAUAGAUUAAAUUUAAUUACUAUAUAGAUUAAGAAUUUGAUCAAAAAGACUAAUUAAGGAAAGGGGAAAAUUACGGUGUAGUUCCUACGCUUUAACCGGAAGUGGAUUGUAGGUAAGUUCAUAGUGUAAUUUAUGUAGAUGGAUAUUUCUUUAUAAUUAUAUCAUUGUUUACUAGAUAAUUUUAUAUAUGUGAUAUUUCAUUAAUUACCUAUAUAUUAUUAAAUGUUGUAAAUAAGUACAUAUGAAAAUGAAUAACUGGUGGUGGAAAUUCUUGUGACUUUCACAUUAUUGAAUUGAAUGUAAUAGAUCCCUAGCAUGAUUACGAAAAUUAAUAAAGUGUCUCUGAAUGAUUAAUAUGUAUAAAUGAAGUGAAUUUAGAUAUAAUGCCCGGUUGAACGUAGUAAACGCUUAGGAUAUGAUUGGCAUGCCAAUAGGGUUUAAAUGCAUGCUUGUAUGGGUUGGCAUUUUGGUGCCUCUGAUUGCACAUUUGUGACUCUAUCUACACUUCGGUGCCUCUGUUACGCGUCUAUGAUGCCUCUGGUGUGGUGUAGCUACCCGAGUACCCGAGUCCAAUUACUUAGUUCAUCGGGAUAUGUGUUAAUUGAAUUACAACUUAUUUAUGUGCUAAAAUGUUAUUACAUAUUCAUGGUAUUAGUAAGUGAAAAUUGUUACAAUGAAUCUCUUGUUUACGUGUAGAUAAUUACAUUGAGGAAAUGUGGUUUAUGGCAAUGGUAAGUCCUCAGAGAAUGGGUUAUUAUGAUAUAUUUAGAUAUGUGAACAAAUAAUAAUGUGGUUUGUGAACUUGUAUUUGGCUAUCAUGAAUUAUAAAUUAGAUACUUGAAUAUCUAUUUUGUUUAAGGUAAGUUAAUUAGUGUUUAAACUAUGAACUUACUAAGCUUAUUUAGCUUACUUGUUUCGUUUGUGGUUCUUUUGUAGUUACCAAUUUGCGGACUGACUAGACGGAUUGAAUUAUAUCUCACACUAUCCAACCAUCUUGGUAGUUUUUGUAUUUCACUUUGGGAUGUGUCAUGUAUAUAGGUUUUUGGUUAUGAUAUGAUGGUAUUUCUAGUUAAGUGGUUGGUUUUUAAAUGUGUAUUUAAGUUGGUUUUGGUUAGGCUAAUUCUUAAUAUCAAGAAUUAAGUGAUGAUGCAUUGGAAUGGUAAAAUUAUCAUGUAUGUUUACUUUUUGGCCAAUUUGAUUGAUGAUUUGAGCAUGAAUAGAUGAUAAAUGUUAAGUUCUUUCUUAGUUGGGUUAUUUGAAUGUAUGAUCAUUACUUGAGGUGCCUUUGAAUGGCAUAUUGGUUAGGCAUAGGAUGGAUGAAAUUUUGAAAUAUAAUUGAUUAUAUGAAUGUGCUUUUAAAGCAUGGAAAUGAGCUAGAUAUUGUCUUGUUGUACAAGGAAUGGUGCUUGAAUUGGCUUGAAUUAGGGGUUAAAAAUGGAACACAUGGCCUGGGACACAAGCCAUCACACGGUCAUAUGUCGCACACGGUCACCCUACACGGCCGUGUGUCUUAAAACAAUUUGUAGCAUGGUCUGGCACACGGCCGUGUAACACAACUUCGAAUAUACACACAGUUUGGCACACGGUCUACGACACGGCCGUGUGGACCUAUUUCAAAUACUCACAAGGGUUGGGAUAUGGCCAUGUGUCCUGACUUCAAAUGGUCUAGGCUAUGUCACAGGGCCAUAUGACACCUGUUUUCCAAAUUUCAAGUUUUUCUGAAACUUUUUGAUUUGUUUCUAUUUGAUCCUAGAUUAUUCUCAAACUAGUUUUAGUGCCUUAUAGGCCUGAUUUAAGGUCAAUAGGUGUAUUUUUUGUCAUGAAUUGAUUCAAUUGUUAUAUGUUAGCAUUUUAUUUGUUAAAUUGUUUCUAUUAUGAAUUAAAUGUUCUAUUUUGCUCGGUAACACUCAGUAACCCUUGUUCGGCAACGGAGGCGGGUUAGGGGUGUUAUACAUUCGUUACCAGUUUUUUCGAGAGGUGAUCAUUCAAGGAGAUGUUCAGAUUCUUAAAAUCGGCUUAGAACACAAUCCAGCCGACAUGUUGAUGAAGAGUCUUCUAGUUUAAAAUUUCGAGCAUUGCUUGAACUUAGUCAAUAUCCGGCGAAGAAUCAGUUAGGCCCAUAAAAGGGCUCGGUAAGGGAGUUGGUCCAAAUACGAAUAAUGGUAGAGAUUUGUGGGAAAAUGCCUCUAUUCAGCCCAAAUUGUGGGUCUCAUCCCGACGGUAUGACAGUCUCUACGUCUCGACAAGCAAUGAAGCAGUGCCCUGACGACGCGACCUCUGGCUCAUGUAUUCGACUUUUAUUCUCCUAGUAAAAAUCUAUUUCAGUCUCUCAUUUAAACUCUGAUUAGUUUAGAGGUAUUCUAGUCAUAUUGUACUACAAAUUUUAGGCUCUAAAUAGUCAUAGUUACUCUAGGCUAGAAACAACAAAUUUAUUUUAGAUUGAGAUAUUUCUAUCCCUUGCUUUGAAGGGCUUUUUUUUUUGUGGAUUUUGGAUUUUUUUUAAUUCUCUCUAUCUCUUGUACUCUCAUUUUUAUUAUAGUGAAAUAUCUUUUUGUCAGUGGGUUUUUAUCCUCAUUUGAGAAGUUUUUUCAUGUUAAAAUUUGCAUGUUGAUCUUCUCGAAUUUAUUUUCCCCACCUUAUUCAUUGCAUACACGGGUUAAUUCCCUACAAAUGUUGUGGAUAAGUUUAUUAUUUAAUGUAUGAAAUAAAUUUUUCCUUAUUUAUUUUGGAUUUUUUUUAAUGAUUAAAUUUUAUUUGUGAAUUUUAUUGAUGAUAUAAUUGAUUAAUAUUUUAUAUUUAAAAAUAUAUUUCAUCUCAAUUAUUUAAUAUUAAAUAUACUUUCCUAAAUGGUACAAUCAAAUAAAUCAAUAUCAAAAUGGAAGAAUAACUGGAUUGAAACAGUACUAACAAUCUUUGUUUUUGCAAUGAUUGAUUAUGAACAUAAAUCAUGUCUUAUGUUCUAAGAGAAUACGCGGGCGUAUUAUAUAUAUAAUAGCAAUAUAAAGUUAAAAAAGAAAUAAUAGAUAUGUUUACAUUACAAUAUUUUGACAUAUGAUGUUUAUUUCAAUUACUUAUUUACUAAAUGUAUAAAUUAUUUUUUUAUUCUGUAUCUUUUAAAAUUUUUUAAGUUAUUUCAUGUCUUUUGUUUAAAUUAUUUAUUUCUUUAUUUUAAUAUCUUAUUUAAUUGAAUUAACUUUUAAUGUUUUCAUAUUGGUUAAAUUGUUAUGUUUAAAAUAUAGUUAAAAAGAUACACAUAUUAAUAGCAUUUAUCAAAUUAAAUUUAUAUUCUUCAAAUAUAAUAAGAAUUAAUUACAUUUAUUGAUUAAAGUAUAGUAAAGAUAAGUAUAAAAUUACAAAAAAUUUGAAUAUUAACAAUUUUGACAUUAAAAAUUAAUUAAUAAUAUAUAAAAUAAAUAACAUGUAAGAAAUUAUUAGUAAUAUUAUUUAAAUUAUAAUAUAUUAAUAUUAAUAUUCAAACUAUGUUGAAUUUUUAUACUAUUUUAAUAUUAAAUAUUUUUAAAAUAUUUAUAAUUAAAUUCCUUUUUCAAAUUAUUUUUUUUAAAAUUCGUUAAAAAUUUUAAAUAAAAAAAUAUUAUAAAUUUAAGGAUUAAUGACUAAUUUGGCCACAAAUAUUUGCAUAUUUUGUCAAAAUGGCCCUAAUUACAUUUUUUAGUCUUUUUUGGCCACCAACCUUUAUCCUUUUUCCAAAUUACUUUUUUAAACAAAUUUGAUGAAAGUACCAUUAAAAAAGUUAAUGGGAUGAUAUGGAAUUUCAUAUGUGGAAUAUUUUUAAUGAGAUGCAAUUUAUUACUUAGAUAAUUCAAUAAAAUAAUUACAUGUGAAAAUAAUAAAAUAAAUAAAUCAUGAAGUUAAAAAAAUAACUCUUAAUUUAAUGAAAAUAUAUGUAUUUAUAUAACAAAAGGUUUCAAAAUAAAUGCACAUAUUCAGUAAUUUCGGUUUGAGUUAUUAAUUAUAUUUUUGAAACCUUUCAAUAAAUAAACUUUUUUAAACCAUUUCUUAGAGAGUUAUUUUUUUUAUCUUAUCAGGUUACCUGAAUAAUAAAUUACAUCUUCCAAUUAAUUUUUUUAACGAUAAUUUAAUCAAAUCGGAUAGAAAAAGUAGUUUGAAAAAAAAAACAAAAGUUAAUGGUCAAAAACAAACUAAAAAAUAUAAUUAAAAUCAUUUUAACAAAAUAUAUAAAUAUUAGUGACCAAAUUUAUCAUUAAACCUAAAUUUAGCAUACUAAUUAACACUACAGCUAAUUAAGAAUAGUGUUUGUGUAGGUAAGCAAAUGCAUUAAAUAUCCCAUUAAAAGAUCUUUAGAAAAGAAAGCAAGGGAAUGCCCAAUGGCGAGUGAAAUUUGAACUAAACACUUGACUGUUUAAUUUAAGACUAAGCAUUCCAUAAAUGAAGUAGGUAAGAUAGACCGAUCAUCACGAAAUCGCGUUUAAAAAAGAUACUACGCAUUGAAUUUUCCACAUAUAUAAACAAAUAAAAUUAAUAUGACUAGUUAAACGGAUGCGAGCUUGACUACUGGACCCUUUUGAUCUCAAAAUGUUUAGUGGGAGACAUCUCCUUUCCAGUUUUCAGACUUCUAUCUGUUCAGGUCCCAAUUAUCAUUCAGCAAAAAAGUAUUAUCCUCAAAGCUUUUACUUUAUAAUUUCCAUUUUAUUUUUUCUAAAAAAAAGCAGAGGGUUUGAUGAUAAACAAUGUCGAAUCCUACUUUUUAUUGUUUUCUCUUUAUUGAUUGACAAAUCAACAUUAGCUUUUUUAUUGUUGAAAUUGAUUGAUGAAGUCUUUUAUAUAUUGAAUUUUAAGGGAUGGUUGUUCAUCUAUUAGUUGGUAUUUGGUAAAGCCCUACGCUAUUAUAAUGUUUUUACCUACGCUAAAAGCUUUGGUACAUUCUCAACGUGAAUGAAUUGAAUUUGUUGAAAUUGCAUGUUGUCCUCGUCUUAUUGGAUCUCAUAAUACUAUUUUUUAAACUUGAAAGUUAAGCUAUUUUGUACAAGAACACAGCUUAAAUUUUGCAUUUAGUAUUGUAGAUUUAUUUCAUCUAUAAUAAACUAUCAAACGCAGUAACAAGAGAUAGAAAAAUAUGAUAAUUUAAACAAUAUCCACAAAUAAAUAGACCACCACCCAAGUGUUUUAGGGGUCAAUUUAUUGUGUCAAAAAUUAAAAUCACCAUUUCCAUUGCCUUAUUGCCUCUCAGCACCGAAUGCUUGCGGAGUUUGGUGUUUACUUUGAAUUGGAAAUGAAAAAGAAAUAUAAGCUAGAAACAAUAAAUAAAUAAGAAAUUGGGCUUAAAUCUAAUUAGAUGAAGUUUCAAGAAUAAAAGUCAAUUCAGUGUUGGCGAUGGUUAAAACUCUUCGAUCAAUGAGGAAGCUUUCCUCUACAACAAAAUUUACAACGAUCAAUGAGAAGCUUUUUCUUUUAAAUUAAAUUUAAGUUUUUUAGAGACAAAAAAUAGAGUUUUAGAAGGAGCGUCGUAGACAUUUGAUAAAAGAUCUUAUCAUGUUCCAUGAGUAUGAGGAUGAUAUGAGGCUUGUGGAUUAUGUAUUCACCAAAACUUAUAUAUGGCAGAAAGUCUAUGGGUUGUCGCUAAAAUGAUUCAAAAGACUCAUGGUACAGAAGAUGGGAGGCAAUACGAGGGACUAUAAUGAACUUGGAUGACCGAUCGAAGGGCUAAUUAGGUAUGAUAGAUUGGCACUAUUUUGUUACUUGUGCGGUGUUGAGGCAAUUAUGAGAGUAGUGUCAACAGUACUUAGAAUUGUGCAAGUCACAUAAUUUAUCUUAUUUAGAAUUGGUAAUAUUGUUCCAGUUUGGCUAUGAUUUUACUAAUGUUUUAGAUGUAUGGUGUCUCUCUUUGAAGAUUUAUCCAUUUAAAGAGACAUAUCUUGGAGAUUAGAUUGUAUCAGUUCAAAUAAUCGGAUUCCUGAAUAUUGUGCUAACUAAGCUCAUUUUAACCAAAGUAAGCUCAUUUGAAGUACUUUUGGUCCUAACUAAGCUUACAAAAGUUGUCAAGGUUCAUUGAUACUGAAAGAAAGGCCAUUAUGCAAAAAUAAGGGAAGCAGGGCGAAGGUUGCAACAUUGGCAAGUGAAUGUCACAACAUUGAGAUCGGAAUGCUCAAUGCCGCAACAUUGAGAUCAAAAUGCCCAAGGUUGCAACAUUGGCUAGGGAAAGUUGCGACAUUGCAGACAGAUUGCCUAGAACAUGAUCGAAACAUCUAAAAUCAAGUCAAAACUAUCAUCAAUCAUUCCAUAACAUUUUUAGAAACUCAAAUAGGACAAAAUGUCAUCACAUCAAAUAAUUUAAAGACUUUACAAGAGCACCAAAUACUUCAAGUCCAAAAUAACUUCAAUUGAGCAUGACAUAGCUUUGGAACCAUUAAUUAACCUAUCAAUACAUUCAAAUAGUUCUAAUCUCAUGUACAUGUCACUCUAUUACCAAAAUAUAAAUUCCAUACAGUUCAAAUUCUUCCUUAGUGAUGAGAUGUGGUUAAGGAUGACCACUUCAAAAGAUGUCUUCAACCAAUCAUUAUCUACGCAUUUAAAAUAAUGUGUUAAGCUUUUGAAAGCUUAGUAAGUACUUGAGAAUUCAUAGUUACCUUUAAAUUCAAUUAAAUAAUUAAAUAAAUACAAAAAUAAUAAAUAUGAUUAAGAUAACUACAAAAUUUAUUCAAAAAUAAUAAUUUAUAUUGUCAACAAGGUUAAUUAACAUAAUUUCACUUACAACACACUUUCAUCUCUUACUUAUCAUUAUUUAUCACUCACUUUGCCCAUUAUAGACUCGAUUGAAAAAGAAAGAUAUGCAAAAUAUAAUCAUGGAAUACACAAGCACUGAAAUGCUAAAUUCUCGAGCGCUUGAAAAAAUUCCUAAUGGUAUGCCAUCUAUAUCCUACAAGUUCGAAACUUGCCUGCAUGAGCUUUGACUUUUAUAUAAACUCAAUUUAUAUCAAAACUACAAUCUAAAUUUCACAAUUUUGGUUUUCACGCAACCUUUUCAACACUUUACAAUUUAAUCCUUUACUCAACACAUAUAUUCACACCAACAAUAAUCCCAUCCAUUAAUCACUUUCUUGAGUUUAAUACUUACUUAUUAUGUUAUAUUUAUAUUUAAAUUCAUAGCAUUAACACCUUUAUUAGUACAUUUGCUUAUAAUUAUUUAAUUAAAUAAGAAUGAAUUCUAUAGUAUUUACAAAUUUUAACUAAGCUAUACUUUCUUCUAGUUUUAUCUACUUGUCUCCCCUUAUCUACACUUCUUGCAACUUCUUCCUUAUCUUUGUCUUCAUUUCAUACCAUAAGUCACAAAAUACACAAUUAAUACACUUAUCUAACAUCACUUUAGUGCAUCUGUGGUUGAAAUAAACAUGAUAACAUAUCUAAAUCAUGAAGCUCUUACCUUAAAGUCUUCAUUUCUCACCUUAUCUAUAUUUUCUCUCUCCUCAAGAAUAAACGCUUUACUUCUAACUUAAAAUAUAUGCUUGCUAGCUUGGUGGUAACUUGAUUUAGCUAAGGUUUUUUAUGGAAAUUUGGUGAUUUUUACUUUGGAAAUGUCAUUGAUGACGAUGAUGAACCAAAUUGUAAAAGAUUUUAUGGUGGUGACGUGAAAGGAAGAAGAAGAUAGAUAAUUUUUUUCAUACUUCUUCUAAAAUAUCACUAAUAUUAACAAUAAAUUAAAACAAAUUAAUAAAAUAUGUUAUGAUAAUAAUAUAAAAUAAAAUAUUAUAAUUUAAUAACAAAAAAUCUUUCCAUCAUACAUAUCCACUUACUUUUUGUAAUAAUUGGUCUCAUUGUCCUUACACAUUUCACCACUAAUUCAAUUUAACCCUAUUCAUACUUUAAAUUUUUCAAUUUGACCCCUAGACUUUGUAAAACCUUACAUUUUAGUUUAUACCCCAUAUUUAUAUUUCCCAAUAUGUCCAUCUUUUAAAACUCAUCCAGUCUUCUACUACCUUCUCUACUAGCACUAAUAAAUCACACUCAUUUAUUCUGAAUAAUUUGACUCAUAAUUUCUCAAAAUAACAUUGUUACGUCCAAGGAAAUUUUGAGGAUAUUACAUUUACAUUAGAUGCUUCCUAUGCUAAAAAAAGGCUAUCAAUUCACUCAAAACACAAAUUAUUAUGGCAAUUAAUAAAAGAGAAGUGAUAAUAACACUAACUACACUAAGAAUUAUAACACUAAUGGUUUCAAUUGGUAAAAUUACUAAUGAAAACAAGUAGUGAUCGGUUCUUUCUCUCGCUAAUGAUGGAUUUAUACCUAAAUAAUCUAAACACACGAUUAUUAGCCUAGUAACAUUCACCUCUCGGUCUCAAAUAACUUCUAGAAGCAUAAUGAAAUCUCCUCUUAGUCUCAUUCAAUUAAGCCUAACUAAAUCAUAUCUACUCGAUAGGGUGUCCUCUUGUCCUAUCUUAUCUCAAUUUUCACUCAAAGAUGUCAAUUUUGAGUUAUUGACAUAGUCAAUUUAACCCAAAGCAUACAUUCAAAUUAACAAAAGGCAUAAAAUCACAUCACAAGCGAUAAAUAUAACCAAUCACGUAAAGAAAUUAGUUAAUUUCCAUGGAAAAUACAAAUACACAAUAAAAUUCCAUUCAAUUCAAUAUAAUGAAAUCAAAGGAAAAUUAAGAGUUUAAGAAAUACUCAUUAAAAUGAGAAAUCCUUAAAUUUAAGAAGUUCAAUGUAUUUCAUCCACAAAUAAUCUUGAUGGCCAACAAUAAAAAUAGCAAUUUAAAGUAGAAAAAUGGAAAACUCUGAAAUUUUGUCUAAAAAUUCUAACCUAGAAAUGUCUAUCAACAAAAACUAAUAAUAAAAUAUGUUGUUUAGAACUAAUCUCUCUUUUACGUCCUUAUUUGCUAAUUAUAAAGUGGUAUUUAUACUAAAAACCUAAAUAGCCAACCAUUUACAUCAUUUCCCAUCAUAAAAUUAUCAUACUAAGGCAUUUUUUACUCAAUCUUCCAUUAUUUGCCCUAAUAAAGAUUGUAGAUUUUGACAGUUACGAAAGUCAUUGUUGCAACAUGAGCUUUUUGUUUCCCAAUUUAGCUCAAGUCACCUGGUGGUUAUCGCGACAAUGAGUUUUCCAGAUCAAUUCUUUGGCAAGUCAGAGGUUUAAUGGUUCUGACAAGGACAAGAUAUGGUCAUGACCAUGGGUUGGUUGAGGGAACUCCUUGGCAAGUUAGCAAGGUCAUGGUCACAACAAAGCAUCCACACCUUACUUUUCUUCUAUUUGCAUCCCUCCAUUGAGUCUUACAAUAUUCUUUUCACCUCUUUAAGUCCAUGUAUGAAGGUAAUUAGUUUAUUUAUUCAAAAUAAAAUAAAAACAACAUUUAAACUAAAUCCUAAUACUAAUGCAAAAACUAAUAAAAUGACUCUAAAUGCUACUUGAAAACAAGCUCCUCAAGUGUGAAAAUGGUCUAAUUUACCAUAUCAAAUUAUGACGUAUCAAACUCACCCGCACUUAAGUCUUUGCUUAUCCUCAAGCAAACAACACCCACAAAAAAAUGAUCCUUAAGUUUCGUUGAACAUUAGAAGAUACGAUAAUUGAACAUUGAAAAUGUAAAAGACAUAUCUCACACCCAAAUUAAGAUUGUUGUCUAACUAAUUCAAAUACUUCAAACCAAGUUCACAUAGUUUAAUAAGUUAAAAAGCCAACAAACAUAAAGGUAAUUCAAGUGAAUAUGUGCUCAAAUGUGUGAAUCCAUCAAGAUGAAUUAAAUAGAUGCAUUAUAGAUACUCAAGUAUAAAUCACAAACAUUCAUCAAUUCUAACAUGAAUAAUUCAGGAAAUUCAUACAAAAGGGAAUGUUUGUCACAUUACUCUUCUAGGCUUGUAACGUUUCGAGGCAUAGGAUGAUUUGAAUUAAAAAUAAAAUCUAGUUUAAAAUGAUUUCAAGUCCUAUAAAUAGAGAAGCAUGUGGCUUUGUUCCCUUUUGUCCCUAGAUUUAUCAAUAAACUCACCUUCUUAUCUCUCUUUCUCUCACCUUUAUUUUUUCUCUUAAGUGAUUAAGACAUGGUUCAAUAUUAUCAAAUCUAAAAGCUAGAAAGUUUAUAUGCAUUAAGAAAGCUAAAGAAUUUCUUUAAGAUCAAGAAUAUUUUAUCAAUUUAGCAUAUUCUAACAUUUUUCCUCUUUCAUUCACAAUGAUUUCAAACCCUCGUCGUGCUUUUAUUCACUCAUGAAUUUUCAUUAAUGCACUUACAAGCAAAGUAUCUAUACCUACCAUAUUGAGUCAUUUCCUCAUUUUUCCAUUCAUAUAAUUAUUUUGAAACCUCCAAAAUGUAUCUACCUAAACCUUAAGGCCCAUGGCUCGAUGUCUAUUUUAUAAUACAAAAACAAAUAUAAGGACAAGGAAGGUUUUAGUUAUACACUCACUUUAGGCUUAAGGCUUCAAACAAUAAAGCUUCACCAAGAAAGAGGUAUAAAAGCUCAAACAUGGGACCUUGGGAUAACAUAGUGACAAGGUUGGCUCGAUUAGACUCUGGCUACGCAAGCAAUGCCUUUGAUCAUCUCUAAAGAUUUCACAAUUAUACAAUUUUCAUCAUAUUCAACAUUUAAACAAAUAAAUCACAUGUGAUUCAAGCACUUAUUAUCUAAAAGUAUCAAUCCAAUACAUCUAUCAUAUGACACAAUUUCAACAAAUUCACAUCAAAAUAAUCACUUAUAGUCUAUUAGGCAAUUUUACACUAUUGAACUAAGCAACAUACUUCAAAGAACACAAUUAACUAUCAUCAAUCACAAUUCACAUGCUCAAUAAUCAAAACAAGUUCAACAACAAUCACCAAUAGACUAAGUCUCAUGUAACUCAAGCACCAUACAAAACACUCAAAAAAUUAAAAAAAAUUGAAAUUUUUUGCUAAAAACACAGAAAUAGCAAAAAUAAAAACACCCAACAAAUAAAAUAAAAACUUAUGCAAUCCCCCAUACACACUUAAGUUAGAAAUUGCCCCCAAUAACUAAAGAUAAAGUUUAAGGAAACUCCCUUUAUCCAAUUUAUGUACCAUAUUUUGAUAUGAAAAACUAUGCUCUUUAAGCAUUUAAAAAGCUUGUUUUGAGGAAAUUAGUAGAGUCCUUUAAUGUUUUCUAUACUUCGGAUAAAUUCCAUUUUCGUAUGCAAUUUGUGGUGUGUUUUAUGUUUUUUUUCUAAAUAAAAUAACCAUUAUAAUCAAUUAUGGACUUAUUUUUGGGGCAAGGCUUUUGUAGGGACUUAGUUGAGAAAAGUGAAAAGAAAAUUGAACUAAUUGGAGUGGAAGUGGAAACAUCACUUAUGAAUGUUACGACAUUGUGCACCUUUCAUCAACUAAAGAGCCAACCUUCAACAAUUGAACCUCCAGUAGCCUAAUUUCAAGGUCGCGACAUUGGUUCUUAAUGUCGUAACAUUGUAUAUUUUCCAAUGCAACAACCUCAUCGUACUCCAAGUUGUAAAUGGAGGCCACUUAAGUCAAGGUCGCAACAUGGGCAUACAAAUGUCAAGACAUCAACUCCAAACUUGAAGUAGUCACGACAUAGGGUGAUUUGGAGUAAUAUAGGGACUUGCUCGAUGAAGAGGCUGCGACAUCAAGCAUGGAUGUCGUGACAUUGGAGCCUAAUGAUAUUAUUUCUAAAACAAAAAUUUGAAGGCAAAAUGGGGUCUAAACAUUUACAAAUCAUUUUUUAAAGUGGGGUUAUUUUUUUAAAUGUUAGGUAAAGCCCUUAAAACCUAUAAAAACUAAUUUUAUUAGACUUUUUGAAAGAGAAAAAUUAGGUUAGUUAUUUUAUGGAUGAAAAUAUUCUUUUCCAACUUUUAAUUGUUUUUCAAUAAAAUAGUACAAGGACCAACUUGUAGGUUACUUAUUCUACAUAAUUUCCUUUUCAAUUUUAUGUUCUUGGUAUUAAAUUGAAGGGUUCUAUUAUGAAAUGCAAUUCGUUUUUCAUUAAAAUUAAGGAUUUCAACAAAAAUACUAAGCAUUUCUAAAAUUUUCAGUUUCAUCCUUUAAUUGAUUGAUUGUAUAAAUGAAUUGUUAUUUUAAUUGCAUAAUGGGCAUGAAAUGAAUCCUUGAGUGAUUGGUUGAUUGAAAUGUUAGUUUAUGAAUUUUAGUCUUAGGGACUAAAUUGAAUAAAAUAGUAAACUUAGAAUUAACGCCACUAAGUGAAAAUCUAGAUAGGUAAGACCAAAAGAAGACCCUAUCACGUAAUGAUUCAUUUAGUUCAUUUUAAUCAAAUGAGACCGAGAGGAUAAUUUGGUUAGAUUUCUCAUUUGGACUAAAUUGGGACCAAGAGGUGAGAUUUAGUUAAACGAAAAAUUUGGUAAUUUAAGUUUCUUAUGUCUAAGUUCAUUGCUAAGAUGGAAAUCAUCCAAUCACUAUUGUUUCUCGAUUCUUAAUUUCAUAAAUUGAAUAUUUUUCACGUUUAAUCCUUUUUAUUUAGGAAUUUUUAGACACUAAUCAUUUUCUUUACUAAUUAGUCACUUUAGCAGCCUAGUAGACUAUCUCGUGCAUGUAUUCUUAUUCGUAGCAUUUUAAUUAUGCAUUCUCCUUUGGGCUUGAUCCUUGAAAUAUUGUGUUCCAUUGUAAGAUCUUUAUUACAACUCAACAUGUGACACUUGUAAACACCACACUUUACUUUUAUACAUCUAUUUUGCAUUGUUCAAAGAACACACGCUAAAGUGCAGUCAAGUUGUUGAUCAACUUACAUUUUUCUACAUCUAUCUAAGAUUUACAAGUUACUAGGAAUGAUCGUCUAAGAGAAUAGGAAUGUCUACUUCUUCUUUGAAAUUCAACACAAUAAAGCCAACGAGAAGAAUAAAAUGCCUAACCCGAACUAAGACAUCCUCAAGGAUGCCUUUAGGAUAGACUAAAGAACAAUAUGCUAAUUGGAGUGUGACUAAUGUAGGACAUAACUCAUAUAAUUCUAAUCAUUGAUAAAUGGAAAAAGGCAUCAAAUUUAUGCUAGCCUUUAAGUUACAUAAAGCUUUAGAUUUACCCCUCAUAUUUCUAUUAGAAUUGUAAAGCUCACAGGUUUUUUAACUUAAGCAAAUGAUAGCACUACACUUAGCAAUCACUGGUAUUUUCUCCUUUUUACUAGUCUUCUUAUGCCUAGACACAAUGUCAUGAAGAAACUUGGCAUACUUCGACAUUUUCUCAAAUAGCUCAAGAAGACCUAAAUUAAAACUAGGCUCAACCAAACCAUACUUAUACAACAUACCAGGUGAUCAGUAAUUGACAUGCCCCAAUCUCUUGUGCCACAAGUUAGUACUAUUAGUUAAACUAGAAUAAGCUUUAAAGGUAACUGAGUUCCAGUUUAGAACAAAGCUCCUACCAUUCAUUUUUACUAACAUAAGCUAUUGACCAAUUGAAUCAAAUACAACACAUUUAUUCUUUUCAAAAACAAUAGAAUAAUUCUUCUCAAUAAGUUGACCAACACCGAGCAAGUGCUAACCUAAACAUCGGUAAUAACUUUUGUACCUAUAGAAGUGCUAACCUGAACAUCUCCCAUUCCUUUGGCUUCAAUGAUCUGGCCAUUUCAAACUCUGAUUCUUUAACUGAAUGAUCUAUCAAUCUCCUUGAACAUGCUUCCAUCUGAAACCAUAUGGUUUGUACAACCACUAUCAAUCAACUAGUUUUUCUUGUCUUGGUUGUUGACUGUGAAGUAUGAAGUAGUGAAUGUGAGCUCCUCUUGAGCUUGAUUUUCUUCAGCACUUGAGCCUGAUUAGACUGCUAUUGUUUUUGUUGUAACACCCUUAACCCGUAUCCAUCGCCAGAUUGGGGUUACGAGGUAUUACCUGACAUAAUUGUAAUAUCCAAUUUUACCCUGGGCCCAAUUAAAUAAGCACCAAAAAUAAAAACCAAAAUAAUAAAACAGUCCAGCCCAAAUUCACUACCCAGUUAUAGCGGCCAAAAUGCUUAAACCCUAGCCCACUAGCCUAGCAGCAACAGCCUUCUGCCUCUGCGCCGCUGUCGAACCUAGGCCCCGCGCGUGUGCCCCCUCCAAGCUUAUGCCCGUACAACAAAGAUGGCAACAACAAGCAAAGCAAGGAAAAUAGAAUAAACAGCAAAAAAGAAGCAAUUAGAUUACAAAAAAAGGAAAUAACAAAAUUAGAGGAUGGAUUUUUAUUUUCUUUUUUCUGUUGUUUUCUCUGUUAUUUCGGCUAUAUAAAGCCAAACAUGAAUCUGUAAAAGGGGGUGAUACUGAACGAAAAGCAGUAAAAAAGAAAUAUAUCAAUUUUUUUUGAAAAGGUGAUUACAAUUGUUUUUUUUUCUUUCGAUUUGUUUUUAUUUUAUGCAAAGAAAAAAAUAGAAAAGAGGAGAACAGGGAUCUUACCCCGGAGACUGCGUCGUUAAAGCUUGAGUCAUUCUCUGUUUUGAUCGGAGUUGAGAGCAGAGAGUGGCGGAGGAAAAGGGCAAAGCCCUUAGGGUUUUUUUCUGACAUUUUUUUUCUGUUUUGAAAUGGCGAACAAGCAUAUUCAGUUUUUUUUUUAUAACUUCUGCCAAACGACGUCGUCUGAUGCCUGCUUCAGUGGCCCCAAAACGACGUCGUAUGAGGCCUACAACCCGAUUACCCGACCUGUAGGUCUCAGAUCCGCGUGUUUUAUAGCGCAUGGAUAAUUUGCGUAUUUGGUCCCCUAUUUUUCACAAUGCGUUUAAAUCAAUCUUUUAUUUCCUUUAAAUUUAGCCACAUUCUUUAUUUUUGUUUCAAUUUGGUCCGUUCAAAAGCGCAGCGUUUUGAGGGAAGGGAAUAUUUCUCAUUUGGCCGUCAAGCUAUUCGCACGUUAUGCUUUGGCCCUUCAUUUUGUUUUAUUUUCGUUUUUCCCUUAAAUUUUGUUUUGAGUUCAAUUUAAUCCCUACUAAUUUAAUGUAUUUGAUUUUCUUUAAAUCUUAUUUAAAUAUUUUAUUAUUUUUAAGUAUAAAUCUAAUAUUAUCUUAAUAAUUAUUUUUAUUUUAUAUUAUGAUUGUAAGUUUUAUAUGUAUUGUUUUUCUGAGUUUAUCAUGCAUUUUUAAUUUAAAUUUACCAUGUUUUAUUUUACACUUGACAUCUAUUAUUAUUUAAAAUUAAUUGUGAACUACUCCAUACAAUUUUUUUAAAAUUAAAUAUAAUUUAUAUAUAUUCUUUAAUAUUUUUAUAAAAUUUUCUUAAAUAUUGCUAUGUUUUAAAAAUCUUAUUUUCAUGUGUUAUUUUAUAUUUUGAAAAUUUAUAAAUUUUAUCUGCAAAUAUGUAACUUAUAUUAACUCAUUUUUUUAUUAUGUAUAUAUUAUUGUUUUGAUAUUAUUAUGGUUAUUAAUUUUAAGUGGUCUUUUAAAUAUGUUUAUAUGUUUUUUUUUAAAUCGAUUUUUAUUUAUAUGAAAUUAACUUCUUUUAAAAACUUACUUUAUGUACUUUAUCUACUUCGAUCUUUUUAUAUAUAUUAGUAUAUAUGUAUUAUUACUAUUAUGUUUUUAUAUGUAUUACCUAUGUUAAAUUAAUAUAUGUAUAUUAUUUGCUUCAAAAUUAAUAUAUCUAUAUUAUUUGCUUCAAAUUUAUUUCAAAUACUAUUGUUGAAUGUUUAUUUUUUGAAUUCUAUUUCGAAUCUAUUUUGAACUUAUGUACGUAGUUUAUUUUAAAACUUUUCGAAUCUAUGUUAAAUUAAUAUAUGUAUAAUUUCUCCUUUUGUUACUUUUAGUGUACCUUUAAAAAAUAGAUCAUUAAUUCAUUUGAUGUUUGACUGUUGUUAUUGGUAUUUACAUAAUAUAUGAUUGAGAUUAUUGUUGCUAUGCUUGUUUGUAUUUGUCCGUUGAUUAUUCAUUAUUCAUUAGUAUACAUUUUACUUUUGAAUUAUCAUUUUGCGUUGUACGCCAUCAUUCAAUUGCACUAUGUUUGUUUAAAAGAUUGCAUUUGAUUAAAACACUAAAAUCAUUUUAUCCAUAAGCUUUCAAAACAUUUGGUAUCCAAAGAUUCUCGAGAAUAUUGUGCCCUAACUUACUGGGCUUCAAUUUUUUUCGUUAAACCUCAAUAACCGGCUAUCGCUUUUUCAAUAAAAUUGUACAAAUUUCAAAUAUAAGUUUAUUUAUGGGAUUUCAAAAUGUUACGUCCUAACUCACUGGAUAUGACAUUUUGCUACUUUGAGUUAAGGAUUAAUAAAAAUAAAGGCAGUAUUCGGUAUUUGGAAUUUUGAGGAAUUGAAUCCUAACUCACUGAGUUCUGAUUUUUCAUUUGACCUAAAUAAUCGAAUAUCUUUCUCAAACUUAAAUGCAUGUGUUUUAAAAGUCAAAAGACAAACUUAAUUUUGAAGAUUAGAAAUGCUGCACCCUAACUCACUGGAUGUGACAUUUUACUUCUUCGAAAUAAGAGGGUCUUAUCAUCCAAGUCAACUUAUUCAAAUUUUCUUUUUAAAGGAUCGUAUUUUAAAAAAUCUUUUCAAAUUUUUGACACUAAGACAUUAAAUAAUCAAUAUGGUACCAAUUUUGGGCGUUACGAGGGUGCUAACCCUUCCUCGUACGUAACUGACUCCCGGACUCAUUUUUCUGAACUCGUAGACCAAAAGCGUUUUCAAGGUGAUCCGAUCACACCUCAAUAAAAGGUCGGUGACAACUCUAAUUUUUGUUUUUUAAAAUAAAUCGAUCCAAUUUUUAUUUUCAAAAAAAUGGUUUCGACAAUAAUAAUUUACCACCAACUUAUAUAAUUAAAAAUGAACUUGUUGUUAACAUUUUAAAACUAAUUAUAACCUAAAAUCAUAUAACUAAGGUCACAUAACAAAUUCGCAAAUUCAUAUAUCAAAAUCAUUACAAAUUAAUUAAUGCAUAUACGAACGUUAUAAAACUCUCAAACCAUAGUAUAGUUGUAUCCUCAUGACAUUCACCAAAAACAUAUAUACAUAUAUAUAAUUAAGAAUUUCAAGCUUUUGCCGAUUAUACCAUUAUACCAAUUUAGACAUUAUGCAUGCUUCUUAAUAUAAAAUAAAUUCCAACCCAAAUCUCAAAGUCACAUACAUCUUCGAAUCAAUCAUUUUCAAAUAUACUCCAUAAUAAUUACUAUUUUCCCAAUUACCGAAUUAUCUUAUUGCAAUAUCUUAAUUAAUCUAAGCACAGAUUAAUCAAACAUAUACAACUAGAAUAACAAUUUUUUUUAAGACAAAACAACCCAAGUUUAACAGCAUAUAAAAUUCUUAUAUAUUUUAUACAUAUACAAGCCACCACUUAAUAUAUAAAAUUACAGCCUAAAACAUACAACUUCAUAAAUUUUAUUACAUCUAAAAUCAUACAUCAUACCAUCCAAAAUGAAUCAAGUACAAAGCCGUAUAAGUAUAAUUACAAACAUCAUAUUAUUCAAAUUGUUAUCAAAAGCAUAAAGAUUAUAUAUAACUAGUAUGAAUGUGCCAUUAUUAACAACUUGAACGCAAACAUGAAAAUGGAUUAUUUUCGUAUGGCUACUUAAGUUCAUGAUUUAAACUAAUCAAAAUUACAAGCAACCUAAAAUACAUUUAAUUUAAUAGCAUUUAAUCCAUGAACCAUGCACAUUCGAAUAUAUAACAUUUUUUUUAUAGUCAAGACAUUAAACCAAAUCCAUUUGUAUCACAUUGUAUUAUCAAUCACAAGCUCCUAACAUAGCCGAAUACACAUGGCCUACAAUAUCAAUUUAAAUUAUUUUAAUCAAAGCUUAAGUACUAAAUAUAAAUUAUUUUCUAUCUAUCUCAACCAAACCUGUUUAAUACCAAAGCCAUUUCACAUCAUACAUGUAUAUCAUACUUAUCAUUACCUAACCUCACAUACAAUAUAAUUUGCAUUCAAGAUACCCACAUUCGGCCAUUAAUUCAUUCCAUAACUAAAAUAAUUCUUCACUCCAUGCAUACAAUGAUACUUAUACUAAACAAUUAACCAAAUACACUAUAUACAUAUAUCUAAGUUAUAAUCAUCACCCUACUUACCAUUACUUAUCUUUAUACAUUUACCAAAUAUACUUACACCGUUUACCUUAAUGCCGAAAACUCAUAAAUAAAACCUUACCAAAUGCAUAUAUGUACUUUACCUUAUAAGUGCUAUCCAUUUAAAUUUUGAAUGAUGAUCAAAACAUCCUCAAACCAUAAUUCAACCAAAAACUUAACAUAGAUAAUAACUUAAGCCAUUUUCCAUAGCUUUAAUACAUACAUUUUCAAAUUUUAAGUUAAAACCAAGGCUAACCUAUACAUGCCAUAGUUCCAAAAGAUAAUUCAACUAUAAUAUAGCGUAAUUAGUCGAUAGUGUGAUAGGCUUUACUGAUGAAUCCCCGAUCUCGUAACGACUUCUAAAUCUAUAAAAUAAAGGUAAACAAAUACAAGCACAUAGUAAGCUAUUUAAAGCUUAGUAAGUCAAAAACAUAUAUAUAUUUUUCUCACUAUCAUUAAUACAACCAAUUUAUCAAGCUAACUAAACCAAAUGAAUAUAUUUAUACAUAUAGCAUAUGUAAGUCGAAUAUUUACUACUAGAAUACAAGUAUAUUCAUCAUAUAAUAUCUUACGAUUAUGAUAAUAGGCCAAAAACACUCAUAAUUUCAAACAUAUUUACUCAUUAUACAUUUACUAAAUAAUCUUUAAUCAUCAAUUUAAUAUAAAACUUACAUUAAUUUCUUAACAUGGUAUAAAUACAUACCUGAACUUUUAAAUUUGUUUUCACAUUCGUUCUUAAAUUAAUGUUGCCCGUUGAACCGUUCGGAAUUGAAAAGGAUAUGCAAUAGUCGGAAAGCUCGUACAAUGCCAACGUCCCAGACUUGGUCUUACAUUUAUUUACAAAUCUAUGUCACUGUCCCAAACAGGGUCUUACACGUAAACACAAGUCGAUGCCAACAUCCCAGAUGUGGUCUUACACGAAAUCACAUAUCAAAAGUCCUAUCUAUUCCUAGGGCUCGUACAGGGCUUCCGAAUACUGAACUUAUUCAAAUCAAACUCAAAAAUACAUCUUUCUAGCUUAAUCAUAUUGAACCAUCAUCAAAUAAAAUUCAUAAAAUUGCAUUUAUUAUGUAACCUAUGUAUAUAACCAAAUUUAACAACAUUUAUAUGCUUACAGACUUACCUCGAAUAUUGAUGGAUACAGUCGACUACUCGACCACUUUCGACUUUCCCCGAUCUAAUUAUGUUUUCUUCAUUUCUCGAUCUAAACAUAUUAAAAAUUAACUCUUUUAUUCAAUAAAUCAUUUAAUUUAAUCCAAAAACACAUAAAUUGGCAAAUUACCAUUUUGCCCCUGACAUUUUACAGUUUUUACAAUUUAGUCCGUAUUGCAUAAAACACAAAAUACACAAAAAUUUACACAUACUAUGCUUAGGCCGAAUAUCACCCUAGUCCAUACAAAUCCAUAUGUUUCAUUUAUUUUUCAUUUUAGUCCUUCAAAAUUUUAUUUUCACAAUUUAGCCCUAAUUACUCAAAUUCACCAAAAUUUCAAAGACAAAACAUGUUAAUCUUUCACAUAUCUUUAAUAUUUCAUCAUCAAACAACAAAAAUCACAAGCUAUCGUCAAUGACAAAACACAAAAUCAUCAUCAAAUUAAAAAAUUAAGACAUGGGCUUUGAAGAUAACUGAGCAACGAUCUCAAAAACGUAAAAAUUAUCAAAAACCGAAGUAAAACAUACCUUUAAUCAAGCUAGUUUUGUGCCGAAACCUUAACAAGCAUGGAUGAUUUCUUUCUUUUCUAUAUUCGGCCAAGAAAGAUGAAAAAUGGCCAUUUUUUUUAUGUUUUAAUAUAACAUAUAUUAUCAUAAAUUUUAGUUUACUAAUUUAACCUUAAAUAAAUAAAUUAUAGAACAUAUAAUAUAAGGGCAAUGUUGACCAUUGCCGCCCACUAUCAUCUAAAUGGCCUAAUUGCCAUAUAAAACCCCCAUUUUUAAAAGACAACAACAAUUAAGCGCUUUUAUAUUGGACCCCUAAAUUUUCAUUUUAUGCGAUUAAGUCAUUUUCUUUAAUUGGUCAUUCAAAAGAUAAAAUUUAAACACGAAAAUUUCACACAAUCAAAUUCACACAUAAUAAACACACAAUAUAAUAUUAAAAUAUUUUUCUGACUCGGAUUUGUGGUCCUGAAACCACUAUGUCCGAAUAGGGUCGAAAUUGAGCUAUUACAGCUACUGCACUUUUUUUUAUAAAUUAUAAAAUCGUGGCCAAUUUGCUUACAAUUUUUACAUUUUGCACCAAGUUUUGUCCAGCAAAACUUUUACGAAUGACCUAUCUUUUUGCAGUUUGAUCAUGGUGGAUACUUUUUCUUUCCACCAUCUCUUUUUUGCCUUUCUCUUGCUUGAUUCCAUUUCUUCUUGCCUUUGUUUCUUGAAGAGCAUGGAGUUUCCUUGUUUCUCAUUUGGUAGGCACCUUUUACGUUAUGAAUGACCCAUCUUUUUGCAAUUUGAUCAUGGUGGAUACUUUUUCUUUCCAGCAUCUCUUUUUUUCCUUUCUCUUGCUUGAUUUCAUUUCUCCUUGCCUUUGUUUCUUGAAGAGCAUGGAGUUUCCUUGUUUCUCACUUGGUAAGCACCUUCUACGUGAAGGACAUCAGUAAUAAAUUUUGUACCUAUAAAAGUGCUAACCUAAACAUCUCUCUUUCCGUUGGCUUCAAUGAUCUGGCCAUUUCCAACUCUGAUUCUCAAAUUGAAGGAUAUGUCAAUCUCCUUGAACAUGCUUUCAUCUGAAACCAUAUUGUUUGUACAACCACACUGUCAAUCAACCAGUUUUUCUUAUCUUGGUUGUUGACUGUGAAGCAUGAAGCAGUGAAUUCGAGCUCCCCUUGAGCUUGAUUUUCUUCAACACUUGAGCCUGAUUAGACUGCUAUUGUUGCUGUUGCACUUUGUUUUUACAAAUUCUAAAAUCGUGGCCAAAUUGCUUACAGUUUUUACACUGCACACCAGGUCUUGUCUAGUAAAACUUUUCUGAAUGACCCAUCUUUUUGUAAUAAAAGCAUGGUGGAUACUUUUUCUUUUUACCAUCUCUUUUUAGCCUUUCUCUUGCUUGAUGCCAUUUCUUCUUACCUUUGUUGCUUGAAAAGCAUGGAGUUUCAUUGUUUCUCGCUUGGUAAGCACCUUCUGUGUGCCCUCCUUCUCUGUUCGCUCUUCUUUGCUCCACGCAUAUAGAGCAUUUAUGAGCUCUAAUAGAUUGAUAGUUGUUAAAUAUCUCGAGUCCUCCAAGGAUAAGAUCUUGGACUUAUACUUCUCUAGCAGUGUUGUGAUGACUUUUUCAACAACCCUUCGAUCACUGAAUUGAUCACCAAGAAACCUUAUGUUGUUGACAAUGGACACGAUCUUGUCUGUAUACUACUUGAUCAUUUCAGUUUCCUUCAUCUUCAGGUUUUUAAAGUCUCUCCUCAAAUUCAACAAUUGUUGUUGUCUUGUCUUCUCAAUCCCUUAGAACUCCUCCUUCAACUUACCCUAGGCUUGUUUGAAAGUUUCACAAGCCAUAAUUCUCGUGAAAAUAACAUCAGACACACCAUUCUGAAGGUAAGACAAAGCCUUAUACUUCUUAGCAGCUUCAUUGCUAUGCUGUCUAAUUUGAGCUAUCAUUAGAUUAGCUCACAAAGGUGAUGGUUCUUUGUCUGAAACAACAACUUCCCACAAGCCAUAUGCCUGAAGAUACGUCUUCAUCUACACUACCCAAAUAUGGUAGUUCUCUCCAGAAAAGAUAAGAGAUGGAGGUGGUAUAAAGAUUCUAGAUGACAUUGCAAUACAAACAAGAUACAAACAACACUCUGUGUUCAACAAGAAAACACUCAGAAGUCCCUCAAAGGCUAAGGCUCUCGAUACCAAUUGUUAGAUUUUAGAGAAGUUGAGAGAACAAAAUACUGAGAAAACAAAGAAAAAUACAUAGCAUAAAUUUUUUACUGCUAUCAAAUUUUCUCAUCUUUUUUCAUUCAACAAGAAAUACAAUAUAUAUACGGGUGUAGUGAUUACACGUAAGUCAACUACCCCACUAACACACCUUGAAAAUACAAAGAUAUAACUUGUACAUAAACUAAUUAGGUAAAAGUCAGAACCUAAAAAGUUAAAUCAAUACUAACUCUGCUUAUCUAACAAGUGAUCUUAGCAAGUAGACUAAUAAAAAAAUAUCAUCAUCAGCAUAUGCGAACCCUUCUUGAAAUACGUUAGGUGGUUCGCCAACAACAUAUAAGUAGCUCACACUUUGAUGAGCUUACAACAUUAGUUGAGCUCGCAACCAUGGAGCUAGCAGACUUGCUUGAGCUCGCAGCUACAUAGGAAGAGUUCACCACUACAUGAAUGGCCACUUCGGAAUAGAGGAAAGGAAAUUAAGAAAAAGAACAUGUAAGCAUAGGCGGGGCGGGCAGGGCCAGAAAUGAAAUUUUGCACUUUUAGCUCCUUUAUAAUUUAUAAAUUUUAAAUUAGUAUAUGAUAAAAUUGUACAUCGACACUAAAAAAUAUAACAUUUUUAUUUGUUCCUUUAAAAAUUAUAAAGACAUAGACUAUUAAAAAGGUCAAAUUAUAUUUUUGUUAUCAUAAAAAUAUAUUACCUAAUUACAUUAAUUACAAGCUAACUGAAACAUUAAGUAAUAUUAAAAUAUAAAUUAACAAAGAAAAUCUAUUAUAUUGUAUAUAAGUUUAAAGGCUUAUUCGGGUAUCAAGUAAAUUUAAAUGGCUUAUUUGAAUGUAAUUAAAGUAUUCAGACUUUAUUUAAAUAAGAUAACAACAUUCAAGGGCUUAUUUAAUAUAUUAGCCAUUAUUGGAUUUAUAUUUCAAAUAUUGAUACCUAUUAAUUUAGAGUGAGUAUUUAGUAUAUUAGCAAUAUACUCUUUUUUAUUUUACAAUUAACCUUAAAAACUGACAUGUAUCUUUUUUUUUAAAUAUAUAUUUUUAAUAAUUUAUUAUACCCUAUAACACACUUAUCAAUCUCUUAACCCUGCUUAUGGAGUUUAAAAACUCCAAUAACAAUAUAUCAAAUAUUUUCUUAUAAAUUUAUGUUUUAUUAGUGAAAUAAACGAUGACCGGUAUUGUAUUUAUUUUUUUUUUUAAAUUAAUAAUUUUGAUACACUGGUGGUGGAAACUUUUAACUCUUUAACUGAAUUAAGAUGUUGCCAUGUUUCCUUAAGUUGUAUUUAAAAAUUUUUAAAAUAAAUAAAUAUGACAUGUAGCAAAAUCUUAAUCGCGCUUAUGGAGUUAAAAAUUUACAUCACAUGUGCACCAAAUAAUUACCCAUAAUAUAUUAUCAUGUAAUUUAUGGGUUAAUAUUUGGUAAACUCAAAGUGUGUUAUGUGUUUUUUUAAAUAUUUUACUAAACCUCUCUAUAGGACACUUGUCAACCCAUUAGCUUUACUUGUGGAGUGUAAAAACUUAACUAUUAGUGUACCAAAUAUUUCCCCGUAAUUUAUUGAUAGUGUAUAAAAUUAUACAAUAUUAUUAUAUUAAAGGUGAGUAUUUGAUAUACUAGUAGUGUACUUUUUUUUAUUCCUCAAGUAGCUUUAAAAAAUUGACAUAUGUCUCUUUUUUUAAUAUUUUACUAUAACCAUGUAAGACACUUGUCAACUCCCUAACUUUACUUCUGGGGUCUAAAAACUUUAUUAAAUUGUGUAUCAAAUUGUUUUCAUUAUAUUAAAUAUAACCCUUACCUAAAUAAUAUAAACAAUGGGUGAAUAUGAUAUCCAUUCAAAUUGCAUUAAUAGCUCGCAACAUAUUCGAAAUUUAAUUAUGAGUAUUGUGUUGUUUUAUUUCCCAAAAAAGACAGGCGGAUAUUGGGACGUACACGUAUGAUACUAACAGCAUGUUUGGUUGGGGGGAAUAGGAAUGCAUUCCCCCCCAAAUCGGUGGGCCCACCCCCAAACCAACGUUUGGUUGGCUGUAAUUGUAAUACAGCCUUAUUCCAUUCAGCCUCUAUUACGUGAGAAGCUGUAAUAGCCAUUCCUUGCCUUCAGCACUGAAUAGCUAUUACGUUCCGCUCUCUUUUUCCCAUUUUCCAAAUUUUGCCCUCCUUCAUCUUUUCCUUCAUCUGCCGUCAAACUCACUACACAAUUUCUGCCCUCAAACUCUCUUGCCAUAUUUCAGAUAUUCUCAUUCAUCUUCUCCCAUAGAUCUGUAACUUUCUCUCCUUUUGUUCCCAUAUUUCAGGUAAUUUUUAAUUCAGAUUUAGAUUUCUUGCUCGUCAAAUAAAAAUCCAUCCGAAUCACUUUUAUUUUUUCCCUAUUAAACAAAAAGCUCAAAUCAAACUAGACCUGUCCAUGGGCAGGGCGACCCGGCCCGCCCGAAAUAUGGGAGGGUUCGGAUAAAAAUAUAGGCCCGAAAUAUGGGCUUGGGCAAAAAAAUGAGGCCCGUUUAAAAAAUGGGCCGAGCUCGGGCUCAACUUUUUUUGCCCGGGCCCAGCCCGGCCCGAAUAUAAUAAAUAUAUUUUUUAAUUUUUUAAUUUUAAAAUACUUCAAAAAAAAUUUUUUUAUUUUUUUAUUUUUAAAAUAUUUUUUUGUAUUUAUUAAAAAUCGGGCCGGGCCGGGCUCGGGCUUAUUAUUUUUUUCCCAAGCUGAAAUUUUUUCCGCGCCCGGCCCGGCCCAUAGACAGGUCUAAAUCAAACCCCAAAAUCCAAAAUCUCACAUCCUCUAAAUCCCCAAAACGGGAAAAAAAGAAUAAAGAAGACAUGAGGACACAGAAGAGGUCGAUCCAUGCGGUGUCGAUGUGGGUGAGACGACAGCCGCCGAAGGUGAAGACUUUUUUGGCGGUCGUAUCGAGGAUGGCAGCAUUGGUUCUUCUCCGAGUCAUUGUAAAUGACCACGACAACCUCUUUGUCGCCGCCGAGGCUGUCCAUUCUAUCGGAAUCUCUGUCCUCAUCUAUAAGCUCAUAAAAGAGAAGACUUGUGCUGGUAAUUCCAAAAAAAAAAAAAGCUUCUUCUCUCUUGCCAGUUGAUAAAAAAUUCUAUAUUUUGUUAUUGGAAUUGUUUUCGAUUAAUUUGUAGCUUCAAUUUAAUACUUAUUGCAUGGAUUUUUUUUCUUAAUUUAGUAGUUUCAAGAACUCAUUAAGGUAAUGGCUAAAUAGCAAAAUUUUAAAGAGUUUGAUUUGCUGACUUUGUGCCGAUUGUUUUUUUUUUUGUGCUAUAUAGCUGUUUUUAGGUUGAAUUUCCGGCUUGAUUUCUUCUUUCUUUCGAUCUAAGGUAUCUGUUUCUUGCUAUUCUUCUCCAUGAAUGAAGUAUGGGUAGAAUGUUGGUUGAUAAAAAAAGGUAGCUUUUGGACCAAAAGGAGAUGUUCUUUCUCUCUUCUGACUGUCCUGCUAUGUAUAAAGCUUGGUUGUUGUUAAAAUCCAGUAUGCCUUUUGAUAUUGGCCUUUUCGUUUACACAAGAUGGAUGAAUGAAUUGAUUAACCCUCAAUUACUGGUUAAAUAUGUUUUGUUCUCUUUCUUCGUCUUUUUUCCAUGUGUAGGUAGUCUUCUAACUGUCUAUUGAGCUGUAACUUGUCUUCAGUUCUUCUUAGCACUUGUUUAUUUUAAAUACCACUUUGAAAGUCACCUUAUACCUCACCUUCUAGUUUUGAUUUAAUAUAUUUUAUCUGGCAACCAAUUGAACAAAAAUUGUUGAAGGUAUUUACAUUUUUUGUAUUGCUACGCAUAGACACGUUUUAGCAAUACAAUUAUAUUCUUUGUUCCUUGAGUGGAUUUAUUCCUUUUUUUAACAUAUUGUAGAAGUCAUAUGGGCGUUUGAAUUUGGAUUCAGGUUGUCCCUUGUGCAGUACUAGCUCUGUGUAUUCAUCCAACAACUUCCCAUAAUCUAUUGAACCAGAUUUCCUGGGCAUUCUGUGCAUAUCUGGAAGCAGUUUCAAUUUUACCUCAGUUGCGAGUGAUGCAAAACACCAAGGUAAAAAUUACUUAGAUGGCAGAUUUAAUUUUAUAAAUAAGGUUUAUAAGAUCACCAUGUUUAACUCACUUUUUGUGCUUUCAGAUUGUUGAGCCUUUUACAGCUCAUUAUGUGUUUGCGUUGGGUGUUGCAAGGUAAUAAUAUUAUCCCGUCUAAAUAAAACAGUUACUUAAUAUUUGCAUUUCAACUUGAGGUAUUAUUCAAGUAAGGUAAAUGAAAAGGGCCAUACUUUGUUAACAUUUCGUUUUUGACUCAUAUACCAUGGUAGUCUCAAGUUCAACUCUGUUAUAAUUAAUAAUAACAAGAAGCAUGUACAAAUAUGAAUUCUCUCCUUUAAAUGGAUUCUGAAUUCUUCAAACUCAUGUACAAAUAUGAAUUCCCUCCUUUAAAUGGAUUCUAAAUAACCACUCGAUGAAUUCUCUACACUGUUGAUUUUGCAAAUAUGCAUGUUAUGAUUUUCAGGGGCAAAGUUCUUUGUAGUUUGUGAACCUGGGACACAGCACAUGGAGGCUCUCUUGAAAGUUGUUUAUGAGCUCUAAACAGAUUAUGUUUUGAAAAACCCCUUCUAUGAGAUGGAGAUGCCCAUAUGAUUCGAACUCUUUGACAUCAACCUGACACAAGCAGUACAGAAGGAUCGUGUUGCGCUUUUGGGGCGGUAAGCUGUCCUGGAACCUUUAUCUUACCAAAAUGUCACCAUCUCUUAUCUUCAUCCGUACACUUUUGAUGGAAGAUUGCUAUCAAGUUUGUAUAAACCUGUGUAUUGGGAUAUCAUCAAGCUCCUUUGUUUAGCUCAUAAGUGCUGAAUUAUUUAUAACAUAUGAUGAUUUCUGGAGUUGCUUCUCCCAAUUAACAUUUAUAAAAUUAAUGAAAAAAUCCUUUGAAUUAUUUGUUUGCUAUUGUUUUUCAAUCUUUAUCUAGGAAGAAGUUACAGUAGGGGAGAUCUUAUGAAUGAAACAUUCAUAGUGAAUCAUUUGCAUUCAUACAAAAAUUAAAUUAUAUAUAUUAUGAUUUUAGUAUUAUAUAUUAUGAUUUUAGUAAAUUCAUAUAAGAAUAUUUAAUAUUAAGAAUUUUAUUAAAUUAUAUAUUUUUAUCUAAUUAUAUUUAAUAAUAAUAAUUUUAAAUUAUAUUUUGUAGUAUUAUAUAUUAUGAUUUUAGUAAAUUCAUAUAAUAAUAUUUAAUAUUAAGAAUUUUAUUAAAUUAUAUAUUUUUAUUAAAUUAUAUUAAAUAAAAAUUAUUUUAAAUNNNNNNNNNNNNNNNNNNNNNNNNNNNNNNNNNNNNNNNNNNNNNNNNNNNNNNNNNNNNNNNNNNNNNNNNNNNNNNNNNNNNNNNNNNNNNNNNNNNNUUUUAUUAAUUAUAUAUUUAUUAAAUUAUAUUUAAUAAUAAUAACUUUAAAUUAUAUUUUAUAGUAUUAUAUAUUAUGAUUUUAGUAAAUUCAUAUAAGAAUAUUUAAUAUUAAGAAUUUUAUUAAAUUAUAUUUAAUAAUAAUAACUUUAAAUUAUAUUUUAUAGUAUUAUAUAUUAUGAUUUUAGUAAAUUCAUAUAAGAAUAUUUAAUAUUAAGAAUUUUAUUAAAUUAUAUAUUUUAAUUAAAAUAUAUUUAAUAAUAAUUAUGUUAAAAUAUGAUUAAAUUAUUUAUUAUUGAUAUUAAUAAUCUUAUUAAAAUCUAAUAACAAUAACAAUAAUCAUUUACCUAAACAAAUUUCUGUUAAGGGUAUUCUAGUCAUUUUAGUUUUUUCCCUUAUGUUAUUUCACCUCCAUUUCAUUCAACCAAACACAAGAAUACUAUUACGCCUCUAUUCCAUUACAUUCAACCAAACAAUUGAAUUGCUAUUACGCCUCUAUUCCAUUACGCCUUUAUUCCUUUACGUCUCUAUUCUAAUACAGCGAACCAAACGUGACCUAAAAAUAUUGAGUGAAAUGAUAGUAUUUCUUUUUCUUUUUCUUUUUUUUGACCAAAAAAAUGAUAAUAUUUAAAAGAGAGACAAAUUGUAUAAAUUAGAUUUUAUUAAGGGCCUAUUUGGUUCUCUAAUUUUAUAUAAAAAAUUAUUUUACCUCUUCAUUUGUUAUUUUUACUUUUUUUAGUCCUUAAAUUUUUUUUUGUCGUCCUUAAACCAUGUUGGUUUGUUUACUUUUGUUUUUUCGUUAAUAAGAUCGCUUUACCUUAGAAAAAAUAUUAUGAUUAAACUAAAUACUAAUUAAAAAAGGUAAGGCAUACUGACAACUUUAGCCCAUAUAUCUUUCAUUUAUUUAUCAAUUUGAUCUCUUUUUUUAAAUUAAAUUUGACUCUUAACCUUUUAAAAAGAAUUGAAUUGAUUUUUUUUAAUGGAAAUACUAACCAAUACGUUAAAUUUUUAAACAUUGCAGCCCACAUUGCAAUCUAAAUGUACAUCAUGCUAUUUUUUAAAUUUUUAUGAAGCUUUUAUCCUCUCUUUUUAUUAAUAUUUUUAUAACUUUUAAAAUAUAUAUUGACAUGUAUAUAUGACAAACAGUAUCAUGUUAGAAAAAAAGCAUAUGGAUUAUCACACAAGUUGACACAUCAAAAUUAUUAAAGAAUAUUUUAACCAACAUUUUUGUUAAAAAAUAAUGAUUUAAUUCUUUUUAAAAGAUUAACAACUAAAUUUAACUUAAAAUAAUAAUAAUAAUAAUAAUAAUAAUAAUAAUUAAAGUGAAAAAAAACUGUAAAACUAAAUUUGUCACUGUCCCAAAAUUUAAUGCUACAAACUAUCAUACACUCAUCCUUAUUAUUUUUGGAUUUAAAUAGAAGUGCAUCAACAAACCGAGAUAUUAUUUUGUAGAUUAUUCCUUCUUGGCCUAUUACUUUGAUAUUCAAUAGUGAUUGUAAGACCCAUUUUCUGCCCGGCCCACUAGCAAAACCAACCAACCCAAAAAUAAAAAAUAAAAAUUACAGUCCAUAUGAACUACUUGCCCAAACCCAAUAGGCCCAAAAAUCAGAAACCCUAAGCCCACAAACUUAAAGAUUUUCAGCAAACCCUAGUUGCCUCCCCUAAGCCCUGGCGCCGCAAGCUUCCAUGCGUGGCCUCCUCGUCUGCCACGCCUCCAGCGCACGCCGGCCUACUCGCACGCCUCUGCUAUCGUCUGCACCAACGCAUCUGACACCUGUAAGAGCCAAACAACAAAACGACAAAAACAAUAGAAAUCAAGAGUUUGAAAUCAGCUAUAAAGGCCGAAGCUUGUCAUUGUUUUGCUUCUUCUUCGAUUUUCUUUGUAAAAAAUGCACAUCAGAGAAAUAAAAAUUAAAAAAAGAACAAAAGGUCGCUGCUUUCUUCUUCUUUUUUCGAUUCAUCUAUUUAUUUUAUUUAUCUUUGUUUUUUUUUUAAAAAAAACUAUUAAUAAAGAGGAUAAAAAGGGAAAGGAAUAAACUCACCUGAAUCGGCCCCUGCCGUCGUCGGACGCGAGUUUAGGAAGGGGCAGAGGUUUUCCGAUUUCUCUUCGUUUCCCCAUUUCGGAGCAUGGGUCUCUGAACGCGCUCCAAAGCGCUGGUGGGAGACGCCCUCGCAUGGCUCCAGCCACCGGGCGGUGGGGAGGCGUGGGCUUCUGGGCCUGGAACCCAAGCAGAAAAAGGGAAACCUCCCUUUUAUUUUUCUGUGUUCUUUGCAAGAGAAUGAAACAGCAGAAAAAUGAGUAAAAUUUUUGCUUUUAUGGAUGAUAAAACGACGCCGUUUGGUGGGGGAAAUCUGCGCAUGCUUUGCCCUAAUGGGUAAUUUAUGCAUUUAGUCCCUCCAUCUUGCGUUGAAGUGCAAUCCAACCUUUUAUUUCUUUUCGAUUUGGGCCGCGAGUUUUGUUUCUGCUUCAAUCAGGUCCUUUGACCAUGUAUGGUCCUUUGCGCUGAAACGUUGCACUCUAGGACUGGGGCAUAUUGCCCGAUUAGUCCUUCAUUCUUCGCGCGCGCCCCAUUUUAAUCCCUUGUGACCUGUUUAUGGUUUUCGCAAUUAAAACCCCCAAGUUCUGAUUCGAUUUCAGUAUCAUCCCUGGUCCAUUUAAUUUAUUUGUUUGUUUUUUAUUCAAAAAACUCUUUUAUUAUUAUUUUUGUUAUUAUUUAUCAUUUAUGGUAAAUUGUUUUACAUGCUAUUUAUUUAAUUCUCUUAAUAGGUUAUUCAUUUUAAACCAUUAUAUAUAUAUUUUUUAAAUGUUGUAUGUCUUUUAUUUAUUUGUUUUAAACUAUUAUUAUUUAUUUUUAAGUUUUUAUAUGUUGUUUAUUUGAAGCCUUUUAUUAUUUAUUUUUAAAUUGUUGUUGUAAAUUAUUUAUUUUAAAUUAUUAUUUACUUUGAAUUGAUUUGCAUGAUAUUGUGUUUUGUUUACUUCGAUUGUUAAUGUUAGUAUUAAAAUGAUAUACAUUAUGCGUUUAUUGCCAUCAUGUGCUCUUUUGUUUUUGCAUAUUUGUCAUUCAUUAUUGUAACAUUUUAUUUAUAAGUUGUCAUUCUAUGUUCUAUAUAAGCAUCCUAUCAUUCCAUCAUUUUUAAAAUGGCACUUAAUGUAUUUUUAUAUACCCAUAAUAAACCAUUUUAUUUUAUCACAAAACAAAUUCACCUCGUACAAGUGUUGCACAUGUCAUUAUUCAAAAAGAAAAAUUUUAAAAUAAGGCAAUAUCUCGCGUUUUAGGAAAUUCGAAGAAUUGUACCCUAACUUACUGGGUCUCGAUUUUCUCGUUAAACCUAAAUAGCAAAAUAUCCUUUUAAAUUUCCAAACGCAUAAAAUUUCAAAAAUAAAGGUAAUAUUCUAUAUUUAGAAAAUUCGAGAAAUCGUGCCCUAACUUACUGGGUUUCGAUUUUUCUCGUAUUGAACCUAAAUAACUGAAUAUCCUUUUAAAAUUGAAAUGAAUGAGGUUUAAAUAAAAAUAAAAUGCAAGCUUACUCUCAAAAAAGACGAGGUGUCGUGUCCUAACUUACUGGAUGUGACAUCUUGUUACUUCGAGAUAAGGAGGCAUUUUCCAUUUUGAUUUAUUCGAGUAAUUUUAAAAUAACACAAUAAAGAGAGAUCGUAUAUUUAAAUUCUUUUCGAGUUUUUAAUUUUCGACACCAAGACAUUAACUAAUCAACUAGGUACCAAUUUUUGGGCGUUACGAGGGUGCUAAUCCUUCCUCGUACGUAACCGACUCCCGAACCUGUUUUUUCUGAAUUUCGUGGACCAAAAUCGUUAUUUUAAUAAAAUUAAAUCGUUUAUUAAAAACAACCACUUUUCAAGGUGAUCCGAUCACACCUUAUCAAAAAAAAAAAUUGGUGGCGACUCCUAUAUUCGUUUUCUUUUUCAAAAUCCAAGUCGACCCAUUUUUAUCAAAAAAAUAGUGUCAACAGUGAUGUAAAAAUAUUUUUCCAAAUCACUAAAAUUUUGGCAGCUCAUUCAACUUCCUUCUUGGCCUAUUACUUUCUACCUGCAACCUUUGUUCCCCACAUUCUUUUCUUGCGAAGCCAAAACAACUACGAAACAAGUGACGAUGAAGAGUUUGAAGAAGAAGAAAAUGGGUAGGAUGGAGACCCCAUGGCUACCACGCCACUUAUAAGACCCAAGUCGAGAUCUGGUAAUUGGACGUCGAACGACAAUAACCACUUAACCAGCUCCUUUUUUCACAUUGCUCAUUUGGGGUUUUUUGGUUUUAAAAUUUGUUAAGUAACUAAAUCUUAUGAAUCUGUUGAUUUUGGGAUUUUCUAUUUCUUUUAUGAACAGAUUUAGAGAAUCAAAUGGAGGGAAAUGUUUAUUCCAACAUUAAAAAAUUACUAUUUUUUAAAUAAGAAAAUAUUGCUACUAUUCUUGAAAUUGUAUUUGAAUGUUUGAUUAUUAUGUUCUCUUGUUUGUCCAAAAGGAGAUUUUUAUUUUAUGAAUGCGUUGAUUAAAACUGUAGGAGAAAGUGACGAUCCGAUUACUUUAGCCAUGUUAGAUGAAGAAAAUAUAUGCUUAAAUGCUUUUUUCAUAUUUAAAAUCUGGGUAGGAAGAGGAAAAACAAAAAUGUAACAGGCAAGAAGGAAGGUGAGUGAGACGGCAAUAUAUUUUAGUGAUGCGUAAAAAUAUUCUUACACUGUAAUUCAUUAUUAAUGGUACAUACAUAAUAAUUUCAGAAAAUUUCGAAAAGUUAAAAAUAAUUUAAUUGUUGUGUUUGAAUAAUUUUUCUUUCACAAAUUAAAAAAUUGGGAUCACCCGAAUUAAGAUAUCUUUUUUAUUUAAUUUAUAAUUAAUUUUAUUUUUUUAUGAUGUAAAAAUAAAUAUAAAUCAGUGAAAAUAACUUUAAAAUAUUAUAUAAAAGUUAUUGUUUAAAAAAUAGUAUAUAAGAUUUAUUGAUUAUUUAUUAUUUACUUGAAAAAUAAUUUUAAAAAACAUUUAUAAAAAGAUUCUAAAUUUUUAUCAAAUAAUAUUAAAAAAUUUAAAAAAAAAGAAAAACUAAUUUUGUCAAAAUAAAAUUCAAAAUGUAAAAUUAAGAUUAAAAAACUAAAAAUCAAACCAUUAAAAAAACUCAAUUAAAUCAAAUAGAAUCAACUCAAUCCUGUUUAAUAAUUAGAAUGUUUACUGGGUGAAUCUUAAUUCAUUUGAUAUUAAUAUUAUUAUCUAAAAUUGUAUUUAGGAGUUGGAAUGGAUACUUUUUUUAUACCUACAAACGUAAAUAAACUAAGAAAAAAAGUGCGCAUUGCAUGCUUGUAUAUUUCAACAAAAAGAAAAUAUUAUAUCUCCAACAUUAAGCAAGUUCUUCUUCCCCUCACAUUUGUUCACCCAUAAUGGGAACAUCGGUGUAUCUUUUAUUGAUAACUGUGAUCCAACCAAAAGAAAAAGCAGGAGAUUGAUUUAUUAGUAGACUAAGACGUAGCGACAUAUAUGCAUCAUAGUUGAAAGGGAUACAGGGAAACCAUACGUACAGCAAAAAGCAAAGUAAGAAACAGAUAAGACUCCACAAAAGUAGCAACCUUUACGAUUCGAAUAAUGAAUAGGGCGUUUACUGUCAUAGAUAGGUUGAUAAACAUCAAUGUUUUUUACAAUAAGGGCUAUUACCGUUACAAUUAGUAUUAUGUUUAUCUGGCUUUGGUGGUGGAAGACAAUUCGAAUAACUAGGACCGCAGUUCUUCUGACUUAUUGCCGGCUUACCCUUUGUAAGCGUGCCGUAAGCUAUUUUACCGACAUUUUUAACGUCCCCGAGGAUUCUGAUAACGGUAGAAUCUAUCAUCAACAAAUCCAGCUCCGACUCCAAUUCUUCCCGGAUACCGCAGCCGCCGAGAAGGCCAUUGCACUGGUAAGUGGCGUUGCUCCUCAGUACUAGGACGGCGUCUCUGCCGCUAAUUGGUUUCAGGAGAAUCAUCAUCAUCACUAACCCCACACAUAACUCACGAAACCCCAUUUUCUUUUUCCUUUGUUUCUCCUCGCCCCGGAAUAGGAAAGCGGCCUGCCC